Molecule: long non-coding RNA, 205828 nt
Filed under: Hordeum vulgare
Lineage: Eukaryota; Viridiplantae; Streptophyta; Magnoliopsida; Poales; Poaceae
Description: long non-coding RNA (HVUL_LNC003132)
Source: RNAcentral
ACGAUAACUUUGUACAUCUUGCAUUACUAGUUUUGAAACAUAGUCUUGGGAGAGCGGUACAAUAGAAGAUGAAUGUCGUACAGCACACCCCAUCAAUUUUAUCUACCAAGGAAACCAAAUUUAUGCGUGAGCAACAUUUGGCACAAAUGUUCAAUAUUAUUCCUACUGGCAAUCGAAUUGCUAUGACGGACAGUUCACUAUCAACACGAUAUAUAAGAACAGUUCACUAUCAACACGAUAUGUAAGAUAAGCAAUCAGCACACCAGGUGCGCUGACAAGGACCCCUAGCAGCUUUCUGAGCCUUGGUCACACCAUCACGGCCAUCUUUACCGCAGCAUUCUUUCCCAAAGCAAGCUGUCAUUUGCAGAGUGGAAAAUAAGUCAGCUUGAAACCGACGUUUUGGUUAACAAACUGGGAGAAAAUAAGAUUAUGUAUUGCGAUUUGAAAGGGCAUGAAUAAUUUACAAAACAAAGCUACACUUGUAUAAGCUGAAGCCCGAAAGGCUUACAGUGAAGUGCAUGAAUUCUACAGGAUGUUGAUAGCUCAAUUUAGAGAAACGGAAGCUCAUGUGCAAAUGUUGGGUCAAACCAUCAAAGGCCCGGCGUAAGCUGGCCGAAUUUGGGACUUACAAUCAGCCCACUCACUACAUGCUUUCAUCGAUUUUUACUCCUCACCCUGCAAAUCAGCCAGCGACUACCCUGCCCGAAUAGCUUCAUGCUCCAAAUUUUAUCUACCAGUGGCCUUUGAUCCAUAAACUGUCCUUUUCAGGGCAUGAAAGGUUCGUAACAUAACUCCUAGUAUUAAAAGCUAUUCCUUACCUCACCCAGUUCAUCAAUAUUGAUGUUCAAGAACUACUCCCUCCGUCCCAGUGUCUGAAGCUUAGUACAACUUAGCUCUAGUACAAAGUUGAGACAGUUAUUUUGGGACGGAGGGAGUAUAAUUUAAUUUAUGGUCCUUUCAGGAAAUGGACUUCCUUAUAAAAAACUUCCUAACAUAACUUCUAGUGUAAGAGUUGUUUCUCUCACCCAGUUCAUCAAUAUUGAUGUUCAUGAACUAUAAUUGCAAGUAAAAAAUCAUGCAUAGUGGCAGGAAGGACACAUAGUAAUAUCUGAUGUCAGGAAGUAGUAUAAUUUUGCAACUAAUAACAGGAACUACCUCAUUAUUGAUCACUUUCCAGAAACACAAUGCCAGGUGCAGCAAGCUCACCAUUUAACAUGCCCAUAAGGCAGCUCCAACCUGGUGUCCAUCUGCUCGUCAGGCUGGUUUGCAAGGAUAACGAAAUCGUCCUCCAAGUCCAUCUGGUCUUCCUCCUCGGGCUGAUUUGCAAUGAUAACAAAAUCGUCCUCCAGCUCUGAAUCCUCAUCCUCAUACUCCAAGCUCCCGGUUGGUACCUUGCUCUGCUCACCCUCAUCAUCCGAGGUCCCAUCAUCUUCAUCCUCCGAGGUCCCAUCAUCUUCAUCCUCCGAGGUCCCAUCAUCUUCAUCCUCCGAGGUCCCAUCAUCUUCAUUCUCCAAGGCCACAAGUGGCACCACCACGCUCUCCCCCUCGUAAUCAUCGAUGGGCACCGGUGGCACCUCCCUCUCCUCAAGCAGGUCGGUGACAUCCGGGUCGAUAGCCUCCUCGACUGGGAUCAGCUCUCCCGUUGCGGCGGCAUUGUCCAGACCAACCUCAACACCACGCGCGUCGUAAGCCUACAGAGAACAGCACCGGGAUCAGACACCUGGAAGGCUAGAAGGGAUGAAAUUACGCGGCAGGGUCUAGUGAACAAACAGAUCGGACCUUGACGCUCAACGGGAGGCCGCAGCGCGCGGCGCGGCGGGUGGGGAGGAACACGGUGGACGAGCCCCCGCCGCCGGUGGAGGAGUAGGAAGGGCGGAUCUCGCGGAUGUGGUCGAGGUAGUUGUAGCCGUCGUCGGGGAGGCCGAGCUCGAGGAUCGCGCGGCGGACGUGGUCGGGGAGGGCGGCCCCGGAGGGCGAGGACGAGGGCUCGGCGCCGUCGUCGUCCGCGGAGGGGAUGGCGCCCUCGAAGUAGGAGCAGUCAUCGUCGUCGUCGUCGAGGCCGGGGACGUGGUACUGGUUGCCGUCGACGCGGACGAGGACGCGGUCCGAGGGGUCGGCGGCGCCGGGGCGCGGGCAGAGGCGGAACGUGGCGGAGUUGCGCGGCUUGCGGUUGCGGCCUCCUCGACCACGGCCCAUGGCGACGGUGGCGGUGGCGGAUGGGGCGGGGGAGGCUGUGGCGUGCGGUGAGGUUUCCGAUCUGUGUGGAGUUUAUUUUUUUCCGGGAUCCUACUUCCUUCCCUUUUUAUUAGGGCUGGGAAAUGGAUGAUGCGUGAGGGGUACUACAAAGAGCGCGAGAUAAGGGAAUAUUCUCCCGAGAUCUAUCCAUUUUUCUUUUUUGAAGGGGAUCUAUCCAUUUUUCUUAAGAGAGAGAGAGAAACUCCCGAGAUCUAUAUCUGGCAUGAAGGAACAGUUUUUAUAUCAAACAUAUGAAACCAUUUCAAUCUUUUCACAUGUAAAAGAUUGAAAAAAAUGUGAGAUUAACAUUUCAUCUUAUACGAAUGUUUAUAUUCACAUACAUGAACAUUUUCAUGUUCAAGAAAUAGAAAUGUAUUUUAUGAAGAAACAUAUUUACAAAAUAUAUAUAUGAAAAGUACUCCAUCCAUUUCACAAUGUAGUGUGUCCGUGUUUCUUGAAAUCUAGUUUGACCAUACAUUUAAUCAACGAGACCGAUUGCGACGGGAGCAGAAAUUAUACCACUGAAUUCGUACCUGAGUGAGUAUAGAUUGUAAGUUUGGUUGAAGCGUAUGCCUAGCACGGAUGCGUUGCAUGUUUAUAUAAUCAAGGUUUAGGGUUUACAUGAUUAGGUGGUUAGGUGAGGUUAUAGAUUGAUCCUCAAGUUAACUAUGUAGAUAAGGAUGGAUCAUAACCGCCUGAACCAACCGAAGAUAAACAAAAAUAUCUACCCUAUACUACAUAUGGUUUACACUCCAGUGUAUAUGUUACAAUGUAUAUUCUAACACCCCCCCCCCUCUCAAUCAAAACUUCAUCAAGUUUAGAUUGCCCUUGAAGUCUUCCAACUUGCGCCAUGAUAAGGCUUGGUAAAACCAUCAACAACUUGGUCAUUGAUGGGAAUGAACCGAAUAUCUAGUAGCUUCUUGGCUACUCUCUCGCGCACAGAAUGAUAAUCAACUCAUUAUGUUUUGUUCUAGCAUGGAACACUGAAUUUUCUCCAACAUAUGUGGCACCAAAAUUGUAACUUCAGUCCACUACUCAUAGUUCCUCUAAGAUACCUGAGAAUUAUUUUUACUGUUGUCUAAUGUUCAAGUGUUGGAGCGUGCAAAAACUGAGACAAUUUAUUCACAAGAAAAGAUAUAUCAGGCCUUGUAAAGGUAAGUAUUGUACUGCACCCACCACACUUCUAUAAUUUGUGGAAUCUUCGACACCCAAUGGUUUGCCAUUUUUCUUCGAGAGUUUUUCAAAUGUUGAUAGAGGCAUAUUUGAGACCUUCCAAUUUAUCGUACCUACUCUCUUGAACACAUUUGACACACACUUUUCUUAAGUUAAGAGUAUACCAUCUUUUACCUUCUUGCCUUCUAUCCCCAAGAAAUUGUGCAAGUCACCAUGAUCUUUUAAUGCAAAAUCAUUCUUAAGAUCUUCCAACAGUGCUUUAGUUGCUUCAUGUGAUGAACUGGCCACAAUGAUAUGAUAUCAUCAACAUGUACAAGCAUAAAAAAUAGUGAACUUGCCUUUGUUAUAAAAGAACAAUGAUGUAUCAGUCCUUGAUGAUUUGAAACCAAGCCUUUGGAGUUUUUCACUCAACUUGGAGUACCAUGCUCUAGGUGCUGGUUUCAACCCUGAAAGGAUCGAUAUGGUUGGCUAGAGGGGGGUGAAUAGACAACGACCACUUUUUAAUUAAUCUUAGCAAGUUAAGGUAAACACCAUACGGGUUCACAAAUAAUACGACAAUGAGGUGAACCCUAUAGAAGCUAACAACGAGAGCUAUUAAGACAAGUAAGAUAUAGUCACAAGCAUAAGCAAAUACAAAGUAAAGGAUAGAGAUAACCACAAGUGGAACCGAUGGAGACGAGGAUGUCUUACCGAAGUUCCUUCCCUUUGACAGGAAGUACGUCUCCGUUGGAGCGGUGUGGAGGCACAAUGCUCCCCAAAAAGCCACUAAGGCCACCGUAUUCUCCUCACGCCCUCGCACGAUGCAAGGUACCGUGAUUCCACUAUAGGUGCCCUUGAAGGCGGCGACUGAACCUUUACAAACAAGGUUGGGGCAACUCCACACAAAGCUUGGAGGCUCCCAACUAAACCACGAAGCUUCACCACAAUGGAAUAUGGCUUCGAGGUGACCUCAACCGUCUAGGAUGCUCAAACACCCAAGAGUAACAAGAUCCGCAAGGGAUUGGUGGGGGAAUCAACUUUUCUCUUGGUGGAAGUGUGGAUCUAGGCCUUCUCAACCAAUCCCUAAAGAAUCAACAAGUUUGAUUGGCUAGGGAGAGAGAUCGGGCACUUUUGAGCUUGGGGCGCAACAAUGGAGCUUAGAGAGGUAAGAGAUGGGGUUCCUAAGCUAGAAGAACCCUUUAUAUAGUGGGGGGGGGGAAAUCAUACCGUUUUCCCACUCUCUGCCCGAGCUCCAGCAGUACUACCGCUGGCUGCAGCGGUACUACCGCUGGCACUCCAGCGGUACUACCGCUGAACAGGGGCGGUACUACCGCCGCCUGGCGGUACUACCGCUGGAUGCAGCGGUACUACCGCUGGGACUCCAGCGGUACUACCGCUGGCCCCUUGGUAGUGCAAAAGCACUACUACCGCCAAGAAAGUCUUCGCAAAAAGGUCCGUCCACGAACUACCGCUAGGCAGGUGGAACAAAGUUCCUGGAGCGGUACUACUGCUAGCAGUCCAGCGGUACUACCACUGGGGACCAUUUUGCAAAGAUGCGAGAAACAAAGUGGCGGGGGCUGCUCCAAAGAUGAAGGAAAGGGAGAAUGUGAAGUGUGCGCGUGCAACGAUAGAUUCCACCCAAACCUUUCCACUACGGAUCCCCUCUUAAUAGUACGGCUUUCCUAUGACUCAAAUAAAGAGAAUCGUAGAGAGCGCCGUGCUUCCGUUCCAUGAAUGAGGAGACGUGUCGUCUUGUGCCGUUGACGUGUGUUAUCUGAAACCUUAACACACACGGUUAGUCCUGUACGGUACUGUCAUCAAUCACCAAAAUUACUUAGGCAUAAACUAUGCCCCAACAAUCUCCCCCUUUUUGGUGGAUUGAUGACAAUACCGGAUUUGCACACAGAAUAAUAUGAGAACAAAAAUAUAGAGAUAUAUGACAAUACGGGGCAUAUGACUCAUAACAUAUGAUGGAAAUAAAUCUCACAUAAGUUCAUGUCUCACAAAAGAUAGCAAACUAGAAGCAAACCAAGUUCGAAGAAAACCACACGAAAUAAAGCAAAGCAACGCAAAGUUCGAAUAUGAAAGCAAAUUCAGCUCCUAGACUCUCUCCCCCUUUGGCACAAGACACCAAAAAGGGGCACACCUAAUGCCACAGGUAGCUACUCCUCAUCUUCAGCAUCGCCAGACUCAUCGGUCCCCUCCUGAUCGGCCUGCUCCUCCUCUUCCGCCUCAUCGCCAGACCACUGGUAUCCUUGAGCCUGCAUCCAAGUAGCCUCUGGAGUGAUGUCAUCCUCUGAUACGCUGGAGAUGUCCACAUCAAGAGUCCUGAGAACACGCUUAUGCCUCUGGCGGCUCUCCUUCUGAGCCACGUGCGUCUGGUACCGACCCUUAGCCUGCAUACAGAAUAGAGUCUUCAUCUUGUCCUGCAGUUUGAUGGCCCAAGAUGGCAUGGCAGAAGAGCGGGACUGAGAGGCGGUUCCUCUGUCAGCAGCAGUCUCUGUAUCAGUAUCCAUGUGCUGAGAGGAAGUAGAUGGGUUGGCCCAUUUGUCCUUGACGCGAAGCCUGAUCGGGUCGUGCACAAUGUAGUCAAACUGAGCGUAGAGCACCUCCUCCGGAAAAGCCUCUUGCCACUUAUGGCGAAUGUAUGCAAAUAGAUAAGGCCCGUAGAUGGGAACCUUACGCAUGAUGAUGCAGUUCCAGAGCUCCGUGAACAUCACAUCAGAAAUAUCCAGCUGAGCAGACUCCUGAGAUAUAGCCUCCUCACAAAGCAGCAGCAUCUCAGCCAAGGAGCCAUGAACCUCGUCGAAGUUACCAAUGCGAGGGAAGAGGGUGUUGCGAAGGAUCCGAUGCAUGAUGUCCAGGUGCUUGGGAAGCACCCCCUUCCUCACAUAGAGUUUCUGCAAUCUGUCCUUUGCGGGGGGCCUAUCGGCGGGGGCUGCAGCAUGAGGACGCAGCCCAAGAGGAGUGUCAGCACCCUGGAAGUCAAUGUUGAGGAAUUGCAUGAACUCACGCCAGGUACCAGUCAUCUUCUUUGUCCCAGUCAUCCACACCAUGGAGCGCUCUGCAUCAGGAGAGAAGUGGACCGUGACAUAGAACUGAGCAACAGCAGUGGGAUCAAAAUCUGUCUUGUAAGUGAUGAUGUCCUUGAUGCCCAGUUUGUCAAUCAGAGAGAGGGCAUCACCAAAAUAGUCCAUGUUCCGCUGAAGAUGUGCCAGGUCAAUCCACUGAACAGAGACAUAGUUUUUCUUGAAACGCGCGACAACAUCAUGGUAGAUCUUGCACUGGUCCCUUGCCCAGACAUGGUCAACAUCCUUGAUCACAGCCCUCUCAUUGAGAUAGUGGUUCUGAGUGCGAAACUGCAGAAAGUCCUUGGGGGACAUUGUUCGGACAUUGACCCUCUUAUCCUUGUGUGCGACCUUCUUGAAGGACUGAUUCUUGGGUUGCAGACCUGAGGUGGCAGACCCCUUGGGCGCCUCUUGGUUGCGAUACUGUUUUGACUGCGUGUCCCGUGGGGGGUUCGAACGGCGAGAAGAGCUACCUGUGACACAGAACACACAGCGAAAAGAGGCGACAAGAAGAGUCAAGGCAAUGAAUCUUGAAAACGCAGAAAAAGUAAACACACAUUGCUAAGCACAAAACACAAAAAAAUACACAGUGAAUGCUCCUGGUGGUAGUACCGCCACCCCUGGCGGUAGUACCGCUGGGGCCUAGCGGUAGUACCGCUACCCCUGGCGGUAGUACUGCUGGGGGUCAUAGCGGUAGUACCUCUACCCGUGGCGGUAGUACCGCUGGGGUCCUAGCGGUAGUACCACUACCCCUGGCGGUAGUACCGCUGGGGUUUGACUUUCAGAUCUGACAGAUAAAAAAUCGUUACGAGGGCAUGGGUUGUAUAUGAACACUAAGAACUCCACCCCAGCCCUACUUUACAUGAGGAACACUAGUAACACCGAAAUAAGUACAUGCCUAGGCAAGAGAGAGCAAGUUUUAGAUCUAAUCCAAACAUAGUUCAAGUGCUAGAUCUAAAACGAGUAAAUCCUAGGGCAUGGUAACAUAAUCAACAACAAUUCAUAGGACCUAUACUCCCCUCAAAUAUCUCCUUCAUGCCAUCCAAGAACUAGCCAUAAGAUCAAAGAUAUGGAUCCAAUCCCCAAUGCUCCUAUCCCUAGAACAAGAACAUCAACCAAAUAGAAGAAGGGAGGAGCUUUACCGGGAUUCAUGGCUCUUGGAGGAGGAAGGAGAGGUGGAGCAACCCUUCCAAACCAACGGGGAGAAGGAGCUCCACGAAACGAGAUCCAAACAGGGAGUUUUCGGGCUAGGGGAGGGAGGAGCCGCGAGGAAGAAGAAACAGGCUGAGAAAACGGGCUCCCCCUCCUUUAUAUAGCCCAAGGGGUACGGGCCAGCGGUAGUACCGCUGAGGACCUAGCGGUAGUACCGCUACCUGGCGGUAGUAUCGCCAGAUGGAGCGGUAGUACCGCUGGGGUCCUGGCGGUAGUACCGCUCCCCCUUGAGGCAGCCCUAAAAAUUUCCUAGCCGGUCGUGUUAGAUGGGAAUCCUGGCGGUAGUACCACCAUACCUGGCGGUAGUACCGCCAUACCUGGCGGUAGUACCGCUGGGGUCCUGGCGGUAGUACCGCUACCCCUGGCGGUAGUACCGUUGUAAAUGUCGCAACGCGGCUAAGGAAAAGAGAUGAACUUGGGCACAUGACAAGUGAGUAAAAACAGAUAGCAUCCAGGAAAAUGUACUGACUUGUCAUUGUAUAUCCUUUCUUCUAUACGCAAGAAAGGAUGGAGGGGCGGUGGCCGAGGCCACCUAUGUUUAAGACAAUGGUAUGACACCACGAAGAAUUAUCCUUGGGUUCAUGACCAAUGCUCAUCAUUGAAGCACAAGUGCCAUUUGACAAUGGCUAAAGUGAAAGACUAGAUUGAUUUAUGCAUAAUGGGGGGAGGGAAAGUUCAUUGAGAGAACAACACUCCCCCUAUGUCCAUGCCUACAUCUAGACCAAGAUGGAAUGCAAAGUGAGGUGCAAUAUGCCUAGUUUCAAUCCACAUUACUUGAAUCAAUGAUAUUUAGCUCAUGCCUUAACUCCCGGAACCUUGCUUCAUAUAGAGGCUUAGUGAAAAUAUCUGCAAGUUGCUCUUCAGUGUGGAUGAAGUGAACCUCAAUAUCACCUAGCUUGAUAUGUUCACGAAUGAAGUGAUGACGAAUAUCAAUAUGUUUGGUUUUGCUAUGUUGCACUGGGUUGAGGGAAAUCUUGAUAGCGCUUUGAUUGUCACAUAGAAGAGGCACUUUGUCACAAGUGACACCAUAAUCCUUUAAAGUCUGCCUCAUCCAUAGCAAUUGUGCACAACAACUUGCAGCUGCCACAUACUCAGCUUCGGUUGAUGAUAAGGAGACGCAAUUCUGCUUCUUUGAAGACCAACUUACCAAAGAGCGACCAAGGAAUUGGCAUCCUCCAGACGUUGACUUCCUCUCCACACAAUCUCCUGCCGAAUCUGAGUCAGAAUAGCCAACUAGAUUGAAGUUUGCUCCUUUGGGAUACCAGAGGCCAAAGUUUGGGGUAUGAGCCAAAUAUCGAAAGAUUCGCUUAACAGCCAUGUAAUGACUUUCUUUUGGUGCGGAUUGAAACCGUGCACAUAUCCCUACACUCAACAUAAUAUCCGGUCUAGAUGCACAAAGGUAAAGGAGGGAUCCAAUCAUGGAGCGGUAUACCUUUUGAUCCACUGCUUUACCAUUGGGAUCACUGUCAAGCUUGCAUCUUGUUGGCAUGGGGAACUUGACCGGUUUGACAUCUUCGAGCUCGAACCAUUUGAGCAUGUAUUGAGUGUACUUGGCUUGUUUGAUGAAUGUCCCUUCUAGACCUUGUCUAAUCUCGAACCCGAAGAAGAACUUCAACUCUCCCAUCAUGGACAUCUCAAACUUCUCAGUCAUUAGUGCAGCAAAUUCUUCAUUGAAUGAAAUGUAGGAGAGCCAAAGAUAAUAUCAUCAACAUAUAGUUGGCAUAUGAACAAAUCCCCUUUAACCCUCUUAGUAAAAAGAGUGGGAUCAAUCUUCCCAAUUUCAAACCCACGAUCUUGUAACAACUCAGUAAGAUACGCAUACCACGCGCGUGGGGCUUGUUUAAGGCCAUAGAGUGCCUUAUUAAGUUUGUACACAUGAUUGGGGAGCUUGGGAUGUUCGAAUCCCGGGGGUUGUCUGACAUAGACCAACUCAUUCAAAGGAGCAUUAAGAAAUGCACUUUUCACAUCCAUUUGCUGUAAUUUGAAGUUAUGAUGAGAAGCAAAUGCAAGUAACAUGUGAAUAGAUUCUAGACGAGCAACAGGGGCAAAGGUUUCACCGUAGUUGAUACCCUCGACUUGGGAGUAGCCUUGAGCCACCAAUCUUGCCUUGUUUCGAAUCACAAUUCCAUUGGCAUCUUGCUUGUUCUUGAAUAUCCAUUUGGUCCCGAUGACAUUAUGUUCCUCCGUUGGCCGAGGCACUAAAUCCCAGACUUGGUUGCGCUCAAAGUUGUUAAGUUCUUCGUGCAUGGCCAUAAGCCAAUCCUCAUCAUCGAGCGCUUCCUGUACCUGUUGAGGUUCACAAUACGAGACAAACGCGUGAUGCUCACAAUAAUUCCAAAGCUGUUGACGGGUGGAUACUCCCCUUUUUAAACUGCCAAGUACAUUCUUCAUAAGAUGUGACUUGACUCUCAGCUUGUUCGCAUUCUUGGCUGCUCGACACUCCAAGAGUUCUUCAUUAGAUAACGGGGGAGCAUCGACUUGUUUCUUUUUCUUGCCCUUGCGUAUUGAGCCGGUUGUUGGAGCUCCAGACGGGAAUUGUGAGACAGUCUCCUGAUCAUCUUGUCCUUCGACUUGAGCAGGUUCACUAGUUUGUUCUUGUAUUAGUGGUUGCUCUUGAUCUUGAUCUUGUGCUUCUACUGUUGGGGAACGUCGCAUGGGAAACAAAAAAAUUCCUACGCGCACGAAGACCUAUCAUGGUGAUGUCCAUCUACGAGAGGGGAUGAGUGAUCUACGUACCCUCGUAGACCGUACAGCAGAAGCGUUAGAGAACGCGGUUGAUGUAGUGGAACGUCCUCACGUCCCUCGAUCCGCCCCGCGAACAAUCCCGCGAUCAGUCCCACGAUCUAGUACCGAACGGACGGCACCUCCGCGUUCAGCACACGUACAUCUCGACGAUGAUCUCGGCCUUCUUGAUCCAGCAAGAGAGACGGAGAGGUAGAAGAGUUCUCCGGCAGCGUGACGGCGCUCCGGAGGUUGGUGAUGACCUUGUCUCAGCAGGGCUCCGCCCGAGCUCCGCAGAAACGCGAUCUAGAGGAAAAACCGUGGAGGUAUGUGGUCGGGCUGCCGUGGAAAAGUCGUCUCAAAUCAGCCCUAAAACCUCCGUAUAUAUAGGUGGGAGGGAGGGGGCCUUGCCUUGGGGCUCAAGGAGCCCCAAGGGGGUCGGCCGAGUCCAAGGGGGAGGACUCUCCCCCCCCCCAAACCGAGUUGGACUAGGUUUGGUGGGAGGGAGUCCCCCUUCCUUCCCACCUCCUCCUUUUUUUUUCUCUAUUGAUUUUCUUCUCCUUGGCGCAUAGGGCACUUGUGGGCUGUCUCACCAGCCCACUAAGGGCUGGUGUGUCUCCCCCAAGGCCUAUGGGCUUCCCCGGGGUGGGUUGCCCCCCCCCCGGUGAACUCCCGGAACCCAUUCGUCAUUCCCGGUACAUUCCCGGUAACUCCGAAAACCUUCCGGUAAUCAAAUGAGGUCAUCCUAUAUAUCAAUCUUCGUUUCCGGACCAUUCCGGAAACCCUCGUGACGUCCGUGAUCUCAUCCGGGACUCCGAACAACAUUCGGUAACCAACCAUAUAACUCAAAUACGCAUAAAACAACGUCGAACCUUAAGUGUGCAGACCCUGCGGGUUCGAGAACUAUGUAGACAUGACCCGAGAGACUCCUCGGUCAAUAUCCAAUAGCGGGACCUGGAUGCCCAUAUUGGAUCCUACAUAUUCUACGAAGAUCUUAUCGUUUGAACCUCAGUGCCAAGGAUUCGUAUAAUCCCGUAUGUCAUUCCCUUUGUCCUUCGGUAUGUUACUUGCCCGAGAUUCGAUCGUCAGUAUCCGCAUACCUAUUUCAAUCUCGUUUACCGGCAAGUCUCUUUACUCGUUCCGUAAUACAAGAUCCCGCAACUUACACUAAGUUACAUUGCUUGCAAGGCUUGUGUGUGAUGUUGUAUUACCGAGUGGGCCCCGAGAUACCUCUCCGUCACACGGAGUGACAAAUCCCAGUCUUGAUCCAUACUAACUCAACCAACACCUUCGGAGAUACCUGUGGAGCAUCUUUAUAGUCACCCAGUUACGUUGCGACGUUUGAUACACACAAAGCAUUCCUCCGGUGUCAGUGAGUUAUAUGAUCUCAUGGUCAUAGGAAUAAAUACUUGACACGCAGAAAACAGUAGCAACAAAAUGACACGAUCAACAUGCUACGUCUAUUAGUUUGGGUCUGGUCCAUCACGUGAUUCUCCCAAUGACGUGAUCCAGUUAUCAAGCAACAACACCUUGUUCAUAAUCAGAAGACACUGACUAUCAUCGAUCAACUGGCUAGCCAACUAGAGGCAUGCUAGGGAUGGUGUUUUGUCUAUAUAUCCACACAUGUAAAUGAGUCUUCAUUCAAUACAAUUAUAGCAUGGAUAAUAAACUAUUAUCUUGAUACAGGAAUUAUAAUAAUAACUAUAUUUUAUUAUUGCCUCUAGGGCAUAAUUCCAACAUCUACUUGGUCUGAAUCUCGGGGUUGCACUUGAUCUUGAUCAUGAGCCGGUUCGGAGUCUUGGGGUAGUGCUUGAAUAUCAUGGGACACAUCACCAUUGUUGGGCAAUUGAUCUUGACCUUGAGCUUGUUCAAUUUGUUGAGAGUCUUCUCUUUGUUCAUCGGAAGCGUGUGGGGCUUGUGGGGGUGAUGGCUCCACUUGAGUAGAGCAUUGUCCUUCUCCUUCGGCCACAAGGGGUUCCUCAAUGGGGAGUAUUUGACCAAUCCCCAUUCUUCUUAUGGCUUCGGGAGGAAUUUCAUCACCUAUAUCACAAAGACCACUUUGCUCCACUUGGGAGCCAUUAUUUUCAUCAAACUCUACAUUACACGUCUCCUCAAUUAGUCCGGUGGACUUGUUGAGGACACGAUAAGCAUGAGAGUUUGUAGCAUAACCAACAAAGAUACCCUCAUGUGCUCUAGAAUCAAAUUUAGCUAACCGUGCUCCUUUUUUGAGAAUGAAACACUUACAACCGAAUACCCGGAAGUACUUGAGAUUGGGUUUGUUUCCAGUUAGAAUCUCAUACGGAGUCUUGUUCAAGCCUUUGCGGAUGUAGAGCCGAUUGGAUGCAUGACAUGCUGUGUUGAUGGCCUCUGCCCAGAAGUUAUAUGGAGAUUUGAGUUCUGCCAUCAUUGUCCUUGCAGCGUCUAUCAAGGUCCGGUUCUUCCUUUCUGCCAUGUCGUUUUGCUGAGGGGUAUAUGGUGCAGAAUAUUGGUGCUUUAUUCCCUCAUCACCUAGAAACUCAUCUAAGGUGUAGUUCUUGAACUCGGUGCCGUUGUCACUCCUAAUCAUCAAGAUCUUUGCUUCAUGUUGACGUUGCGCUUCAUUAGCAAAGUUGAUGACUGUUUGUUGAGUUUCACUCUUCCUUUUAAAGAAAUAUACCCAGGUAUAUCUUGAGUAGUCGUCAACAAUCACUAAGCAAUAUUUUCUGCCUCCAAGACUAUCAAAUGAUGGAGGACCAAACAGAUCCAUAUGGAGAAGUUCCAAUGGCCUCUUAGUGUAGAUAAGAGUCGUUGGACGAUGAGCAGUUUCAUGAAUCUUUCCUUCAAUGCAAGCACUGCAAACACGAUCUUUAGCAAAGCUCACAUUUAUUAGUCCACGAACAUGGUCCCCUGUCAGAAGACUUUGCAAAGAUCUCAUAUUGACAUGAGCUAAACGGCGAUGCCAAAGCCAGCCCACGUCAACUUUAGCCAUUAAACAUGUCGCAGUCUUAGUGGGUCGCUUUGAGAAGUUCACCACAUAAAGACCAUUUUCGACAUGUCCAACAUAGGCUACUUUAAGAGUCUUGCUCCUUAGGAGGACCACAGUGUCAAUAUUAAAGAAUGUGGAAAAACCCAUAAUUGCAAGUUGACGAACCGAAAGUAAAUUGUAGGCAAGUGACUCAACAAGCAUGACCUUCUCAAUAGAUAAAUCUUGAGAGACGACCACCUUACCAAAUCCCAAUACCUUUGAAGAGGAUGCAUCGGCGAAUUGGACAUGGGUGGGCAUAGAUGGAGAAGGAUGCACAUCCACCACUAAGUCCUUGCUUCCGGUCAUAUGAUUUGUUGCUCCACUAUCGAGCAACCAUGACACCCCACCGGAAGCAAACUCCUGCAAUAGAUCAAGGCUUGGUUUUAGGUACCCAUUUUUUAAUGGGUCCUUUCAUGUUAGAGACAAGGGUCUUAGGAACCUAGAUAGCCCAUUCAAUAUCUUCAUCGUAGGAACCAACAAAUCUGGCAUAAACAUGCCCAUCACUAACACAACAUAAAACAUAAGAAGAAUUGAGUUUGCCGGCUGUGUUAGUAGGAACGGUUUUGCCCUUCUUGGGGUUCCCAUAGUCCACCUUGUUCCUGUUCACCUUCUGAGUCCCCUCACCCUCUUUGACAAAGAUGUCCAUGAGGGUGAGAGAUCGUUUGCUCUUGUUCUUCCUUUUACCUUUUGACUUGGAGGUAAGUCCAAGUCCUUCCUUUCCUACAACACCCUUUUGAGUGCUCAAGAGAUCGUUCAGACUCUUCUCACCUUGUAUGCAUGCCACGAGGCCCUUCUCAAGUUUCUCCUUUAACUUGGCAUUUUCCUCCACAAGAUGAACAUGCUCACAACAGGGGUUAGUUGCACAAGUAUUAUCAAUUAACACAAAGGGAGGACAAGUAGAGAUCUCCUUGGUAAGCUUUGCUUGGAGUUGAUCAUGAGACUCUUUCAGAGAGAAAUGAGCACCUUUCAAGGCUUUGUGGGCCUUGUCAAGUAUGUCAAACUCCUCCUUGAGUCUGUCAUGGCCAACCCCAAGAGCAUACUUUUCAGACUUAAGCAUGCGAGUAAGAACAACAUCAUGAUCUAGUUUCUUUUGCAUUUUAGCGCAGUCAUCGUUAUAUGACUCCUCAAGAGCCAAACGAAGAGUGCGCUCUUCUUCUAGAGCACUAGAUAAUUCGGAAAUUUCAUCGGCAUAGUCACGACUAUGUCCCUGAAGCUCGGAGAUGGUCUCCUCAUGAGACUCAAUGAGGUCAGUGGCCUCACCCAGUUGUUCCAAGAGAGCCACAAAGUGCUUCUUGGGUUCUCCCUUAAUAGUGCACAGAAACUUAUCAAGAUCAUGCUCAUUAAGUUCCCCAACAUUACUAUCUUCAACACAAUUUAACAAUGAAGGAGCAGAAGCAAUGUUGGUCUUAAUGAUGGGAGUUACCUGAUUGAUACCUUUUGCCAUGAGGCACUUGGUGAUGUGGUUCUCGUUGGGGGCGUUGAAGAGAGACACCUUCUGGGAAGAGGUAGUGGCAAUAGCAACAGUUGUCGUUGCCACUGUAUCAUCAUCAUCAUCACCAUCAUCAUCGGAAGGAUACUCUUCCAGGGCCACCAUCCCUUUUGGGUGAGGUUUCUUCACAAAGUUGUUCUUGAUUGGAAAUGAUUCGGUUUUGUCUUUGCGAAUGAGCUUGCCUCCGUUGUCUUCCCUUUUCUCAUAGGGACAUUCUGCCACGAAGUGACUCACGUUGCCACAGUUAUAGCAUGUCCUUACUCGUUGUUUGGGUUUGAAUCCACUCGAGUUGUUCUUCGUGAAAGUGGGUCUUGAGUUCCUUUUAUUGCCCCAGAAUUGCCUUGAUGCAAGAGCCAUGUGCUCAUGAUAGGCAUACUUUGUGUCUUCAGGGCAGCUCUCCUCUUCCUCAUCUUCUUCUUCUUCUUCUUCAAGCAUUGGUCUUGCUUUCAACGCAAGGUUGGGUGAAGUAGUUUUUGAUCGAACACGAGCAAGUGCAUUGUCGGCUGUUUCGUUCAUGAUUGACAUUGCAAUGAACUCAUCCAACACCUCACUGGAAGACAAGGAGUGGAAGUCUGGCCGCUGACGAAUGACAGAUGACAUGGCUUUGUUGAAAGGCAUGAUGGCUUUGAGGAACUUGCGCUUGACCCAUGUAUCAUCCACAUCCUUACUCCCAUGAUCCUUUAGUGCCACAGCAAUAGCAGUCACCCUCCGAUAGAGAUCACGAGGGUCCUCGUCUUCCUUCAUCACAAACUCAUCGGCCUUAUCAAGUAUCACUUCAUAGUUGGAUCGUUGAAUGCUUGAGCUUCCCUUGUACAACACCAUAAUAUGCUCCCAACAAUCCUUGGCCAAUGUGAAGGGACGUAAGUGGGGAAGAUCUUCAGGUGGCACAGCAGACUGAAGAAUAAACAACGCAGAGUGAUUAUAUUGAUUGUCUGCAUCUUCUCUUGGAGUGAGGUUGCUUGGGUCAUGGGGAUAAUAUCCUUGCUCGAUAAUUCUCCACAAGUUUGUUGAGCUGUGAUUCAAAUGAGACUUAAUAGAAAAUACCCAGUUAGCAAAGUCACCUUUCACAAGCUUAGGAGGAGGACCAACAAGAUUAAGACGAGGUGCGGGAACGGAUCCUUCAUAGACCAUGGGGGGUGAACUGAGGCAUAUGUUCCAGUCCCAUCCUUUUCGUGAGAUGAAGCAGGUCGCAUACCUUUAGCCGCUUCCUUAGAGGAGUUGGCCUCCGAAUCGGGGAUGGUGGGUUUAACCACUAAAGCCGGUUCGGGUGAACUUUUAAGGCCCUCAAUUAACUCUUUAAGCAUGGUCUUGACUUCGCUCGUCAAGGACGUCUUGAGGGCUGCCAUAGCCGUAUUCAAGUCGUCCCUUGUGACCGAAGUCAAGUCCAUGUCCUCGGGUUGCCCAUGGUUAACUUCCUCUCCGCCUUCCAUACUCUUCGGGUGGUUAAACCCUUAAUAAAGAGACGUGGCUCUGAUACCAAUUGAAAGGAUCGAUAUGGUUGGCUAGAGGGGGGGGUGAAUAGACAACGACCACUUUUUAAUUAAUCUUAGCAAGUUAAGGUAAACACCAUACGGGUUCACAAAUAAUACGACAAUGAGGUGAACCCUAUAGAAGCUAACAACGAGAGCUAUUAAGACAAGUAAGAUAUAGUCACAAGCAUAAGCAAAUACAAAGUAAAGGAUAGAGAUAACCACAAGUGGAACCGAUGGAGACGAGGAUGUGUUACCGAAGUUCCUUCCCUUUGAUAGGAAGUACGUCUCCGUUGGAGCGGUGUGGAGGCACAAUGCUCCCCAAAAAGCCACUAAGGCCACCGUAUUCUCCUCACGCCCUCGCACGAUGCAAGGUACCGUGAUUCCACUAUAGGUGCCCUUGAAGGCGGCGACCCAACCUUUACAAACAAGGUUGGGGAAACUCCACACAAAGCUUGGAGGCUCCCAACUAAACCACGAAGCUUCACCACAAUGGAAUAUGGCUUCGAGGUUACCUCAACCGUCUAGGAUGCUCAAACACCCAAGAGUAACAAGAUCCGCAAGGGAUUGGUGGGGGAAUCAACUUUUCUCUUGGUGGAAGUGUGGAUCUAGGCCUUCUCAACCAAUCCCUAAAGAAUCAACAAGUUUGAUUGUCUAGGGAGAGAGAUCGGGCACUUUUGAGCUUGGGGCGCAACAAUGGAGCUUAGAGAGGUAAGAGAUGGGGUUCCUCAGCUAGAAGAACCCUUUAUAUAGUGGGGGGGGGAAAUCAGACCGUUUUCCCACUCUCUGCCCGAGCUCCAGCGAUACUACCGCUGGCUGCAGUGGUACUACCGCUGGCACUCCAGCGGUACUACCGCUGAACAGGGGCGGUACUACCGCCGCUUGGCGGUACUAUCGCUGGAUGCAGCGGUACUACCGCUGGGACUCCAGCGGUACUACCGCUGACACCAGCGCUACUACCGCUGGCCCCUUGGUAGUGCAAAAGCACUACUACCGCCAAGAAAGUCUUCGCAAAAAGGUCCGUCCACGAACUACCGCUAGGCAGGUGGAGCAAAGUUCCUGGAGCGGUACUACCGCUGGCCAGGGGCGGUACUACCGCCAGCUAGCGGUACUACCGCUGGCUGCAGCGGUACUACUGCUAGCAGUCCAGCGGUACUACCGCUAGAACCAGCGGUAUUACCGCUGGGGACCAUUUUGCAAAGAUGCUAGAAACAAAGUGGCGGGGCCUGCUCCAAAGAUGAAGGAAAGGGAGAAUGUGAAGUGUGCGCGUGCAAAGAUAGAUUCCACCCAAACCUUUCCACUAUGGAUCCCCUCUUAAUAGUACGGCUUUCCUAUGACUCAAAUAAAGAGAAUCGUAGAGAGCGCCGUGCUUCCAUUCCAUGAAUGAGGAGACGUGUCGUCUUGUGCUGUUGACGUGUGUUAUCUGAAACCUUAACACACACGGUUAGUCCUGUACGGUACUGUCAUCAAUCACCAAAAUUACUUAGGCAUAAACUAUGCCCCAACAAACCCAUAUAAAGCUUUGUCAAGCUUACACACAUAAUGUUGCUUGUUAUUCACCUCAUACCCAGGAGGUUGUCUCAUAGACACUUCUUCCUCUAGAGCGUCAUGAAGAAACACAUUCUGCACAUCCAACUGACGGAGACUCCAAUCUUUUGACAAUGAAAUAGAUAGAACAAGUCUGAGAGUAGCUGCUUUAACAAUCGGACUAAAAGUAUUCUCAUAAUCUAUGCCAUAUCUCUCCUUAAAGCCUUUUGAAACUAGUCUAGCCUUGUACCUAUCUAUUUCUCCAUUUUCCUUCUUUUUAAUUCUAUAAACCCAUUUACAAUCAAUAAUAUUUCCGCCCCUUGCUGGAGAAACUAAAUGCCAUGUCUUGUUUUUUAUAAGAGCAUUAUACUCUUCUUCCAUAGCAUUUUUUGAAUUUUUGCUUUCCAAAGCGUCAUGCAAAUUAUGCGGUUCUCCUGUAGCAGUUAAUCCUACAAACUGGAGUUUCUCAUACCUGACUGUACCAUCUGUAUGCAUUUUUGGCUUAGAAACGCCGUGUUGUGACCUUGUUCGCUGCAUUUGCACAAAAGCUGGUGUAGACGACACUCGUGCAGAAGAUCCCAAGCCACCCGAUCCAGAUGGACCAGAUCCGAGGUGGAUCUCAGCAGACUCAGCGGCGACAACAUAUCCAAGGUGGGUAUCAGGGAUUCGCUGCGCAACCGCGUCUGCUCGGGACGUUGGUUGGGCCACUUGGCGAAUUCCUACUAGCCCAUCAGACUGUGAUGAGGAACGCCCCCAUUGGCGGUUUAGAGAGGCCAUCAUGCCGCGCCUAGGCCCGCUCGAUGUUGAUUGCGCUGCACGUGCCUUGAAGAAGAGUUCAAAGGAGCGGAUGAAAGAGGAUAGACGCCACCUCUACACCUGCCUUGAAGAAGAGUUUUCUUCGUUGCCUUGUCCUUUACCAAGAAGAAGUGAAGAUGAGUUUCAAGAAAGUUGUGAUUAUUACAAGAUAAAUGUGAUCAUAAAUCAAGUUAUUGGUAGCUUGAGGCACAUGCAAUAUGUUCUUGAGAUGAAGAUUGCGAGUAGGGGUAUGAAUAUAGGCUUGACCAACAUGGCUAAUUUUCAUACAUGCAUCGUUUGGCAUGUUCACUUGAUCUUGGCCGGAGUACUUCCCCCUCAUUGUGAGUUUGUCCAACUCACGAGUGAUGUGGUCGGUUGUCCCGAUGUCAACAUACCAAUUGGUGUCAACGCCGUAGGAGUUGGUGUUGGUGUUGACAACUCCGACACUUUUCUCCUUGGUGAAGGCGAUGUCGAAGCAACGAAAGCACUCCACGUUGGUGUGAUUUGCUUUUGGGCAGAUCUGAAAGAAGACUUUUGGAAGCUCAUUGCGGCCUCCUCCAUUGCCACGACCGCCAUGACCUUGGCCACGCCCGUCGUCGCCGCCAUUGCCGCGACCACCUCCAUGCCGGUCGCCUCCAUUACCACCAUGUCCUGCACCACGAGAGAUGGCCUUGGCAGAUGAGUGGGAGGAUUGGCCUCCCUCAAACAUGGUCAUCCUGCUCUGAAAGCUGAUAAGCUGUGGGAAGAGCUCGCUCACCUUGAUGGGAACAGUCUGUGCACACACGGAGGAGACAUAAGACAUGUAGUCGAAGUCGAGCCCGACGAGGAUGUAUGACACCAUGUCGUCGUCGAUGAAGGGUUUUCCAGCAGAGGUCAUCUCGUCACCGAGUGCCUUCAUGUGGUUGAUGUAUUCGGCUACAGUCGAGGUGCCCUUCUUGGUCAUUGACACGACCAUCCUCGUGUUCACCACAUGCGCUUGCGUCUAGGAGAUGAACAUCUCCGUGAUCGCAGUCCAUGGUGCGGCAACAGUGGUGCAGUGGGCGAUCUUGACCACCACAGGAGGUGAGAUUGAAUUGAAGAUAAAACUCAAAACAUGCGAGUCCUGAGCCUUGGCGAUCCCAUACGCCGGGUUGGGCACAUCUCUAGGUUUGCCCUCCUUUUUGGUCAGCAUGCGGGCUGGUUCCUCCCUGUCUGAGUUGAGGAAGGAGACGAGCCGCGCACCGCGGAUGGUCGCAAGGGCUUGCGCACGCCACACUAGGAAGUUGGAGCGGUGGAGGCGUUCGGCGAUGGGGAUGAGCGCGGGUGUAGCGACGAUGACGAUGGAGCUCGAGGAAAUGGCAGCAUAUCAAAAAUGUGCUAGAGGACUAAGCUCUGAAUACCAUAUAAGUUUGGUUGAAGCGUAUGCCUAAUAGGGAUGCGUUGCAUGUUUAUACAGGCAAGGUUUAGGAUUUACAAGAUUCGAUGGUUCGGUGAGAUUAUAGAUUGAUCACCAAGUUAACUAUGCAGAUAAGGAUCGAUCAUAACCACCUGAACCAACUGAAUGAAAACAGAAAAUAUCUACCUUAUACUACAUACGGUUUAUACUCCACCAUAUAUGUUCUAACGUAUACUAUAACAUAGACUAACACGCAACGUCAAUGACCAGCCCGUUUUGAUUCUGUUUUGAUGCCCUUCUUGGACGCAGAAUUUCAUCAUCGUCGUUUGUUCGUUGUCGUCACUACAAAGCUGCGGCUCGCAGCGCCUUGGCUGCUCAACAACGAUCCUCUACAAAAUAGUAAAUCUUAACGGAUUUACGGUGCUUAUUACUGUAUUACGGUAUUCCGAAUUUCCGAUCACACCAUCAGCACACAAGUAGUAGGCCUGUACAUAACACCUACGCAUUCAUCAGUCAUCACCAUGGAUCGUGGAUCCAUAUCGUCGAGCACACCACAGCAUAUGAGGGUUAAUAUAGUCAUCAAGGCGGACGAAGCGUAUUGAUCACGUGGCGGCGGCUCACGCGAGCACGGUGGUCUCCGCGACGGCGGCGGACCGGAUGCCGACGGCGGCCUCGACGUGGUCGCCGCCCGCCUCCCAGAGCUCCGGCAGCGCCUCCCUGAUGUUGUGGAUGCUCUCCAGCGCCACGUCCGCCCCGGGCACGAGCGCCGAGCUCCCUACCUGCACCAUCGUUUGUGGCAAAGCGUGCGUUCGUUCAGUUUCCGACAGGUGCUCCAAUGGCGUGGGGAUUAAUGCAGCGACAGUGAGAUCUUACGAUGACGGUAUGGAAGCCUGCCGAUUUUCCCGAGGCGAUGUUGCGCGGGCUGUCGUCGAAGAACACCUGCAAAUCAAGGCAGGCAGCCCUGUCAGUCAGUCGGUGCAGCUGCAGCUUGGAGUUCUCAAGUGCAGAGAACCGACGAGGGAAUCCAUGGCUGAGCUGCGUGCUGCUUACUGUCUUCUUGGGGUCGAGCUUGGCGAUCUCCACCACGGCUUGCAUGGACUCGAGGGACGGCUUGCAGAGGACCCUCUUGCCGGAGCCGUCGCCGCCGGCGCCCGUGCCUCCUGGAUUCUUGGGGUUCAGGGUCUCGAAGCAUAUGAUCCCCUCGAAGCAUCCCUCCAGCCCCAUCUUCUCCAGGACGGUCGCCGCGUGAGCCUCGUCGGAGUUGGUGAAUAUCUGCAGUGGAUGGAACAGCAAACUGUAACUUCUGCAGCAAUUUUUCGGUGCUGGAGAACAGAUGCAGCAAUGAACUGAUGCAGCAAGAAACAUCAGAGGGAUUUUUGAUGCGACGAAUGAUGAGCUUACGAUUUUCCUCUGUGGCAUCGAAAUCAGCAGGCUCCUCAGGACAGGGUCCGGCUUCAGCUUCUCGUACGGCAGUUUUCCGUGCACGCUGGCGUGGAAUUCAUCGUAGUCGAAAUCGUAGCCCAUAAGCUGUAGGAUCAUGAUUUUUUUGAAACGUAACAGUAGUAGUUAGUUUAAUGGUUAUGGAGCUACCAGAAGCUCGAACGAGUAAUAUGGCAAUCUAAGUGUACUGAGGCAUACUUUCAGACCGGCCAUUGUAGUUCCGUAUUCCCUGUACAAAUCUAGGCACAUCUUGGGGACCAGGCUCUCCUCGAUCUGAAGUUUGUCCAGCAUGUAGUCUGCGGUUUGGUAAAUUCCAACCAUUAUAUGAUGACAAACAAAUUUUACAGCAUGAAAACUGAGAUUUGGUGUGAGUUUAGUACUUACCUUGGAUGUUCUUGCGGCAUGCUAAGUUGAUUCCCAAGCUCAGUGGGUAGAUGGUGUCAUCCAUGUCUGAACAGGUCAGGAAACAAUCAAACGAGGGGUUCAGAAACAAAGUGCUGGCAGAGAACUCCAUGGUAAAAAUAUUGUACAAGUACAGUGAAGAAGCGUCAGUUAUAGACGGGCGUACCAAACAGCAGGCAGUCAAAUUUGGCUCCGUUGGCGUAGGAUUCCAUCUUCACAGGUUGAGGUUGGGCAGUGCCUGCAACCGUGGGGAAAGAAAAUCUUUAGGAAAAAAAGAAGAAGGUUAAGUUGGGGGCCAGCUGAGGAAGCAAACUAGAUUAUCGAACUAGCAUCAGCAUGCCGGUGACCAAACAAAGUAGCAAGAAAGAAACGGAAGGUCGAGGCAGAAACAGCAAACCGAGACAACAAGCAACCUGCAAUGGCAUGCACAUGUACCUCGACGCUGAACGGAAGGAAGACAGAGCAGGAGCUGCGCGCGCACACACACACACAACGCAGGUCAGCAGUGGAUGCCAUUUCGCCUAGCCAGGCCCCUCUAUUUAUACAACAAAGAUCAUCUCACUCACAGUCGCAACUCGCAACACAUGACAUGACGAGGAUGGGCUCCGCUUUAUCUGCUCUCUGGAAGGUGACACAUGGUAGCGACACCGGUGGGUGCUAUCCGAUGAUGGAAGCACCACCACCCCGGAGCCACAAAUUAUUGGCCACCGGCCAGCCGGCUCCUGCCUUCUCCAGCUUCUUUCUUUGCUCGCUCGUCACUUCCCGUCAAAGUGCUCUCCUACGCGAGGGGACGACGACGUGCUGCACUGGACAGCGACCGCUCUGAUUAUUGAUCGUUCAUGCUGGUGGUGGUGGAGUUGGCGUCGGAUAGGAUAGGAUCGGAUCGGAUCGGCCAACUUACGCCAGCCAGCGCAACAAUUUUCCUUUAAAAGCAUUGUAUACUUUAGUUUAGUUCAGCUCGGGUGCCGCCGACCAAGCUAGCGGACGAACGAUCGGGUAGCCAUCAGGCAUAGGUGACGGUGACGUGGCCGUUAAACUGACUAGAAUUCAUCUAGAUAAGAUAUAAUUUGAUUUUAUUCAUUUAAAAAUAAAAAAAGAAACAAAAUAGUAUCACAAAUCACGACAACACACGCAUUUUAUAGCACCGCAUCCAAUAACUAUAAAGAUAAAUAAGACAUAAUUAAAACUCAGCUAGAUGACUUGUAGCAAAACCGGUUAAACUAUGUGUGCAGGGUUCGAUGUGUGGAGGAAUCCACUCGUGGCCGGCGUGCGUCACAGCCCAUAUGAGCAUAUGGAUACGAGUGGCUCAUGGUCACAUGGGUAUGGCGAUUUGCCGGAGACUCUCGGCCGUGGAAAAGCCGGGACACGUGUGUGGCAUUUCUUAUUGGCAUGGUGAUGAUCAGGCCAAAGAUGGCAUCGCUUUCGUCCCGGCGUUUGUUUACGCGUUGAUGGGCGUCGAGCCCUGUGUUUUCAUCUGGUUAUCCUUUUUGUGUGUGAUGGAGAGAGCAUGCGUGAGCAGCAGAGUGCAUGUGAGAAUGACAAGUUUUCAUGCACAAAGCUUCAUCCGAAAGGAGAAAUGAGUAGAAAGAUGAUCUCCUAUUGGAUGCUGCGUCGGCCUUCAUUUUCAGUGUAGUGGAGAUAGCUACCUGGCCACCCAGCGAGUGUGACGAUGUACGAUGGAGUUUUUUUUAGUUAGGCAUAUAUAUGAUCCUCAGGCCAUGUAACAACAGCAGAUGCGUGCAAAGAGAGAAUCUGUCCUUUUGAGAUAAUUCUUUUUUUGAGAGAGAGAGAGAGAGAACCUGCCUUUUCGUUGGAAACGGGGGCGAAAUAUUUGUGGCCACAUAUGUAUAUACCAGGAAAAAGAAUGAUGUGUCGAUGUUGAUCCUUUAUUACUGUUGGCAGCGUUACUUUCUUUUUUUACAUUCAAAUCCCUCUUUUAUAUUAUUUUUUUAGGGGGGCCCUCUUUAUUUAUUUGUCACAACGGUUACAUCACUGAUCAGCAGAAGGAUAAUAGCAGCAGGGGCCUUAUCUAAACAAGUUCCAGGAGUGGGAAAUCUAGCUAAGCUGGUUAAUUCAUGGCCCUUUACUGUUGGCAGUGUUAGGUUGGUCUCAACUCUCAACUGUUGGCCGACUAUAGGUUUGAUCCUUCAGCUCUCUCUAUAUAAUGGGUGAAACCUUAUACCUUCAGUAUUUAACCUUGGGUGAAGUGGUUGCCUUGUACAUUCGGAUGCCCGUGGGUAAAAGGGUAGCCGGACGACAAUGAUACAACGAUGAAGGGGGGGGGGGGGGGGAUUGACGGAAAGAAACGCAAAAGGAUAUCAACCAAUCAACCAAGUUCCACACUUGCCGUCACAUGACAAACUUUACACGAUGCCGGCAGUUACCAUACGACUUGCCAGCCGCACGAGUGGUUCUAAGAAUGCCUGACAGUUGCCUUACAUACAUAACUAACCGACCCCUGACAUAGUGCAGAUUUCUGAACCAUCAAACCUCAAUAGAAAUUGACAUGACGCAACCAGGAGCCUGCAAAGUUAAAAAAUUCGAACAUUAGCCGUUAGCAAACUUGUCUGGGAUUCGAUUCAGGGUAUAUCUCUCUGAACCGCUAAAAGACCUGAAAAAGAGCCUCAACAGAUGGUAAGCUGAAAUGGUUUGACCUCAGAUGUAAGACAAGGAUACAUCAAGGUCACACCGCAAACAAUUUGUUGUGUGCAUUUACUUGUGAAGAGAUCCAGAGACUAAUUAGUUUUUGUUUUAAGUAGCAACAAAACACCAGUAUAAACAAUCUAGCUUGGCUGGUAUGGAAAGCUAGCAAUGCACUAGUUUUCCCAACAUCAGCCAAGAGCCUAAGAGCGUACCUUUCAUGUUGAUACAAGGAAAAAAUUAACAUCCAUUUGUCUGCAAAAGUGAACUAAACAUGCAAGGAACAUGAGUACCAAACUACUCCCUCCGUUCCUAAAUAUAAGUCCUUUUAGUGAUUUCACUAAGGGACUACAUACGGAGCAACAUGAGUGAAUCUAUAUUAUAAAGUAUGUCUAUAUACGUAUGUGGUCCCUUAGUGAAAUCUCUUAAAAGACUUAUAUUUAGGAACGGAGGGAGUACUACUUUAUCCAGAAGAAAAUGAGUAUAAAGUUCAAGUACUGAUAUCUCAGGAAGGGCAAGACCAGCAGAAUGCUGCAUGGAGCAUCCGACCAUUAAAAUGCGUUGCUAGAAACAAAUCUAUCCAAACCAUGAAUCAGUAUAUUCCUAUAAAAUGUGACAUCCUUUUGGCCGCAAAGAAGCAUUCUUCUAAAGAGGCUAACUUUCUCCGGAUGAAAUGUGGUCCUCCAAUUUCACAAAGUUGGCAGAACGUAACAAUAUAUGCUUGAAAUUGAGCUGAUCACAAAUCCAAAACCAAAGGGGAAAUGGGAGAAAGUGCAGUUAUUUUCCAUCUCUACGAAUCUAUGAUACUGCUCAGAUAUUAUCAAACUCAAACUGUUUUUCCUUCAUUGCAAUGAAGGAAACACAGUUCAGUUUGCUAAUGACUCAUAAACAGUUUAUAUAAGUUUAUCUUUCAAGUGAACUUGGCCAAUACGUUACACAGAAAAAAACCAGUGGGACUAGAUUUUGUUAAACCACGAAUUAAGUACUUCAACCAAUGCAGACCAUUGAUAAGAACCCUGUACCUGCCGGCUGCUUCAUUAAUGGUCAUUUUCAUAGUACGAACUUGCCCUGAAAAUGAAGACCUGCAAAAAAUAUAUAACAGAGGUUGCAUAGUUAGCAGCAUAGAUAGACUUUUACCACAGUAAUGCCUUACAAAAAAGGAUUCUCCAGGUAAUGGAAGGUGUACAACAGAAGCAGGCUUAAGAGGCAAAGCCUGAUAUUUAGAACUUAGAACCCUUUCCUAUAUCUGCUUGGCAUGGAGGGUUUUUAACAUGGAUGUUGAAGAGAUCGUAUGUUUCUUGCAAAUUUCAUGUACAACCAGCAUUUGAAACAAGUCCAUUCUCAUACUUUGUGUUGUGAAUAACAAGACAUAGUUUCCUAGUUCCAAUUAUUUGUGUAAGUAGACAAUGGGUGGACCAGUUUUCCCCAUGUGAUAUCUUAGAGACUUCACAUCAUUACUAGAAGGAUUUGCGUGCGUCGCUGCGCCGAGGAUCAUCACAAUAAUCCAUCAGUGACAUGUUUCACCAUCUAAACUGCAAUUAUAUGCAACCAUAACAUGAAAAGUACUACCAAUAGCACUCCCCAACACCAAGGCCAAACUCUGGAUGCUUGGCUGCACCAACACCUUGCAAGAGCUGCCUCUACAGGCCCGUCCUCGUCAUGUUUGAUCUAAUGACCAUGUAGAAUAGCUGUACAGUUUUUUGCUCUUUCCUUUUCGUGUUCUUGUUCUUGUCUUGUAGGUUGGCUUUUUUCGUCAGUUUGACUUUGGCAGAUCAAGGAGGAAGCAAAGCUUUGGGUAUGCGCUGCUGCUGUUGGGCUUAGGGUGUGUUUACCUGGGGCAUGGGAUGUCCACUGAGCCUUGCAUGUUGUGUUGCUUAGCGUGCUGUGCUGUAUCUGACCCUAUCUUUGGGUUUGUAAUUUUUUUCUAUCUUCUCAAUAUAUCAACACACAAGUUUUGUGUUUUUCUCACAAAAAGAACUUGUGCCUUUUUGUUUCUUCUUCUUAUACAAAAUGACGCACAUUUAUAUGCAUGCUCAAGAAAAAAGAGGAUAAAUACAAAAAUAUUUAUGGCCACAUAUGUAUAUACCAGGAAACAGAAGGUGUAUGUCAACAACAGCAAUCCAGGUUGGAAAAGGGAUGUUGGAUAAAAGAACGACAGUCAGGACUCCACAAAGACUCCUAUGAGCCCGUGCCGCGACCCGGACCGCGGCGGGGCCAGGGGCGGAGGCGGCGCCUCCGGCGAUGGCGAGGGCAAUAACCAAAUACCAGCGGGCGAGAAGGGCGCCUGCUCGCCGGCGGCCACCCCGUCUCCAGUGGGGGCCUGGCUUCCGGGAGUUCAGGAGUCCCAGGAUCUCGACGUUGCUGACUGCGGAGGAGAGAUCGGGGUGGCGAUCGGGAGGGCUAGGAUCGCCAGCCAUUCCGACGGCCUGAUCCGAUCUACCUGUUGUGAUGCCAAGGCGCAUCUCGACGGGACCUCAGCACAUCGGAAGUGGGCGGCGGUGUUCGAGGAUGUCUCCUCUGGAUCUCGUCGGCAGCGCUUUGGAUCAAUAGUGUUGCAUUUACCUUCGCGCUGGGUUACGAUUCGUGACGAAGAUGAUGAUAUUUUGGCUGGCACUUAUUUGCAUGUUGUGUUGCUUAGCAUGCUGUGCUGUAUCUGACCCUAUCUUUGGGUUUGUAAUUUUUUUCUAUCUUCUCAAUAUAUCAACACACAAGUUUUGUGUUUUUCUCACAAAAAGAACUUGUGCCUUUUUGUUUCUUCUUCUUAUACAAAAUGACGCACAUUUAUAUGCAUGCUCAAGAAAAAAGAGGAUAAAUACAAAAAUAUUUAUGGCCACAUAUGUAUAUACCAGGAAACAGAAGGUGUAUGUCAACAACAGCAAUCCAGGUUGGAAAAGGGAUGUUGGAUAAAAGAACGACAGUCAGGACUCCACAAAGACUCCUAUGAGCCCGUGCCGCGACCCGGACCGCGGCGGGGCCAGGGGCGGAGGCGGCGCCUCCGGCGAUGGCGAGGGCAAUAACCAAAUACCAGCGGGCGAGAAGGGCGCCUGCUCGCCGGCGGCCACCCCGUCUCCAGUGGGGGCCUGGCUUCCGGGAGUUCAGGAGUCCCAGGAUCUCGACGUUGCUGACUGCGGAGGAGAGAUCGGGGUGGCGAUCGGGAGGGCUAGGAUCGCCAGCCAUUCCGACGGCCUGAUCCGAUCUACCUGUUGUGAUGCCAAGGCGCAUCUCGACGGGACCUCAGCACAUCGGAAGUGGGCGGCGGUGUUCGAGGAUGUCUCCUCUGGAUCUCGUCGGCAGCGCUUUGGAUCAAUAGUGUUGCAUUUACCUUCGCGCUGGGUUACGAUUCGUGACGAAGAUGAUGAUAUUUUGGCUGGCACUUAUUUGCAUGUUGUGUUGCUUAGCAUGCUGUGCUGUAUCUGACCCUAUCUUUGGGUUUGUAAUUUUUUUUCUAUCUUCUCAAUAUAUCAACACACAAGUUUUGUGUUUUUCUCACAAAAAGAACUUGUGCCUUUUUGUUUCUUCUUCUUAUACAAAAUGACGCACAUUUAUAUGCAUGCUCAAGAAAAAAGAGGAUAAAUACAAAAAUAUUUAUGGCCACAUAUGUAUAUACCAGGAAACAGAAGGUGUAUGUCAACAACAGCAAUCCAGGUUGGAAAAGGGAUGUUGGAUAAAAGAACGACAGUCAGGACUCCACAAAGACUCCUAUGAGCCCGUGCCGCGACCCGGACCGCGGCGGGGCCAGGGGCGGAGGCGGCGCCUCCGGCGAUGGCGAGGGCAAUAACCAAAUACCAGCGGGUGAGAAGGGCGCCUGCUCGCCGGCGGCCACCCCGUCUCCAGUGGGGGCCUGGCUUCCGGGAGUUCAGGAGUCCCAGGAUCUCGACGUUGCUGACUGCGGAGGAGAGAUCGGGGUGGCGAUCGGGAGGGCUAGGAUCGCCAGCCAUUCCGACGGCCUGAUCCGAUCUACCUGUUGUGAUGCCAAGGCGCAUCUCGACGGGACCUCAGCACAUCGGAAGUGGGCGGCGGUGUUCGAGGAUGUCUCCUCUGGAUCUCGUCGGCAGCGCUUUGGAUCAAUAGUGUUGCAUUUACCUUCGCGCUGGGUUACGAUUCGUGACGAAGAUGAUGAUAUUUUGGCUGGCACUUAUUUGCAUGUUGUGUUGCUUAGCAUGCUGUGCUGUAUCUGACCCUAUCUUUGGGUUUGUAAUUUUUUUUCUAUCUUCUCAAUAUAUCAACACACAAGUUUUGUGUUUUUCUCACAAAAAGAACUUGUGCCUUUUUGUUUCUUCUUCUUAUACAAAACGACACACAUUUAUAUGCAUGCUCAAGAAAAAAGAGGAUAGCAUAGCCCCCCAAUCAGAUUUCACAACUUCUUAAGAAUCAUGAUGCGGCAACUCAAACAACCGCAGAAAUUCAAUACCAUAGGAAACCAACUAAGAACCUCACCUUGAACAAUGCCCUCCUGAUCAGCUGGAACACCAAGCAAUCACCUUCCACCAGCUCAUUGUCCAUGACAAACUCGCUCCACCCGGUGACAAGACUGCUACUGUGUGGACGAUAUUGCACCUUAAACUCCUCCUCCUCCUCAUCCACCAAAACCAAUUUCAUGCCACGGUCCGGGAGAUGCUCCAUGCUGAACUGUGCCGGAAUAUACUGCCAGAUACCCCACCAUCAAUAUCUAUUAAUAAUUCCUCUAUCAUAGGGGAUCGGAACAGUAGAUAAGUGGUAGUUUCUGCUUUACCAGCGAGGUAAGAGAUUGGGGCAUGGUUUUGACAAAGGUGGGGUAGUCGGAGCCAAGCUCAUCCCGUAGCUCUUCGGCCUUGGCGAUGGCAUACGCAUGAUCAGGCUUUACUUCUUUUUGCUGCCGUGGUUUCCCGGUGCCGAGCUUUACCUGAGAGUUAUUCUUAUAUUCGUUAGGAGAAUAAAAUGGGAUCCUUGGGAGAACCACCACUCUGAAGUGCAGUGCCUCAAGUAGAAAUUUAGUGAAUUUACCAAUUUACUCCCAGUCUUCCUCACUUACAAUGUACUCCCUUCGUUUCUUUUUACUUCCCAAGUUUGAAUACUAGUUUUGUCUUAUGCCAAAUUUUACAAAGUUUGACCAGAUUUAUAUUAAGAAAUAUCGACAUCUACAAUAAUAAACAAAUAUAAUAGUAUGAAACUGUAUUUCAGGAUGAUCUAAUGGUGUUGUGACUGCUAGAAUUACAGUUUUUUUCAUAUAAACUUAGUCAAAGUUCAGAAGUUAGUCUGACUUAGGGUUAAAAAGAAACGGCGGGAGCAUGAUUAGAUCUUACUUUUGUAAUCGGGUAUGGGACACCUUGGUUGCGGAGCACGUACAUUGUCGCGAUAGUCGGGCUGCUCGGGGAGGGUGGCGAUACGGCCGGAGCGCCGGGGCGGGGCGUCAUCGGCGGCGUCCCGUGGCUUCGACGCCUUCCUCUUCUGCUGCACCCAACCAAACCAGGCUAAGGAAGACAGAGAGGAGCAGACGGAGAGUGGAGAAGGGGGGGUGGGGGGAUCUGACGGACCAGCUUGGGCUUGGCGGCGGCCUCGCGGACGGCGGCGGAGAGGUGGUGCAGGCGCAGCUCCUCCAGCUUCCGCUUGUUCUCCUCCACCUGCCUCCUGCGCUGCUCCUCGUACGAGUUCGCGUCCGCCAUUUUCGCACGCCCUUUCUUGGUUUUCCCUCCCGCUGGGUUUGAUUUUUGGGCGAAGAAACCGCCGGGAGAGGAGGGCAAUCAGAGUUGGGUGGGGAACGAGGGUUUCUUUCUCGCUGUUUUUGGUUUCGGCGGGGAAGCAGAUGAGAAAGGUGUGAAAACUGAAAACUCGGGAGGGAGUGAUUUCAUUCACUGUUUUUUCGGAUCGGCACACAGGCGUGUAUGUAUUUCGUUCUCUCUYUUUUUUUAAAAAUAGAGAUAUGGGAUUUUAUUCAACAAAAACCCCGGCAAAAUCUGCCAAAUGAGAAGUUACAAGAAAGCUAGGUUUGGAAUCAAGCCAACAUUCUGUCACCUCUCGUGUGCUUGCUUGUUUAGCACACUGAUGGGUAGGAUUAUUGGCCUUCCUAUUACAAUGUUAAACGCAGAAUGAAGUAAAAACAUCUACAAGCUCCCCCAUCUCAUCUAAGAUAGGCGCCACUACUGAACGAGAGUUGUGACGCAAGUUCCAUAGCUGAACUAGCUUCAGGCUAUCUGUCUCCAUUAUGACCUUCGAGAAACCCCUCAACCGAGCAAAAAGAACUCCCUCUCUCAGGGCCAUCGCCUCGUCUACCAAAGGAUCGGUCACACCAUCAAACGGUUUACACCAGGCUGCAAGAAAAGUGUUGUGGGAUCGAGCUACCCCACCUCCCCCUCCUCUGCAAAAUUGUCUAGCAACACUCCCAUCCGUGUUGAUCUUGACACAAUCCUGCUCCAGUGGUCGCCACCCGUGUCCGGGAAGAAUCCGGGCAUGAUCCCGUGGUAUGUCUAACAAGGCCAGAGCAUCCCUUGUCAUGAUCAUCGACUGAACCGGACUAAGAGGACCCCGAUCAUGAGUGAGAUUAUUAUGUGAAGUCCAGAUCGCCCACAUAAUCGAUACCAUCUUUGCCCUAUCAACCUCCAAGAACCGCUGAUCAUAUAAAAUGUCGGCUUUCCAUGACUGGGGCUACACAUCAGGUCGCUGUAUAGCAAGCCACUCCGGUGCCACAUCCCAAAAUUUCAUCGCAUGUGCGCAGUUGAGGAGUGCAUGCAUAAGUGUUUCAUCAGGAUCCAAGCACAAUUUGCAGACACUUUUAUCAGAAAUGUGUCUGUGUUUGAGGACAGAAUCGACUCGCAAAAUGCCUCUCAUAACCCGCCACCAGAACACCCGAACCUUUGGCAGUACUUUGAGCUUCCACAGUCUCGACCACAUCUGUUGUUCUGUCACUGGGGUUUCUGUAGCCGUCCCUCCAUCUAGAGCUCGUUGCUCUUUUUGAUUCAUCAUAGAGCGGUACGCUGUUUUAACAGUGUAGAUUCCAGACUUCUCGGGAGCCCAUGCCACCACAUCUUCCCCUCCAGCCGCUCUCAAUGGAAUAUUCAAGAUAGCUUCGGCUUCGGCAGGGGAGAAUAUCUGUCGAACUAAGUCGAUGUUCCAUAAACCUGAGUAAGAAUCGAUCAGCUCCGAAACCCAUUGCAAUUGAGAGUUCCCAACACGCGAGGGGGUCAUCGAAGCAAGAGUAGGCACCCAUUUGUCUUCCCAAAUAGAGAUGGACGAACCAGUCCCAACACGCUUGAUCAGACCAAUUUGCAGAGCUUCUUUGCCGGCAAUAAUCGCUCGCCAUGUAGUUGAGGAGCUUCUCGGCGCCGUUGCCUGCAUGAAAUGUCCAUCUCGGAAAUACUUCCCCUUCAACACACGAGCACAAAGCGAGCUCGGAUUAGUAGUUAGCCGCCACCCAUGUUUCCCAAGUAGGGCAAUAUUGAACAGUUCCAAGUCUCGAAAACCGAUUCCACCUCGUUUCUUCGGUUCGGAGACCGCAUCCCAGGACAGCCAGUGCAAUGACCGUCGAUCAACCGAUGAGCUCCACCAGUACUUUCCCAUAAUCGAUACCAGAGACUUGCAAACUUUCCUGGUUAAUUUAAAGCACGACAUGCUGAAGGUGUGAAUAGCAUGUGCCGCUGUUUUCAACCUAAUCUCCCGCCCCGCACAGGACAGCAUGCGUUCCGCGCCCCCUUGCAGUUUUGCCCAUAUCCUUUCUCUGGUAUGAUCGAAAGUUCCACUUGUAAUACGGCCAACUGUUGUCGGGAGGCCCAGAUACCUCUCACUGAAAGCCUCGACCCCAAUGAGCAGGGAUAAUUUAACUUGUUGACGAACCGGUGCAGGAGUGUUGGGGCUAAAAAAUAUCGAGCUUUUCUCCUUGUUCACAACUUGUCCACAACACUCCCCAUAGAUCCUCAGAAUAUCAUCCAAACGAUUCCCACUCGAUUCCGAUGCCUGCAUAAAUAUCAAAGUGUCGUCGGCAAACAAAAGGUGAUUGAUCCAGGGCGAUCGGUAGCUCACACGGAUCCCUCGAUCCACAUUCGGGCCUCCGUAGUGAUUCAGCAAAGAAGUGAAACCUUCUGCACAAAUAAGGAAGAGGUACGGCGAGAUAGGAUCACCCUGACGUAAGCCACAAGUUGUGUUAAAAACGGGAGCAAUUCCCCAUUUACCCUAACUGAGAACCAAACCGAAGUCACACACUUGAGAACAAGCCUGACAAAACCCUGGUGGAACCCCAGCCGUAGCAUGAUGGCCUCCAGAUAGUGCCACUCCACGCGAUCGUACGCCUUCAUCAUGUCUAACUUAACAGCGCACACCAAAUUCUUCCCAAUCUUGCGUCGCCUCAUAGAAUGCACACUCUCAUAUGCAAUCAAAACAUUGUCAGUAAUCAGACGACCGGGAACAAACGCACUUUGCUCCUCCCCUAUCACCUCAUCCAGACAGGCACGUAGCCGAUUAGCUAUAGCCUUUGCUGCAGUUUUGUACAGAACCGGACACAAAGAGAUAGGGCGGAAAUGUGUGAUCCUUUGAGGGAAAGGAACCUUGGGAAUCAAAGUGAUGGAAGUAUCAUUCAUACCUGCCAGUAGUUCUCCCCCAUUCAGAAACUCCAACAGCGCAUGCAUUAUAUCUUGUUUCAAAAGCUGCCAAUGCCUCUGAAAAAAAAACACCGUAAAACCAUCAACUCCUGGGGCUUUUGAUGGUGCCAUCUGAAAGAGGGCAUGCUUGAUCUCCUCCUCCGAGUAGGCUUUCAUCAUCUCCCUAUUCAUUUCACCUGAUACUCGUGCACGGACCGUCUCCAACAGAGUGUCCAUUGGGUUGACCCCUCGUGAAGUAUACAACUCCUAAUAGAAAGACAAUAUCUCAUGUUGGAUCUCAUCCGGUUGUGCACAUCGUGAGCCAUCUUCUCGCACUAAAUGCUCAAUCUUAUUAGUUCGUUUACGUUGGGAAGCUUGGGCUUGGAAAUAGCCAGUAUUCCUAUCCCCUUCCCGGAGCCAUAGCACUCGAGAGCGUUGGCGCAUCCAGAUUUCCUCCUGUUUAAGAGCUAAUUUAAGCUGGGCUGCGAGCGCCUUCUCCUCCACCGACGGGCCUCUCCCCGCUGAGCGUGAACGCAACCGAUUGAUUCGCUCACGCAAUUGCCUGAUCUUCCUCGAAAGGCAUCCGAAUUCCUUGGCCCCCAAGUAGAUAGAUCUGUUUGGAGCUUGUGCAAGGCUUGAGAGACAUUAAGUAGUCUCUGCCCACCUUCACCACACCUCCAACUGUUGAUAACUAGUUGAUCAUAGUCCGCAUGAGUCUGCCAAGCAUCUUCAUAACGGAAAGGGCGGGAACCCCUCGAUCUCAAAUCAGCUUCCUCCUUUACGCUCACCAUCACAAAGCAAUGGCCAGACUCAACGGCCGGCACAUGCCUUACUAUGAUAGACGCAAACAAAUCAAUCAAGGCCGUAUUGCCAAACGCACGAUCAAGACGUGCUUUAACAUUAGAAGCCCCUGCUUGGGCAUUAUCCCAUGUGUAAUCUGCCCUUAUCCAUCCUAGGUCUUGGAGAAAACAAUCAUCCAUCACCUCCCUGAACUUGAGCAUCUGUCUCUCAGGACGAGCCGACCGUGAGAAGUGCUCAGAUCCUUGCAAGGUUUCAUUAAAGUCACCAAUGCACAUCCAGCCCUCAUGCUGAAUUGCAAAUAGGGUGCAUAGUAAACUCUAGCUUAAGUGUCUGUCUUCAGCUCGAGGAGCACCGUAGAAACCCCGUCAUACGCCAUUUUUUGUUGUUGGAAUUUCGCCGCACCCAUACAUCGAUAUGGCCGGCACUAUAACUCAUCAGAUCUACCUCAAAAUCAGCUGUCCAGAACAAGCCUAGACCGCCACUGAGACCCACACUGCUAACUGCAAAACAUCCUGCAAAACCAAGCUGAUUAUGCAGACGUUCAACUCUAAUUGUGGCUAUCUUCGUCUCCAUCACAAAACAGAGCCCAAGCACUUCCUGCUUCACAAUGCCGCGAAGCUCACGAACUGCCCCCGGGGUUCCCAAGCCCCCGACAUUUCUAGCUGAGGCAGCUCAUUGGCCCUGGCAGGGCUGACUAGCAGCCGCUGCCGAAGAUUCAGACGAAGUUGGAGUUGGCCUCUUUUUCUUUGUGUCUCUCUCCACAAUCUCAUCAUUGCACUCGUUCUUUCCUGUUUCAUCAAUCAUACCCUAGGGCUCCUCAUCAACCCCGCACACCAUCGCUUCUCCAUUCUCUGUUAGGGCUAGGAGAGGUUUCACCACCGGUCUAUAAGUGUGGGUAGCUAGGAGAGGUUCUCUCAAAAUAGGGUUUUUUCCGCUUUAUAUAAAGCAUCCGUCCAAAAAUACUUGUCAUACGAACGGAUGUAUCUAGAUAUAUUUUUGUUUUAGAUAUAUUAUCCAUUUAUGUGGCAAGAAAUUUCGGACGGCUGGAGUCAUUUGUGCCGAUGAGGCUGGUUUGGGAGGCCGGUGAGGAGAGGAGGAGCUCGGGUAGCUAUUUAUGGUGCAGGGGAGAGCUCGAAAAGGCUCUAGGCAACCUUGGGGCAACAAUCCAUGGAGGGGGCAGGGCGGCCAGGUCACGGACGCGGUCAGAGCACUGCAUAGGAGGUGACCUGAGAGGGGGAGAGGGGUCCAGGGCGAAAGCAAGGCCAAGAUGUAGCUCCUAGACAUGGCUAGGUGUCGAGGGCGCGAGGGAACAGAAGAAAUCGUGGGCCCCGACUGCAAGAGCGCGGGCAUUCACAUGCCAUCUGCAUGGUCACCGCAUGAACACGACAAUGACAUGCGAUCUGAUCAGCCAGACCUUGUCUGGACGAUUGGGCAUUCAUCAGUGAGUGCCAAAGUGCAAAUGAACAAGCACACGAACUCAAAAAUGUGACCAGAGCUUGCUAGAAGACAAUAGAAUAGCAAGAUGUUUGUUGCUUCCUAAAGAAGAUUGAUCUGAAGAAAGAUGCUGAUAUUUUGUAGAAGGUGAUCCAUCACUAAGAUGAUUAUCUAUGCAAAUUUUCAGCUCAAUAGGAUGAACCUAGAUAGCACUUGUUGUACAAUGUACCCUACUGCACGAAAAUGUAAAAUAUGAAGUAGCACUCACAUGCUUGAUUGGGUUGAGCUGAAACUUGGAGAAGAUGAGCUAUUUGGGCAUAUGGACGCACUGUAUAAAUUUCAUACCAAUUAGAUACACUAAAAUGGUAUUUCCUUCACAAUGUAUCUCCGUGGACAAAAAUUAAGAAAUAUUGUACAGAAAGAUUGGCUCAAUGAAAUGAUCACAAAUUUGGUGGAGGUGAGAGAUAUGGGAAGGAUCAUGACCUGGUAAAUAUUUAUAAAUAAUCAAACAUUAUCAAAUAUAGUUGCUUCACAAACUAAAAAUCUGACCAGAAACUAAGAUUUGAUGUUGGACUCACACGGAUGAUGUAGUGAUGCUCAAAUCUUGUGUAGAGUGGUAAUUUGAGCAUAUAAAGGUCAUGUAAAAAAAUUUGAAAUCAUUUGGAUAUGCCUAGCGAGUACCUCCUUCACAAAGUUCUUUUCUUGAGAGAAACUUUGGAAAUUAACUGAGGAAUAUUUACUAGGCAAAUGAAUUUGAAUUUUGGCAUGAUGUCCUAAUAUGGGUAGAAAAGAGUCCACACAAAUUUCGAGGGUAAAAAAGAAUAUAUAAAUGACACUUCCUUCAUAAAAUGCCAUCGAGGGCAGAAUAAGGAAAAAAAAUCCUUAAAUUAUUUUUCAACUAGACGAGGAAGGAUUUUGAUAUAUUUGGGGAAUAUAUGACCCAAAAAAUUAUGAUGAUUAUUUGGGAAUUUUGGGAGAGUUAAAAAUAUAGGUUGCUUCACAACCGAGAGAAAAUAGGAUGAUUCCUUUAAUAGAAGAAGGAAUAUUCCCAAGAAACAGAAUAUUAGGAUAGGUCCGAGAUGGAAAAUGACGCGGUCUUGGGAAGGAUUUGAGAAUGACAAGCCACUCUGAAGACUAGAAAGCGAUGAUCUUCCCAAGUUUCUAGACCAUAGAGCAACAGAAAGGCAAUUUCAAAUAAAAUCUUAAAACAUUAAAAGAAAAAGGCCAAAAUCCAGGGUGUUACAUGGCGUGAGGAUUUGACUCGGAUAAGCCCUCGCGUAUAGAUGAUGGCCACACACGUUUGAUGCCCACUCUUCGUUCAAGCCAUGAAGGGAGAGUCGCUCUUUGGUCAUGCUAGGAACAAAGAUCGAUUCUUUGGCCCAUACUAGAAUGCAAAGGCCUCUUUGGCCGAGAUGAAGACAAAGAGGCCCUUUUUGUUCGGAAGGAGGAUGACGGGGUCAGUCCUAUUUGGCGCAUACCACGCUAGAUUGUACCUUUCCACUCUACCGUUAAGCACACUUUCACUCAGCCCAACUAGGCCUUGUCCGGUCAUAGGAAGGUCAUAUCAUUUUUUUCUACUUUCUUUUGCUUUUUCAUUUUCGUCCUUUCUUUAUUUUUAUUUUUUUCAUAUUAUUUCCUUUUUUCUUUUCCUUUUUUUAUUUCCAUUCCUUUUUCUUCAUUCUUGCGAACAUCUAUUCAAAUUCCCGAACUUUUUUGUGAAAGAAUGAAUAUCUUUUAAAUUCAUGAUUUUCUUUACAAAAUAUUGAUUUCUUACAAAAAAUGUAAACAUUUUUCCAACUGCGUGAACAUUCUUUUGAAAUUGUGGUCUUUUAUGAAUUAGAAAACAUUUUUCGAAUUUUGGUAACAAUAUUUCAAAUUCAUGAUUUUCUUUGACAAACCAUUUUUGAAAUGCAUGAAUAAUUUUUGAAGUCAUGUUGUUUAACCGGUGAGCAUUUUUAGAAUCGGAGAACCUUUUCCAUCAUUAACGAGUACUUUUUGAAAAUUUUGGAUUUUUUUGGGUUCACGAACAUUCUUCCAAAUUCAUGAAAAUUUUCGAAAAAUCAUGGCAUUUUUAUUGCCUGAAUAUUGUUUUAAAAUCGUGAUCUUUCUUAAAACCACAAACAUGUUUUAGAUUCCGCAAACAUUUAAUGAUUUCUUGCACAAUUGUUUUCUAGAAUUUUCAUUUUUUGGAAUUUGUACCUUUUUUGAAAUCCAAAAUUAAUUAAAGAAGAAAAAAAAAUCAAAAAUUAAAAACAAAAGGAGAAAUAAAACAAAGGAAAACGAAAUGGAAAAACAAAGGCGCCUUGCCCUCCACAUGGGGCGGCCCAAAAGGGUGUUUUGGAGGGGUGUGUGUUGCGCCUCUUUCGAGAGCGUAAAGCGCCAAAUAGGAGCUCCCGAUGACAGUGUCUUAUUAUUGCAAUUUUUUAAUUUGAUGGUAAAUAUUUGGGAGUGUUAAUUUACAUUAUCAACCUUGAAAAAUGUAGAGUGAGAUUUUUGAAUGCCAAAUUAGUGAAGCUUGAUGCAUGUGCUCCUAGUUUCCAUCCUCUCGUGCUAGGACCAUCUUUAUUGAUGCCAGGAUUUAUGAGAUCCGCUUACUGUAUGUCCAUAUUUAUGCUCAAUAAAACUUUCACUCAAAAAAUGGAGAAAAACGGAAGGUGAUUAUUGGCAAAUGCUUUUUAGGGAUUUUUGGCAAAAGGUAAAAAAUAGAGCUUACCAUAUGGUUAAGUGGACUAUUUGAUGCUUGAACAUAAUUGGGGGUUUAGGUAUCAAAUAUUUGAUCGUCUCAAAAAAUAAGGUAUCAAAGAUUUGAGGAAAUAAAAUAUUAUUCUUUUGGUGAAGUGGUUGUGGAAAUGGGAAACUGAGGAUGGUUUGUUGUAGCAAAUUAUUCGAGCUAAAUACUUUCGAAACAAACUUCUAGCUUUGAUUAAUCUUUGAUUUUUCAUAUUCCUGUUAACUAUGUUUAUUUUGCUAGAGGGAAAGUGAACAUCAAGGGUAGAAAUAUGGUGUGAGUGUGGCAUUACCCUUGGUACUCGUAACUUCUAUAGACACUUUGUUCCCUGGGUUGUUUCACAUCUAUGACAACUAGGAUUGCACCCUUUCUGCAUUUGUUGGUACUGUUGACUAUAAUGCCUCUUUUAGACGCAAAUUGUAUAACGAUCAUUCUAAUCAGUUACAGGAUGUUGUAUAUAGUGCAAUUAUUUUGAUUCUCAAGUCGCUUUUUGAUGGUGUUACUGGUCGCUUAACAGCAAGUAUGCGUUCUCUAUAAAGUUUGUUUAUGAAUGGCCUGAAAAAGAAUUGUCCCAGUCUAACUAUAUAUGGUUGUGUUCCUCGUAAAACAAUUUUUUUUUUCUUGGUAGCUAUUUUCAGAAAUGCUAUUUCAUAUUUUUGAGUUGUACCAAUUUGCAUUUUUCUGGAUUUAUUUUAGUCUUUCCGACGAUGUGCGUUCAGUGGGUGGGGACAUUCUCGUUGACAACGAAGACGUGUGUGACGACUUUAUAAAUUUUAACAUGAUGUGUCGAUUCAGUCUCUCGAGAUGCUCAUAGAGGUAGUAUGUGUGUUUAUAAGGAUGACUGUAUGUGUAUAUGUAUAAACGUCUGUAUCUAUAUUAUGUUAAAAAAUCGCACCAAUGCAAAUUGGCCCCCCAUAAUCCUUCAUGUUCUUUAUGUGAUUCUGAUGAAUCAAAAAAUCAUUUAUUUUUCACAUUUUCAAAUGCUCGCUUUCUAUAGAGUACCUUUGGCAUUGUUUUGGGAUCCUCUUGUUGUCCUACUAGCUUUGCCUGGUUUUAUCAUUUUCUCCCUCGAGAGAAGAAAUUUUACAUGAUGUGUCUUAUUUCUAUCUGUUGGGAAUGUUUUUUUAAAAGGAAUAAAUUUUGCCUCAUUGAUUAAAUAAGAAGAAGAAAAAUUGUCCAGUUAAUUAAUAAAAAAUCGGGCGAAAACCAAUACGAACUUAGCACAUACAAGCUACUCACACGGCAUAAAACUUACAACCGCACAUACGAUCCAUCACACUCGUCGAAUACACAAUAUCCACAAACCCCGAGGCACCUCUCAACCCAAGACAACAACCCAAUCAAGCAACCACACACAUCUACCCUUUGGCGUCACUCUUGCCUUUGCACACCUUCUUCUGUUUGUCCCUUAUUAACAUCCCCGUCCGGAGGCAAACAAUUGACCUAUCCAAACCAGGUCUAGCAACCUUCACACUGGCUAACAAUUCACAAAGUUCCUUCGCGAAGAGAGCAAUUGAAUUUGAAGUAGGUGCCAACAAAAAUGGCUCAAUGGUCAUGCCACUCACACACAUCACAUGCUUGAUGGUCACAAACGAGGGAAUGGCAGAAACAUCUAGAACUACGCGCUCCAUUACGCCAAGAGAUAGGUUGUUUGACGCCUCACAAGGCUCCAUGGGAUGGUGAGGACAUUGGGUCCACCUCUGAAGCCUGGAUAGAGUCCAACUUGAGUUUUUUUAAGGCAAAGCAAAGCUUUAUAACUUAACGGUGCUUGGGCAGAACACCGAAAGCACAAUCAAUCACAUGGGCUGGUACAUCCGACUCCCAUUAUACACAGUAGUUUGGUUCGUACAAACGACCUAUACUAGCUAGUUCAUGAGCCACAGAGUUUGCAUUGCGACGACACAAGGAGAUAUCAUAUUUAGAGAACCAAAGCUUCAACUGGAGCUUCGUAUCUUCAAUGACAGCCGCGUAGGACGAAGAGUCCAGCUUCGUUAGAUCAAGAGCCUCCUGUAGGAGCUUUGAAUCCGUCUCAAAGACCACCCUUAUUAUCCCAAGGCGAGCAGCAAGAGAGACGGUGUGGGACAUGGCAGAAACUUCAGCACGGAACGCUUCUUCAACAUAUUCCUGGCGACCGACCCGGGCACAAACAAUUGAGCCGUCAGAGGACUUAGCCACCCCCCCAACCAGCAUGAGUCUCACCCGGUACCAAGGAUCCAUCAAGGUGGAUUUUAAUCCAGUCUUCCGCAGGAGGUCGCCAUUGACACACGCUCGCCUUCUUCUGCGUCGGAGCACAUACCUGCAAGUACUCAAGGACAUUGCUCCUUGUUCGCCUCGCCACUUCAGUAGCAGCAACGGGAAGCUCCCCUUCCCUUAGUUUAUUUCUAUUCUUCCACCACUGCCACUAGAAGGUAAAAAUAUAUACUCGCUUUAGUUCAUCAAUUGCCACAGGAAGUCAAACAUUGCAUGCACGGAAGAGAUAUGCUCCAGCCCCACUCCUUCUUUCUCCAUAGCCAGCUCCCUCUACACUGCUUUCACUGACUUACACUUAAUGAACACGUGUGUGCCAUCUUCAUCCACACACUCACAUAACAAACAUUUUUGGUCUUCAACAGGGAUUCCUCUCUUCUUUAGAUUUGUUCGCAAUGCCAACGACUCAUGCUUCUGAUGGGGAACGUCGCAUGGGAAACAAAAAUUUUCCUACGCGCACGAAGACCUAUCAUGGUGAUGUCCAUCUACGAGAGGGGAUGAGUGAUCUACGUACCCUUGUAGAUCGUACAGCAGAAGCGUUAGUGAACGCGGUUGAUGUAGUGGAACGUCCUCACGUCCCUCGAUCCGCCCCGCGAACAAUCCCGCGAUCAGUCCCACGAUCUAGUACCGAACGGACGGCGCCUCCGCGUUCAGCACACGUACAGCUCGACGAUGAUCUCGGCCUUCUUGAUCCAGCAAGAGAGACGGAGAGGUAGAAGAGUUCUCCGGCAGCGUGACGGCGCUCCGGAGGUUGGUGAUGAUCUUGUCUCAGCAGGGCUCCGCCCGAGCUCCGCAGAAACGCGAUCUAGAGGAAAAACUAUGGAGGUAUGUGGUCGGGCAGCCGUGAGAAAGUCGUCUCAAAUCAGCCCUAAAACCUCCGUAUAUAUAGGUGGGAGGCAGGGGAGGAGGCAGCCUCAAAACCUAAAGGCUUGGCCGAAAUUGGAGGUGGAGGAGUCCUACUCCAAUCCUACUUGGAGUAGGAUUCCACCUUCCCACUUGGAAACUCUUUCCACCUUGUGUUUUUUCCUUCUCAAACCUUAUGGGCCUUAGUGGGAACUUAUUCCAGCCCACUAGGGGCUGGUUUAUCUCUUCCCAUAGCCCAUGAGACCCCUUGGGGCGUGACACCCCUCCCGAUGGUCCCCGGCACCCCUCCCGGCACUCCCGGUACACUACCGAUGAGACCGAAACUUUUCCGGUAAUGCACGAAAACCUUCCGGUAACCAAAUGAGGUCAUCCUAUAUAUCAAUCUUCGUUUCCGGACCAUUCCGGAAACCCUCGUGACGUCCGUGAUCUCAUCCGGGACUCCGAACAACAUUCGGUAACCAACCAUAUAACUCAAAUACGCAUAAAACAACGUCGAACCUUAAGUGUGCAGACCCUGCGGGUUCGAGAACUAUGUAGACAUGACCCGAGAGACUCCUCGGUCAAUAUCCAAUAGCGGGACCUGGAUGCCCAUAUUGGAUCCUACAUAUUCUACGAAGAUCUUAUCGUUUGAACCUCAGUGCCAAGGAUUCAUAUAAUCCCGUAUGUCAUUCCCUUUGUCCUUCGGUAUGUUACUUGCCCGAGAUUCGAUCGUCAGUAUCCGUAUACCUAUUUCAAUCUCGUUUACUGGCAAGUCUCUUUACUCGUUCCGUAAUACAAGAUCCCGCAACUUACACUAAGUUACAUUGCUUGCAAGGCUUGUGUGUGAUGUUGUAUUACCGAGUGGGCCCCGAGAUACCUCUCCGUUCACACGGAGUGACAAAUCCCAGUCUUGAUCCAUACUAACUCAACUAACACCUUCGGAGAUACCUGUAGAGCAUCUUUAUAGUCACCCAGUUACGUUGCGACGUUUGAUACACACAAAGCAUUCCUCCGGUGUCAGUGAGUUAUAUGAUCUCAUGGUCAUAGGAAUAAAUACUUGACACGCAGAAAACAGUAGCAACAAAAUGACACGAUCAACAUGCUACGUCUAUUAGUUUGGGUCUAGUCCAUCACAUGAUUCUCCUAAUGAUGUGAUCCCAUUAUCAAGUGACAACACUUGCCUAUGGCCAGGAAACCUUGACCAUCUUUGAUUAACGAGCUAGUCAACUAGAGGCUUACUAGGGACAGUGUUUUGUCUAUGUAUCCACACAAGUAUUGUGUUUCCAAUCAAUACAAUUAUAGCAUGGAUAAUAAACGAUUAUCAUGAACUAAGAAAUAUAAUAAUAACUAAUUUAUUAUUGCCUCUAGGGCAUAUUUCCAACAGUCUCCCACUUGCACUAGAGUCAAUAAUCUAGUUCACAUCACCAUGUGAUUCCAAUGAAUCCAACACCCAUAUAGUUAUGGGGUCUGAUCACGUCUUGCUCGUGAGAGAGGUUUUAGUCAACGGUUCUGAAACUUUCAGAUCCGUGCGUUUUUUACAAAUCUUUAUGUCAUCUUAUAGAUGCUGCUACUACGUGCUAUUCGGAAAUGCUCCAAAUAUCUACUCUACUAUACGAAUCCGUUUCACUACUCAUAGUUAUUCGGAUUAGUGUCAAAGCUUGCAUCGACGUAAGCCUUUACGACGAACUCUUCAACCACCUCCAUAAUCGAGAAAAAUUCCUUAGUCCAUUAGUUACUAAGGAUAAAUUUUGACCGCUGCUAGUGAUUCAAUCAUGGAUCACUCUCUGUACCUCUCAUCAUAUUUUGAGUCAAGGCACACAUCAGGUGCGGUACACAGCAUGGCAUACUUUAGAUUCUACGGCUAAGGCAUAGAAGACGACCUUCGUCUAUUCUCUUUAUUCUGCCGGGGUCGGGUUUUGAGUCUUACUCAAAUUCACACCUCACAACGCAACCAAGAACUCCUUCUUUGCUAAUCUAUUUUGAACUCCUUCAAAAACUUGUCAAGGCAUGCAUCUUGUUGAAACUUCCAUUAAGCGCUUUCGAUCUAUCUCCAUAGAUCUUUGAUGCUCAACGUUCAAGUAGCUCAAUCCAGGUAUUCCUUUGAAAACUCCUUUCAAACAACCUUGUAUGUUUUACAGAAAUUCUACAUUACUUCUGAUCCACAAUAUGUCAACCACAUAUACUUAUCAGAAAUUCUAUAGUGCUCCCACUCACUUCUUUGGAAAUACAAGUUUCUCAUAAACCUUGUACAGACCCAAAAUCUUUGAUCAUCUCAUCAAAGUACAUAUAUUCCAACUCCGAGAUGCUUGCACCAGUCCAUUGAAGGAUCGCUGGAGCUUGCAUACUUGCUAGUAUCUUUAGGAUCGACAAAACCUUCUGGUUGUAUCACAUACAAUGUUUGCUCAAGGAAACCGUCGAGAAAACAAUGUUUUGACAUCCUACGUGCAAUAUUUCAUAAAUAAUGCAUCAACAACUAACAUAAUUCUAACAGACCUUUAGCAUCGCUACGAGUGAGAAAGUCUCAUCAUAGUCAACUGUUUGAUCUUGUCGAAAACAUCUUUGCGACAAGUCGAGCUUUUCAUAAUAGUGACUUAUCACCAUCAUUGUCUGUCUUCUUUUAAAGACCCAUCUUUACUCAAUAGUCUUCUGACCAUCAAGUAGUUCUUCCAAAGUCUACACUUUGUUUUCAUACAUGGAUCCUCUCUCGGAUUUCAUGGCUUCCAACCAUUUGUCGGAAUCUGGGCCCACCAUCGCUUUCUCCAUAACUCGUAGGUUCACUGUUGCUCAACAACAUGACCUCCAAGACAGGGUUACCGUACCACUCUGUAGUAGUACGCGACCUUGUCAACCUACGAGGCUUGUAGUAACUUGAUCUGAUGCUCGAUGAUCACCAUCAUCAGCUUCCACUUCAAUCGGUGUAGGCGCCACAGGAACAACUUCCUGCGCCCUGCUACACACUGGUUGAAGUGAUGGUUCAAUAACCUCAUCAAGUUCUACCACUCUCCCACUCAAUUCUUUCGAGAGAAACCUUUCCUCGAGAAAGGAUCCGUUUCUAGAAAUAAACACUUUGCUUUCGGAUCUGAGAUAGGAGAUGUACCCAACUGUUUUUGGAUAUCCUAUGAAGAUGCAUUUAUCCGCUUUGGGUUCAAGCUCAUCAGACUGAAACUUUUUCACAUAAGUGUCGAAGCCCCAAACUUUCAAGAAACGACAGUUUAGAUUUCUCUAAACCUCAGUCUAUACUGUGUCAUCUCAACGGAAAUACGUGGUGCCCUAUUUAAAGUGAGUGCGGUUGUCUCUAAUGCAUAACCCAUAAACGAUAGUGGUAAUUCGAUAAGAGACAUCAUAAUAUGCACCAUACCAAAUAGUGCGUGGCUAUGACGUUCAGACACAUCAUCACACUACGAUGUUCCAGGUGGCAUGAACUGCGAAACAAUUUCCACAUUGUCUUAACUGCGUACCAAAACUCGUAACUCAGAUAUUCAUUUCCAUGAUCAUAUCGUAGACAGUUUAUCCUCUUGUUACGACGAACUUCACUCCGAAACAGAAUUGAACUUUUCAAUAUUUCAGACUUGUGAUUCAUUAAGUAAAUACUGUAGUAUCUACUCAAAUCGUGAGUGAAGUAAGAACAUAAUGAUAUCCACUACGUGCCUCAGCACCCAUUGGACUGCAUACAUCAAAAUGUAUCACUUCCAACAAGUUACUAUCUUAUUUCAUCUCAAUGAAAACAAGGCCUUGCUCAUGUGGUAUGAUUUGCAUGUCACUAGUGAUUCGAAAUCAGGUGAGUACAAAGAUCCAUCAGCAUGGAGCCUCUUCAUGCAAUUUAUACUAACAUGACUCAAGCGGCAGUGCCACAAGUAAGUGGUACUAUCAUCAUCAACUCGUAUCUUUUGGCACCAAUAUCAUGAACAUGUGUAACACUACGAUCGAGAUUCAAUAAACCAUUGAAGGUGAAUAUUCAAGAAAAUAGAGUAACCAUUAUUCUCCUUAAAUGAAUAAUCGUAUUGCAAUAAACACGAUCCAAUCAUGUUCAUGCUUAACGCAAGCACCAAAUAACAAUUAUUUAGGUUUAACACCAAUCCCGAUGGUAGAGGGAGCAUGCGACGUUUGAUCAUAUCAAUCUUGGAAACACUUCCAACACGUAUCGUCACCUCGCCUUUAGCUAGUCUCCGUUUAUGCCGUAGCUUUCAUUUCGCGUCACUAAUCACUUAGCAACUGAACCGGUAUCCAAUACCCUCGUGCUACUAGGAGUACUAGUAAAGUACACAUCAACAUCAUGUAUAUCAAAUACACUUCUUUCGACUUUUGCCAGCCUUCUUAUCUACCAAGUAUCUUGAGUUGCUCCGCCUCAGUGAUUGUUCCCCUCAUUACAGAAGCACUUAGUCUCGGGUUUGGGUUUAAUCUUGGGUCUCUUCAUUAGUGCAGCAACUGUUUUGCCGUUUCACGAAGUAUCCCUUCUAGCCCUUGCCUUUCUUGAAACUUAGUGGUUUUACAAACCAUCAACUAUUGAUGCUCCUUCUUGAUUUCUACUUUCGCAGUGUCAAACAUCGCGAAUCGCUCAAGGAUCAAUGUAUGUAUCCUUGAUAUGUUAUAGUUCAUCACGAAGCUCUCACAGCUUGGUGGCAGUGACUUUGGAGAACUAUCACUAUCUCAUCUGGAAGAUUAACUCCCACUUGAUUCAAGCGAUUGUCGUACUCAGACAAUCUGAGCACAUGCUCAACGAUUGAGCCUUUUCUCCUGUGCUUUGUGGACAAAGAAUCUUGUCGGAGGUCUCAUACCUCUUAACAAGGGCACAAGCAUGAAAUCACAAUUUCAUCUCUUUAGAACAUCACUUAUGUUCCGUGACGUUUUACAACGUUUUCGGCGCCUUGCUUCUAAGCCAUUAAGUAUUUUUGUACUGAACUAUCGUGUAGUCAUCAGAAACGUGUAUGUCGGAUGUUCACAGCAUCCACAGACGACGCUCGAGGUGCAGCACACCGAGUGGUGCAUUAAGGACAUAAGCCUUCUGUGCAGCAAUGAGGACAAUCCUUGGUUUUACAGACUCAGUCUGCAAAGUUUGCUACUAUCAACUUUCAACUAAAUUUUCUCUAGGAACAUAUAAAACAGUAGAGCUAUAGGGCAAGCUACAUCGUAAUUCGCAAAGACCAUUAGACUAUGUUCAUGACAAUUAGUUCAAUUAAUCAUAUUACUUAAGAACUCCCACUCAAAAAGUACAUCUCUCUAGUCAUUUGAGUGGUACAUGAUCCAAAUCCACUAUCUCAAGUCCGAUCAUCACGUGAGUCGAGAAUAGUUUCAGUGGUAAGCAUCUCUAUGCUAAUCAUAUCAACUAUACGAUUCAUGCUCGACCUUUCGGUCUCAUGUGUUCCGAGGCCAUGUCUGCACAUGCUAGGCUCGUCAAGCUUAACCCGAGUGUUCCGCGUGCGCAACUGUUUUGCACCCGUUGUAUGUGAACGUUGAGUCUAUCACACCCGAUCAUCACGUGGUGUCUCGAAACGACGAACUGUAGCAACGGUGCACAGUCGGGGAGAACACAAUUUCGUCUUGAAAUUUUAGUGAGAGAUCACCUCAUAAUGCUACCGUCGUUCUAAGCAAAAUAAGGUGCAUAAAAGGAUUAACAUCACAUGCAAUUUAUAAGUGACAUGAUAUGGCCAUCAUCACGUGCUUCUUGAUCUCCAUCACCAAAGCACCGGCACGAUCUUCUUGUCACCGGUGUCACACCAUGAUCUCCAUCAUCAUGAUCUCCAUCAACGUGUCGCCAUCGGGGUUGUCGUGCUACUCAUGCUAUUACUACUAAAGCUACGUCCUAGCAAAAUAGUAAACGCAUCUGCAAGCACAAACGAUAGUUAUAAAGACAACCCUAUGGCUCCUGCCGGUUGCCGUACCAUCGACGUGCAAGUCGAUAUUAUCUAUUACAACAUGAUCAUCUCAUACAUCCAAUAUAUCACAUCACAUCGUUGGCCAUAUCACAUCACAAGCAUACCCUGCAAAAACAAGUUAGACGUCCUCUAAUUUUGUUGUUGCAUGUUUUACGUGGUGACCAUCGGUAUCUAGUAGGAUCGCAUCUUACUUACGCAAACACCACAACGGAGAUAUAUGAGUUGCUAUUUAACCUCAUCCAAGGACCUCCUCGGUCAAAUCCGAUUCAACUAAAGUUGGAGAAACCGACACUUGCCAGUCAUCUUUGAGCAACGGGGUUACUCGUAGCGAUGAAACCAGUCUCUCGUAAGCGUACAAGUAAUGUCGGUCCAAGCCGCUUCAAUCCAACAAUACCGCGGAAUCAAGAAAAGACUAAGGAGGGCAGCAAAACGCACAUCACCGCCCACAAAAACUUUUGUGUUCUACUCGAGAAGACAUCUACGCAUGAACCUAGCUCAUGAUGCCACUGUUGGGGAACGUCGCAAGGGAAACAAAAAUUUUCCUACGCGCACGAAGACCUAUCAUGGUGAUGUCCAUCUACGAGAGGGGAUGAGUGAUCUACGUACCCUUGUAGAUCGUACAGCAGAAGCGUUAGUGAACGCGGUUGAUGUAGUGGAACGUCCUCACGUCCCUCGAUCCGCCCCGCGAACAAUCCCGCGAUCAGUCCCACGAUCUAGUACCGAACGGACGGCACCUCCGCGUUCAGCACACGUACAACUCGACGAUGAUCUCGGCCUUCUUGAUCCAGCAAGAGAGACGGAGAGGUAGAAGAGUUCUCCGGCAGCGUGACGGCGCUCCGGAGGUUGGUGAUGAUCUUGUCUCAGCAGGGCUCCGCCCGAGCUCCGCAGAAACGCGAUCUAGAGGAAAAACUAUGGAGGUAUGUGGUCGGGCAGCCGUGAGAAAGUCGUCUCAAAUCAGCCCUAAAACCUCCGUAUAUAUAGGUGGGAGGCAGGGGAGGAGGCAGCCUCAAAACCUAAAGGCUUGGCCAAAAUUGGAGGUGGAGGAGUCCUACUCCAAUCCUACUUGGAGUAGGAUUCCACCUUCCCACUUGGAAACUCUUUCCACCUUGUGUUUUUUCCUUCUCAAACCUUAUGGGCCUUAGUGGGAACUUAUUCCAGCCCACUAGGGGCUGGUUUAUCUCUUCCCAUAGCCCAUGAGACCCCUUGGGGCGUGACACCCCUCCCGAUGGUCCCCGGCACCCCUCCCGGCACUCCCGGUACACUACCGAUGAGACCGAAACUUUUCCGGUAAUGCACGAAAACCUUCCGGUAACCAAAUGAGGUCAUCCUAUAUAUCAAUCUUCGUUUCCGGACCAUUCCGGAAACCCUCGUGACGUCCGUGAUCUCAUUCGGGACUCCGAACAACAUUCGGUAACCAACCAUAUAACUCAAAUACGCAUAAAACAACGUCGAACCUUAAGUGUGCAGACCCUGCGGGUUCGAGAACUAUGUAGACAUGACCCGAGAGACUCCUCGGUCAAUAUCCAAUAGCGGGACCUGGAUGCCCAUAUUGGAUCCUACAUAUUCUACGAAGAUCUUAUCGUUUGAACCUCAGUGCCAAGGAUUCAUAUAAUCCCGUAUGUCAUUCCCUUUGUCCUUCGGUAUGUUACUUGCCCGAGAUUCGAUCGUCAGUAUCCGUAUACCUAUUUCAAUCUCGUUUACUGGCAAGUAUCUUUACUCGUUCCGUAAUACAAGAUCCCGCAACUUACACUAAGUUACAUUGCUUGCAAGGCUUGUGUGUGAUGUUGUAUUACCGAGUGGGCCCCGAGAUACCUCUCCGUUCACACGGAGUGACAAAUCCCAGUCUUGAUCCAUACUAACUCAACUAACACCUUCGGAGAUACCUGUAGAGCAUCUUUAUAGUCACCCAGUUACGUUGCGACGUUUGAUACACACAAAGCAUUCCUCCGGUGUCAGUGAGUUAUAUGAUCUCAUGGUCAUAGGAAUAAAUACUUGACACGCAGAAAACAGUAGCAACAAAAUGACACGAUCAACAUGCUACGUCUAUUAGUUUGGGUCUAGUCCAUCACAUGAUUCUCCUAAUGAUGUGAUCCCAUUAUCAAGUGACAACACUUGCCUAUGGCCAGGAAACCUUGACCAUCUUUGAUUAACGAGCUAGUCAACUAGAGGCUUACUAGGGACAGUGUUUUGUCUAUGUAUCCACACAAGUAUUGUGUUUCCAAUCAAUACAAUUAUAGCAUGGAUAAUAAACGAUUAUCAUGAACUAAGAAAUAUAAUAAUAACUAAUUUAUUAUUGCCUCUAGGGCAUAUUUCCAACAGGCAGUAGCAUAUUUGUAAUGUGGGAAAGGCCUCAAAGGCAAGGAAAACAGAUGAAGUAUCCACACCGAAUCAGAGAGUAGUUGCAUCUUGUGAAAGGUUAUUCUCUUUAAUGAGAUAUGUGAAGAAUAAGCAAAGGAACAAAAUGGUGAUGAAUAUUUGAACAAUUAUUUGGUGACAUUUGUUAAGAGAGAAUUUUUCAAUCAAGUUAAGAAUGAAGUUGUAAUCAAUCUCUUCCAAAAAGGCGACUGGAGAGUUAUAUUGUAAGAAGGAUAUCAUCACUUUAUCAAUCAAAAGGUGGUUAUGUAUUCGUGUCGUUAUGGUCUCAUACAUUGAAAUAUUGCUAUUGCCAUUAUGCUAGUGUUAUUUUGUUUAUAUAUUGCUAAUGUUGUGUUGUUUGGUUCAUAUAUUACAUUUAGAGAAAAAGUAAAUUUGGAUGAAUACUCAGCCUUUAUUUCCUAGGCCGCCACUACUCACAGAGGCCAGGGCGACUUCCAUCAUCGGAUGAGCAGGAGGGCGAGGUGGACCCGAAGUUCAUCGCGAAUCGACCAUCGGAGAAGAGACCAUUGGGGGAGGAGGUAUUGGAGCCUGAACGCCACACAGAGAGCGAACAUAUGUCAAGACAAGAAUAUAGUUUCAACUCCGAGCUUCUCGGACAAGUAACGCGUAGGCGCUGCGAUAGCGGUCCAUGUUCGAAUCCCCUAGCGAAAAACCUAGGGUUUCUCUUGCUUCCGAUGCGUGAGCGGGAAUCUAUCUCGUAUCUUCAACGGAUCUCCCCGACGCUCCUCUCUCAUACUCGGGCUGAUCAAGGGGGAACCUCGCAUUCUUUCCCAUCCUUGUUGUGAUGUUUUUCGGAGUUUCAAGGGAAGAAGCUUUAGGGUUUGUUUGUUGAUCAAAGUUUCGGUCGCGAUGGCGGCCGAGGAUCCUGGAUCAUAGAGGAGGGGCAAGGGAGAGUGCAGACGAUCUUCUUGCCCGCCUGAACCUGUAGGAAGAAGAAGAUGAUGACUUCGUCUCAGAAGAGGAGCUUCCUGAUUUGAUGGCGGCGGCCAACUGGCUAGCUAUUGUUAGGGUUGAUACCCCAAAAACCUUUAGUCUGAGUGCGCUCUAUAGGGACAUGCGAGCAGCAUGGAACCCAACUAGGCCUGUGGUUUGGAGGAAUAUCAAUGACAAUAUCUUCACAGCAUAAUUCGGUUGCUUAGCAGACUCGAAGAAGGCUAUGUUUGAAGGUCCAUGGCUCUUCAGGGGACAGGCAGUGAUAUUGAAAGAGUAUGAUGGGUUUAAAAACCCUGAAUCUAUCCAACUGGAAAAAAUAGCAGUGUGGGCGCAGAUUCAUCGACUCCCACACAAUUUUCUGAUAGAUCAAGCAGUUCGAGGGAUGGCCUUUUGCAUAGGUGAGGUGGAGGAGAUUCAACUAAGGCUACCGGCUGUUUUUUUUGGAGAAUUUGUUCAGGUCAAAGUCAAUAUUGAUAUCAAUGCUAAAAUAAAUAGGUUUUUGACACGAAAGAAGGGAAAUGAACGUGUUCGUUAUCAAGUUAAAUACAAAAAGUUACCCACCUUCUGCUUCAACUAUGGGGAAUUUGGCCACUGGUAUGAAAAAUGCGGUGACGGUGAACAUGACGAAUCAGACUUUGGUUGGGGUGAAUUUGUCCUAGCUGAUGUUUUUAGGGAUGGUCAUGAUGGUCAGGGUGUAGCCGAACCCGAGAGAGGAUGAGGUUUUAGAGGAGGUGCAGGAGGAGGAAGAGGAAGGGGGAGGCACGUAUAACCCUAACCAUAGCUGGCGCUUCAAUGCGCAGGAUCAGAACACGAUGAAUACCGGGGGAAGGAUGGAAACUGAAAGGGGAGAGGAUGAACUCUCUGAAACCCCGGAAGGCAACACCUUGGCAGUGGUGCAAGAUAACUUGCAGGUGCAGAAUAAACACCCCUCGGUUGAAAAUGGAGCGAGUUCCAUCUCAGCAAGUCAAGACGUGAUCGCUAAAGAAACGGGGGAUGGCGGGAUGAAUCCAUUAGAUUUGGUGGUGGCUGAAGCCUUCCUCCCGUUUAUAUCUCCCCUUGCAAACAAAUCAAAAGGCACAAGCAAGGGGAGGAAGGAAGUGGCCAGAUAGCAAAGAAGGGCGGUGCCAGAGGGAGAACCUCAGGAGUAGAAGUAACCCAAACCAAUGUCAGAUCGGCGACCUCCCUGGGGGAGGAUCGCCGGGAGCAAUGAAAACCCUAGCAUUGAAUUGUCGGGGGUUACUCUUGCCCACGGCAGUUCGAGAGCUCUUGGAUCUCCAAGGGCGCGUGAGAGCAGAUGUGAUCGUCCUGUCUGAAUCACAUCUGAAUAAUGAUAAGGCAGAAGUUUUGAGAGUUAAGCUAGGAUUUGAUUCGUUUCAUAUAGUAGCUAGUGAUGGCAGGGCCGGUGGGCUUGUACUCUACUAUAAUCCCUCUUAUGAGGUGAUUUUGAACUAUUCCUUGGAUAACUUUAUUGAUGGCCUAAUUAUGGAUGGGAACUCCCGAGCUUGGCGAAUUACAGGGUUCUACAAAGAACCGAGUUCGGAUAGGAAGCAUCUCCCAUGGACAUAUCUUCAGGAUAUUCACGCCAACGAUUCUGGUCCAUGGAUGGUUCUUGGUGAAUUCAAUGAAAUUGCUAACAUGAGUGAAAAGGAAGGUGGUAAUAUCAGACCUGAUCACUACAUGCGGGAUUUCAGAAAUUGCAUAGAGGAUUGUGGCCUCCAGGAAGUCAUGGUGAUAGGGGAUAAUUUCACAUGGAGUAGAGGACCAAUCAGAGAGAAGCUUGACAGGGCCGUGUGCAAUGAGAUGUAGGCGGACAAAUAUCCCCAUGCCGCCCUGAUUCACGAACAUCAUUCCCACCCUGACCAUAGGCCUAUUCUGCUAGACACCGAUUACUUUAAACCAUUCAUGAGGCAACAGACGAAUCGACACAGGUUUGAAGCCCGUUGGUUAGAUGAAAUAACAGUCACUAAGAUCAUCACAUCAACGUGGGAGUGGGCCAAGGCUGCGGGGAUUGGCCCCUCCCUGGCGAACCAGACCAAGGUAGUGUUGCGUGAUAUGCAUGAAUGGGAUCGUGAGAUUCUUAUUAAAAGCCCAAAUAAGAGAAUUAAUAAAUUGCAGAAAGAACUCGAGAAAUUGAGGAGGAAACCGAAUACGGCGGAAGGCCGACAGAAAAUGCAAGAUAUUCAGGUUUUGAUUCAAAAUCUACUCAACCAAGAAGAACUCAUAUGGCUCCAACAGGUCCAUGCAAACUGGUUGUUACAUGGUGACCGUAAUACUGCUUAUUUCCAUAGAGCAGUUUCAGCUCGAAAGAAAUGAAACUGCAUUAAGAAGUUGCUUGAUAAUACCGGGGUGUGGACUGAUAGUGUAGAUGAAAUUAACACAUCUUCUCUACCUAUUUCUCUGACUUGUUCACAACACAUGUUCAUCUGCCGGAUUUGAAUGUGAUAUCUUGGGUGCAGAGACGUGUAACUGAUGCCAUGAACGAGGCCUUUAUGGCCUCAUAUACUCCUGAAGAGGUUAAAAAAGCUCCAUUCUCAAUUGGUGACUUCAAAGCACCCAGACCUGAUGGGUUACAUGCGGUGUUUUAAAAACGGUUUUGGCCAAUGUUGGGGGAAGAUCUGGUUAGGGAAGUUCUUCAUGCUGUCAAUUCACAGGUUAUAUGACGAGCCUGGAAUGAUACUACUAUUGUUAUGAUCUCCAAGAUAAACACACCAUAGACAAUUAAACAAUUCAGGCCUAUUAUCUUGUGCAAUGUGGUUUACAAACUUAUCUCCAAGAUGAUUGCAGCAAGACUAAAAAUUUUGCUGCCAGAAAUCAUCAGCCCCACACAAAGUGCCUUUGUUCCUAGGAGACUCAUCACAUAUAAUGUUCUGAUUGCUUACGAGUGUGUGCAUCAAUUAAACAGAAGAAAAAAGGCAAGGAGGGAUGGUGUGCGGUAAAGUUGGAUAUGCAUAAACAUACGAUCGUGUUGAAUGUGUUUUCUGGAGGGUAUACUUAUCAAAUUGGGAUUUAGGACUGAAUGGAUCAAAACGAUCAUGAGUUGUGUGUCAUGAGUGGAGUAUAGAGUGAGGUAUCAUUCAGUUGAAACGGAUACUAUCAAACCAUUGCGAUGUCUUCGUCAGGGGGAUCCAUUAUCUCCAUAUUUAUUCUUGCUGGUUACUGAGGGACUGACAUCACUUCUUCACCAUGUAGAGCAAUCAAGUGAUCUAUGGGUUUCAAGGUUUUUCAUGAUGCCCCUUCCGUUACGAACCUUCUAUUUAUCGAGGACUCCUUAAUUUUAAUGAAAGCAAAUGUACCGAAUGCAAGUAGCUUGAAAGCUGUUUUGGAUGCUUAUUGCGGCGCUUGUGGCCAACUAGUGAGUGUGGAGAAAUCUAGUAUUUUCGUCAGCCCGAGUACGGAUGUAAACAUCAAGGCUCAGAUUUGUUCCACCCUCAUUAUCAUGACUGAGGCUCUAAAUGACAAAUACUUGGGCCUACCCUCUACCCUUGGACUUGACAAAUCGGACAACUUUCAAUAUUUGAUUGACCGGCUGAUCUUGAGAUUGACGGGACAGAAUGAAAAAUGUCUGUCAUUUGGAGGUAAAGAAGUGCUAAUCAAAUCGGUUUCACAAGCCAUACCAACAUACGCGAUGCCGGCCUUCAAAAUUCCUAAGAAAAUUUGCAAAGGAAUUACAAAUACGAUCUCGAGUUACUGGUGAGGGGAUGGUGCAUCACAUAAGAGAAUGCACCGGUUUGCCUGGUGGAAGAUGUGCGUACCAAAAAGUAGAGGGGGAUUGGGGUUCAAAGACAUCCAUUGUUUCAACGUGCCAUUACUAGCAAAACAAGCUUGGCGACUUAUCGAUGACCCGAAUCUCUCUGUGCUAAGAAUCGCAAAGCAAAAUAUUAUCUCGAUGAUGACAUCAUGAAUGCAAGACUAAAAAAGAAAGCUUCGUUUACAUGGCAAAGCAUAAUGGCUGGAGUGGAAACUCUGAAACAUGGGCAUAUACGGAGGGUUGUUGAUGGCCAAAAGAUUAAUAUAUGGGAUGAUAGUUGGAUCCCACUACCACCAACAAGAAAGGUUAUUUCAAGUAGAGGGGGUCAUCUACUAUCUCAGGUCUCAGACCUCAUUGAUCCAGUGUCAGGUGACUGGGACUCAUCACUGGUUAUUCAAACUUUCUGCUCCAUUGAUGCUCAAAGAAUUCUUGCAAUUCCACUAUCGUUAUACGAAAUUUCAGAUUUCCUGGCAUGGAGCCUCACAAAAUCAGGAGUAUUCACGGUAAAGUCUGCUUACCAUGCUAUAUGGGACUCAAAAUUUGGCCACAAUAAAGAGGGGAUGCCAUGUUCUUCCUCGCCAACAUCUACAUGGGACUCGGUCUGGAGUCUUUGUUGCCUGGCAAAGAUCAAAAUCUUUCUAUGGAGAAUACUUCAAAGUGCCAUACCAUGCCGUUCAAUCUUAGCUGACAGACAUAUCAAAAUUAAGCCAAAUUAUCGAGGUUGCAACUAAGGGCCGGAGAACAUCCGCCACCUCCGUUCGAAUGUCCUGCCGCGGUUCAGGUUUGGAAACUCCUUGGAGUGUUGGAUGUGAUAAAGUGUGGCCUAGCAAUGAACCUAUGUGGAGAGGCAAUGGUUGAUUUCCUGCUAAGUUUACCACACAAUCAUAUCCAUGUGCUGGGCUUGCCGAAGGUGAGAGAAAUGGUGUCAAUAUGCUGCUGGUUCUUGUGGUGCGAAAGGAAGGAAAAGUACUCAUGGAGGUUCCCCACAAACGAUUGAACAAAUCAAUCUUGUUGUCCGAGUUACGGCGGCAAACUUCGUUGCGGCGAAUUCCUUAAAACCAAAAGUUUGCGUGGAUGGCUGGAAGAAACACAAGGAGGGAUUAUGUCAAGUUAAAUGUGGAUGCGAGCUUCGAUCAAGACUCCCUUGAAGGGUCUGUAGGUGCUAUUAUCAGAUAUCACAACGACAAGUUUACUGCUGCUGCAAAUGAAAAAAUAGAAAUCUACUACGACGCUUUCGCUACAGAAGCAAUUGCAGUCAGGUUCGGUCUUAACCUCGCCCAAACAGGUGGAUGCAACAGAGUUGAAGUUAACUCAGAUAAUGUGGAGGUGAUUUUAGCACUCAAGGAAGGAUAUUCAUCUUCGGUGGCCAGCGCAAUUUUUGAUGAUUGUUAUUUUUUGUCUUUAGACUUUGAUCAUAUUGUCUUUGAACACUAUUUUAGAGAGAACAAUAAAGUAGCCCAUGAGUUAGCUAGAUUAGCUAGAUUCAACCCUCACAAAGUUUGGUUAGAUGUAGCCCCAAUAGUUGUUAUUCCUCUCAUUGUAUCCAAUGCUACAAUUGUAGCCAAUUAAUAAAGGGGGUGUGAAUUUCAAAAAACAGAGUGAACAUAACUUGAGGGAGAGCACGAGCAAUCGGACGGGGCCAUCACACCGGAGGACGACAAAGGAAGAAGGGGGCAGCGGCGCCGCACGCCCACAUGCAAGCGUGAACGGGAUAUGCACAUCUUCUCACAUGAGGCACGAGUCAGAGCAGGGGCCUCGGAUCUGGCCUAGGCGGCCGCACGUGAAGGGCAGACUGGGCGACAUUGCGGGCGGACGCUUACCCAACGCAGGAGCUCCGCAUCGUGUAGCUAGCUUUUUGGCUGGAGAGACUUGCGUGAUAUUUGACUUUUAGGUGAGAUCGUGAGAUCAGCCCCAGAAAACAUAUUUAGACAUUUCGAAAAAAUCAUAAAGUGUUUGAUAACAUUUAUGUGGGGUAUAUCUACAACUUCGAAAAAAUCAGCUCAAAACUCGAUGUACAUUUAAGGAUUCAAAAAAGACAAAUUUGAAUGAGAAUAGUAGCAGUUUCGGGUGAUUAGUAUUUUGACACUAUUCACAUUUGAUUUUGUCUUUUUUUAAUUAAUGUAAGUUGAAUUUGGAGCUCAAACUUUUUGAGGUUGUACAUUAAACAUUAAUAUGUGUCUACAAUUUUUUUGAGAAUGAUUGAGCAUGUAUUUUUUUAUAAAUGAUCUCAUAGAUCUCACCUAAUGUGAGAUCUCACACAUGUCUCCCCCUUUCUCAUCCACUCUUGUUUAAAGAAUCUACAAUCGGACCCCUCAUGUCCAUCUCAAACACCCGAGCAGGCUGCUCGGUCACUGACCGAUCAGAAAAUGCGACCCAACCCGACCCCUCAAAUGGGCCUCGAACGNNNNNNNNNNNNNNNNNNNNNNNNNNNNNNNNNNNNNNNNNNNNNNNNNNNNNNNNNNNNNNNNNNNNNNNNNNNNNNNNNNNNNNNNNNNNNNNNNNNNCAGCUGCCACAUACUCAGCUUCGGUUGAUGAUAAGGAGACGCAAUUCUGCUUCUUUGAAGACCAACUUACCAAAGAGCGACCAAGGAAUUGGCAUCCUCCAGACGUUGACUUCCUCUCCACACAAUCUCCUGCCGAAUCUGAGUCAGAAUAGCCAACUAGAUUGAAGUUUGCUCCUUUGGGAUAMMAGAACGACAGUCAGGACUCCACAAAGACUCCUAUGAGCCCGUGCCGCGACCCGGACCGCGGCGGGGCCAGGGGCGGAGGCGGCGCCUCCGGCGAUGGCGAGGGCAAUAACCAAAUACCAGCGGGCGAGAAGGGCGCCUGCUCGCCGGCGGCCACCCCGUCUCCAGUGGGGGCCUGGCUUCCGGGAGUUCAGGAGUCCCAGGAUCUCGACGUUGCUGACUGCGGAGGAGAGAUCGGGGUGGCGAUCGGGAGGGCUAGGAUCGCCAGCCAUUCCGACGGCCUGAUCCGAUCUACCUGUUGUGAUGCCAAGGCGCAUCUCGACGGGACCUCAGCACAUCGGAAGUGGGCGGCGGUGUUCGAGGAUGUCUCCUCUGGAUCUCGUCGGCAGCGCUUUGGAUCAAUAGUGUUGCAUUUACCUUCGCGCUGGGUUACGAUUCGUGACGAAGAUGAUGAUAUUUUGGCUGGCACUUAUUUGCAUGUUGUGUUGCUUAGCAUGCUGUGCUGUAUCUGACCCUAUCUUUGGGUUUGUAAUUUUUUUUCUAUCUUCUCAAUAUAUCAACACACAAGUUUUGUGUUUUUCUCACAAAAAGAACUUGUGCCUUUUUGUUUCUUCUUCUUAUACAAAAUGACGCACAUUUAUAUGCAUGCUCAAGAAAAAAGAGGAUAAAUACAAAAAUAUUUAUGGCCACAUAUGUAUAUACCAGGAAACAGAAGGUGUAUGUCAACAACAGCAAUCCAGGUUGGAAAAGGGAUGUUGGAUAAAAGAACGACAGUCAGGACUCCACAAAGACUCCUAUGAGCCCGUGCCGCGACCCGGACCGCGGCGGGGCCAGGGGCGGAGGCGGCGCCUCCGGCGAUGGCGAGGGCAAUAACCAAAUACCAGSSGGUGAGAAGGGCGCCUGCUCGCCGGCGGCCACCCGUCNNNNNNNNNNNNNNNNNNNNNNNNNNNNNNNNNNNNNNNNNNNNNNNNNNNNNNNNNNNNNNNNNNNNNNNNNNNNNNNNNNNNNNNNNNNNNNNNNNNNUCAAAAAUUGCGCUGGCCACCGAAGAUGAAUAUCCUUCCUUGAGUCUAAAAUCACCUCCACAUUAUCUGAUUAACUUCAACUCUGUUGCAUCCACCUGUUUGGGCGAGGUUAAGACCGAACCUGACUGCAAUUGCUUCUGUAGCGAAAGCGUCGUAGUAGAUUUCUAUUUUUCAUUUGCAGCAGCAGUAAACUUGUCGUUGUGAUAUCGAUAASCAMMUACCAGCRSSCKWSAAGGGMGYCUGCUCGCCGGCGGCCACCCCGUCUCCAGUGGGGGCCUGGCUUCCGGGAGUUCAGGAGUCCCAGGAUCUCGACGUUGCUGACUGCGGAGGAGAGAUCGGGGUGGCGAUCGGGAGGGCUAGGAUCGCCAGCCAUUCCGACGGCCUGAUCCGAUCUACCUGUUGUGAUGCCAAGGCGCAUCUCGACGGGACCUCAGCACAUCGGAAGUGGGCGGCGGUGUUCGAGGAUGUCUCCUCUGGAUCUCGUCGGCAGCGCUUUGGAUCAAUAGUGUUGCAUUUACCUUCGCGCUGGGUUACGAUUCGUGACGAAGAUGAUGAUAUUUUGGCUGGCACUUAUUUGCAUGUUGUGUUGCUUAGCAUGCUGUGCUGUAUCUGACCCUAUCUUUGGGUUUGUAAUUUUUUUCUAUCUUCUCAAUAUAUCAACACACAAGUUUUGUGUUUUUCUCACAAAAAGAACUUGUGCCUUUUUGUUUCUUCUUCUUAUACAAAACGACACACAUUUAUAUGCAUGCUCAAGAAAAAAGAGGAUACAUACCCCCCAAUAGAUUUCACAACUUCUGAAUAUAUGGGCAACUCAACAACCNNNNNNNNNNNNNNNNNNNNNNNNNNNNNNNNNNNNNNNNNNNNNNNNNNNNNNNNNNNNNNNNNNNNNNNNNNNNNNNNNNNNNNNNNNNNNNNNNNNNGCAGGGUCUGCACACUUAAGGUUCGACGUUGUUUUAUGCGUAUUUGAGUUAUAUGGUUGGUUACCGAAUGUUGUUCGGAGUCCCGGAUGAGAUCACGGAUGUCACGAGGGUUUCCGGAAUGGUCCGGAAACGAAGAUUGAUAUAUAGGAUGACCUCAUUUGGUUACCGGAAGGUUUCCGUGCAUUACCAGAAAAGUUUCGGGCUCAUCGGCUAUGGGAAGAGAUAAACCAGCCCCUAGUGGGCUGGAAUAAGUUCCCACUAAGGCCCAUAAGGUUUGAGAAGGAAAAAACACAAGGUGGAAAGAGUUUCCAAGUGGGAAGGUGGAAUCCUACUCCAAGUAGGAUUGGAGUAGGACUCCUCCACCUCCAAUUUCGGCCAAACCCUUUAGGUUUUGAGGCUGCCUCCUCCCCUCCCUCCCAMCUAUAUAUACGGAGGUAUUAGGGCUGAUUUGAGACGACUUUUCCACGGCAGCCCGACCACAUACCUCCAUAGUUUUUCCUCUUAGAUUCGCGUUUCUGCGGAGCUCGGGCGGAGCCCUGCUGAGACGAGAUCAUCGACSWASCUCCGGAGCGCCGUCACGCUGCCGGAGAACUCUUCUACCUCUCCGUCUCUCUUGCUGGAUCAAGAAGGCCGAGAUCAUCAUCGAGCUGUACGUGUGCUGAACGCGGAGGUGCCGUCCGUUCGGUACUAGAUCGUGGGACUGAUCGCGGGAUUGUUCGCGGGGCGGAUCGAGGGACGUGAGGACGUUCCACUACAUCAACCGCGAUCUCUAAUCGCUUCUGCUGUACGAUCUACAAGGGUACGUAGAUCACUCAUCCCCUCUCGUAGAUGGACAUCACCAUGAUAGGUCUUCGUGCGUGUAGGAAAAUUUUUGUUUCCCAUGCGACGUUCCCCAACAACGUCUUCACGUCCCUCGAUCCGCCCCGCGNNNNNNNNNNNNNNNNNNNNNNNNNNNNNNNNNNNNNNNNNNNNNNNNNNNNNNNNNNNNNNNNNNNNNNNNNNNNNNNNNNNNNNNNNNNNNNNNNNNNGAUCUAGUUUCUUUUGCAUUUUUAGCGCAGUCAUCGUUAUAUGACUCCUCAAGAGCCAAACGAAGAGUGCGCUCUUCUUCUAGAGCACUAGAUAAUUCGGAAAUUUCAUCGGCAUAGUCACGACUAUGUCCCUGAAGCUCGGAGAUGGUCUCCUCAUGAGACUCAAUGAGGUCAGUGGCCUCACCCAGUUGUUCCAAGAGAGCCACAAAGUGCUUCUUGGGUUCUCCCUUAAUAGUGCACAGAAACUUAUCAAGAUCAUGCUCAUUAAGUUCCCCAACAUUACUAUCUUCUUGCCCGAGAUUCGAUCGUCAGUAUCCGCAUACCUAUUUCAAUCUCGUUUACCGGCAAGUCUCUUUACUCGUUCCGUAAUACAAGAUCCCGCAACUUACACUAAGUUACAUUGCUUGCAAGGCUUGUGUGUGAUGUUGUAUUACCGAGUGGGCCCCGAGAUAYCUCUCCGUUCACACGGAGUGACAAAUCCCAGUCUUGAUCCAUACUAACUCAACUAACACCUUCGGAGAUACCUGUAGAGCAUCUUUAUAGUCACCCAGUUACGUUGCGACGUUUGAUACACACAAAGCAUUCCUCCGGUGUCAGUGAGUUAUAUGAUCACGUAGNNNNNNNNNNNNNNNNNNNNNNNNNNNNNNNNNNNNNNNNNNNNNNNNNNNNNNNNNNNNNNNNNNNNNNNNNNNNNNNNNNNNNNNNNNNNNNNNNNNNCAUGAGGUUUUUGAUCACACCUGGGCCACACUUGCUCAUCUGAAGACUUCGGCAUAACUUGAAGAAUUGGACUUUGUGCGAGCCUUCGACUGGUCGUGCAUAGUUUAUGCCUAAGUAAUUUUGGUGAUUGAUGACAGUACCGUACAGGACUAACCGUGUGUGUUAAGGUUUCAGAUAACACACGUCAACAGCACAAGACGACACGUCUCCUCAUUCAUGGAAUGGAAGCACGGCGCUCUCUACGAUUCUCUUUAUUUGAGUCAUAGGAAAGCCGUACUAUUAAGAGGGGAUCCAUAGUGGAAAGGUUUGGGUGGAAUCUAUCUUUGCACGCGCACACUUCACAUUCUCCCUUUCCUUCAUCUUUGGAGCAGGCCCCGCCACUUUGUUUCUAGCAUCUUUGCAAAUGGUCCCCAGCGGUAAUACCGCUGGUUCUAGCGGUAGUACCGCUGGACUGCUAGCAGUAGUACCGCUGCAGCCAGCGGUAGUACCGCUAGCUGGCGGUAGUACCGCCCCUGGCCAGCGGUAGUACCGCUCCAGGAACUUUGCUCCACCUGCCUAGCCUUGUGUGCGACCUUCUUGAAGGACUGAUUCUUGGGUUGCAGACCUGAGGUGGCAGACCCCUUGGGCGCCUCUUGGUUGCGAUACUGUUUUGACUGCGUGUCCCGUGGGGGGUUCGAACGGCGAGAAGAGCUACCUGUGACACAGAACACACAGCGAAAAGAGGCGACAAGAAGAGUCAAGGCAAUGAAUCUUGAAAACGCAGAAAAAGUAAACACACAUUGCUAAGCACAAAACACAAAAAAAUACACAGUGAAUGCUCCUNNNNNNNNNNNNNNNNNNNNNNNNNNNNNNNNNNNNNNNNNNNNNNNNNNNNNNNNNNNNNNNNNNNNNNNNNNNNNNNNNNNNNNNNNNNNNNNNNNNNAAUAAGAAUAGAUGAAGUUUUUUGAUAGCAUUGAUGCAAUGUACUCGAUAUUGUUUCUUCAGAAGGUGCACCGUAUGCUCAUUACCGUUGACAUGGAAAGUGGCAUUGCCUUUGUUGCAAUCUAUAACAGCCCCUACAGUGUUUAAAAAGGGUCUUCCGAGGUUGGGAAAGGAAUCAAAGAAGAAGAAAUACAAGGAUGACAGUUCUGAUGACUACGAAGAAAGAAGAAGAAAUACUUCAAAACUCCUCAUCUUCAAAGCCCUCAUCGCACAAGAAGACUAGUUUCAGAAAGGCUCGGGCACUUAUUGGACAAGGAAAUGGAUUCCGAGGCAGAAUCAGAGGAAUGUGAUGAAGAAGAGGGUUCUGAUGAAGACUCAGAAUCCGGACAGGAUAGUCUUGCACCUGCAACCACUUACGUCACCAAGUCAAUCUUCAACCUUGAAGAAGAUGAUAACACCAUCCACACUGAUGACUAUGCUGAUGACUUCGCUCCAACCUAUUGCUUCAUGUCAAAAGGUUCAAAUAUGAUGAGCGCGGGUGUAGCGACGAUGACGAUGGAGCUCGAGGAAAUGGCAGCAUAUCAAAAAUGUGCUAGAGGACUAAGCUCUGAAUACCAUAUAAGUUUGGUUGAAGCGUAUGCCUAAUAGGGAUGCGUUGCAUGUUUAUACAGGCAAGGUUUAGGAUUUACAAGAUUCGAUGGUUCGGUGAGAUUAUAGAUUGAUCACCAAGUUAACUAUGCAGAUAAGGAUCGAUCAUAACCACCUGAACCAACUGAAUGAAAACAGAAAAUAAGACCGAACCUGACUGCAAUUGCUUCUGUAGCGAAAGCGUCGUAGUAGAUUUCUAUUUUUUCUAUUUGCAGCAGCAGUAAACUUGUCGUUGUGAUAUCUGAUAAUAGCACCUACAGACCCUUCAAGGGAGUCUUGAUCGAAGCUCGCAUCCACAUUUAACUUGACAUAAAUCCCUCCUUGUGUUUCUUCCAGCCAUCCACGCAAACUUUUGGUUUAAGAAUUCGCCGCAACGAAGUUUGCCCNNNNNNNNNNNNNNNNNNNNNNNNNNNNNNNNNNNNNNNNNNNNNNNNNNNNNNNNNNNNNNNNNNNNNNNNNNNNNNNNNNNNNNNNNNNNNNNNNNNNCUUCCAACCAUUUGUCGGAAUCUGGGCCCACCAUCGCUUUCUCCAUAACUCGUAGGUUCACUGUUGCUCAACAACAUGACCUCCAAGACAGGGUUACCGUACCACUCUGUAGUAGUACGCGACCUUGUCAACCUACGAGGCUUGUAGUAACUUGAUCUGAUGCUCGAUGAUCACCAUCAUCAAGCCAUUCUGCAAUAACUCUAUAGAAGCAACAACUUUUCUAGUGCUUCCCAAGAUCACAGUAACCCUGUCAAGUUUGGUAAAUUAUAUACUGAGUUAAUAUCAUAACAAGAUAGGUGGAUAAUCAACGCAAAUGAGUUAGGUCACAAUAAAGGAUGAAAAAAAAUUAUCAGCACUGUUAUGUAACGACUAAGAUUCAUUGAUAAAGGAAAUAGUUCUGCAUCUGAAACAUGAUAAGAAACUGCUUUGCUUAAGUCACAAUAAAGGACGGAAAAAUACUAACUCCCUCCGGUCCAUAUUACUUGUCGCUCACUUAGUACAACUUUAAGUCAUUGAUAUAAGAAAUAGUUCUAGACCUGAUAAUACAUGAUAAGAACCUAGCUCAUGAUGCCACUGUUGGGGAACGUCGCAAGGGAACAAAAUUUUCCUACGCGCACGAAGACCUAUCAUGGUGAUGUCCAUCUACGAGAGGGGAUNNNNNNNNNNNNNNNNNNNNNNNNNNNNNNNNNNNNNNNNNNNNNNNNNNNNNNNNNNNNNNNNNNNNNNNNNNNNNNNNNNNNNNNNNNNNNNNNNNNNUACGUCGGCUGAAGAUUUGCUGUUGGACUUGAGGCGAUACAAGAAUUGCAGACUCUGGGUUGAGCACGACGAAAGCAUUGUCUUGGUCUGGUGCAUUUUCCUCAGCAUGGUCCUCAGGGUGAGGAAUUUCAUCAGCUUGAGUUUCAGGCUGAGGAGCAUGCUCUUGUUGCGCUUUAGGCUGAGGAAUGGGGUCUGGUUGAGCUUCAGGCUGAGGAAUGUCGUCAACUGGAGCAUCGUGUUGAAGGUUUUGCUCUGCAAACAUAUUAGGAGUGAUAAUGGAACAGAGUUCAAAACACUGGUCUUGAUGAACUUGGUAUUACUCACGAAUUAGCUGCUCCUUAUACYCCUCARCAAAAYGRYRUSGYMGAAAGGAAGAACCGGACCUUGAUAGACGCUGCAAGGACAAUGAUGGCAGAACUCAAAUCUCCAUAUAACUUCUGGGCAGAGGCCAUCAACACAGCAUGUCAUGCAUCCAAUCGGCUCUACAUCCGCAAAGGCUUGAACAAGACUCCGUAUGAGAUUCUAACUGGAAACAAACCCAAUCUCAAGUACUUCCGGGUAUUCGGUUGUAAGUGUUUCAUUCUCAAAAAAGGAGCACGGUUAAUGAUGUAUCAGUCCUUGAUGAUUUGAAACCAAGCCUUUGGAGUUUUUCACUCAACUUGGAGUACCAUGCUCUAGGUGCUGGUUUCAACCCUGAAAGGNUCGAUAUGGUUGGCUAGAGGGGGGGUGAAUAGACAACGACCACUUUUUAAUAAUCUUAGCAAGUUAAGGUAACACCAUACGGGUUCACAAAUAAUACGACAAUGAGGUGAANNNNNNNNNNNNNNNNNNNNNNNNNNNNNNNNNNNNNNNNNNNNNNNNNNNNNNNNNNNNNNNNNNNNNNNNNNNNNNNNNNNNNNNNNNNNNNNNNNNNCUACGUCGUACCGCACCUGAUGUGUGCCUUGACUCAAAAUAUGAUGAGAGGUACAGAGAGUGAUCCAUGAUUGAAUCACUAGCAGCGGUACAAAUUUAUCCUUAGUAACUAAUGGACUAAGGAAUUUUUCUCGAUUAUGGAGGUGGUUGAAGAGUUCGUCGUAAAGGCUUACGUCGAUGCAAGCUUUGACACUAAUCCGAAUAACUAUGAGUAGUGAAACGGAUUCGUAUAGUAGAGUAUGGCGAAAUAGGGGAUGCUUCGUCAGAGAACUCGACGUUCAGUAUCGGCAUCAGUCCAAAGCGAUGUUUCUAGCCAUCCUUGCUACCAAUUGAGGUUCUCCUCUGAAACUCUCGCUACAAGGCCUUGGAUACUUUUUGGAAGAAAAAAACUGAACAGUGAGACGACGAUAACUUUGUACAUCUUGCAUUACUAGUUUUGAAACAUAGUCUUGGGAGAGCGGUACAAUAGAAGAUGAAUGUCGUACAGCACACCCCAGAGACUGGUUUCAUCGCUAUGAGUAACUCCGUUGCUCAAAGAUGACCGGCGAGUGUCGGUUUCUCCAACUUUAGUUGAAUCGGAUUUGACCGAGGAGGUCCUUGGAUGAGGUUAAAUAGCAAUUCAUAUAUCUCCGUUGUGGUGUUUGCGUAAGUAAGAUGCGAUCCUACUAGAUACCCAUGAUCACCACGUAAAACAUGCAACAACAAUUAGAGGACGUCUAACUUGUUUUGUCAGGGUAUGCUUGUGAUGUUAUAUGUCCUAACGNNNNNNNNNNNNNNNNNNNNNNNNNNNNNNNNNNNNNNNNNNNNNNNNNNNNNNNNNNNNNNNNNNNNNNNNNNNNNNNNNNNNNNNNNNNNNNNNNNNNGGGCAUCAUGAAAAACCUUGAAACCCAUAGAUCACUUGAUUGCUCUACAUGGUGAAGAAGUGAUGUCAGUCCCUCAGUAACCAGCAAGAAUAAAUAUGGAGAUAAUGGAUCCCCCUGACGAAGACAUCGCAAUGGUUUGAUAGUAUCCGUUUCAACUGAAUGAUAAGCUUGAUCUUAGCAUGUACUCCGUAUGUAUGUUCCGUAAAGUGUAUGUUGAUCAAGUAUGGGGAAUGUGGUGGGCAUUUGACUAAUGAAACAGUGGAGGGGAUUUGCCUAUGACAUCCUUUGUGUUCAUAUCUUGGAAAUAAGAGAGAUAAUGGUCAGUAUGUGUGGCUUUGCAUGUGAAAGGGAGAGGAAAUGUGAACUAGGGAAAAGGAAAGAAAAGGUCAAUUCUGCAUAGGGAAAUGAUGUGCAAGACAUAAACUCUAUAGAAAGCACUGACUUAGCAGUGAUACUUGGGCUUGCACAGUGAUCGACUGMUUUCUACUCAUUUCUCCUUUCGGAUGAAGCUUUGUGCAUGAAAACUUGUCAUUCUCACAUGCACUCUGCUGCUCACGCAUGCUCUCUCCAUCACACACAAAAAGGAUAACCAGAUGAAAACACAGGGCUCGCGACGUAGNNNNNNNNNNNNNNNNNNNNNNNNNNNNNNNNNNNNNNNNNNNNNNNNNNNNNNNNNNNNNNNNNNNNNNNNNNNNNNNNNNNNNNNNNNNNNNNNNNNNACUUGACAGUGAUCCCAAUGGAAAGGCAGUGGAUCAAAAGUAUACCGUCUCCAUGAUUGGAUCCCUCCUUUACCUUUGUGCAUCAGACCGGNUAUUAUGUUGAGUGUAGGGAUAUGUGCACGGUUUCAAUCCGCACCAAAAGAAAGUCAUUACAUGGYRYUYAUUUGUCAUGUUGUGUUGCUUAGCAUGCUGUGCUGUAUCUGACCCUAUCUUUGGGUUUGUAAUUUUUUUUUCUAUCUUCUCAAUAUAUCAACACACAAGUUUUGUGUUUUUCUCACAAAAAGAACUUGUGCCUUUUUGUUUCUUCUUCUUAUACAAAAUGACGCACAUUUAUAUGCAUGCUCAAGAAAAAAGAGGAUAAAUACAAAAAUAUUUAUGGCCACAUAUGUAUAUACCAGGAAACAGAAGGUGUAUGUCAACAACAGCAAUCCAGGUUGGAAAAGGGAUGUUGGAUAAAAGAACGACAGUCAGGACUCCACAAAGACUCCUAUGAGCCCGUGCCGCGACCCGGACCGCGGCGGGGCCAGGGGCGGAGGCGGCGCCUCCGGCGAUGGCGAGGGCAAUAACCAAAUACCAGCGGGCGAGAAGGGCGCCUGCUCGCCGGCGGCCACCCCGUCUCCAGUGGGGGCCUGGCUUCCGGGAGUUCAGGAGUCCCAGGAUCUCGACGUUGCUGACUGCGGAGGAGAGAUCGGGGUGGCGAUCGGGAGGGCUAGGAUCGCCAGCCAUUCCGACGGCCUGAUCCGAUCUACCUGUUGUGAUGCCAAGGCGCAUCUCGACGGGACCUCAGCACAUCGGAAGUGGGCGGCGGUGUUCGAGGAUGUCUCCUCUGGAUCUCGUCGGCAGCGCUUUGGAUCAAUAGUGUUGCAUUUACCUUCGCGCUGGGUUACGAUUCGUGACGAGAUGAUGAUAUUCGACUAGNNNNNNNNNNNNNNNNNNNNNNNNNNNNNNNNNNNNNNNNNNNNNNNNNNNNNNNNNNNNNNNNNNNNNNNNNNNNNNNNNNNNNNNNNNNNNNNNNNNNAGACAAGUCGCCGGCUCCAUCUUCAGAAAAUGUGGAGCCCUGGCUUCCGGAUCUUAGUGAAGCUACACUUGGUUAGAGAGUUCCUCGUACCCACUCAGAUUUAGGAGUUCUUCAACAGGUGAAUGCGAGGCGCAGGGAAGGUAAAUGCAACACUAUUGAUCCAAAGCGCUGCCGACGAGAUCCAGAGGAGACAUCCUCGAACACCGCCGCCCACUUCCGAUGUGCUGAGGUCCCGUCGAGAUGCGCCUUGGCAUCACAACAGGUAGAUCGGAUCAGGCCGUCGGAAUGGCUGGCGAUCCUAGCCCUCCCGAUCGCCCCACCCCGAUCUCUCCUCCGCAGUCAGCAACGUCGAGAUCCUGGGACUCCUGAACUCCCGGAAGCCAGGCCCCCACUGGAGACGGGGUGGCCGCCGUCGAGCAGGCGCCCUUCUCGCCCGCUGGUAUUUGGUUAUUGCCCUCGCCAUCGCCGGAGGCGCCGCCUCCGCCCCUGGCCCCGCCGCGGUCCGGGUCGCGGCACGGGCUCAUAGGAGUCUUUGUGGAGUCCUGACUGUCGUUCUUUUAUCCAACAUCCCUUUUCCAACCUGGAUUGCUGUUGUUGACAUACCGACGUAGCCCGGGCUACGUCGAAACGAUCAUGAGUUGUGUGUCAUGAGUGGAGUAUAGAGUGAGGUAUCAUUCAGUUGAAACGGAUACUAUCGAAACCAUUGCGAUGUCUUCGUCAGGGGGAUCCGAUUAUCUUCCAUAUUUAUUCUUGCUGGUUACUGUAGGACUAGACAUCACUUCUUCACCAUGUAGAGCAAUCNNNNNNNNNNNNNNNNNNNNNNNNNNNNNNNNNNNNNNNNNNNNNNNNNNNNNNNNNNNNNNNNNNNNNNNNNNNNNNNNNNNNNNNNNNNNNNNNNNNNUGGCAAGUAUCUUUACUCGUUCCGUAAUACAAGAUCCCGCAACUUACACUAAGUUACAUUGCUUGCAAGGCUUGUGUGUGAUGUUGUAUUACCGAGUGGGCCCCGAGAUACCUCUCCGUUCACACGGAGUGACAAAUCCCAGUCUUGAUCCAUACUAACUCAACUAACACCUUCGGAGAUACCUGUAGAGCAUCUUUAGCUUAGCAUGCUGUGCUGUAUCUGACCCUAUCUUUGGGUUUGUAAUUUUUUUCUAUCUUCUCAAUAUAUCAACACACAAGUUUUGUGUUUUUCUCACAAAAAGAACUUGUGCCUUUUUGUUUCUUCUUCUUUAUACAAAAUGACGCACAUUUAUAUGCAUGCUCAAGAAAAAGAGGAUAAAUACAAAAUAUUUAUGGCCACAUAUGUAUAUACCAGGAAACAGAAGGUGUAUGUCAACAACAGCAAUCCAGGUUGGAAAAGGGAUGUUGGAUAAAAGAACGACAGUCAGGACUCCACAAAGACUCCUAUGAGCCCGUGCCGCGACCCGGACCGCGGCGGAGAUUCUAACUGGAAACAAACCCAAUCUCAAGUACUUCCGGGUAUUCGGUUGUAAGUGUUUCAUUCUCAAAAAAAGGAGCACGGUUAGCUAAAUUUGAUUCUAGAGCACAUGAGGGUAUCUUUGUUGGUUAUGCUACAAACUCUCAUGCUUAUCGUGUCCUCAACAAGUCCACCGGACUAAUUGAGGAGACGUGUNNNNNNNNNNNNNNNNNNNNNNNNNNNNNNNNNNNNNNNNNNNNNNNNNNNNNNNNNNNNNNNNNNNNNNNNNNNNNNNNNNNNNNNNNNNNNNNNNNNNUGAGUGUAUCUCAGGAUGGCAAGUACUUUAGUAGAUUGAGAACUAUGUGCCAAAGGUGGUCUGAGAAGAUCGGGAUUUAUAUUUCAAGAAGGCUCGGGAUUGAGAAAAGAUGAUGUAGACUAUCCUUUUGAGUUUACUAUUAUUGAGUAUAGGGAUCCCGCACUAUUAAGAGGGGAUCACAGGUUUUGCGAUGAACUUGCUCAUACCACAUCUUCACUAUCCUACCCAAUACCACAUAUUCUCUACUCUGUUCCUAUCUCAAAACAGGUCUAUUGCCUCGGACUUCCGGCUCCCUCCGGACGUCUGAGGGCCGGACGACCGGCAGGCUUCGGAAAUCCGGAGCCCUCCACCAAAAGUAUUGGAGUCAUAUAACUCAGAAUUCCGGCUCCCUCCGGACAUCCGAGGGCCGGACGUCCGACCAGCUUCAGAAAUUCGGAGCCCUGCACCAGAAGAACAUGAGCUCUAUAACUCGGAUUUCCGGCUCCCUCCGGACGUCCGAGGGCCGGACGUCAUUCCCCUUUUGGAAAUCCGGGACCUCCCACCAGAAGAAGUUGAGUUGAAUAACUCGGAUUUCCGGCCUUCUUCGGACGUCCAGUCGCUGUUCAAUUCACAAUGUUUCCAGUCAUAGCUACAUCCCUCGGAUGACUGACCUCUGUCGGACGUCCGACCCCUUCCAGAUGCCCGGACUUCCGAGAACUGCCGGACGUCCGGACCAUGUGUGACUUAAAGUGUCCCCAACGGCUGUUUUACACUCCCCACUAUAUAUACCCCUCACCCACUUCGUGAGAGAGUGUUCAACACAUCUAGAAUACAUCCAAGAACACCUUUCUUCUCACUCACUCUUGUCUACACCAAAUCUUAGACCCCAAGAGCAUUUGUGAGUCCCUUUGAGUGUUGUUCCAAUCAAAAGAUAGAUCGUCUCCCUCUCCUCCUUCCCACCAAAGUGAUUUGUGAUUUGAGCAAGUUUUGAGCAAUCCCCGUGAUCUUGUUACUCUUGGAUGUUGGAGACUCCUAGGCGGUAGGAGUCUUCGGAGAGGAAUCAAACCAUUGGGAUUUCCCCCGGAAAGUUUGUGAAGGUUUGGAAGCCACCUCAAGGCUUACCACUAGUGGUUGAGAAACGCCUUCGUGGAGUUAUCUCAAAGGGAGAAUAGGGUGAGCCUUCGUGGCGUUGGUGUGCCUUCGUGGUAACAUCCGCCCCUCUAACGGUGACGUAGCUUCCCUCCAAGUAAGUGAACAUCGGGAUACAUCCUUGUCUCUCUUGGAGUUUCGGUUAUUCCUAACCCUAACUCUCUACUUGUGUUAAUCCUUAUUACGUACUUGUAUUUGAUUAUUGUUUACCGCUUGUCUUACUUUACUCUAAAUAGCUUACUCCUUGUCGUAGCAAUUAUUAGGCCUACACUCAUAUUCCACACUUUUGCCUAAAAUUGCUAUGUACUUAUUAAAAUUUGGAAUUGUACCUAUUCACCCCCCUCUAGGUCCAUCUCGAUCCUUUUCACCUUCGCCGCCAUGGAGACCAUGGACCAGAGGGGAAACCCUUCUCCCAUCUAGGGAGGAGGUCAAGGAAGAAGAAGAAGGAGGGGGGCUCUCUCCCCCUCUCUCCCGGCGGCGCCAGAACACCGCCCGGGACAUCAUCGUGUGACGACGAUCUACACCAACACCUCCGUCAUCUUCACCAACAUCUCCAUCAUCUUCCCCCAUCUAUAUUCAGCGGUUCACUCUCCCUCAACCCGCUGCACCCUCUACUUGAACAUGGUGCUUUAUGCUACAUAUUAUUAUCCAAUGAUGUGUUGCUAUCCUAUGAUGUCUGAGUAGAUUAUCGUUGUCCUAUCGGUGAUUGAUGAAUUGCUAUGAUUGGUUUAAUUUGCUUGUGGUUAUGUUGCUGUCCUUUGGUGCCCAUCAUAUGAUCGCGCGCGUGGAGCACACCAUAGGGUUAGUUGUAUGUUGAUAGGACUAUGUAUUGGCAGGCUAGAGUGACAGAAGCUUCAAACCUAGCAUAGAAAUUGAUGCAUAUGGGAUUGAAGGGGGGCCAAUAUAUCUUAUUGCUAUGGUUGGGUUUUACCUUAAUGAACGUUAGUAGUUGCGGACGCUUGCUAAUAGUUCCAAUCAUAAGUGCAUAGAAUUCCAAGUAAGGUAUGACAUGCUAGCACAGGCCUCUCCCACAUGAUACGUGCUAUCGAUCUAGUAACGUAGUCAAUUGCUUAGGGACAAUUCCGCAACUCCUAUCACCACUUUUCCACACUCGUUAGACACUCGUAUUUGUUCCUUUUUCUAACCAGCCCCUAGUUUUAUUUACGUGUUCUUUACUUUCUUGCAAGCCUAUCCUAUCACUCCUACAAAGUACUUAUAGUUUCAUACGUGUUCUAGGUAAAGCGAACGUAAAGUGUGCGUAGAGUUGUAUCUGUGGUCGAUAGAACUUGAGGGAAUAUUUGUCCUGCCUUUAGCUCCUCUUGGGUUCGACACUCUUACUUAUCGAGAAAGGCUACAAUUGAUCCCCUAUACUUGUGGGUUAUCAGAUACCUGUAGAGCAUCUUUAUAGUCACCCAGUUAUGUUGUGACGUUUGGUACACACAAGGAAUUCCUCCGGUGCCAGUGAGUUAUAUGAUCUAAUGGUCAUAGGAAUAAAUACUUGACACGCAGAAAAACAGUAGCAACAAAAUGACACGAUCAACAUGCUACGUUCAUUAGUUUGGGUCUAGUCCAUCACAUGAUUCUCCUAAUGAUGUGAUCCCGUUAUCAAGUGACAACACUUUCCUAUGGUCAGGAAACCUUGACCAUCUUUGAUCAACGAGCUAGUCAACUAGAGGCUUACUAGGGACAGUGUUUUGUCUAUGUAUCCACACAAGUAUUGUGUUUCCAAUCAAUACAAUUAUAGCAUGGAUAAUAAACGAUUAUCAUGAACAAAGAAAUAUAAUAAUAACUAAUUUAUUAUUGCCUCUAGGGCAUAUUUCCAACAGAUAUCUGUGGGGCAUGGCAUUUUCUCGAUCACAUCAAGCUUAGCCUUAUCAACUUCAAUACCUCUUUCAGAAAUUUUAUGUCCUAAGAUGAUGCCUUCAUUAACCAUAAAGUGGCACUUCUCCCAAUUCAAGAUAAGAUUGGUAUCUUUACAUUUCUGCAAGACUCGAUCAAGGUUGGUGAGGCAAUCAUCAAAAGAAGACCCGUAAACGGAGAAGUCAUCCAUGAAAACCUCAACAAUCUUUUCACAAAAGUUAGAGAAUAUAGCCAUCAUACAUCUUUGAAAGGUGGCAGGUGCAUUACAUAAGCCAAAAGGCAUACGUCUGUAAGCAAAGGUACCGAAAGGGCAGGUGAAAGUGGUUUUCUCCUGAUCAGAUUUUGCAACUGGUAUUUGGGAGAAACCAGAAUAACCAUCUAGAAAGUAGAAGUGUGUGUGUUUAGACAGUCUUUCUAUCAUUUGGUCGAUAAAAGGCAAAGGGUAAUGAUCUUUCCUAGUGGCUUUAUUCAAUUUCCUAAAAUCGAUCACCAUCCUAUAGCUGGUAAUAAUCCUCUGUGGGAUCAAUUCAUCCUUAUCAUUAGGGACAACGGUAAUACCUCCCUUCUUAGGGACGUAAUGCACCGGACUUAGCCAAUCACUAUGAGCAACAGGAUAGACAAUACCUGCUUCCAGGAGCUUUAGUAUUUCUUUUCUUACUACCUCUUUCGUCUUAGGAUUUAAUCUCCGUUGAUGAUCGGCAACUGGUUUGGAAUCAGGAUCGGUUUUAAUCUUGUGUUGGCAUAGAGUGGUACUAAUGCCCUUAAGAUCAUCAAGAGUAUAUCCAAUAGCAGCACGGUGCUUCCUCAGAGUUUUUAGUAACUUCUUCUCUUCAUGCUUUGAGAGGCUAGCACUAAUAAUAACAGGAUAUAUCUCUUUUUCAUCAAGAUAAGCAUACUUAAGAGUAUCAGGCAAUUGUUUAAGCUUGAACACAGGAUCACCCUUUGGUGGGGGUGGACCUCCAAGCAAUUCAACACGCAAAUUACUGUUCAAAGAUAACUCUAUCUAUCUCAUCCCUUUCAUCCAUAUGCAUAUCAUUUUCAUGCUCAAGCAAGUAUUGCUCUAAGGGAUCAGCAGGAGGCACAUCAAUAUAAGCUAGGGCAAUAGUUUCUUCCUUACUAGACAACUCUUUUUCAUGAGGUUGUCUACCAAACUUGGAGAAAUUGAACUCAUGUGACACACCUUGAAAGCCAACAGUGACAGUUUGCUUCUCACAGUCAAUAUGAGCAUUGACAGUAUUGAGGAAGGGUCUGCCAAAUAUGAUGGGACAAAAGCUAUCUUGUGUGGUAGCAAGAACGAGGAAAUUAGCAGGAUACUUCGUUUUACCACACAAGACUUCAACAUCUCUAACAAUUCCCAAAGGGCAGAUAAUAUCUCUAUUGGCAAGCUGAAUAGUGACAUCAAUGGGUUCUAUCUCGACAGGUGCAAUCUCGUCUUUGAUUUCAUCAUAUAAGGAUCGAGGUAUUGCACUAACACUAGCACCCACAUCACAUAAACCAUGAUAACAAUGAUCUCCUAUCUUAACAGAAACAAUAGGCGUGCCAACAACAGGCCUUUGUUUGUCUCUAACAUGAGGUUUAGCAAUUCUAGCAGCAUCUUACAGAAGUGAAUAUCAUGGCCAUCAACAUUGUCGGGCAGGAGAUCUUUGAUAAUAGCAACGCUAGGUUCAACUCUAAUUUUCUCAGGGGGUGUACGUGUUCUAAUGUAGCCCCUACGUAUCACAGUUGAAGCUUUAGAAUGAUCCUUUAUCCUAACAGGGAAGGGUGGUUUCUCAAUGUAAGCAGUGGGAAAAAUAGGAUCAUUAUAGGCAAUGAUUUCUCUUCAACUGGAUUGGGUUUAACUACAUUGACUUCUAUGGGAGGAUGAUAUUUAAACCACUUCUCUUUGGGCAGAUCAAUAUGAGCAGCAAAUGAUUCACACAAUGAAGCUACUAUCUCAGAGUCAAGUCCAUACUUAGCGCUAAAAUCACAAAAAGUGUUUGUUUCGACAAAGGAUUUAACGAAAUCAAACUUGAAAUUCAUACCUGACUCCUUACCUUCAUCAAGCUUCCAAUAUUCAGAGUUGCGUUUAAUUCUUUCCAAUAAAUUCCAUUUGAAGUCAAUAUAUCUCUUCAUAAAAGAAUCGGUACAAGAAGUGUGAAGCAUGGUGCGAUCAUCAUGAGAAAGCCGAGCAUAGAAGUUCUGAAUAAUAAUUUCUCUCGAGAGCUCAUGGUUGGGGCAUGAAUAUAACAUUGAUUUAAGCCUCCCCCAAGCUUGAGCGAUGCUUUCUCUGUCACGAGGCCAAAAAUUAUAAAUAUAAUUCCGAUCACGAUGUACUAGAUGCAUAGGAUAAAACUUUUGAUGAAAUUCCAAUUUCAACCGGUUGUAGUUCCAUGAUCCAGUAUCAUCACAUAGCCAAUACCAUGUCAAUGCUUUAUCCCUCAAAGAUAAGGGAAAUACCUUCUUCUUGACCUCAUCCUCGGGCAAACCCGCAAGCUUAAAUAAACCACAAACUUCAUCUACGUAGAUUAGAUGCAAGUCUGGAUGUGAUGUUCCAUCUCCUGUAAAAGGAUUAGCAAGCAGUUUCUCAAGCAUACCCGAAGGAAAUUCAUAGAAAAUAUUUUCAGUAGGUACAACAAGUUGAGGAGCAAAUCCUUGUGCUUCCGUUCGAGGUGAAGAUACCCCGAACAAGCUCCUCAAAGGAUUAGUUUCCAUAGUGACAAGUGACAAUAAAUUUCAGCACACUAUAUAAAUGUUUCCUUACCAAAUUCCACAUACCAAAGUCUCUUCACUCCCCGGCAACGGCGCCAUAAAAGAGUCUUGAUGACCCACAUGUAUAGGGAUCUAUCGUAGUCCUUUCAAUAAGUAAGAGUGUCGAACCCAACGAGGAGCAGAAGUUUCUGACAAGUGGUUUUCACCAAGUUAUUCUGUGCAAGCACUGAAAUUAUCGGCAACAGAUAGUGGUGUGGUGAGAUGAUUUGCAGCAAGUAGAAAGUAACAACGGUAACAAAGGUGCAGCAAAGUGGCCCAAUCCCUUUUUGUAGCAAGGGACAAGCCUGAAAAAACUCUUAUAGGAGGUAAAGCGCUCCCGAGGACACAUGGGAAUUUGUGUCAUGCUAGUUUUCAUCAUGUUCAUAUGAUUCGCGUUCGCUACUUUGAUAGUUUGAUAUGUGGGUGGACCGGCGCUUGGGUACUUCCCAUACUUGGACAAGCAUCCCACUUAUGAUUAACCCCUCUCGCAAGCAUCCGCAGCUACGGAAUAAGAAUUAAGACAAAGUCUAACCAUAGCAUUAAACUAGUGGAUCCAAAUCAGCCCCUUACUAAGGAACGCAUAAACUAGGGUUUAAGCUUCUGUCACUCUAGCAACCCAUCAUCUACUUACUACUUCCCAAUGCCUUCCUCUAGGCCCAAAUAAUGGGGAAGUGUUAUGUAGUCGACGUUCACAUAACAACACUAGAGGAAAAACAACAUACAACACAUCAAAUUAUCGAACGAAUACCAAAUUCACAUGACUACUUAUAGCAAGACUUAUCCCAUGUCCUCAGGAACAAAAGUAACUACUCACAAUGCAUAAUCAUAUUCAUGACCAAAGAGGUAAUGAAUAGAAUCAAGGAUCUCAACAUAUAAUCUUCCACCAAGUAAUCCAACUAGCAUCAACUACAAAGAGUAAUUAACACUACUAGCAACCUUACAAGUACCAAUCGGAGUCGCGAGACGGAGAUUGGUUACAAGAGAUGAACUAGGGUUUGGAGAUGAGAUGGUGCUGAUGAAGAUGUUGAUGGUGAUGAGUCCCCUCCGAUGAGAGGAGUGUUGGUGAUGACGAUGGUGACGAUUUCCCCCUUCGGGAGGAAAGUUUCCCCGGCAGGAUGACCCUGCCGGAGCUCUAGAUUGGUUCUGCUCAAGUUCCGCCUCGUGGCGGCGGCGAUUCCUCCCGAAAGCCUCCUCCUGAUUUUUCUGGAACGAAACCCUUCUUAUAGCAAAAGAGGGGGGCCAGAGGGCCAGCAGGGAGCCCACAAGCCCCCUAGGCACGGCGAGGGGGGCGCCUAGCACGCUUGUGGCCUCCUGCUGGCUCCCCUCUGGUACUUCUUCGGCCCGGUAUUUUUAUAAAUUCCAAAAUAAAUCCUCAUUGAUUUUCACGGCUUUUGGAGUUGCGCAGAAUAGGUAUCUCAAACUUGCUCCUUUUGUAGGCCAGAAUUCGAGCUGCCAACAUUCUCCCUCUUCAUGUAAACUUUGCAAAAUAAGAGAGAAAAGGCACACGUAUUGUACCGUGAAGUGUAAUAACAGCCCAUAAAGCGAUAAAUAUCAACAUGAAAGCAUGAUGCAAAAUGGACGUAUCAGGCUCCCCACCUUGAAGGGCCCAUGCGCCCAAAGUGGUAGGUGGGAGGUGCCUUCGGGAAUAGGGACUCCUCCCUAGGGCGCCCACCUCCCUUGUGGGAGGUGGACUCAUCCCCCUUGGCUGACCAACCCUCCCUUAGAGGAGGGGCCAGGUGUGACACCCUACCUACCGCUUCUUCCUAUAAAUAGAGAGGGGGGGAGGAGGGCAGCCAAACCCCAAGCCAUAAGCACAACCCUCCCUCUCUCACUAUCCCGUUUUCUCCUACGAUUGCAUCUGCAGCAGCACUUCGUGAAGUCGUGCCGAGAUUGCUCCAACACCACCGUCACCAUGUAAUCCUAUCCCAUUUUCUCCUCCGAUUGCAUCUGUGAUAGUGCUUGGUGAAGCCCUGCUGAGACUGAUCCACCACCACCGCUACUAUGCGGUUGUGCUGCCGGAGAACACAUCUACUACUCCGCCCUCGCUCGUCGUAUCUAGGAGGUGGAGACAUCAUCGAGCUGCACGUGUGCUGAAAAUGGAGGUGCCCUCCGUUUGGCGCUAGAUCGGGGCGGAUCGUCAUUGGAUUGUGAAGUCGCACGACUACAUCAACCGCAUUAUAUACGCUUCCGCUUAGCGAUCUACAAGGGUAUGUAGAUACACUCCCCAUCUCAUAGCUAUGCAUCUCCAUAGAGAUCUUGGGUGUUUGUAGGAUUUUUUUUGCCAUGCAAUGUUCCCCAAUAGUGGCAUCAUGAGCUAGGUCUAUGCGUAGAUGAUAUGCACGAGUAGAACACAAACUGUUUGUGGGAGUUGAUGUUUAGAUUGCUUACGUCCUUAGUCUUAUUUUAAUUCAGAGGUAUUGUGGGAUGAAGCGGCUCCAACAACCUUACUUGUCCUCACACAAGAGACUGGUUCCACCAACUGGCAUGCAACUUGUUUGCAUAAAGGUGGGUGGUGGGUGUCUCUCUCUCCCACUUCAGUUUAAUCGGAUUCAACAUAGGUGGUCCUUGUAUAGGGUUAAAAGGAAACUUCAUUAUCACCAUUGUGGCUUUGCGUAGGUAGGAACGGUUCUUGCUAGUUGCCUGCAACCACCUAAAACUUGCAACAACAAAGUAGAGUACAUAUAACUUGUUUUUGCAGGACAUGUUGUGAUGUGAUAUGGCCAAGACAUGAUAUGACACAUGUGAUACAUGAGAUCAUCAUGUGUUGUAAUAGUUAUCACGACUUCCAUGUCGAUGAGUAUGGCAACCGGCAGGACCAUUGUCUUUAAUUAUUGAUGCAUUUUCUUUACUUUAUCGCUAUGAGUUAGCAAUAGUUGUAGAAGCAAUAGUUGGCGUGACUACCACGUGAAAACAAAAUGAUGGAGAUCAUGGUCUCAUACCGGUGACGAUGGAGAUCAUGUUGGUGCUUUGUAGAUGUAGAUAAAAAACACAAGAUGAUGAUGGCCAUAUCAUGUUACUUAUAUGAUUUGCAUGUGAUGUUUAUCCUUUUAUGCACCUUAUCUUUUUAGGAUGAUUGUAGCAUUAUAAGAUGACCCCUCACUAAAUUUUAAGAUAAAAUUAUGUUCUCCCCAAGUAUGCACCAUUGCGGAAGUUCACCGUUUCGAAGCACCUCGUGAUGAUCCGGUGUGAUAGACUCUUCAUUCACAUACAAUGGGUGUAAGCCAGUUAUGCACAUGCAAAACACUUGGGUUAAACUUGAUGAGCCUAGCAUGUGCAGACAUGGCCUCGGAAGAGGAGAGACCGAAAGGUGGAACAUGAGUCAUAUAGUAGAUAUGAUCACCAUGGAGAUGUUCACCAUUGAAACCACCUCAUCUCACGUGAUGAUCACACUUGGAUUGGUGGAUUUGGAUCAUGUCACACUUAGAAAACAUGAGGGAUGUUGAAUUGAGUGGGAGUUCAUUAGUAAUUUAGUAAUAUGAUUAAUUGAACUAAUUAUCAUGAACGUAGUCUAAAGUUAUCUUUGCAAAAUUAUGUUGUAGAUCAAUGGCUUGCACAGUAGCUCCCCUGAAUUUUAGUGCACUCCUCGAGAAAUCUAAGUUGAAAGAUGAUGGAAGUAACUAUGCGGACUGGGUUCGUAAUCGAAGGAUUAUGCUCACGGCUUCGCAAAAGGCUUAUGUGCUUGAUGCAUCGCUUGAGGCGCCACCCCCUUGAGUGUCGUAUGUAGAUGUUGUAAACAUCUGGCAGGCAUGUUCUCAUGACUACUCAAUAGUGUCGUCUGCAGAUGUUGUAAACGUCUGGCAGGCACGUUGUGAUGACUACUCAAUAGUGUCGUCUGCAGAUGUUGUAAAUGGCUUAGAAUUGAGACUUCAUAAUCGUUUUGAACGCCAUGGAGCAUAUAAGCUGUUCGAGGAGUUGAAAUUAGUAUUCCAAGGUAAUGCCCGAAUUCAGAGGUAUGAUACCUCUGAUAAGUUCUUCGCCUACAAGAUGGAGGAGAAUAGUUGUGUCCCUGAGCACAUACUGAGAAUGUUUGGGUACUACAACCACUUGAAUCACUUGGGAGUUGAGAUUCCGCUUGAGACAACCACUAACAGAGUUCUCCAGUCACUGCACCUAGCUAUAGGGGCCUCGUGAUGAACUAUAAUAUGCAAGGGACGAACAAGUCAAUCUCCGAGCUAUUCGCGAUGCUGAAAGUCACGGAAGUAGAAAUCAAGAAGGAGCAUCAACUAUUGAAUGUGAAUAAAACCACUAGUUUCUAGAAAGUCAAGGGUAAGAAGGGAAACUUCAAGAAGAAUGGAAAACCAAUUGCCGCUCUGUAACGCCAAAGAUGCAGUCUUGUCCUUAUUUUGGCACGAGGGCCUCGACAGGGAUAGAAACACAUGUCGUAGUUUCGCAAGAAUGGAUAUCGUUACAAGUACAUGUACUAAAAAGAUGAGUAUAAGGAAUUGGCUUACACUCGCCACAAGCUACAUCAGAGUCACAUUAGCACAAUAUACACAAUCAUCAUGAAGAAGGGGAGGGUUCGUCUACGGAUGAAAACAAACGAUAAAAUAACGACGUCCAUCCUUGCUAUCCCAGGCUGUCGGCCUGGAGCCCAUCCUAGAUCGAAGAAGAAGAAGAAGAAACUCCAAAUAGAAAAAUCAUCAUGCUCACGUCAAAGUAACCCUUUACCUGUACCUCCAACUAGUGUUGUAGUAAUCUGUGAGCCACAUGGGACUCAGCAAUCUCAUUUCCAAAGGUAUCAAGACUAGCGAAGCUUAACGGGUAAGGUAUGGUUAAGUGGUGAGGCUGCAGCAAGCGACUAAGCAUUUAUUUGGUGGGUAACUUAUGAGUACAAUAAUAAAAGAGGGGGAUCAUAUACGCAUAGUGGACGUGAACUAAUGAUGAUAAAAUGAAUGAUCCUAAACACCUACUUACAUCAAACCUAACCCCACCAUGUCCUCAAUCGGAAAAGGAGCUCACGAAAGAGACAAUCACGGUUACGCACUCAGUUGGUAAGUUUUAAUUACGUUAACUUCAAGUUAUCUACAACCGGAUGUUAAACAAAGUUUCCAUGUUGCCACAUAACCGCGGGCACGACUUUCCGAAAGAUUUAACCCUGCAGGGGUGCUCUAACUAGUCCAUCACAAAUUACCACAAGCCACAUGGAAAUCCUCGAUCACGAAACUCGCGAUCUCGUCGGAGUCCUUAGUGGAAAACCUCAAUUCCCAGAUUACCCAAAGCAUUACCGGAAUCCCGAUGCACAAGAUAUUUCAUAAAAGGUAAAACUAAUCCAGCAAGGCCGCCCGACAUGCCGACCGACCCGAUAGGAGCCACGUAUCUCGUUAUCACGGCACGUCCGGAUGAGCUAGACAUCGGGUUGGCUGAAACCUCGGGUGACCAGGGGGCGCUGGACAUCGCUCGGUUUGGACCAACACUCAUGAGGAGCACUGGCCCGGGGGUUGAUUAAUUAUCCACGGGGCGGUCAAACCCUACGUGGUUCAUUAGUGAAUUAGGCAAAUAUAGUACCAAAGUUGGGCCUUGCGAGACCAGUUUUAAUCUAAGACGAAUUAUCAAGGGGGUCCCCAUAACAACCCCGAUCGUGUUAGGAGCACUCAAGUAUGGAAUAUAACACGGGUAGCCAAAAUUAAGGUGGCAAAGGUGGAACAAAACACCAGGCUAGAAAGCCCGAGCCUUCCACCUUUUACCAAGUAUAUAGGUGCAUUACUUUAAAUAGCAUCAAUAUGGAUGAAGGAGACCUCAUGGACGAAGAGUACGAUAGUGAGUCCAACGCCUAGAGGAGUCUCAGUCAGUCUUGCGAUCUUGGAGACUCUGUUGUUGUAUUAUAUCACCACUUCCGCCAUUAUAAAUAAAUUGUCAAGCUGUCGGGGAAUAAUCCCCAGGUACCCCAAAGAUGCAGAGUCGAGCGGGGUGCCUGCCCGCUCCGGCCGGCUCCUUUGUCCAGCCGGCUACGCCAGCCCGACGACUAGUCGUAGUCAACUACGACGUCCUCUCAGGUGUCGUACUGCUUCAUCUACAAUGUAACUUGUCCCCUGGGCGCUGGUUUAUAAAGUGCCCCAGGGGACAAGCAUAGCUUAGGUCCCAAGCUGCAUAUAGCUUGGCAUGUAAGCUAACCAUGGUAGCUUACAUGCCAAGCAGCUUGGUAUGUAAGCUAUCCACCGUAGCUUACAUACCAAGCUACACAUCCAUACAAAAGGCCUUAGGCUGCCCUCUGACUCUCAGAGGCUCUCACUCCCCCACAUACACACACUCAGACAUGAGGCCAGGAAGGAGGCACUCAGCUCUCUUCCUCCUCUAAUACAACUCUAGGAGCAACCUUGUACUACCAAGAUACAUCAUAUACAAAAAUGCAGGAGUAGGGGUAUUAUCUCUCCGGAAAGCCCCGAACCUGGGUAAACCACCGCGUACUAUUACCCUAUCCCGUCCCGGAUCCUCCACGACAACCUUUCCCUCAACUCGAUUAGCCAUCCCCUGGCAUAUGCCGUCAGGGUACCCCCUAUAUAGAAACGACAACACAAGCUUUACUCUGACGUUUGGCGCGUAGUAGUACUUUGCCAUGUUAUUUCGCUUCGAUGUGACGUGCCUACUCUUUUUUGAACACUAGAGUAUCCCAUGAACACUGUAUCAUAUCCACCCUUAUGUCAUCCAUGGGUGUGUUGUAAUAAAUUGUAGAGCAACCUCCGCUCUACCUUGUUGAAUAUUAAGAACUACUGGUUUUUGUAUCAAGACGUGUCUAUCAGUGUGAAUGAUUUUGUAAACUGAUGACUUUCAUGGCUGAUUUCGAGUAAAUUUAUUUUUCCUGGAAACUGGUCCUGGCACAGUGCAUUCAUAGCAUCUUCCUUGGCCACAAGAUUCAUGUGGCCCUUCCGGUGAUUGUUGUUGGGAUUGAAGUUGAUGUGCUUUGGUACUGAGUUAUUGCUUGAGUGUUUGUCUUUGUCGUACCAUUUCCGGCCUUUGGACACUAUCGGGCAUAGUGUCUAGCCUCUCCUCAGGCGAAACAUGUAACACCGGGGCGGGGAGUAAAGUCCUUGUUCCUUGCUUAAAAGUGGGCGUUGACGUGAUUGGUUGAGGUUGGAGCACGAGGAGUUGAACUCUUUGUGUCCUCAGUCUUGUGCGUGGUGUUGCGACUCGGUGUCGAGUUGUUAUGUCGGUGCUUGCGAAUGUCGUCGAGGCUGCGACGUUCAGCCUCAAGCAUAUUGGCCUUGUCCACAUGUGUUUUGAAGUCUGGAAAGGUGUGAACGACCAGCUGGCACUUUAAUGCCGGAGUGAAUCUGCUACUGUGACAACAGACCUUCCCUGACAAUGGCGCCAGGAAUCCUGCUGCUACGCGCUACGCCUAUAGGGACUUCCUUGGCAAAUAUGCAAAGGAUCUCCCUGCGGCCUUGGAGCCUUACGUUGGUGUUCCCUUGAAGAGGAAAGGGUGAUGUAGCACAGCGGCGGUAAGUAUUUCCCUCAGUUUGAGAACCAAGGUAUCGAUCCAGUGGGAGGAUCGCGUCAAGUCACAAGUACCUGCACAAACACAAAGAGCUUGCACCCAACGCUAUGAAGGGGUUGUCAAUACCUUAUAGAUUGUUUGCAAAGUGAGAACUGAAAGCAAAAAGUAAAGAAAGCAAAGUAAAAGUGAAAGUGGAGACGAUAGUUGUGAAUAGACCCGAGGGCCGUAGUGUUCAUUAGUGGCUUCUCUCAUGAAAGCAAGUAGAUGGUGGGUGAACGAAUUAUUGUCGAGCAAUUGAUAGAAUCGCGCACAGUCGUGACGUUAUCUAUGGCAAUGAUUAUAUCUAUAGGCAUCACGUCCAAAACAAGUAGACCGACACUUUCUGCAUCUACUACUAUUACUCCACACGUCGACCGCUAUCCAGCAUGCAUCUAGUGUAUUAAGUUCAAAAGAACAGAGUAACGCCUUAAGCAAGAUGACAUGAUGUAGAUGGACAGUCUCAAAUCUAUGAUGAAAGCCCAUCUUGUUACCCUUGAUGGCAACACCACGAUGCGUGCCUUGCUGCCCCUUCUGUCACUUGGAAAGGUCACCACAUGGUAUGAACCCAAAAUCAAGCACUUCUCCCAUUGCAAGAAUCAUAGAUCAAGUUGACCAAACAAAACCCAAGACUAAGAGAGACUUACAAGGAUAUCAAAUCAUGCAUAUAAGAAAUCAACAAAGACUCAAAUAUAACUCAUAGAUAAUCUGAUCACAAAUCCACAAUUCAUCGGAUCUCGACAAACACACCGCCAAGGAGGAUUACAUCAGAUAGAUCUCCAUGAAGAUCAUGGAGAACUUUGUAUUGAAGAUCCAAGAGAGAGAAGAAGCCAUCUAGCUACUAACUACGGACCCGUAGGUCUGAAGUGGACUACUCAGGAGUCAUUGGAGAGGCGAUGAUGUUGAUGUAGAAGCCCUCCAACUCCAAAGUCCCCUCCGGCAGGGCACCGGGAAGGGUCUCCAGAUGAGAUCUCGUGGAAACGGAAGCUUGCGGCGGCGGAAAAGUGUUUUCGUGGAUGCCCUGAUUUUUUCUGGAUUUUUAGGGAAUUUAUAGGCCAAAGAGCUAGGGCAGGGGAGCGCCACGGAGGCCACAAGCCUUGUUGCCGCGGGCCCCACUGGCCGCGGCAACACGGCUUGUGGGCUCCCUGUGGGCCCCCUUCCUUGGCCCUCAAGCCCCCCAAUCUUCUUCUAUUCUGGAAAAAAAUAUUUCGGGGAUUUUAUUCCGUUUGGACUCCGUUCCAAAAUCAGAUUUGAAAAGAGUCAAAAACACAGAAAAAACAGGAACUGUCACUUGGCACUUAAUUAAUAAGUUAGUCCCAAAAAAGAUAUAAAAGGUAUAUAAAACAUCCAAAGUUGAUAAGAUAACAGCGUGAAACCAUCAAAAAUUAUAGAUACGUUUGAGACGUAUCAGAGUCCAUCAAGGAACUUCUCCAUUCUCUUCUCUUCUGUCUUAUAGUCUUCACUUGUAUAAUAGGAUAGUUGAUUAAAUUGGUCCAAGUAUUCCAUUACAGUGGAACUCCUUUGCUUGAUGUCCUCAAACUCCCUUUUCUUGAUCUUCAUGACGCUAUUAGGAAUGUGCGCCCCACGAAAGCUUUCUUUGAACUCAACCCAUGUGAUGUUGUUCUCUUCAGGAUGCACACGGAGGAUAUUCUCCCACAACGAGGUUGUGGCUCCAUUCAGAUAGUGAGGUGCGUAGAGCACCUUCUCAUGGUCGGAACAUUGAGCAAUAAUAAGCUUUCUCUAAAUAUCACUGUCGGGACCCCGAUCCUAAGUCAUAGGAAUCCAGCCUGUAACACAUCGGAUCUCUUUGCGGUCUCACGCACGGUCAUCCCCACGGCUGCAGCCUUACCUUAGCCGGGACCGUUUGCGCCUUUUGACUCGCGUAUGCAAUUGUGUCGCUAGCAAUCCAGUGACAGAGAACCCGGAUCGACAUGUCUAGUCAUAAACCAAAGCGCCAGUUCCACAAAGGGACACACAUACAUCACCCAGCGAAGCAGGUGUCGGUCACCAGCGAAUGUAGACGAGUCGUAGCAAGCUACAAGGACUCCAUUACAUCGUGUGACGUUUCCCCAAAGGGGACAGGCACAGCAGCUAAGAAGGACACAUGCCGGUCAACCAAUGUGUCCGGAGCAGUAGCGAACUACCAUGGCUCGUUGGAUCACAAAGGGGCAUUUCCCUGUAAGGAAUGCUGCUAAAGCCUACGGCUAGGUAAUCGAACCCCAUACAUAUCAAGUAUGACACACGUACGCAUGGCAUACUGAUAUGUAUAGAUACAUCGAUGGCAUCACAACAUAACCAUAAACAUACAAGCUUUAUUUAAAAGGCUCGGAAGAGCCUCACACAUAAUUUACACAGUGGGGGUCUGACGACCCAUCAUAACAGUCAUUCAAGUUACAAGCCAGCGGAAGUAGAUAAACUGUAUGAGUAUAGACAGAUGAAACUAGAAGGCACAUGGCCUGACUAUACUACAGACCCACCCUAGGGCCAGAUCGUAGCUGGGAUACCAGCUACUCGUCGUCGUCGAUGUCUAGGAAGAACCCUCCAUUAGUGUCAUUAACAACCUCUGCAACAAAUUAUUAAGCAAACAUGAGUACGGGGUACUCAGCAAGACUUUAGGAUAACUAUCUAGUAAUGCAAUGUAUCAAUAAGGAAUUGUGGGGUUUCAUGCGGAAAGCCAACAUUUGACUCGUGGCUAGACAACUUGCAUUUUUAAAUAAUUUUUACAACUUGAUUUCUCGCACACGAGUCCACUAACACCACAACAAUACUCCAUCGUGGAAUCAUUCCGUCUCCAUAUGGAAAUGCCGUCCACGACACUCACGCUUAUCUUGACAAUUUUAUGAGUAGCCAUUGAAGUUAACUAUGAACAACAUAUAUCUCUCAGUAGUCCAUAUCCGCGGACGCGGCUAUUCGAAUAGAUCAUAACCCUGCAGGGGUGUACUUCUUCACACACGCUCUCGCCACUUAUCGCCAUGUGCACGUCAUGCACCUCGGCAACCUUCAAGCGGAAGUCCAGCGAGGGAGUCGGCCACGACCGUUAACCACGCUUAUACUUAGUCCAGGUCUAUCGCCUAUCUGAGGGUAACCCGCACGGAAGUCCGGCCGAGGUUUCCGCCACGGCCCCAAACGAUGUGCGCAGGGUUCCCAAGCCCACCAUCCGGGUGCCACUUGGUACACCGUGCCACUUCCUACCGCAUCACAGCCCACCUCUCAGAUCAGCACUAUGCACGGCCUCCAGCAUGACUAUAAACACCCGAAACUACUUGCAACUCCUGGACUGAGUACUAAGCGAUUAAUAAGUCGAGCAGGGUCAUAUUUCAGGGCCCAGCAUGUGGUAGUAUCUCGUCUUGGAUUACAUACAUGGAACUCAGUUCCUAAGGACGGUUCCAAUGAAACAACCGGCCAUGUGCUCCUACAUAGCCUUUCACCGGUACCUUUACCAAAUCAGGUUCAACACACAACCUUUACUUACUGAACACAUUCUCACAAUUCUGUUCAUCUCCCAGAUGAUAGACCAUACACAACUCUAAGCAUAGCAUGCAUAGCAGGAUAAGGCACAUCAUGGCUCAAGCAACUACCAGGUAUGCUAGGUUGCAAGGUUCAGCUAUUUACUGUGACAAAGACAGGUCAUGCAAAGGAAGUGGGUUCAACUAACAUGGCAAAAGCAUCUGUAGCAUUUGGUCCUAAUGCAAUAAGUAAGUGCAGGAGCGAGAACAUGGGAUUUAUCGGGAUGAUCAAAAUGGUUGCUUGCCUUGUUGCUCAGUCGGAUAUUCGGUGGAAUCCGGAGGAGCGGAGCCUACCGAAAGAAAUGACAACAAUCAAUAACAAUCAUAUGCAACAAAAUGAUGCAUGAGCAUGGCAUGAGGAUGCAAGGUGGUAUGCUAAUGUAGCUAUCAUUUAUUAAGUUUGAAGUUGAUUUGAAUCAGAUUCAAAUAUCACUUCAAACGAGGUAUUCUCGAAUACCAUUUUAAUUGAUUCGACCUGAUGCUCAGAUCAACUUGUUUUUAACAUGCAUGGGAAUGACAUGUUAAGUUGCUGGUUGUGAUUGAACAAUGUUUGAUCAUAUCAUUUGAAGUGGAAUCCAAAUGAUUUUCAAAUUCCAACUCCAAAGCAUUUAUUAAACUUAACUUAUUCAUUAUUCUGCAUGUUUGGUCCAGUAACAUUUUCAAACAUGUUUGAAAAUGACAUAUUCAGAUUCCUUGGAUUUUUCUGAUACUUUUUCAUAUAUAAAUUAUUUUCAUUGGAGUUACAGAUUAAUUUCUAUGAUUUUUAGAAGUUUUUGGCAUUUUCUGGAAUUCUUUUAAAACAGAAAUCCACUUAUUGCGUCAGGCUCACGUCAGCAUGGCGUCAGCCGUCGGCUGACCUGAUCAGGUCAAACCCGACAUGGGGGACUCACUGGUCAGCCUCACAGGGAUAAUCCCGCGCUGACCAGCCCCUGAUUGCGUUUGACUUGGCAUGGGGCCCACUGGUCAGUGGCUGAAUAGUGUUUAAAACAUGGAUCAACGAGGCCAGGUCAUCCCCUGCCGGAGACUGACCGGCGGCGACGAGAUCCGCGGCGGAUCUAUGCCGGAGAGUCGCCGGAGAUGGCUGUAGUGCUCGGGAUCGAGAGCCGAGAGCACUGGCAGGAUCCCCAGGCUAGGCCUCAUCCAGUACUGGCCUCAAGAAGGGCUCGGGAGGACCGGAGGUCACCGGCGACGAGAGGAGGCGACGGCCGGAGCUCGGGCUCGUCGGUCCAGUGGCUAGGGGGCACGAAACCGAGGGGAAGAAUAGGGGAAAUGAUCGCAAUCUCACGGGGAGUGCACUGGAGGGCUUAGACGGCUCCGGGAGGCGCUGUGGGCGACGAAUCGAACAAAGCUCGCCGGCGGCCGAAGCUUGAAGACGACGGUCCCGUGGGCGUUGCAGGGUUCGGGGGGCUUCUACUUCUGCAAGAGGACCAACUCAUCGAGGCGGAGUGAAUGGGGCACUCGGGGGAAAGAACUAGUGGCCAGAGGCACGGGUAGCUCGAGCUCGAGCUCCUGUCAAUGGCGGCAGAAGGGGAGGAAGGAACCGAGAGGAGAGGGGAGAACUGGUGCGCGGAAUGGAUAGGCCAGUGCUCGGGGAGGUUAUACCCGCGCGUGCCAGCGCGAAGCGGCGGCCAGGCAGGCAGGGAGCUGCGUGGAGGCGCCGGGCGUCGCGGCGGCCACCUCCUGCUCCUACCGGCGAGGAGGAAGACGACAUAGGAGCUGGGCCUGGGCCAGGUGAGCGUCACGUAGGUCUUCCUCAUUCAUUUUUUUUCUUGUUUUGUUUUCUCAUUUACUAACUAUUUUGAUUUGCCUUUUAUUUCAGCUGCAAAAUUGUUUAUGAAAUUAAUUUGAACACACCAGAAUAUUUAUUGGAAUAUAUCCAACCAUUCAUGAAGUUUUCAACAUUUUUGAAAACUUAAAGUUUUUGAAUUCAAAUUUAAACUUGAAUCGAGUAGUUUUUUGCAUUUAAAUAAAAUGCCAAAAGUGUUAUGAAAAUAGUUUUCUUCACUGCUUAUUUGGUUCCAUGAAUUAUCAGAAAAGUUGAACUUUUCUUGAGGCCAUUUUGGGUUCAUUGAUUUGAACAAGUUUAGAAUUUCUUUGAAUUUGAGAAGUGCUAGGGUUUUUGAGUUUUGCUUCACCACUUGCUUGAUCUUGUUGCAAUUUUCUUGGAUGCAAUGCAAAGAAGAUAUGAGCACAAUGCUAUACUUGAUUAGGGUUCCAGGGAUGUGACAACUCACCCCCACUCAAAAGAAUCUCGUCCCGAGAUUUAGAAGUCGUCGGGAAUAACGCGGGAUACUCAAGUCGGAGACGAUCCUCUCUUUCCCAUGUUGCCUCCUUCUCAGAAUGAUUUGACCAUUGAACUUUAAGAAACUUGAGGUUUCGACGUCGAGUGGUACGCUCAGCUUGAUCAAGAAUACGCACAGGGUAUUCUCGGUAUGAAAGGUUAUCCUGGAGAUCAAGCGUUUCGUGGUCCACUUCACGGAUAGGAUCCGAAAAGCAACGCCUGAGUUGCGAGACGUGGAAGACAUCAUGAACCUUGGAAAGAUGCGGAGGAAGUUUCAAUUGGUAGGCAACUUCUCCUCGUUUGGCAAGAAUGCGAAAAGGACCAAUGUAACGAGGAGCCAACUUGCCCUUGAUACCGAAUCGAUGGGUACCCUUCAAAGGUGUAACCCGAAGGUAAGCCUUCUCGUCAACUUCAAAGGUCACAGCCUUAUGAUGACGAUCAUAUUGGCUCUUUUGACGAGACUGGGCUGUUUUCAACUUUUCACGAAUAAUGCGAACCUGCUCUUCUGCAUCCUGGAUCAUAUCCGGGGCAAAGAGUUGCCUCUCUCCGGUUUCUGACCAAUUAAGAGGUGUUCGACAUCUUCGUCCAUAGAGAACUUCAAAAGGGGCUUUGCCCAAGCUUGAUUGAUAACUAUUGUUAUAAGCAAAUUCGGCGAAUGGAAGGCACUUCUCCCAAUUCAUACCGGACGAUAUAACACAAGCUCGGAGCAUAUCUUCUAGGAUUUGAUUCACUCUUUCUACUUGACCACUUGAUUGAGGAUGGAAAGCAGUGCUAAAAGAUAAGUGAGUCCCCAUAGCAUUCUGAAAACUUUCCCAGAAGCGAGAAGUAAAGAUACUCCCACGGUCUGAGUUAAUCUCUAGGGGAACACCAUGAAGAGUCACUAUUCGGGAGAUAUAUAACUCUGCUAGCUGGCUAGCUGUUAUACUCUCAUGAACUGGAAGAAAAUGAGCUACUUUGGAGAGACGGUCAAUGACCACAAAGAUAGCAUUAUUUCCUUUCUUGGUCUUGGGAAAUCCGGUAAUGAAAUCCAUACUGACUUUAUCCCAUUUCCAUUCAGGAAUAGCUAAAGGUUGAAGGGUGCCAGCAGGCCUUUGAUGUUCGGCCUUAACUCGACGACAAACGUCGCAGUUAGCAACGAACUCAGCAAUUUCUCUCUUCAUCCUAGUCCACCAGAACCUCUGGCGUAGGUCCUGAUAUAUCUUAGUACUACCGGGAUGAAUGGUGAGAGGAGAAUCAUGAGCCUCCUUAAGGAUUAACUGCCUUAGAUGUGGGUUCUUAGGAACCACUAGGCGAAUCUGGAAGAACACACCANGACAUAGGAGCUGGGCCUGGGCCAGGUGAGCGUCACGUAGGUCUUCCUCAUUCAUUUUUUUUCUUGUUUUGUUUUCUCAUUUACUAACUAUUUUGAUUUGCCUUUUAUUUCAGCUGCAAAAUUGUUUAUGAAAUUAAUUUGAACACACCAGAAUAUUUAUUGGAAUAUAUCCAACCAUUCAUGAAGUUUUCAACAUUUUUGAAAACUUAAAGUUUUUGAAUUCAAAUUUAAACUUGAAUCGAGUAGUUUUUUGCAUUUAAAUAAAAUGCCAAAAGUGUUAUGAAAAUAGUUUUCUUCACUGCUUAUUUGGUUCCAUGAAUUAUCAGAAAAGUUGAACUUUUCUUGAGGCCAUUUUGGGUUCAUUGAUUUGAACAAGUUUAGAAUUUCUUUGAAUUUGAGAAGUGCUAGGGUUUUUGAGUUUUGCUUCACCACUUGCUUGAUCUUGUUGCAAUUUUCUUGGAUGCAAUGCAAAGAAGAUAUGAGCACAAUGCUAUACUUGAUUAGGGUUCCAGGGAUGUGACAACUCACCCCCACUCAAAAGAAUCUCGUCCCGAGAUUUAGAAGUCGUCGGGAAUAACGCGGGAUACUCAAGUCGGAGACGAUCCUCUCUUUCCCAUGUUGCCUCCUUCUCAGAAUGAUUUGACCAUUGAACUUUAAGAAACUUGAGGUUUCGACGUCGAGUGGUACGCUCAGCUUGAUCAAGAAUACGCACAGGGUAUUCUCGGUAUGAAAGGUUAUCCUGGAGAUCAAGCGUUUCGUGGUCCACUUCACGGAUAGGAUCCGAAAAGCAACGCCUGAGUUGCGAGACGUGGAAGACAUCAUGAACCUUGGAAAGAUGCGGAGGAAGUUUCAAUUGGUAGGCAACUUCUCCUCGUUUGGCAAGAAUGCGAAAAGGACCAAUGUAACGAGGAGCCAACUUGCCCUUGAUACCGAAUCGAUGGGUACCCUUCAAAGGUGUAACCCGAAGGUAAGCCUUCUCGUCAACUUCAAAGGUCACAGCCUUAUGAUGACGAUCAUAUUGGCUCUUUUGACGAGACUGGGCUGUUUUCAACUUUUCACGAAUAAUGCGAACCUGCUCUUCUGCAUCCUGGAUCAUAUCCGGGGCAAAGAGUUGCCUCUCUCCGGUUUCUGACCAAUUAAGAGGUGUUCGACAUCUUCGUCCAUAGAGAACUUCAAAAGGGGCUUUGCCCAAGCUUGAUUGAUAACUAUUGUUAUAAGCAAAUUCGGCGAAUGGAAGGCACUUCUCCCAAUUCAUACCGGACGAUAUAACACAAGCUCGGAGCAUAUCUUCUAGGAUUUGAUUCACUCUUUCUACUUGACCACUUGAUUGAGGAUGGAAAGCAGUGCUAAAAGAUAAGUGAGUCCCCAUAGCAUUCUGAAAACUUUCCCAGAAGCGAGAAGUAAAGAUACUCCCACGGUCUGAGUUAAUCUCUAGGGGAACACCAUGAAGAGUCACUAUUCGGGAGAUAUAUAACUCUGCUAGCUGGCUAGCUGUUAUACUCUCAUGAACUGGAAGAAAAUGAGCUACUUUGGAGAGACGGUCAAUGACCACAAAGAUAGCAUUAUUUCCUUUCUUGGUCUUGGGAAAUCCGGUAAUGAAAUCCAUACUGACUUUAUCCCAUUUCCAUUCAGGAAUAGCUAAAGGUUGAAGGGUGCCAGCAGGCCUUUGAUGUUCGGCCUUAACUCGACGACAAACGUCGCAGUUAGCAACGAACUCAGCAAUUUCUCUCUUCAUCCUAGUCCACCAGAACCUCUGGCGUAGGUCCUGAUAUAUCUUAGUACUACCGGGAUGAAUGGUGAGAGGAGAAUCAUGAGCCUCCUUAAGGAUUAACUGCCUUAGAUGUGGGUUCUUAGGAACCACUAGGCGAAUCUGGAAGAACACACCACCUUGAUCAUUCAUGGAGAAUUCGUUAGCGUUUCCGCUAAUGAUAUUCUCCUUGAUCUGUGAUAUACCCUUAUCACGCUUCUGGCCAGCUAUAAUUUGAUCCUUAAGGGUAGGCUUCACCACCAGGGUGGAAAGGAAUCCUUGAGGAACAAUAUGAAGAUUUAACUUCCAAAAUUCCUCAUAGAGAUGUGGUUGACCUCGUUGUAGCAUCAAAUUGUUACAAUAAGAUUUACGACUUAGUGCAUCAGCCAUAACAUUGGCCUUCCCCGGGGUGUAAGUUAUCCCUAAGUCGUAAUCCGAGAUCAACUCAACCCACCGUCUUUGCCUGAGAUUCAAAUCCGGCUGGGUGAAGAUAUAUUUCAUACUUUGGUGAUCAGUGAAUAUUUCGCAACGAUUACCCAAAAGGUAAUGUCGCCAGGUUUUUAGUGCAUGGGCUACAACUGCAAGCUCAAGAUCAUGUGUGGGAUAAUUAUCCUCAUGUGGACGCAACUGUCGAGAUGCGUAUGCAAUCACAUGAUGAUCUUGCAUGAGAAUACACCCUAAUCCUUGUCGCGAGGCGUCGCAAUAGAUAACAAAGUCCUUAGAAAAAUCUGGUGGUAGCAACACAGGUGCAGAAGUCAGGCGUCUUUUCAGUUCCUAGAAACUAUGCUCACACUGUGGUGUCCACUCAAACUUUUUAUCCUUCUUGAGGAGUUCAGUUAGAGGCUUUGCAACCUUGGAGAAAUUCUCGACAAAGCGGCAACAAUAGCUCGCUAGACCAAGUAAACUCCUAACUUGCUUAACCGAUUCAGGUUGAGUCCAAUCAAGGACGGCUUGAACUCUCUCGAGAUUGACAGCAAUACCCUUACCAGAGAUUACGUGACCUAGAUAGGUCACUUCUGGUAACCAAAAUUCACAUUUUGAAAACUUGGCAUAAAGGCGAUGCUCUCGAAGUUUCAUCAAUACCAGCCUUAGAUGCUCGGCAUGUUCUUGUUCGUUCUUCGAGUAGAUGAGAAUAUCAUCGAGGUAUACCACGACGAAUUUAUCCAGAUACUCCAUGAAGAUUGAAUUCGAGCUCGGUACCCAGGGAUNNNNNNNNNNNNNNNNNNNNNNNNNNNNNNNNNNNNNNNNNNNNNNNNNNNNNNNNNNNNNNNNNNNNNNNNNNNNNNNNNNNNNNNNNNNNNNNNNNNNNNNNNNNNNNNNNNNNNNNNNNNNNNNNNNNNNNNNNNNNNNNNNNNNNNNNNNNNNNNNNNNNNNNNNNNNNNNNNNNNNNNNNNNNNNNNNNNNNNNNNNNNNNNNNNNNNNNNNNNNNNNNNNNNNNNNNNNNNNNNNNNNNNNNNNNNNNNNNNNNNNNNNNNNNNNNNNNNNNNNNNNNNNNNNNNNNNNNNNNNNNNNNNNNNNNNNNNNNNNNNNNNNNNNNNNNNNNNNNNNNNNNNNNNNNNNNNNNNNNNNNNNNNNNNNNNNNNNNNNNNNNNNNNNNNNNNNNNNNNNNNNNNNNNNNNNNNNNNNNNNNNNNNNNNNNNNNNNNNNNNNNNNNNNNNNNNNNNNNNNNNNNNNNNNNNNNNNNNNNNNNNNNNNNNNNNNNNNNNNNNNNNNNNNNNNNNNNNNNNNNNNNNNNNNNNNNNNNNNNNNNNNNNNNNNNNNNNNNNNNNNNNNNNNNNNNNNNNNNNNNNNNNNNNNNNNNNNNNNNNNNNNNNNNNNNNNNNNNNNNNNNNNNNNNNNNNNNNNNNNNNNNNNNNNNNNNNNNNNNNNNNNNNNNNNNNNNNNNNNNNNNNNNNNNNNNNNNNNNNNNNNNNNNNNNNNNNNNNNNNNNNNNNNNNNNNNNNNNNNNNNNNNNNNNNNNNNNNNNNNNNNNNNNNNNNNNNNNNNNNNNNNNNNNNNNNNNNNNNNNNNNNNNNNNNNNNNNNNNNNNNNNNNNNNNNNNNNNNNNNNNNNNNNNNNNNNNNNNNNNNNNNNNNNNNNNNNNNNNNNNNNNNNNNNNNNNNNNNNNNNNNNNNNNNNNNNNNNNNNNNNNNNNNNNNNNNNNNNNNNNNNNNNNNNNNNNNNNNNNNNNNNNNNNNNNNNNNNNNNNNNNNNNNNNNNNNNNNNNNNNNNNNNNNNNNNNNNNNNNNNNNNNNNNNNNNNNNNNNNNNNNNNNNNNNNNNNNNNNNNNNNNNNNNNNNNNNNNNNNNNNNNNNNNNNNNNNNNNNNNNNNNNNNNNNNNNNNNNNNNNNNNNNNNNNNNNNNNNNNNNNNNNNNNNNNNNNNNNNNNNNNNNNNNNNNNNNNNNNNNNNNNNNNNNNNNNNNNNNNNNNNNNNNNNNNNNNNNNNNNNNNNNNNNNNNNNNNNNNNNNNNNNNNNNNNNNNNNNNNNNNNNNNNNNNNNNNNNNNNNNNNNNNNNNNNNNNNNNNNNNNNNNNNNNNNNNNNNNNNNNNNNNNNNNNNNNNNNNNNNNNNNNNNNNNNNNNNNNNNNNNNNNNNNNNNNNNNNNNNNNNNNNNNNNNNNNNNNNNNNNNNNNNNNNNNNNNNNNNNNNNNNNNNNNNNNNNNNNNNNNNNNNNNNNNNNNNNNNNNNNNNNNNNNNNNNNNNNNNNNNNNNNNNNNNNNNNNNNNNNNNNNNNNNNNNNNNNNNNNNNNNNNNNNNNNNNNNNNNNNNNNNNNNNNNNNNNNNNNNNNNNNNNNNNNNNNNNNNNNNNNNNNNNNNNNNNNNNNNNNNNNNNNNNNNNNNNNNNNNNNNNNNNNNNNNNNNNNNNNNNNNNNNNNNNNNNNNNNNNNNNNNNNNNNNNNNNNNNNNNNNNNNNNNNNNNNNNNNNNNNNNNNNNNNNNNNNNNNNNNNNNNNNNNNNNNNNNNNNNNNNNNNNNNNNNNNNNNNNNNNNNNNNNNNNNNNNNNNNNNNNNNNNNNNNNNNNNNNNNNNNNNNNNNNNNNNNNNNNNNNNNNNNNNNNNNNNNNNNNNNNNNNNNNNNNNNNNNNNNNNNNNNNNNNNNNNNNNNNNNNNNNNNNNNNNNNNNNNNNNNNNNNNNNNNNNNNNNNNNNNNNNNNNNNNNNNNNNNNNNNNNNNNNNNNNNNNNNNNNNNNNNNNNNNNNNNNNNNNNNNNNNNNNNNNNNNNNNNNNNNNNNNNNNNNNNNNNNNNNNNNNNNNNNNNNNNNNNNNNNNNNNNNNNNNNNNNNNNNNNNNNNNNNNNNNNNNNNNNNNNNNNNNNNNNNNNNNNNNNNNNNNNNNNNNNNNNNNNNNNNNNNNNNNNNNNNNNNNNNNNNNNNNNNNNNNNNNNNNNNNNNNNNNNNNNNNNNNNNNNNNNNNNNNNNNNNNNNNNNNNNNNNNNNNNNNNNNNNNNNNNNNNNNNNNNNNNNNNNNNNNNNNNNNNNNNNNNNNNNNNNNNNNNNNNNNNNNNNNNNNNNNNNNNNNNNNNNNNNNNNNNNNNNNNNNNNNNNNNNNNNNNNNNNNNNNNNNNNNNNNNNNNNNNNNNNNNNNNNNNNNNNNNNNNNNNNNNNNNNNNNNNNNNNNNNNNNNNNNNNNNNNNNNNNNNNNNNNNNNNNNNNNNNNNNNNNNNNNNNNNNNNNNNNNNNNNNNNNNNNNNNNNNNNNNNNNNNNNNNNNNNNNNNNNNNNNNNNNNNNNNNNNNNNNNNNNNNNNNNNNNNNNNNNNNNNNNNNNNNNNNNNNNNNNNNNNNNNNNNNNNNNNNNNNNNNNNNNNNNNNNNNNNNNNNNNNNNNNNNNNNNNNNNNNNNNNNNNNNNNNNNNNNNNNNNNNNNNNNNNNNNNNNNNNNNNNNNNNNNNNNNNNNNNNNNNNNNNNNNNNNNNNNNNNNNNNNNNNNNNNNNNNNNNNNNNNNNNNNNNNNNNNNNNNNNNNNNNNNNNNNNNNNNNNNNNNNNNNNNNNNNNNNNNNNNNNNNNNNNNNNNNNNNNNNNNNNNNNNNNNNNNNNNNNNNNNNNNNNNNNNNNNNNNNNNNNNNNNNNNNNNNNNNNNNNNNNNNNNNNNNNNNNNNNNNNNNNNNNNNNNNNNNNNNNNNNNNNNNNNNNNNNNNNNNNNNNNNNNNNNNNNNNNNNNNNNNNNNNNNNNNNNNNNNNNNNNNNNNNNNNNNNNNNNNNNNNNNNNNNNNNNNNNNNNNNNNNNNNNNNNNNNNNNNNNNNNNNNNNNNNNNNNNNNNNNNNNNNNNNNNNNNNNNNNNNNNNNNNNNNNNNNNNNNNNNNNNNNNNNNNNNNNNNNNNNNNNNNNNNNNNNNNNNNNNNNNNNNNNNNNNNNNNNNNNNNNNNNNNNNNNNNNNNNNNNNNNNNNNNNNNNNNNNNNNNNNNNNNNNNNNNNNNNNNNNNNNNNNNNNNNNNNNNNNNNNNNNNNNNNNNNNNNNNNNNNNNNNNNNNNNNNNNNNNNNNNNNNNNNNNNNNNNNNNNNNNNNNNNNNNNNNNNNNNNNNNNNNNNNNNNNNNNNNNNNNNNNNNNNNNNNNNNNNNNNNNNNNNNNNNNNNNNNNNNNNNNNNNNNNNNNNNNNNNNNNNNNNNNNNNNNNNNNNNNNNNNNNNNNNNNNNNNNNNNNNNNNNNNNNNNNNNNNNNNNNNNNNNNNNNNNNNNNNNNNNNNNNNNNNNNNNNNNNNNNNNNNNNNNNNNNNNNNNNNNNNNNNNNNNNNNNNNNNNNNNNNNNNNNNNNNNNNNNNNNNNNNNNNNNNNNNNNNNNNNNNNNNNNNNNNNNNNNNNNNNNNNNNNNNNNNNNNNNNNNNNNNNNNNNNNNNNNNNNNNNNNNNNNNNNNNNNNNNNNNNNNNNNNNNNNNNNNNNNNNNNNNNNNNNNNNNNNNNNNNNNNNNNNNNNNNNNNNNNNNNNNNNNNNNNNNNNNNNNNNNNNNNNNNNNNNNNNNNNNNNNNNNNNNNNNNNNNNNNNNNNNNNNNNNNNNNNNNNNNNNNNNNNNNNNNNNNNNNNNNNNNNNNNNNNNNNNNNNNNNNNNNNNNNNNNNNNNNNNNNNNNNNNNNNNNNNNNNNNNNNNNNNNNNNNNNNNNNNNNNNNNNNNNNNNNNNNNNNNNNNNNNNNNNNNNNNNNNNNNNNNNNNNNNNNNNNNNNNNNNNNNNNNNNNNNNNNNNNNNNNNNNNNNNNNNNNNNNNNNNNNNNNNNNNNNNNNNNNNNNNNNNNNNNNNNNNNNNNNNNNNNNNNNNNNNNNNNNNNNNNNNNNNNNNNNNNNNNNNNNNNNNNNNNNNNNNNNNNNNNNNNNNNNNNNNNNNNNNNNNNNNNNNNNNNNNNNNNNNNNNNNNNNNNNNNNNNNNNNNNNNNNNNNNNNNNNNNNNNNNNNNNNNNNNNNNNNNNNNNNNNNNNNNNNNNNNNNNNNNNNNNNNNNNNNNNNNNNNNNNNNNNNNNNNNNNNNNNNNNNNNNNNNNNNNNNNNNNNNNNNNNNNNNNNNNNNNNNNNNNNNNNNNNNNNNNNNNNNNNNNNNNNNNNNNNNNNNNNNNNNNNNNNNNNNNNNNNNNNNNNNNNNNNNNNNNNNNNNNNNNNNNNNNNNNNNNNNNNNNNNNNNNNNNNNNNNNNNNNNNNNNNNNNNNNNNNNNNNNNNNNNNNNNNNNNNNNNNNNNNNNNNNNNNNNNNNNNNNNNNNNNNNNNNNNNNNNNNNNNNNNNNNNNNNNNNNNNNNNNNNNNNNNNNNNNNNNNNNNNNNNNNNNNNNNNNNNNNNNNNNNNNNNNNNNNNNNNNNNNNNNNNNNNNNNNNNNNNNNNNNNNNNNNNNNNNNNNNNNNNNNNNNNNNNNNNNNNNNNNNNNNNNNNNNNNNNNNNNNNNNNNNNNNNNNNNNNNNNNNNNNNNNNNNNNNNNNNNNNNNNNNNNNNNNNNNNNNNNNNNNNNNNNNNNNNNNNNNNNNNNNNNNNNNNNNNNNNNNNNNNNNNNNNNNNNNNNNNNNNNNNNNNNNNNNNNNNNNNNNNNNNNNNNNNNNNNNNNNNNNNNNNNNNNNNNNNNNNNNNNNNNNNNNNNNNNNNNNNNNNNNNNNNNNNNNNNNNNNNNNNNNNNNNNNNNNNNNNNNNNNNNNNNNNNNNNNNNNNNNNNNNNNNNNNNNNNNNNNNNNNNNNNNNNNNNNNNNNNNNNNNNNNNNNNNNNNNNNNNNNNNNNNNNNNNNNNNNNNNNNNNNNNNNNNNNNNNNNNNNNNNNNNNNNNNNNNNNNNNNNNNNNNNNNNNNNNNNNNNNNNNNNNNNNNNNNNNNNNNNNNNNNNNNNNNNNNNNNNNNNNNNNNNNNNNNNNNNNNNNNNNNNNNNNNNNNNNNNNNNNNNNNNNNNNNNNNNNNNNNNNNNNNNNNNNNNNNNNNNNNNNNNNNNNNNNNNNNNNNNNNNNNNNNNNNNNNNNNNNNNNNNNNNNNNNNNNNNNNNNNNNNNNNNNNNNNNNNNNNNNNNNNNNNNNNNNNNNNNNNNNNNNNNNNNNNNNNNNNNNNNNNNNNNNNNNNNNNNNNNNNNNNNNNNNNNNNNNNNNNNNNNNNNNNNNNNNNNNNNNNNNNNNNNNNNNNNNNNNNNNNNNNNNNNNNNNNNNNNNNNNNNNNNNNNNNNNNNNNNNNNNNNNNNNNNNNNNNNNNNNNNNNNNNNNNNNNNNNNNNNNNNNNNNNNNNNNNNNNNNNNNNNNNNNNNNNNNNNNNNNNNNNNNNNNNNNNNNNNNNNNNNNNNNNNNNNNNNNNNNNNNNNNNNNNNNNNNNNNNNNNNNNNNNNNNNNNNNNNNNNNNNNNNNNNNNNNNNNNNNNNNNNNNNNNNNNNNNNNNNNNNNNNNNNNNNNNNNNNNNNNNNNNNNNNNNNNNNNNNNNNNNNNNNNNNNNNNNNNNNNNNNNNNNNNNNNNNNNNNNNNNNNNNNNNNNNNNNNNNNNNNNNNNNNNNNNNNNNNNNNNNNNNNNNNNNNNNNNNNNNNNNNNNNNNNNNNNNNNNNNNNNNNNNNNNNNNNNNNNNNNNNNNNNNNNNNNNNNNNNNNNNNNNNNNNNNNNNNNNNNNNNNNNNNNNNNNNNNNNNNNNNNNNNNNNNNNNNNNNNNNNNNNNNNNNNNNNNNNNNNNNNNNNNNNNNNNNNNNNNNNNNNNNNNNNNNNNNNNNNNNNNNNNNNNNNNNNNNNNNNNNNNNNNNNNNNNNNNNNNNNNNNNNNNNNNNNNNNNNNNNNNNNNNNNNNNNNNNNNNNNNNNNNNNNNNNNNNNNNNNNNNNNNNNNNNNNNNNNNNNNNNNNNNNNNNNNNNNNNNNNNNNNNNNNNNNNNNNNNNNNNNNNNNNNNNNNNNNNNNNNNNNNNNNNNNNNNNNNNNNNNNNNNNNNNNNNNNNNNNNNNNNNNNNNNNNNNNNNNNNNNNNNNNNNNNNNNNNNNNNNNNNNNNNNNNNNNNNNNNNNNNNNNNNNNNNNNNNNNNNNNNNNNNNNNNNNNNNNNNNNNNNNNNNNNNNNNNNNNNNNNNNNNNNNNNNNNNNNNNNNNNNNNNNNNNNNNNNNNNNNNNNNNNNNNNNNNNNNNNNNNNNNNNNNNNNNNNNNNNNNNNNNNNNNNNNNNNNNNNNNNNNNNNNNNNNNNNNNNNNNNNNNNNNNNNNNNNNNNNNNNNNNNNNNNNNNNNNNNNNNNNNNNNNNNNNNNNNNNNNNNNNNNNNNNNNNNNNNNNNNNNNNNNNNNNNNNNNNNNNNNNNNNNNNNNNNNNNNNNNNNNNNNNNNNNNNNNNNNNNNNNNNNNNNNNNNNNNNNNNNNNNNNNNNNNNNNNNNNNNNNNNNNNNNNGGUAUUGGGUAGGAUAGUGAAGAUGUGGUAUGAGCAAGUUCAUCGCAAAACCUGUGAUCCCCUCUUAAUAGUGCGGGAUCCCUAUACUCAAUAAUAGUAAACUCAAAAGGAUAGUCUACAUCAUCUUUUCUCAAUCCCGAGCCUUCUUGAAAUAUAAAUCCCGAUCUUCUCAGACCACCUUUGGCACAUAGUUCUCAAUCUACUAAAGUACUUGCCAUCCUGAGAUACACUCAACAAAUAGAAUUAGUUUCCUAUGUAUGUGUUGUCAUUAACACCAAAAGUCGAUUAGGGGCAUAGCAUGCACUUUCAGGAGGGGCGAGAGCCCCUCCUAGAUUGGAUCUCUCUCUCUAUGUGUCCUUCUGUUUCUGCGCUCCCAGAUUCUGUGUUUCACCGUUUCUUAAAUUCUCGGAGACCCGUUACUCCGAUUGGGCUGAAAUUUUAACAAGAUUUUCUUUCGGAUAUUAUCUUUCUUGCGACGAAAGAAGGGCUCCAACCGCCUUAAGGAGUGGCCACAAGCCCCCCUGCCGUGGGCCCACCCCCUGGUCGCGGCGACAGGACUUGUGGGCACUCCGUGCAUCGCCUCGCGUUGAUUUUUCUUCCCGAACAUCAUAAAUAUUCCAAAACAAAUCCCCGUAAGUUUUUAUUACGUUUGGACUUCGUUUGGUAUGGAUAUUCUGCGAAACAAAAAACAUGCAACAAACAGGAACUGGCACUAGGCACUGGAUCAAUAUAUUAGUCCCAAAAAUAGUAUAAAAAGUUGCCAAAAGUAUAUGAAAGUUGUAGAAUAUUGGCAUGAAACAACCAAAAAUUAUAGAUACGACGGAGACGUAUCAGUAUCUCCGAAGGUGUCCGUUGAGUUAGUAUGGAUCAAGACUCGGAUUUGUCACUCCAUGUGACGGAGAGGUAUCUCGGGGCCCACUCGGUAAUACAACAUCAUACACAAGCCUUGCAAGCAAUGUGACUUAGUGUAAGUCACGGGAUCUUGUAUUACGGAACGAGUAAAAGAGACUUGCCAGUAAACGAGAUUGAAAUAGGUAUGCGGAUACUGACGAUCGAAUCUCGGGCAAGUAACAUACCGAAGGACAAAGCGAAUGACAUACGGGAUUAUAUGAAUCCUUGGCACUGAGGUUCAAACAAUAAGAUCUUUGGAGAAUAUGUAGGAUCCAAUAUUGGCAUCCAGGUCCCGCUAUUGGAUAUUGACUGAGGAGUCCCUCGGGUCAUGUCUACAUAGUUCUCGAACCCGCAGGGUCUGCACACUUAAGGUUAGGCGAUGUUUUAUGCGUAUUUGAGUUAUAUGGUUGGUUACCGAAUGUUGUUCGGAGUCUCGGAUGAGAUCACAGACGUCACGAGGGUUUUGGGAAUGGUCCGGAGACGAAGAUUCAUAUAUAGGAUGACCUCAUUUGAUUACCGGAAAGUUUUCGGACAUUACCAGGAAUGUACCGGGAGUGACGAAUGGAUUCCGGAUGUUCACCGGGGGGGGCAGCCCACCCGGGGGAAGCUCAUAGGACUUAGGGGUGCAGCACCAGCCCUUAGUGGGCUGGUGGGACAGCCCAAGAGGCCCUAUGCGCAGGAAUCAAAGGAAAAAAGGGGAAGUGGGAAAGUGGAGAAGGACUCCACCUUCCAAUCCUAGUUGGACUAGGAUUGGAAGGGGAUGACUUCCCCUUGCUUAGGCCGACCCCUUGGGGCUCUCUUGAGCCUCAAGGCAGGUCCCUCCCCCUCCCUCCUAUAUAUACUGAGGUAUUAGGGCUGAUUUGAGACAACUUUGCCACGGCAGCCCGACCACAUACCUCCAUGGUUUUUCCUCUAGAUCGUAUUUCUGCGGAGCUCGGGUGGAGCCCUGCUGAGAUAGAUCACCACCAACCUCCGGAGCGCCGUCUCGCUGCCGAAGAACUCAUCUACCUCUCUGUCUCUCUUGCUGGAUCAAGAAGGCCAAGAUAAUCGUCGAGCUGUAUGUGUGCUGAACGCAGAGGUGCCGUUCGUUCGGCACUAGAUCGGAGCGAAUCGUGGGAUGGAUUGCGGGACUGUUCGUGGGACGGUUCGCGGGGCGGAUCGAGGGACGUGAGGACGUUCCACUACAUCAACCGCAUUUCUUAAUGCUUCCUGUUGUGCGAUCUACAAGGGUACAUAGAUCGGAAAUCCCCUCUCGUAGAUGGACAUCACCAUGAUAGGUCUUCGUGCGCGUAGGAUUUCUUUUGUUUCCCAUGCGACGUUCCCCAUCAGUGGUAUCAGAGCUAGGUUCAUGCAUAGAUGUUAUCUCGAUUAGAACACAAAAGUUUUUCUGGGCGGUGAUGUGCGAUUUGCUGCCCCUCCUUAGUCUUUUCUUGAUUCCACGGUAUUGUUGGAUCGAAGUGGCUCGGACCGACAUUACUCGUACGCUUACGAGAGACUGGUUUCAUCGCUAUGAGCAACCCCAUUUCUUAAAGAUGACUGGCGAGUGCCGGUUUCUCCAACUUUAGUUGAAUCGGAUUUGACCGAGGAGGUCCUUGGAGAGAGGUUAAAUAGCAAUUCAUACACCUCUGUUGUGGUGUUUGCGUAAGUAAGAUGCGAUCCUACUAGAUACCCAUGGCAACCACGUAAAACAUGCAACAACAAUUAGAGGACGUAUAACUUGUUUUUGCAGGGUAUGCUUGUGAUGUGAUAUGGCCAACGACGUGAUGUGAUAUAUUGGAUGUAUGAGAUGAUCAUGUUGUAAUAGUUAAUAUCGACUUGCACGUCGAUGCUACGGCAACUGGCACGAGCCAUAGGGUUGUCUUUAAAUUAACGUUUGUGUUUGCACAUGCGUUUACUAUAUUACUAGGACGUAGCUUUAGUAGUAAUAGCAUAGCAUACACGACAACCUCGAUGGUGGCACGAUGAUGGAGAUCAAGAUGAUGGGGAUCAUGGUGUGGCGCCGGUGGCAAGAAGAUCAUAUCGGUGCUUUGGUGAUGGAGAUCAAGGAGCACUUGAUGAUGGCCAUAUCAUGUCACUUAUGAAUUGCAUGUAAUGUUAAUCCUUUAUGCACCUUAUCUUGCUUAGAACGGAGGUAGCAUUAUUAGGUGAUCUCUCACUAAAAUUUCAAGCUCAAAUUGUGUUCUCACCGACUGUGCACCAUUGCGACAGUUCGUCGUUUCGAGACACCAUGUGAUGAUCGGGCGUGAUAGACUCAACGUUCACAUACAACGGGUGCAAAACAGUUGCACGUGCGGAACACUCGGGUUAACCUUGAUGAGCCUAGCAUGUGCAGACAUGGCCUCGGAACACAUGAGACCGAAAGGUCGAGCAUGAAUCAUAUAGUUGAUAUGAUUAGCAUAGAGAUGCUUACCACUGAAACUAUUCUCGACUCACGUGAUGAUCGGACUUGAGAUAGUGGAUUUGGAUCAUGUACCACUCAAAUGACUAGACAGAUGUACUUUUUGAGUGGGAGUUCUUAAGUAAAAUGAUUAAUUGAACUCAUUAUCAUGAACAUAGUUUAAUGGUCUUUGCAAAUUACGAUGUAGCUUGCGCUAUGGCUCUACUGUUUUUAUAUGUUCCUAGAGAAAAUUUAGUUGAAAGUUGAUAGUAGCAAACUUUGCGGAAUGAGUCUGUAAAACUAAGGAUUGUCCUCGUUGCUGCGCAGAAGGCUUAUGUCCUUAAUGCACCCUUCGGUGUGCUGCACCUCGAGCAUCGUCUGUGGAUGCUGUGAACAUCCGACAUACACGUUUCUGAUGACUACGCGAUAGUUCAUUGCAAUAUACUUAAUGGCUAAGAAGCAAGGCGCUGAAGAUGUUUUGGAAACGUCACGGAACAUAAGAGAUGUUCUAAAGAGAUGAAAUUGUGAUUUCAUUCUCGUGCCCUUGUUAAGAGGUAUGAGACCUCCGACAAGAUUCUUUGUCCACAAAGUAAAGGAGAAUAGCUCAAUCGUUGAGCGUGUGCUCAGAUUGUCUGAGUACGACAAUCGCUUGAAUCAAGUGGGAGUUAAUCUUCCAGAUGAGAUAGUGAUGGUUCUCCAAAUUCACUUCCACCAAGCUAUGAGAGCUUCAUGAUGAACUAUAACAUAUCAAGGAUAGAUACAAUGAUCCUUGAGCGAUUCGCUAUGUUUGACAUUGUGAAAGUAGAAAUCAAGAAGGAGCAUCAAUAGUUGAUGGUUAGUAAAACCACUAAGUUUCAAGAAAGGCAAGGGCUAGAAGGGAUACUUCGUGAAAUGGCAAAACAGUUCCUGCCCUAAUGAAGAGACCAAAGAUUAAACCCAAACCCGAGACUAAGUGCUUCUGUUACGAGGGGAACGGUCACUGAGGCGGAGCUACCCUAGAUGCUUGGUAGAUAAGAAGGUUGGCUAAGUCAACAGAAGGAUAUUUGAUAUACAUGAUAUUGGUGUGUACUUUACUAUCACUCUUAGUAGCACGAGGGCAUUGGAUACCGGUUCGGUUGCUAAGUGAUUAGUAACCCGAAAUGAAAGCUACGGAAUAAACGGAGACUAGCUAAAGGCGAGGUGACGAUACGUGUUGGAAGUGUUUCCAAGGUUGAUGUGAUCAAACGUCGCACACUCCCUCUACCAUCGGGUUUGGUGUUAAACCUAAAUAAUUGUUAUUUGGUGCUUGCGUUGAGCAUGAACAUGAUUGGAUCGUGUUUAUUGCAAUACGAUUAUUAAUUUAAAGAGAAUAAUGGUUACUCUGUUUGCUUGAAUAAUAACCUUCAAUGGUUUACUGAAUCUUGAUCAUAGUGUUACACAUGUUCAUGAUAUUGGUGCCAAAAGAUACAAGGUAAUGAUGAUAGUACCACCUACUUGUGGCACUGCCGCUUGAGUCAUGUUGGUGUAAAUUGCAUGAAAGGCUCCAUGCUGAUGGAUCUUUAAAUCUCACUUGAUUUUGAAUCACUUGAGACAUGCAAAUCAUACCACAUGAGCAAGGCCUUGUUUUCAUUAAGAUGAAACAAGAAAGUAACUUGUUGGAAGUAAUACAUUUUGAUGUAUGCCGUCCAAUGAGUGUUGAGGCACGCAGUGGAUGUCAUUAUGUUCUUACUUCAAUGACGAUUUGAGUAGAUACAGGAGUGUUUACUUAAUGAAUUAGAAGUCUGAAAUAUUGAAAAGUUCAAUUCUGUUUUAGAGUGAAGUUCGUCGUAACAAGAGGAUAAACUGUUUACGAUAUGAUCGUAGAGAUCUGAGUUGCGAGUUUUGGUACACAGUUAAGACAAUGUGGAAGUAGUUUCGCAAUUCAUGCCACCAGGAACACCAUAGUGUGAUGGUGUGUCUGAACGUCAUAGCCGCGACCUAUUUGAUGUGGUGCAUACUAUGAUGUCUCUUAUGGAGUUACCACUAUCAUUUAUGGGUUAUGUAUUAGAGACAACCGCAUUCACUUUAAAUAGGGCACCACGUAAUUCCAUUGAGAUGACACGGUAUAGACUGAGGUUUAGAGAAAUCUGAGCCGUCAUUUCUUGAAAGUUUGGGGCUGCGACACUUAUGUGAAAAAGUUUCCGUCUGAUAAGCUCAAACCCAAAGCGGAUAAAUGCAUCUUCAUAGGAUAUCCAAAACAGUUGGGUGCAUCUCCUAUCUCAGAUCCGAAAGCAAAGUGUUUGUUUUUACAAAAGGGUCCUUUCUCGAGGAAAGGUUUCUCUCGAAAGAAUUGAGUGGGAGGGUGAUAGAACUUGAUGAGGUUAUUGAACCAUCACUUCAACUAGUGUGUAGCAGGGCGCGGGAAGUUGUUCAUGUGGCUCCUACACCAAUUGAAGUGGAAGCUGAUGAUGGUGGUCAUUGAGCUUCGGAUCAAGUUACUACAAACCUCGUAGGUCGACAAGGUCGUGUAUUACUACAGAGUGGUACGGUAACCCUGUCUUGGAGGUCAUGUUGUUGAACAACAAUGAACCUACGAGCUAUGGAGAAGCGAUGGUGGGCCCGGAUUCCGACAAAUGGCUGGAGGCCAUGAAAUCCGAGAGAGGAUCCAUGUAAGAAAACAAAGUGUAGACUUUGGAAGAACUACUUGAUGGUCGUAGGACUAUUGAGUAAAGAUGGAUAUUUAAAAGGAAUACACACGAUGAUGGUGAUAAGUCACUAUUAAGAAAAGCUCGACUUGUCGCAAAGAUGUUUCCGACAAGAUCAAAUAGUUGACUAUGAUGAGACUUUCUCACUCGUAGCGAUGCUAAAAGUCUGUUAGAAUUAUGUUAGUAGUUGCUGCAUUACUUAUGAAUUGCACAUAGGAUGUCAAAAUAUUGUUUCCUUGACGGUUUCCUUGAGUAAACAUUGUAUGUGAUACAACGAGGAGGUUUUUUUGAUCCUAAGGAUACUAACAAGUAUGCAAGCUCCAGCGAUCCUUCAAUGGACUGGUGCAAGCAUCUCGGAGUUGGAAUAUACACCUUGAUGAGAUGAUCAAAGAUUUUGGGUUUGUACAAGGUUUAUGAGAAACUUGUAUUUCCAAAGAAGUGAGUGGGAGCACUAUAGAAUUUCUGAUAAGUAUAUGUGGUUGACAUAUUGUUGAUCAGAAGUAAUGUAGAAUUUCUAUGAAGCAUAAAAGGUUGUUUGAAAGGAGUUUUUCAAAGGAAUACCUGGAUUGAGCUACUUGAACGUUGAGCAUCAAGAUCUAUGGAGAUAGAUCAAAACGCUUAAUAGAAGUUUCAACAAGAUGCAUGCCUUGACAAGUUUUUGAAGGAGUUCAAAAUAGAUCAGCAAAGAAGGAGUUCUUGACUGUGUUGUAAGGUGUGAAUUUGAGUAAGACUCAAAACCCGACCACGGCAGAAUAAAGAGAAUAGACGAAGGUCGUCUUCUAUGCCUUAGCCAUAGACUCUAAAGUAUGCCAUGGUGAGUACCGCACCGGAUGUGUGCCUUCCAGCAAGUCUGUUAAGAGGUACAGAGAGUGAUCCAGGAUUGAAUCACUGAUCAGCGGUCAAAGUUAUCCUUAGUAACUAAAUGGACUAAGGAAUUUUUCUUGAUUAUGGAGGUAGUUAAAGAGUUCGUCGUAAAGGGUUACGUCGAUGCAAGCUUUGACACUAAUCCAAAUAACUAUGAGUAGUGAAACGGAUUCGUAUAGUAGAGUAGAUAUUUGGAGUAUUUUCGAAUAGUACGUAGUAGCAGCAUCUAUAAGAUGACAUAAAGAUUUGUAAAGAACACACGGAUCUGAAAGUUUCAGAACCGUUGAAUAAAACCUCUCUCAUGAGCAAGACGUGAUCAGACCCCAUAACUAUAUGGGUGUUGCAUUCGUUGAAAUCACAUGGUGAUGUGAACUAGAUUAUUGACUCUAGUGCAAGUGGGAGACUGUUGGAAAUAUGCCCUAGAGGCAAUAAUAAAUUAGUUAUUAUUAUAUUUCUUUGUUCGUGAUAAUCGUUUAUUAUCCAUGCUAUAAUUGUAUUGAUUGGAAACAAAAUACUUGUGUGGAUACAUAGACAAAACACUGUCCCUAGUAAGCCUCUAGUUGACUAGCUCGUUGAUCAAAGAUGGUCAAGGUUUCCUGACCAUAGGCAAGUGUUGUCACUUGAUAACGGGAUCACAUCAUUGGGAGAAUCAUGUGAUGGACUAGACCCAAACUAAUGAACGUAGCAUGUUAAUCGUGUCAUUUUGUUGCUACUAUUGUUCUGUGUGUCAAGUAUUUAUUCCUAUGACCAUGAGAUCAUAUAAUUCACUGGCACCGGAGGAAUGCCUUAUGUGUAUGAAACGUCACAUCGUAACUGGGUGACUAUAAAGAUGCUCUACAGGUAUCUCCGAAGGUGUGCGUUGAGUUAGUAUGGAUCAAGACUGGGAUUUGUCACUCUGUGUGACUGAGAGGUAUCUCGGGGCCACUCGGUAAUACAACAUCACACACAAGCCUUGCAAGCAAUGUGACUUAGUGUAAGUCACGGGAUCUUGUAUUACGGAACGAGUAAAGAGACUUGCCAGUAAACGAGAUUGAAAUAGGUAUGCGGAUACUGAUGAUCGAAUCUCGGGCAAGUAACAUACCGAAGGACAAAGGGAAUGACAUACGAGAUUAUAUGAAUCCUUGGCACUGAGGUUCAACCGAUAAGAUCUUUGGAGAAUAUUCAGGAUCCAAUAUGGGCAUCCAGGUCCCGCUAUUGUAUAUUGACCGAGGAGUCCCUCGGGUCAUGUCUACAUAGUUCUCGAACCCGCAGGGUCUGCACACUUAAGGUUAGGUGAUGUUUUAUGAGUAUUUGAGUUAUAUGGUUGGUUACAGAAUGUUGUUCGGAGUCUCGGAUGAGAUCAUGGACGCCACGAGGGUUUCCGGAAUGGUCCGUAGACGAAGAUUGAUAUAUAGGAUGACCUCAUUUGAUUGCCGGAAAGUUUUCGGACAUUACCGGGAAUGUACCGGGAGUGACGAAUGGGUUCCGAAUGUUCACCAGGGGGGCAGCCCACCCAGGGGAAGCUCAUUGGCCUUAGGGGUGCUGCACCAGCCCUUAGUGGGCUGGUGGGACAGCCCAAGAGGCCCUAUGUGCAGGAAUCAAAGGAAAAAAAGGGGGAAGUGGGAAAGUGGAGAAGGACUCCACCUUCCAAUCCUAGUUGGACUAGGAUUGGAAGGGGAGGACUUCCCCCCUUGCUUCGGCCGACCCCUUGGGGCUCUAUUGAGCCUCAAGGCAGGUCCCUCCCCCUCCCUCCUAUAUAUACUGAGGUAUUAGGGCUGAUUUGAGACAACUUUGCAACGGCAGCCCGACCACAUACCUCCACGGUUUUUCCUCUAGACUGUAUUUCUGCGGAGCUCGGGCGGAGCCCUGCUGAGAUAGAUCACCACCAACCUCGGGAGAGCCGUCAUGCUGCCAGAGAACUCAUCUACCUCUCCGUCUCUCUUGAUGGAUCAAGAAGGCCAAGAUCAUCGUCGAGUUGUACGUGUGCUGAACGCGGAGGUGCCGUCCGUUCGGCACUAGAUCGGAGCGAAUCAUAGGACCGUUCGUGGGACGGUUCGCGGGGCGGAUCGAGGGACGUGAGGAAGUUCCACUACAUCAACCGCGUUUCUUAGCGCUUCUUGUUGUGCGAUCUAUGAGGGUACGUAGAUCGGAAAUCCCCUCUCGUAGAUGGACAUCACCAUGAUAGGUCUUCGUGCGCGUAGGAAUUUUUUUGUUUCCCAUGCGACGUUCCCCAUCAAUAUCAAAGGUAUAAGAAGUUUCCUUGGUCAUGCUGGUUUCUAUAGAAGGUUCAUUAAGGACUUUUCUAAGAUUUCGAGGCCUCUUACCAAUCUCUUGCAAAAGGAUAAUCCUUUUGUUUUUGACGAUGAUUGUGAGGAAGCCUUCGAAAUACUUAAAAAGGCCUUGAUAACUGCGCCUAUUGUUCAACCACCUGAUUGGAACUUACCUUUUGAAAUUAUGUGUGAUGGUAGUGAUUAUGAUGUUGGUGCUGUUCUAGGACAAAGAGUUGAUAAGAAGUUGAAUGUUAUUCACUACGCUAGUAAAACUCUAGACAAUGCCCAAAGAAACUAUGCUACUACUGAAAAGGAAUUUUUAGCAGUCGUGUUUGCAUGUGAAAAGUUCAGAUCUUACAUAGUUGAUUCAAAAGUCACUAUUCACACUGAUCACGCAGCUAUUAAGUACCUCAUGGAAAACAAAGACGCUAAACCUAGACUUAUCAGAUGGGUUCUCUUGCUACAAGAAUUCGAUUUGCAUGUUGUUGAUAGAAAGGGUGCUGAGAACCCCGUAGCAGAUAACUUGUCUAGGUUGGAGAAUGUUCUUGAUAACCCACAACCUAUUGAUGAUAGCUUUCCUAAUUAGCAACUGAAUGUCAUCAAUACUUCAGGUAGUGCACCGUGGUAUGCUAAUUAUGCAAAUUAUAUUGUUGCCAAAUAUAUACCACCUAGUUUCACAUACCAACAAAAUAAGAAAUUAUUCUUUGAUUUGAGACAUUACUUUUGGGAUGAUCCUCACCUUUAUAAGGAAGGAGUAAAUGGUGUUAUUAGACGUUGUGUACCUGAACAUGAACAGGGACAGAUCCUACAGAAGUGUCACUCCGAGGCCUACGAAGGACACCAUGCGGGAGAUAGAACUGCACACAAGGUAUUGCAAUCAGGUUUCUAUUGGCCCACUCUCUUCAAGGAUGCCCGUAAGUUUGUCUUGUCUUGUGACGAAUGUCAAAGAAUAGGUAAUAUCGGUAAACGUCAGGAAAUGCCUAUGAAUUAUUCACUUGUCAUUGAACCAUUUGAUAUUUUGGGCUUUGAUUAUAUGGGACCUUUUCCAAAAUCCAACGGGUAUACUCAUAUCCUAGUUGCUCUCGAUUACGUUAAUAAGUGAGUAGAAGCUAUCCCAACUAGUAGUGCUGAUCACCACACCUCUAUUAGGAUGCUUAAAGAAGUUAUUUUCCCUAGAUUUGGAGUCCCUAGAUAUCUAAUGACUGAUGGUGGUUCACAUUUCAUUCAUGGUGCUUUCCGUAAAACGCUUGCUAAGUAUAAUGUCAACCAUAGAGUUGCAUCUCCCUAUCAUCCUCAGUCCAGUGGUCAAAUAGAGCUAAGCAAUAUAGAGAUUAAACUAAUUCUGCAAAAGGCUGUCAAUAGGUCUAGAAAGAAUUGGUCUAAGAAGCUCGAUGAUGCACUGUGGGCUUAUAGAACUGCUUAUAAGAAUCCCAUGGGCAUGUCUCCGUGCAAAAUGGUUUACGGCAAAGCAUGUCAUUUACCUCUUGAGCUAGAGCACAAGGCUUAUUGGGCAAUCAAAGAGCUCAACUUUGAUUUCAAACUUGCUCGUGAGAAGAGGUUAUUUGAUAUUAGCUCGCUUGAUGAAUGGAGAGCUCAGGCAUAUGAAAAUGCCAAGUUGUUCAAAGAAAAGGUUAAUAGGUGACAUGAUAAAAGGAUACAAAAGCGUGAGUUCAAUGUAGGUGAUUAUGUCUUGCUAUAUAAUUCUCGUUUAAGAUUUUUUGUAGGCAAGCUUAUCUCUAAAUGGGAAGGUCCCUACAUUGUUGAGGAAGUAUAUCGUUCCGGUGCCAUCAAGAUCAACAACACGGAAGGUAAUUUUCCAAGAGUGGUAAAUGGGCAAAGAAUCAAGCAUUAUAUCUCAGGUAUUCCCAUAAAUGUUGAAAGCAAUAUUAUCAAUACCAUAACUCCGGAGGAGUACAUAAGGGAUAUUUAUCAGCCUGUUUCAGACUCCGAAAACGAAGAGGUAUGUGAUUCGGUAAGUAAACCGACUCCAAAACUUUUCCAGUAGGAAUUUUUCUCAUUUUUGGAAUUUUUGAAAAAAUAGAAAAAGUAGUCCGGAAAGCGCACGAGGAGGCGACAAACCUACCAGGCGCGGGCCACCCCCCUGGCCGCGCCUGGGGGGGCUUGUGACCACCUCGUGUGCCUCCCGGACUCCGUUUUCUUACGGAGUACUCCUUCUGGUUGGAAAAAAUAUUAUAUAUUCUCCCAUAAGGUCUGACCCUCAUAUCACGCAAGUUUCCUCUGUUUUCGUUUCGAGCCUAUUUCUGCUGCAGAUCUAGAUCGCUAUGGCAUCCCCAAAAGCUCCGAAGGACAAGAUCUUCGAGAAGGUCAUCAAUCCCUACCUCACGGGAGUCCUGCAACACCCUCAAUCUAUCGAGAUGCGUGAGGGGAUGCUGCACAUCCGUGAUGUUGAGGGGCCUAAGAAGACCGGAAGCAUGGAGGCGAGGCUCGAAGCAAUGGAGCAACAAGUCUUCAAGUGCCAAGGUAUGGUGGAACGCGGACUCAAUGCCAACCACAUGGUGAUCACAGACUUCACCAACAAGCACAAGAUCGAUGCCAAUGACAUCGGGAAGCACCUCUCCAGGCUCUAUGACAAAAUUGAUCACCUCCAAGCCCAGAUCUAUGACCUGCAGAACCAAAACUGUGAGUAUGAGUAUAGAUUUAAAUCAAUACGGUUGGCUGCAGAUUUGAGGAUUCCGUAGACUCAGUCAUCUUUCCAUGAUGGAGCACCUAUGCCUUGGAAGACGGAGGAUCAAACCCAUGUUGCAACAACUCCACCACCAUCACCAUCGAAGGAAGACAACUAAGCAUGGGUAUGGGCAAUCCCCUUGGCUUGUGCCAAGCUUGGGGGAGUUGCCCCGAUAUCGUAUCACCAUCACAUCUUUUGCCUUUACCUUUUCUUAGUUCGAUCCUUUUUGGUCUUAUCUUUCUCUAGUAAAAUAAAGUCCUUAGUGUUUUACGCUUAAGUUUUGCUUUGUGUCACCCGUGAUGUAUUCGAGCUCGUGAGCCUUAUAAUAAAGAGUGUCUUAGUUAAGGGCCUUGCCUCAUGCCAUGAUCAAGAGAAUGAUAAAAGAACAAAAGCAUGAAAGAUCAUGUAAUGAUCUUGUGGAAAGUGAUGGCUUCACAUAUAAGAAGAAUGUUGAUUGAAACUUGUUGAGGGUAGACAAACAUAGACCUUGGUCAUUGUUGCAAUUAAUAGGAAAUGAUAAAGAAGGAGAGGUUCACAUAUAAAUAUAUCAUCUUUGACACCAUCUAUGAUUGUGAACACUCAUUAAACUAUUGCAUGCUUAGAAGUAGAUGUUGGACAAGGAAGACAACAUAAUGAAUUAAGUUUGCUUGGUUCCGAACAAUGAUUAUAUGACUAGAGAUCCAUUAGCAUGUGACGCUUGCUUCCACCUCAUAUCAGCCAAAACUUCCGCACUAAGUAAAGAUACUACUUGUGCAUCCAUAAACCUUCAACCCCAGUUUUGCCAUGAGAGUCCACCAUACCUACGUAUGGAUUGAAUAAGAUCCCUCAAGUAAGUUGUCAUCGGUGCAAGCAAUAAAAAUUGCUCCCUAAAUAUGUAUGAUCUAUUAGUGUGUGGAAAAUAAGCUUUGUAUGAACCUGUGAUGAGGAAGACAUAAAAGCGACAGACUGCAUAAUAAAGUUCUUUAUCACAGGAGGCAAUAUAAAGUGACGUUCCUUUACACUAAGAGGUCGCACAUCCAAACCUCGAAAGUGCAUGGCAACCUCUGCUUCCCUCUGCGAAGGGCCUAUCUUGUACCUUUACUUUUUGCCCUUAAAAGAGUCAUGGUGAUCUACACCAAUUCCUUAUUUCGCCUUUUUCUUGGCUAACGUCAUAUGCUAGGGAAAGAUCUGUAUGCAUAUGUCAACUUGGAAGUGAGUAUUCAUGAAUUAUUAUUGUUGACAUUACCCUUGAGGUAAGCAGUUGGGAGGCGAAACUAUAAGCCCCUAUCUUUCUCUGUGUUCAUCUGAAACUUCGAUCUCAUGAGUACCAUGUGAGUUGUAGCAAUUGUAGAAGACAAAAGGAUGAUUGAGUAUGUGGAUUUUCUUUACAAGCUCUUAUUUGACUCUUUCCGAUGUUGUGAUAAAUUGCAAUUGCUUCAAUGACUAAAGGCUAUCGGUUGUUAAUUAUCAUUAAGCUUCUUGAUCCUUACUUUACUUUGUGAAGGAAUUAUCACUUUAGCAUAAGAGUUCAUAUGAUGAUAUUGUUGUUCUGAUUAUGAUCGUGAUGCCCGCAUGUCCGUAUCUUGUUUUGUCGACACCUCUCUCUCUAAACAUGUGGGCAUAUUUAUUGAUCUCGGUUUUUGCUUGAGGACAAGCGAGGUAUAAGAUUGGGGGAGUUGAUACGUCCAUUUUGCAUCAUGCUUUCAUGUUGAUAUUUAUUGAUUUAUGGGCUGUUAUUACACUUCAUGGUACAAUACUUAUGCUUUUUCUCUCUUAUUUUGCAAUGUUUACAUGAAGAGGGAGAAUGCCGGCAGCUGGAAUUCUGGCCUGAAAAAGGAGCAAGUUUGAGAUACCUAUUCUGCGCAACUCCAAAAGCCGUGAAAAUCAACGAGGAUUUAUUUUGGAAUUUAUAUAAAAUACUAGGCCGAAGAAGUACCAGAGGGGAGCCAACAGGAGGCCAGAAGCCUGCUAGGCGCGCCCCCCUGGCCGCGCCUAGCGGGUUUGUGGGCUCCCUGCGGGCCCUCUGGCCCCCCUCUUUUGCUAUAAGAAGGGUUUCGUUCCAGAAAAAUCAGGAGGAGGCUUUCGGGAGGAAUCGCCGCCGGCACGAGGCGGAACUUGAGCACAACCAAUAUAAAGCUCUGGCAGGGUCGUCCUGCCGGGGAAACUUCCCUCCCGGAGGGGGAAAUCGUCGCCAUCGUCAUCACCAACACUCCUCUCAUCGGAGGGGACUCAUCACCAUCAACAUCUUCAUCCGCACCAUCUCAUCUCCAAACCAUAGUUCAUCUCUUGUAACCAAUCUCCGUCUCGCGACUCCGAUUGGUACUUGUAAGGUUGCUAGUAGUGUUAAUUACUCUUUAUAGUUGAUGCUAGUUGGAUUACUUGGUGGAAGAUUAUAUGUUCAGAUCCUUGAUGCUAUUCAUUACCUCUCUGGUCAUGAAUAUUAUUAUGCUUUGUGAGUAGUCACUUUUGCUCCUGAGGACAUGGGAUAAGUUUUGCUAUAAGUAGUCAUGUGAAUUUGGUAUUCGUUCGAUAUUUUGAUGUGUUGUAUGUUGUUUUUCCUCUAGUGGUGUUAUGUGAACGUCGACUAAAUAACACUUCACCAUUAUUUGGGCCUAGAGGAAGGCAUUGGGAAGUAGUAAGUAGAUGAUGGGUUGCUAGAGUGACAAAAGCUUAAACCCUAUUUUAUGCGUUGCUUCGUAAGGGGCUGAUUUGGAUCCACUAGUUUAAUGCUAUGGUUAGACUUUGUCUUAAUUCUUGUUUCGUAGUUGCGGAUGCUUGCGAGAGGGGUUAAUCAUAAGUGGGAUGCUUGCCCAAGUAAGGGCAGUAGCCAAGCGCCGGUCCACCCACAUAUCAAACUAUCAAAGUAGCGAACACGAAUCAUAUGAACAUGAUGAAAACUAGCUUGACAGAAAUUCCCAUGUGUCCUCGGGAGUACUUUACCUCCUAUAUGAGUUUGUUCAGGCUUGUCCCUUGCUACAAAAAGGGAAUGGGCCACUUUGUUGCACCUUUGUUACCGUUGUUACUUGCUACUUGCUGUGAAUCAUCUCACCACACCACUAUGUGUUACCGAUAAUUUCAGUGCUUGCAGAGAAUACCUUGCUGAAAACCACUUGUCAGAUCCUUCUACUCCUCGUUGGGUUCGACACUCUUACUUAUUGAAAGGACUACGAUAGAUCCCCUAUACUUGUGGGUCAUCAGAGAAAGUUUGAGAUACCUAUUCUACGCAACUCCAAACGCCGUAAAAAUUAACGAGGAUUUUUUUUUCCGGAUUUAUAAAAAAUACUGGGAUGAAGAAGCGCCAGAGGGGCACCAGGGGUUGGCCACAAGCCUGCACGGCGUGGCCACCCCCUAGGCCGCGCCAUGAGGGCUUAUGGGCAACCUGCUGGCCCACUUGCCCCCCUCUUCUGCUAUAUGAAGGGUUUCGUCUGGAAAAAAUCAGGGAGGAGCUUUUUCGUGGUUUCGCCGCCGCCACGAGGCGGAACUUGAGCAGAACCAAUCUAGAGCUCCGGCAGGACGAUCCUGCCGGGGAAACUUCCCUCCCGGAAGGGGAAAUCGUCGCCAUCGUCAUCACCAACACUCCUCUCAUCGGAGGGUACUUGUCACCAUCAACAUCUUCCUCAACACCAUCUCAUCUCCAAACCCUAGUUCACACUUGUAACCAAUCUCCGUCUCGCGACUCCGAUUGGUACUUGUAAGGUUGCUAGUAGUGUUGAUUACUCUUUGUAGUUGAUGCUAGUUGGAUUAUUUGGUGGAAGAAUUUAUGUUCAGAUCCUUGAUGCUACUCAUUACCUCUCUGGUCUUGAAUAUGAUUAUGCUUUGUGAGUAGUUACUUUUGUUCCUGAGGACAUGGGAUAAGUCAUGCUAAUAGUAGUCAUGUGAAUUUGGUAUUCGUUCGGUAAUUUGAUAUGGUGUAUGUUGUUUUUUCUCUGGUGGUGUUAUGUGAACGUCGACUACAUAACACUUCACCAUUAUUUGGGCCUAGAGGAAGGCAUUGGGAAGUAGUAAGUAGAUGAUGGGUUGCUAGAGUGACAGAAGCUUAAACCCUAGUUUAUGUGUUGCUUCGUAAGGGGCUGAUUUGGAUCCACUAGUUUAAUGCUAUGGUUAGACUUUGUCUUAAUUCUUCUUUCGUAGUUGCGGAUACUUGCGAGAGGGGUUAAUCAUAAGUGGGAUGCUUGUCCAAGUAAGGGCAGUACCCAAGCGCCGGUCCACCCACAUAUCAAACUAUCAAAGUAACGAACGCGAACCAUAUGAACAUGAUGAAAACUAGCAUGACAGAAAUUCCCGUGUGUCCUCGGGAGCGUUUUUCCUCCUAUAAGACUUUGUCCAGGCUUGUCCCUUGCUACAAAAGGGAUUGGACCACUUUGCUGCACCGUUGCUACUUUUGUUACUUGUUGCUUGCUAUGAAUCAUCUCACCACACAACUACUUGUUACCGAUAAUUUCAGUGCUUGCAGAUAUUACCUUGCUGAAAACCACUUGUCAAAUCCUUCUGCCCCUCGUUGGGUUCGACACUCUUACUUAUCGAAAGGACUACGAUUGAUCCCCUAUGGUCAUCACUAGCCAACUAGAGGCUUGCUAGGGACAUUGUUGUGUCUAUUUAUCCACACAUGUAUCUAUGUUUUCAUUCAAUACAAUUAUAGCAUGGAUAAUAAACAAUUAUCUUUAAACAGGAAAUAAAAUAAUAACUAUUUAUUAUUGCCUCUAGGGCAUAUUUUCAACACUUACAAUAGAACCAAGUCUCGACCCAACAUUUGGGAUGACUCGCCAGUUUGGCUUCAGGAAAAGUAGUAUUUUUCCUUUUCUAAAUUGAGAUUCCACCAAGCUCUAUGCUAAGUCCAUCUUUGCAUUCCAUUUGGUGGUUGAUAUAGAAAAAUUCAUGAAAGAGUUUGGCUAGCCAGUUGAUAAAAUAGUUAUUAUUAUAUUUCCUGUUUCAAGAUAAUCGUUUAUUAUCCAUACUAUAACUGUAUUGAAUGAAAACAUAAAUGCAUGUGUGGAUAUAUAGACAAAACAAUGUCCCUAGUAAGCCUUUAGUUGGCUAGCCAGUUGAUCAAGGGUGGUUAAGGUGUUCUGAACAUAUGCAAGUGUUGUCACUUGAUGACUGGAUCACAUCAUUGGGAGAAUGAUGUGAUGGACAAGACCCAAACUAUGAACAUAGCAUGUGAUCGUGUUAUUUUGUUGCUAUUGUUUUCUGCGUGUCAAGUAUUCAUUCCUAUGACCAUGAGAUCAUGUAACUCACUGACACCGGAGGAAUACCUUGUGUGUAUCAAACGUCGCAACGUUAAUGGGUGACUAUAAAGGUGCUCUACAGGUAUCUCCGAAGGUGUCCGUUGAGUUAGCAUGGAUCGAGACUGGGAUUUGUCACUCCGUGUGACGGAGAGGUAUCUCGGGGCCCACUCGGUAAUACAACAUCACAUAUAAUCUUUGCAAGCAAUGUGACUAAAGUGUUUGUUACGGGAUCUUCUAUUACGGAACGAGUAAAGAGACUUGCCGGUAACAAGAUUGAAAUAGGUAUAGGGAUACCACGAUCAAAUCUCGGGCAAGUAACAUACCGAAGGACAAAGGAAAUGAUAUACGGGAUUAUAUGAAUCCUUGGCACAGAGGUUCAACCGAUGAGAUCUUCGUAGAAUAUGUAGAAUCCAAUAUGGACAUCCAGGUCUCGUUGUUGGAUAUUGACUGGGGAGUGUCUCACGUCAUGUCUGCAUAAUUCUCGAACCCGCAGGGUCUGCACACUUAAGGUUCGGUGACGUUUUGAUAUAGUUGAGUUAUAGGUGCUGGUGACCGAAGUUUUGUUCGAAGUCCCCGAUGAGAUCACAGACGUAACAAGGGUUUCCGGAAUGGUCCGGAAACAAAGAUUGAUAUAUAGGAUUGUUUCAUUUGGCCUCCGAAAAUAUUUCGAACAUUGUCGACAGUGUACCGGAAGUAACGAAUGGGUUUCGGGUUUUUACCAGGAGGGGGCCAGCCACCCGGGAGAGAACCUAAUAGCCCAUGGGUGUCGCACUAGCCCUUGGUGGGCUGGUGUGGCCAGCCAAAUAGGGCUAUUUCGGCUAAGGGGAAAAUCAAAGAAGAAAAGAAAAAAAAAGAGGAAGGGGGAAGGAAGGAAGGGACUCCUCCUUCCCAAACCGAAUUGGAGUGGGAGUCCCUCCUCCUCCACUCGGCCGACGCCCUAGGGGAUCUCUUGAUUCCCAAGGCUAGCCCCUCCCCUCCUCCUAUAUAUACUAGAGGUUUUAGGGGUUUUGAGACGCAACUUUGCCACGUGCAACCCUAAACCUCUACUUCGUAGUUCUUCCUCUAGAUCGGUUUUCUGCGGAGCUCGGGCGGAGCCCCGGAGUAAUAGAUCAUCACCAUCACCGGCGCGCCGUCACGCUGUCGGAGAACUCAUCUACUUCCCCAUCUCUCUUGCUGGAUCAAGAAGGCGGAGAUCGUCAUCGAGCUGUACGUGUGCUGAACGCGGAGGUGUCGUCCGUUCGGUACUAGAUCGGGACGGAUUGUGGGACGACGGUGAUUUGAAUCACGAAGUUGUUCCACUACAUCAACCGCGUUUCUUAACGCUUCCCGCUUAGCGAUCUACAAGGGUAUGUGGAUCCGAUCUCCCUCACGUAGAUGAACAUCACCAUGAUAGGUCUUCGUGUGCGUAUGAAAAAUUUUGUUUCCCAUGCAACGUUUCCAACAGUUAACAGUUGGUUCAAUGUGAAGAUACACUUUGCAAAGAACUCGAAACUCGCAAAGGUUGGUGAUUGAAUUGGGGUCGAUAUCCUCUGGCGUGAGGUUGAAAAAGUUGAGCACAGUCCCUGAAGAAUUUUGACUCGGGCAUUUGGAAACCUUUGUGCAGAUGAUCUGUAAAAAUUACAACUUCCCCAUGUUGAGGUUGGGGGAAGGUUCUUCUUCACGUGUCCGCCAGCUAAUUUUUUAUUGAGCCGGCAAAAGACCCUGGCUCACGAGAUCUUCUAGUAUAGGCAUUGACACCUGGGAUCUAACCCAGCCAACGGCUUUGCUGGUCUUUGUGGCCAUUGAUAUCUUACAAGCCAACUACAAGGUAAAAGCAAAAGUAAAUAAUUCGGCGUGUGGGUCAUGAGAUCCAAUAAACAAAUGAGUCUGACACAAAUACUAUUAUCAAGGUUAAAAUGGGCUUAGGUGAGGAUAUCAAGAUGGUUUAUAAGCCGACAAGAUUGAACCGGUAUUUCAGGUAAGGGAAUCAUUUCCCACCCGCGUCGGCCGAACCGACGCGCCGGUCGUCUCCCUGACACGCGCGGGCCCUUGCAACAUUUUUUUCAUCCGCGCACUUCUCCGGUCAAUUGAUGCAACAUUUUUCGUCUAAAUAUGUUGCAACCUGCGACAUUUUUGCUACAAGCGUUUUUUUACUAUAUUUUAUUUCAGUAAAAAAGUUGCAUAUACGUUUGGUUGCAACUCUAAUUCGUCGGAUUUUUUGUUACAAUCAAUGUUUUUUACUUUUGCUACAACCGUGUUAAUUUUUGCUACAACCGGCAUCAUGUUUUGCUGCAACCGUUCACUAAAAAGUUGCAUACACGUCACGUAAAUUUCUGUUACAACCGGCGUUUGACUUUUGCUAUCAUGUACCACCAGCUUCGUUUUUUUGCUACGAUCACAUAGAUUUUUUUCCUACAAAUUUUGUUUUUUGUUGCAACCGUUGAAAAAAAUAUUGCAUGACAUCGAAAUUUUGCUGCAUAGGAAGAAAAAUGUUGCAAGCGGGUUCAACGGUACGGACGACGCGGGGUUGGUGGAUCCUGCGGCCCCCGCACGGCCGGCCGAAAAUCUGGGCCGGCGCACCGGCGCAGAUCACCCCCCUUGAGGUAAAUAUAAAAGCCUUGCUAUCAUAUGGGUUUUAAGACAUAUGACUAAUGACAGGAUUCCUUGAUAAGCCGGCAAGCUAAGAUAGAUCAGUAUUACUAAAUGAGUCGGCAAGGUGGUAAAUUGACAAGUGCAGGGAUGAUACGACGUUCGCAAAAGCCAGCUAGGGAAGUAAAGCAAAGGGUCCAUAAGGACUUCGCAAAUUUGCCAUAUGGACAAAUAGUUUUCUCCUCCACACGGAAGAGUAGAUGGAUCUAAUAAACAUGGGGAAAGGAAAUAAAUGCCUAAAAAGCUAGUGGAAGGAACGGAAGUGAAGCAUUUGCAGAAUCUCAUGGGUAAAUUAUUGUGAAUCUACAAUACUAUGUGAAUGCAGCGGAGGCAAAACUACGCGUUGUUUAGAAGAAGCUGCCGAGUUUGAUAGAUCUACACCUAAAAUCUCCAGUGAACUCCGAUGAUACCACUUGAUAUGAUCCGGCCAGGAUAUGACCCGACUCUUAAGUGAAGGCUCACGGGUUGUACUACGACCCGGAUUUUAUUGUAACCUCAUGGCGGCUCAUAACAAGGGUCAAUAUAUGGGUCGCGGAAUCCUUGAAGUUCAAGGCUCGGGAGGCGGCUCACCGAAGAAGUCCGGCUCGUGGACCAGUACUUGGCAGGCCGGCUCAAGGAGGGAAUCGUAAGGAACUUCCUCUACUUGAAAUACAAUACAAGUAAAAGUAGACUAGGUCACGAGUUGUACUACGACCCGGAUUCUAUUGUAACGCCUCAACUUAUAUAUAAAGGGGAGCCCUUGAGGUAGAAAGAUUUAAGUAAAAAAUUCUCAAAAGCUAGGUUGACGAUUCCACGCCUUUGUAGUUGAGACAACCUCAAUCAAAUAACACACAAGCAGGAGUAGGCUUUUACCUCCAUUGUAUGGGCAGGACAUGAGUAAAUCCUUGUCUCUCGUUCCCAUCAACCCCAUGCAAUCAUUCAUCUAGUUGCGAUGGCUCCUAGACUUAGUCCUAUCACUAGAACAUCUGUCGUGACAAAACCACGACACACACAGUUCAUCCGAAUGACAUGUAUGUUGUAUAUCACACACAGCUUGAUCUGAGCAACCGUUUGUGUUAUCUUGGCUCAUCGCAAAUAGUUCAUCUGGGCAACGUGGCUGCAGUCUAUCGCACAUAUUUUGAUGUGGAUAAUCGUUUGUGUUAUUUUAUGUCAUCGCAAACAGUUCAUCCGGUUGACAUGUAUGUCUUCUAUCUCACACAUAAUCAUCUGGACAAUCGUUUGUGUUAUGCUUGAUCAGCGCAAAUAGUUUAUCCGGUUGAACUCUAUGUCGUACAUCGCACACACUUCUUUUUAGUUAAGUGUUUGCUUUAUUUUGGAUCAUCGCAAACAUUUUAUAUAUGUCAACUCUAUGUCGCAGAUCGCACACGCAACUCUUUUAUGAAUCGUAUUUGAUGGAUCCGUCAUCGCACAUAGUUCGUGUUAUUGACCACGAAUCUUGAACUAUAUCGUUUACGAUUCAUGCAUCGCACACAGUUUCGUCGAAGGGUCUCUGAUUGACGUGUUACCUUAGGACCUUCAUGCAUUAGUGUAUGUGUUUGACAUCACCUAACGGAAACCACUAGGCUUAGUUGGACUGACUAGAGUAACGUUUUAUUAAAGAAGCUCACAUGAACAUUUAUCUUCUCCCGAUAGAACGUAACUGCACAUGUUAUCCAAUAUGACACAUGGUCACUGGAAACCAUCCUCUUAUUGUUAACUUCGAUUGCUUAGAGCCANGUUGAAAAAAAUAUUGCAUGACAUCGAAAUUUUGCUGCAUAGGAAGAAAAAUGUUGCAAGCGGGUUCAACGGUACGGACGACGCGGGGUUGGUGGAUCCUGCGGCCCCCGCACGGCCGGCCGAAAAUCUGGGCCGGCGCACCGGCGCAGAUCACCCCCCUUGAGGUAAAUAUAAAAGCCUUGCUAUCAUAUGGGUUUUAAGACAUAUGACUAAUGACAGGAUUCCUUGAUAAGCCGGCAAGCUAAGAUAGAUCAGUAUUACUAAAUGAGUCGGCAAGGUGGUAAAUUGACAAGUGCAGGGAUGAUACGACGUUCGCAAAAGCCAGCUAGGGAAGUAAAGCAAAGGGUCCAUAAGGACUUCGCAAAUUUGCCAUAUGGACAAAUAGUUUUCUCCUCCACACGGAAGAGUAGAUGGAUCUAAUAAACAUGGGGAAAGGAAAUAAAUGCCUAAAAAGCUAGUGGAAGGAACGGAAGUGAAGCAUUUGCAGAAUCUCAUGGGUAAAUUAUUGUGAAUCUACAAUACUAUGUGAAUGCAGCGGAGGCAAAACUACGCGUUGUUUAGAAGAAGCUGCCGAGUUUGAUAGAUCUACACCUAAAAUCUCCAGUGAACUCCGAUGAUACCACUUGAUAUGAUCCGGCCAGGAUAUGACCCGACUCUUAAGUGAAGGCUCACGGGUUGUACUACGACCCGGAUUUUAUUGUAACCUCAUGGCGGCUCAUAACAAGGGUCAAUAUAUGGGUCGCGGAAUCCUUGAAGUUCAAGGCUCGGGAGGCGGCUCACCGAAGAAGUCCGGCUCGUGGACCAGUACUUGGCAGGCCGGCUCAAGGAGGGAAUCGUAAGGAACUUCCUCUACUUGAAAUACAAUACAAGUAAAAGUAGACUAGGUCACGAGUUGUACUACGACCCGGAUUCUAUUGUAACGCCUCAACUUAUAUAUAAAGGGGAGCCCUUGAGGUAGAAAGAUUUAAGUAAAAAAUUCUCAAAAGCUAGGUUGACGAUUCCACGCCUUUGUAGUUGAGACAACCUCAAUCAAAUAACACACAAGCAGGAGUAGGCUUUUACCUCCAUUGUAUGGGCAGGACAUGAGUAAAUCCUUGUCUCUCGUUCCCAUCAACCCCAUGCAAUCAUUCAUCUAGUUGCGAUGGCUCCUAGACUUAGUCCUAUCACUAGAACAUCUGUCGUGACAAAACCACGACACACACAGUUCAUCCGAAUGACAUGUAUGUUGUAUAUCACACACAGCUUGAUCUGAGCAACCGUUUGUGUUAUCUUGGCUCAUCGCAAAUAGUUCAUCUGGGCAACGUGGCUGCAGUCUAUCGCACAUAUUUUGAUGUGGAUAAUCGUUUGUGUUAUUUUAUGUCAUCGCAAACAGUUCAUCCGGUUGACAUGUAUGUCUUCUAUCUCACACAUAAUCAUCUGGACAAUCGUUUGUGUUAUGCUUGAUCAGCGCAAAUAGUUUAUCCGGUUGAACUCUAUGUCGUACAUCGCACACACUUCUUUUUAGUUAAGUGUUUGCUUUAUUUUGGAUCAUCGCAAACAUUUUAUAUAUGUCAACUCUAUGUCGCAGAUCGCACACGCAACUCUUUUAUGAAUCGUAUUUGAUGGAUCCGUCAUCGCACAUAGUUCGUGUUAUUGACCACGAAUCUUGAACUAUAUCGUUUACGAUUCAUGCAUCGCACACAGUUUCGUCGAAGGGUCUCUGAUUGACGUGUUACCUUAGGACCUUCAUGCAUUAGUGUAUGUGUUUGACAUCACCUAACGGAAACCACUAGGCUUAGUUGGACUGACUAGAGUAACGUUUUAUUAAAGAAGCUCACAUGAACAUUUAUCUUCUCCCGAUAGAACGUAACUGCACAUGUUAUCCAAUAUGACACAUGGUCACUGGAAACCAUCCUCUUAUUGUUAACUUCGAUUGCUUAGAGCCAUAUUUUUAAAAAUCCAUCUGCCUAUAAUUGUGUCGAUGAUUUUUUUCAACAAACUCACACAUACUUUUUGAUUGCUUAAAACAAAACUAAUCCUGUGUACAUUUCAAACAUGUUUAAAUUUCAAUGUUUCACCUAUUUCGCUCAACCUAUUUCAGUGUAACUGCUUAGACCAAGACUAACAUGUAAAAUUUGAUUUUGAUUGUNUCCCUGGAGCCCACCUGGCUUGGCCCAAAGGCCCCCUGAUCUUCUUCCGUUCGGGAAAAAAUAAUUUCGGGAUUUUUCUUGCGUUUGGACUCCAUUCCAAAAUCAGAUCUGAAAAGAGUCAAAAACAUGGAAAAAACAGGAACUGGCACUUGGCACUGAAUUAAUAAGUUAGUCCCAAAAAAGAUAUAAAAGGUACAUAAAACAACCAAAGAAGACAAGAUAACAGCGUGAAACCAUCAAAAAUUAUAGAUACGUUUGAGACGUAUCACUGCACUACAUCACCCUUUCUGCUUCGAGGGAACACCAGCGCAAGGCUCCAAGGCCGCGGGGAAAUCCUUUGCAUAUUUGCAUAGGAAUUCCCUAAAGGCGUAGCCGUAGCAGAAGGAUUCCUGGUGCCGUUGCUGAGGAGAAUCAAGACGUCUCCCGUCAGCACGUAUUUCUGGCGCCGUUGGAAGGUCUUUUGUUGCAGUAGCAGGCGUGGUGCACCAUGUGCAUAGGAACUGAAAAUUGCACCUUUCAUUUCCUCCUCAGAUUUCUUUUGUAAGGAUUAGUUUUCCUCGGGAGUCAUUAAUUCAUCCUCCUUCCAAAGGAAAGGCCCAGACUUAUAUUAUGCCUCUGUUCAUAAACAAAGGGAUUUUUAUAGAAAGACAUGGCAACCUCCAACAUCUCUUUUUGGAAUGAACUGGACCAUCGUCGCCGUUGAACUCAUAUAAAUGGUUCUUACUAUGACGAUGGUUAGCUAGGGCAUGAAAGUAUUUAUUGUUUUUAAAUGAGUCAAACAAGUUUCUUGAGGAGUUGAAGUUUAUUUUAGUAAAAUUAGUUGCUUUACACGGUAGAUUUUUUAAGUGAGUGCAUUGGUACAGGUACCUAGCGAAUGUUUCAAUCUACCUUUUGAUACUAUGUUGUUUUAAACGAGUGCUAUUUUUUGAAAAUGAUUGAAUUCUUUUGUUUUCAGUUGAUCACAAUGAGUGAUAUUUUUAAUAAUUGAAAUUAUUAGUUUCAAUUAAUUGAAACGAGUGGAUUUUGUUUCUGAAGGAGUGAAAAUGUGAAAUAAACGAGCGAUUAUAUCAUUCUAAACUAAUGGAAUCGUUCUUUUUCAAAAAUGAUUGAAAUUAUUUGUUUGAAUUAAGAUAAAUUAGUGGAAUCUAUUUUUUUGAAACGAGUGGAGUAUGGAUUAUGUUGUUUUUGACGAGUUGAAUCAUUUUCCUUAAAUGGUUGAAAACAUUUGUUUGAAUCGAAUGAAAAGAGUGAAAUCUAUUUUUUUAAUGAGUGAAGUAUGCCGUUUGACAUAAAUGAUUGAAAACAAUUGUUUCAAUCGAGUGAAACAGUUAAGUCUGUUUUCUGGAAGGAGUGAAAUAAACGAGCGAAGUAUGUCGUUCUAAAUAAAUAAUUGAAAACAUUUGUUUGAAUCAACUGAAAUGAAUGGUGUCUUUUUUUCUAAGGGAGUAAAAUAUGUCGCUCUAAAUGAAUGAAAUUCCAUUCACAACAAACUGCUGGUAGCAGAACAGGGGUAAGUAGGGAUGCAAUUUUCACCUGGUAUAAAAAGGGAGCUUUUGCAAACAUGCAAGCUUCUGGAUGAACAUGCAUAUACAAGCAAGAACCUAGUAGCAAGAACUAGAGCAAAAACUUUGACCGUACGAGGAACUUGAACCCAUGUGCUAGGUUAACCAAGGGUCCAUAAUGCAAUCUGGGUGAGUAAAUUUAACUUAACUAUGAGCAGGCCUAGUUUACCAUGGUCCUGGUCACGGAAUUAAUUGUACUGAUCGAUAUCUUGCAGCCCUCCACCAUGACCAUAAACACAUCAGUCUUUCUCCAUUAGAGCAUGGUUAAUAAUACAUCCAACAAUUGAUUAUAAAAGAUUGUCUUAUCAUAUAAAGUCAACCUAAUAGUCUGCAUAUAUAAUAGUAAAAUUUAGAUUAUAGCAUGUCUACUCACCAAAAGCUCGUUUAUGUGUCUGUGUCUUGUGCUGCAGCUGACUACUCAUUAAAAGCUCGUUUCUUCUCUCACUCCUCAAAACUAAGCAAGGAUAUAAUAUUAUAAUCCUUAUACAUGUCUAUGUCACCUUAUUGUACUUGCUCUUAAGGAUUGUGUCAAUAUAAGUUUCUUAGCGCGGGUUCAUAGGUAUUUUGUUGAUGUGUCACACUAGUUAAUGAUGGAAAAGAGUAGAAUUGUAUCUUAGCUAAGAUACAACAAUUGCACGGCACCAUAUGUAAAAAUGGUUAAUAGUCCAAUCACAUAUAUGCAUAAGCACUAAAUCAUUAAAUCUACAAACAACUUUUAAAAAACAAUGCAUUGUUCAUAUGAUAACAUGCUAAGAAACGAUGCAUUGGCAGAGGCCUAAGAUAAAAAAUUGGCCCACGUCUACUGUAUUAAUACUAGCAAAAGGACCCGUGCAUUGCAACGGAAAAAAAGUAGCACACACUCUUAAUUUAUAAAAAUGGUUUAUAAUUUGAGUAUUUAUAGCUACGACCCAAAUAAAGAUGAUUUUAACCUAUAAAAAUGCAGUUCAAGAUUCCACAUGUUUUCUAUUUAAAUACGACAUGUAUGUAGAUUUAAUACGUACAAAGAAACGAUCAAGUGAUCUUUUAUUUCGUGUCUAAUCCUGAUUUUGCUAAGAUGUUCAUACACAAUCCAAAUCAGUACCGGUAUGAAAGAAAGACGAGUAAUGCAUUAUUGAUUAAGAUUGCAUGCUAGAUACAUUUUUUUAAAUGUUAAGAGGUAAAAUAACAUCAUAUUCAUAUUCUACAUAUUUUUUUAAUCAAAAUCUAUACAUAACGUGUUAAAUUUAGAGUUACGAUUUAGAAGAUAUGAGUAUUUUAAAAAGUAUUUAAUAUGUACUACGGGUUUAACGUUAGAAAGAUGAGGGAGUUCUUUAUAAAAUAGCAUGACGGACUAAGAAUAUCUAUUUUCUUUAUUAAUAGAUAUAGAUAGUGUAUCCGUUCGGUCAUUCAUGUGUAUUGCCAUAGUAUCUAAUUAAUCUCUCUCUAAUAAUAAUAAAGCAAAUUCGGUUUCUAGUCGUCCGUCUUAGAAAUUACCCCUAAAUUUUGCAUAAAUUACCCACCAUGCCACCGCUAAGUAAUAGAAAACGUUUCACAAAGCGAAAAAUCUUGGACUGGGCCGGCCCAUAUAAAACCUCCUAUAUUACGCUCUGCACGCUGAAAGAAUAUCCAGCACACCGUAUGGGCCGGCCCAUGCACAAGCGCCUACUUUUAGUUCCGUUUAUUUAUUUAUUUUCAGUUCCGUUUUAUUUUAUUAUUUUAAAUAAAUUAGAACUUCAAAUAAUCUUUAAAAUUUUAAUAAACCGAAAAAUAUAAAUCAACAUAUUUAAAAAUUAAAAUAUUUGUGACUUCAAAAACUGCUCGGAGUUUUGUAAAAAAUACUCGCAUAUACAAUAAAAUGUUUGCAAUUUUAGAAAAAAUGUUUGUACAAUAAGCAAAGUCCAUGAUCUCAAAUGCAAUUCCAUGUAUUAAAAAUUAUUAAAGGUAUUUAACAAAAUGCUUUCUAAUUCGAAAUAUGUUAAUGCAUUUAAAAAAUGUCCUAAAAUUUUAAAAAUAGCUAAUGCCUGUUUUGAUAGUUUCUUUUUUUAUUUAAAAUUUCCCGUUUCAUUUUUGUUUAUUUAUAAGUUAAAUAAUUUAGAAUUUCAAAAACUUUUGCAUAUUAAAAAAUAGGAAUUUUGAAUUAAAAUGCCGACGAAUUUUUAUUUUGAAUUAAAAAUAGGAUUCAAAAAAGCGCCGGAUUUUUUUUUUGCAAAUUCCAAAACAAUGUCCAUGAAUUUAAUAAAUAUAUGAUUGAUUUAUAAAAAUGUUUGUUUAUUCGGAAAAGCUUCAUGCGUUUCAAAAAAUGUUUGUAAAUUUAAAAUAAAAUCCUCCAACAUCAAAAAUUAUGUUCGUCUUUUCUUGAAUUGGUCGCCAAUUCAAAAGAAAAUAUUUAAACCCGUUCGAAAUAAAAAAAUAUUCACGAUUUUUAAUAAAUGUUUGUGAAUUGUAAAAAAAUGUUCUCGAUUUUAAAAUUAUUCCAUAUUUGUAAAAUUAUUCACGAAAGAUCUAAUGUAUGUAGUUAAACAUUAAUGCUUAUAAGUCUUUGUGACAAUAUAUCUGUGUGAAUUUUGAAGAAUUAACUGUUGGAUGGAUCGAAUUAUUAUUGUAUGUCCUCUAAAAAAAAUCUUGAAAUUCAGAAUAUAUCUUUGAGUUACCAAGAUUUUUGACAACCAUGAUAUAUGUUUUUUGAAAAUGUAAAGAUUGCUUCAAUUUUUGAAUAAAUUUAAAAGAAGAAACAUAUUCUUGCAUUUGUACACAAAAUNAAUAUCUAUUUUCUUUAUUAAUAGAUAUAGAUAGUGUAUCCGUUCGGUCAUUCAUGUGUAUUGCCAUAGUAUCUAAUUAAUCUCUCUCUAAUAAUAAUAAAGCAAAUUCGGUUUCUAGUCGUCCGUCUUAGAAAUUACCCCUAAAUUUUGCAUAAAUUACCCACCAUGCCACCGCUAAGUAAUAGAAAACGUUUCACAAAGCGAAAAAUCUUGGACUGGGCCGGCCCAUAUAAAACCUCCUAUAUUACGCUCUGCACGCUGAAAGAAUAUCCAGCACACCGUAUGGGCCGGCCCAUGCACAAGCGCCUACUUUUAGUUCCGUUUAUUUAUUUAUUUUCAGUUCCGUUUUAUUUUAUUAUUUUAAAUAAAUUAGAACUUCAAAUAAUCUUUAAAAUUUUAAUAAACCGAAAAAUAUAAAUCAACAUAUUUAAAAAUUAAAAUAUUUGUGACUUCAAAAACUGCUCGGAGUUUUGUAAAAAAUACUCGCAUAUACAAUAAAAUGUUUGCAAUUUUAGAAAAAAUGUUUGUACAAUAAGCAAAGUCCAUGAUCUCAAAUGCAAUUCCAUGUAUUAAAAAUUAUUAAAGGUAUUUAACAAAAUGCUUUCUAAUUCGAAAUAUGUUAAUGCAUUUAAAAAAUGUCCUAAAAUUUUAAAAAUAGCUAAUGCCUGUUUUGAUAGUUUCUUUUUUUAUUUAAAAUUUCCCGUUUCAUUUUUGUUUAUUUAUAAGUUAAAUAAUUUAGAAUUUCAAAAACUUUUGCAUAUUAAAAAAUAGGAAUUUUGAAUUAAAAUGCCGACGAAUUUUUAUUUUGAAUUAAAAAUAGGAUUCAAAAAAGCGCCGGAUUUUUUUUUUGCAAAUUCCAAAACAAUGUCCAUGAAUUUAAUAAAUAUAUGAUUGAUUUAUAAAAAUGUUUGUUUAUUCGGAAAAGCUUCAUGCGUUUCAAAAAAUGUUUGUAAAUUUAAAAUAAAAUCCUCCAACAUCAAAAAUUAUGUUCGUCUUUUCUUGAAUUGGUCGCCAAUUCAAAAGAAAAUAUUUAAACCCGUUCGAAAUAAAAAAAUAUUCACGAUUUUUAAUAAAUGUUUGUGAAUUGUAAAAAAAUGUUCUCGAUUUUAAAAUUAUUCCAUAUUUGUAAAAUUAUUCACGAAAGAUCUAAUGUAUGUAGUUAAACAUUAAUGCUUAUAAGUCUUUGUGACAAUAUAUCUGUGUGAAUUUUGAAGAAUUAACUGUUGGAUGGAUCGAAUUAUUAUUGUAUGUCCUCUAAAAAAAAUCUUGAAAUUCAGAAUAUAUCUUUGAGUUACCAAGAUUUUUGACAACCAUGAUAUAUGUUUUUUGAAAAUGUAAAGAUUGCUUCAAUUUUUGAAUAAAUUUAAAAGAAGAAACAUAUUCUUGCAUUUGUACACAAAAUUUCUAAAUCAAGCGAUGAUAUGUAAACAUAAUAUGGUCAUCAUUAUUGAAGAUUAUGUUUUUUUAUUCUUCCAUGACAACGCACGGGUCAUUUUUCUAGUCAUUAUAAAAAAAGUACGAAUCGCCUAGCAGCGAUCGUGGGUCUCGAUAACAUCCUCGCGUGCCACCGUGUCUCAAAAACCCGCGUCCUACUAGCGGUUCACAUUGAUGUUUCUGCUCUACGCUUGCAUGGUUAAAUAAAUAUGAGACUCGUAGUUCUACUUUUGUCACUAUCAUGUUUUUUUUAAGAUUAAACCAAACGAAAAUUGGUAGUAAUUUAUCAAACACGGCCAUCGACCGUGGCCCGAACAGCCGUGCAGCGGCAAAGGUGCGCGGAAAAGAGCAAAACGGCUCCUGCAGGGUUGUCGCGAGGGAGGGCGAAGAAGAGCAGGACGUGGCCCGCGCCCGGCGUGCGUGAUAGGAUGGCACGACCACGAUGGAUGGAUGGAUCUGCGCAGCCGCAGCGGCAGCGGCAAUCGGGGCAGAAGAUGUCAGUGACCGACGCAGACGCAGACGCAACACGUGGGAGGUUGCAUGCUGCACACUCCAGCCGGGCACUGUGGCUUGCCGCUUCCGUCUACCUCAACCCCACCCCGCUGCCCAGCCCCGAGCUGCUACCACCACCACGCCCACGAGCCACGAUGCAGUAGCCCACUGUGCAAUCCAUGUGCGUACCGUAGGCAAAACAGCUACUACCCAAGCAACCGCAGAGCCGUAAAAAAGAAAAGAAGCUACAAGCUGCCUUUGCAAUUUAAGAACCGAGAUCAGCGGACGUUGUGUAGUGGUGGUAUUUUCUUUCAAACAUUAUGUCGUUUUGUACGUGGAUUCCGACGAGGAGAAAUGAGCCAAAGUGACCGACACGAUCCGGUCCGGUCCGGACGAAAAGGCAUUAUUCAUUCAUUCCGUGAUGAGAAAACAGAGAGCAAAGCAGCCGCUGAAAUCCGUUGCCUCUGCCUCGGCCUCGGCCCUGAAGAUCUUGUACGAAAGCGAGGAAGAGAAAGGGAAAAGAAAACNGUCCUAAAAUUUUAAAAAUAGCUAAUGCCUGUUUUGAUAGUUUCUUUUUUUAUUUAAAAUUUCCCGUUUCAUUUUUGUUUAUUUAUAAGUUAAAUAAUUUAGAAUUUCAAAAACUUUUGCAUAUUAAAAAAUAGGAAUUUUGAAUUAAAAUGCCGACGAAUUUUUAUUUUGAAUUAAAAAUAGGAUUCAAAAAAGCGCCGGAUUUUUUUUUUGCAAAUUCCAAAACAAUGUCCAUGAAUUUAAUAAAUAUAUGAUUGAUUUAUAAAAAUGUUUGUUUAUUCGGAAAAGCUUCAUGCGUUUCAAAAAAUGUUUGUAAAUUUAAAAUAAAAUCCUCCAACAUCAAAAAUUAUGUUCGUCUUUUCUUGAAUUGGUCGCCAAUUCAAAAGAAAAUAUUUAAACCCGUUCGAAAUAAAAAAAUAUUCACGAUUUUUAAUAAAUGUUUGUGAAUUGUAAAAAAAUGUUCUCGAUUUUAAAAUUAUUCCAUAUUUGUAAAAUUAUUCACGAAAGAUCUAAUGUAUGUAGUUAAACAUUAAUGCUUAUAAGUCUUUGUGACAAUAUAUCUGUGUGAAUUUUGAAGAAUUAACUGUUGGAUGGAUCGAAUUAUUAUUGUAUGUCCUCUAAAAAAAAUCUUGAAAUUCAGAAUAUAUCUUUGAGUUACCAAGAUUUUUGACAACCAUGAUAUAUGUUUUUUGAAAAUGUAAAGAUUGCUUCAAUUUUUGAAUAAAUUUAAAAGAAGAAACAUAUUCUUGCAUUUGUACACAAAAUUUCUAAAUCAAGCGAUGAUAUGUAAACAUAAUAUGGUCAUCAUUAUUGAAGAUUAUGUUUUUUUAUUCUUCCAUGACAACGCACGGGUCAUUUUUCUAGUCAUUAUAAAAAAAGUACGAAUCGCCUAGCAGCGAUCGUGGGUCUCGAUAACAUCCUCGCGUGCCACCGUGUCUCAAAAACCCGCGUCCUACUAGCGGUUCACAUUGAUGUUUCUGCUCUACGCUUGCAUGGUUAAAUAAAUAUGAGACUCGUAGUUCUACUUUUGUCACUAUCAUGUUUUUUUUAAGAUUAAACCAAACGAAAAUUGGUAGUAAUUUAUCAAACACGGCCAUCGACCGUGGCCCGAACAGCCGUGCAGCGGCAAAGGUGCGCGGAAAAGAGCAAAACGGCUCCUGCAGGGUUGUCGCGAGGGAGGGCGAAGAAGAGCAGGACGUGGCCCGCGCCCGGCGUGCGUGAUAGGAUGGCACGACCACGAUGGAUGGAUGGAUCUGCGCAGCCGCAGCGGCAGCGGCAAUCGGGGCAGAAGAUGUCAGUGACCGACGCAGACGCAGACGCAACACGUGGGAGGUUGCAUGCUGCACACUCCAGCCGGGCACUGUGGCUUGCCGCUUCCGUCUACCUCAACCCCACCCCGCUGCCCAGCCCCGAGCUGCUACCACCACCACGCCCACGAGCCACGAUGCAGUAGCCCACUGUGCAAUCCAUGUGCGUACCGUAGGCAAAACAGCUACUACCCAAGCAACCGCAGAGCCGUAAAAAAGAAAAGAAGCUACAAGCUGCCUUUGCAAUUUAAGAACCGAGAUCAGCGGACGUUGUGUAGUGGUGGUAUUUUCUUUCAAACAUUAUGUCGUUUUGUACGUGGAUUCCGACGAGGAGAAAUGAGCCAAAGUGACCGACACGAUCCGGUCCGGUCCGGACGAAAAGGCAUUAUUCAUUCAUUCCGUGAUGAGAAAACAGAGAGCAAAGCAGCCGCUGAAAUCCGUUGCCUCUGCCUCGGCCUCGGCCCUGAAGAUCUUGUACGAAAGCGAGGAAGAGAAAGGGAAAAGAAAACGGGCAUGGGAAGGAAGGAAUUGAGGUGGACCAUGCUUACCGUGCUGUGCUGCGCUGUGCUGUCCAUGUCCUAGUGGUAGCGCCGCAGGGACGGACGGGACGGGACGAGGAGGCUCACAGGCUGCAGGGACAGGAACCAAUCCUAGGUACUUUGCUUCCUGCCUACGUACGGCUUCGCCUUCGCCUUCGCCUUUGCCUUUGGCUUUGCCUUUGCGUCCUCCUCUGCGCUAUCUGUAUCCUCGGGUCACACGCUCCUCUGCUCCACGAUCCGACCUCGCUUGCUUUCUCGCUCCCGUGGCUGCAUGCGCAUGUACGGGAAGGAGCUGUCACCGGCACGGCAGUAAAUAAUCGACUCAUCUGAUGAAACGCUCUAGCGCACAGACAGUAACGUGAUGCAGCACAUGCUACUACUGGUGUGGCUAGAUACUACUACUAGUACAACGGAGGCUGUAAUUUACUGGCUUGCCUACGGCAAGUACUCUACUACUACUACUAUUUGGUGCCCACUCGCUGGUAGCACGACGUUGCUGUUCAGCUUGGAACGGACAACGGGACCGGCUACACGGGGGGUGAGGGCGUUUUAUGGUCCAGCAUUUGUUUUGCACGGUCGUCGUACCGCGGUGCUGGUUUUUUGCCGGGCCGCAACAAACCAGCAGGACAUGCUCUCAAGAUUUAACGAUGGAGGAUGCAAGUGGGAAUGCUUCACUUGCUUCCCAGCGUCGGUGCCUCACCCUCGAACUCUUGUCGAGGGCUUCUUUGAUUCAAAUGAAUUUUAUAGGAUCUAUGAAGAAUUCAAAUCCUUAAAGAAAAUCCUACGUUAGUCAUUUGAUUUAUAGUAUUGGAUCUCAUAGGAAACUUUUUAUAGAAUCUUUUGUAUUAUAUUUCAUAGGAAAUAUACUCCAACCACUUUAUACAAUUUGCUUGUUUUUUCUGAGAAUUAAACACUCCUUGCUAAUCCUAUAUGAUUCAAAUGGGCAUUGUCAUUCCAAUCCUAUACGUUUACUAUUCCUACGUUUUCAGAACCCUGUGAAUAAGAGAGGCCCUGAAAGUGGAAAUGCUCCACUUGCUUCCCAAAUAGUAUCAAGUCAUGUCAAUGAGAUGAAAGUUAUGCCCUAGAGGCAAUAAUAAAAUGGUUAUUAUCAUAUUUCCUUGUUCAUGAUAAUCGUCUAUUGUUCAUGCUAUAAUUGUAUUAACAGGAAACAGUAAUACAUGUGUGAAUAAAUAGAUCACAAUGUGUCCCUAGCAAGCCUCUAGUUGGCUAGCUCGUUAGUCAAUAGAUGAUCAUGGUUUUCUGGUCAUGGGCAUUAUAUGUCAUUGAUAACGGGGUCACAUCAUUGGAGAAUGAUGUGAUGGACAAGACCCAAUCCUAAGCAUAGCACUAGAUCGUAUUGUUCGUAUGCUAAAGCUUUUCUAAUGUCAAGUGUCUUUUCCUUCGACCGUGAGAUUCUGCAACUCCCAGAUACCGUAGGAGUGCUUUGGGUGUAUCAAACGUCGCAACGUAACUGGGUGACUAUAAAGGUGCACUACGAGUAUCUCUGAAAGUGUCUGUUGGGUUGGUACGAAUCGAGAUCGGGAUUUGUCACUCCGUGUGACGGAGAGGUAUCUCUGGGCCCACUCGGUAGAACAUCAUCAUGAGCUCAAUAUGUGACUACGGAGUUAGUCACACGAUGACGUACUACGGAACGAGUAAAGAGACUUACCGGUAACGAGAUUGAACAAGGUAUAGGUAUACUGACGAUUGAAUCUCGAGCAAGUUCUAUACCGACACACAAAGGGAAUUGUAUACGGGAUUGAUUGAAUCCUUGACAUCGUGGUUCAUCCGAUGAGAUCAUCAAGGAGCAAGUGGGAGCCACCAUGGGUAUCCAGACCCCGCUGAUGGUUAUUGGCCGGAGAGGUGUCUCGGUCAUGUCUGCCUGUCUCCCGAACCUGUAGGGUCUACACACUUAAGGUUCGAUGACGCUAGGGUUAUAGGGAAUUGUUAUACGAGGUUAUCGAAAGUUGUUCGGAGUCCCGGAUGAGACCCCGGACGUCGCAAGGAGCUCCGAAAUGGUCCGGAGGUAAAGAUUGAUAUAUAGGACGGAUGGUUUCGGACACCGGAAGUGUUUCGGGCGUCACCGGUAACGUACCGGGACCACCGGAGGUGGCCCCGGGGGUCCACCGAAAGGGGGCAACGACCCCGGGAGGCUAGAUGAGCCAAGUGGGGAAGGGAACCAGCCCCUAGGUGGGCUGGUGCGCCCCCCCCCCACUCAGCCCAUGGCACAGGAAGAGGGGACAGGGGGAACCCUAGCGCAGGUGGGCCUAAGGCCCACCAGAGGGGUGCGCCACCCCUCCUCCGUGCCCUGGCCGCCACCCCCUCUCCCAUCUGGGGCUGCCGCGCCACCUAGGGGGGAACCCUAGGGGUGGCGCACCCCCUCCCCUCCUCCUAUAAAUAGUGGGGGUUUUGGGGCUGUUGGAGACAGACUUUUCCCUCUCCCUCGACGCAGCCCUGCCCUUCUUUCUCCUCCUCUGUGUCGGUGCUUGGCGAAGCCGUGCCGGGAGACCUCGUCUAUCCAUCGACACCACGCCGUCGUGCUGCUGGAGUUCUUCCCCAACCUCUCCCUCCUCCUUGCUGGAUCAAGGUGCGGGAGAUGUCACCGGGCUGCACGUGUGUUGAACGUGGAGGUGCCGUAGUUCGGCACUAGAUCGGAAUCACACCGCGAUCUGAAUCGCCGCGGGUAUGACUGCAUCAACCGCGUUCUAGUAACGCUUCCGCUUAGCGAUCUUCAAAGGUAUGAAGAUGCUCUCACCUCUCUCUCUUUGCUGGUCUCUCCAUAGGAAGAUGUGAAUAUGCGUAGGAAUUUUUUUGAAUUUAUGCUACGUUACCCAACAGUCUCCCCCCUCCUCCCCGUUGACCAUUUAAAAAAUAGUGAAGAAUGACGAUGAGGUGGAAUGACAUAGAUAUGUUCAAUGGCAAUGAGCUCUGACAAAAAAAAUGAACGAGGACUACUCCCUGCAUGACAAAAGCUUCCAUAGCAGAAGGUUGAAUGGAGAUGGCCUCGAGAUAAAUAGCAAGAUAUCCUUAGUGAUGGUCUAGCAAGUAAAAGAUCUACAUAAUACUUUACAUAGAGUUGUUGUUUUUUGCAGAAACGUGGAUAUAGGGUUGUUGGCGGACCUUUUUAUGUCGACAUGGAAGAAAAGUGAUUCCAUUACUUUGACACGCCGGAGUUAGUAACUAGAUCCCCCGCGAAGAUUCUCUCUGAAGUCAACCAUGGGAAUCUCUUAUUUUGUUUGUUUUAGCUCCGACUCAUUGCGAAAUACACGCAACGAAACAUCGUAAUAUCUGAUCCAACAUAGUGGCUUGCAAUGUUUCUUCUAUGUAAUAUAAUGUCGUACACACAAACAGAGGGUUGGUUUACAUCGAAAAAGCUUUUCGCCCCGGUUAUGUAUAUAAGACUAAUCAUAGUGAGGAGUAAAUUAGAUUAGUGUCAUGCAUAUGACACUAGUAUAUAUUACUGUAUCUUCAUAGUGAAAAGUAGCACAGAGGUAGUGCAAUAUGUGGUUGUAUUUAUUAGCCUGUAGACUCAUUUCAUCUCGGAAAGUAUUGUGUGAUGAUAACAUAUUAACACAUCUUUUCUUAUUAGCUACAUGCCACAUAAGCAAAUUUAACUUGACAUGAGUUAUGUUAGUAGCUAAGUUACCCUCACUAUGACCAAUCUAAAGCAACACUUCUCUUUUUACGCUUCAGGAUCUAGAUUAGUCGACCAUUUAAAGGUUGGUCAUCACCAUAUAUUGAAGCACCAUGUCAACGAUAAAAACAUGGGUGAUCUGAUUAUUGUUAUUUUUUUCUUUUGAAGCAUAUAAAUAACGAACAAGAAUCUACCCGCUCAGCGAGUCUAUCGGCAAGUAGAAAACAUAGAUCAUGUGAGAUGGACCGUCCCGAGGGCGACUCGGAGGGCGACUCGAAUAUCCCUGCCAUCAAUGGCCCUCCCCACCUACCUUCACUUAAUCCCAGCGGACUUACCCACCAGCCUCCUCCUCCCACCGCCCCACCUCCCCUUCCUUGCCCACCGAAAACUCUACACGAUGGCAGGGGAGAGACGGAGAGGCGGAGCGAGGCGCGCGCGACCUGCGGCGAUGGUGACAGCCCCGAUGGCUCCCAUUGUGCCAACCCCGGUGGCACAGCUGUCGUUCGUGGAGCUGCACUCCCCGAAGGCGCGUAUGGAGAUGCUUCAGGUGGUCCGGGGGCGUUUCCCUGAUCGAUCCAGGUGGCCGGAGAUCAUGGUGGAAAUCAUUCGCAUGGCCACCUUCGAGGAGCGCGCCCGGUUCUGCGAAGACGAUGGGGGUAUGGAUUACGAGCUCAUCUUCUCGGCGAUCCAGGAGGCGGAGGCGGCUGAUCCGUUUCAGGCGGCUAAGUGGAGCAUAUUCAAGACGAAGAGCAUGUCCCGUCUCAACAUUCGCCCGCAUCCCGUGCUGGAGCUGUCCCAACUUCCCCCCGAUGCGCUGCCUCUCGGGGUCAACCCGCCCCGUGUCCCCUAAAAUCUUGGGCACCCAGUGGGUGUGCCCUGUAGCGUGCUCGCAGGCCGCGGGGGCGUCGUGCGGGGGGUGAGCUGUCGCGCAGCUUGGAACCUCCGCCGUGGCCGGGGGACCACGGUGAGGUUUACCCUUGCCAGAAUCAGGUACGACAUCCCCGAUCUGUUUCUUCUCGUCUUCCGAUUCAACCUGGGGAAGUGGGUGUUGACCUUUUGGUCAUCAAUUCCGAUCGAUGUUCUAUAGAUUCAGACUGUGUGGUUGCUAGGUCUAGGUUUGGAUUUUCUACUCCGGCGAGUUUGGUGUCGCCUACGAAUGAGCCUAGGCCACCAGAGCCACCUCGCUUUAGUCCGAAGAUCCCUGACUGUGGACCCAAUUUCGAUCGAUAUUCUCUGGAUUCAGAUUGUAUGAUUGCUAGUUAUAGGUUUUGUAGUUUCUACUCUGGUGAGGUCGGUGCCGUCGGCGGUGACCCAGGCUAACGAUGAGCCUAGGCCACCAGAGCCAUCUCAUCUCAGCCCGAAAAUGCCUCACCGUGGACCCAAACCGGUUCCCUCGCCUCUCAUCCGUGGACGGGUGGUCAAGAGAAAAGCGCUUUUUCAAAAGUCGUCUUCCCUUGUGGGAAACAUAUAUGAGGAGACUGUGGAGGAGUUUUUUGGGCAACUUUGGGUUAUCCCCUCUCCUACUUAUCGUCGUCCUCAUAUAUCCUCUUCUCCCUCUCCCCCGAACCCUAGCUUUUCCAUCCCAAAAACUUUCUGAAUUAGAAAGGAUAUCUUCCGAUCGAGGACCUUCUCGCGAGAUGAUUGCUUCCCUGUGAAGAGUCUUAGUCGAUUUGAUCCCACCCCGACCUCCUUCAAGAUCUUUGUCGAGGGGAUCGGCCCUAGAUCUCUCUCCUUCGUAGAGGUUACCAAAGGGGUCAUGGAUCAUGGACAUCAGCAACAGCCGCGACCCCCGCGUCACCAAGCCAACAAGAAGGCGAUACCUGCUCAAAAGGUUCAGCCUCAGCCUCCUCAACCUCCUCCCUCGGCGCCUCCGAAGCCAAUCCCGAACAAAGGGGGAGGGGUGGUAGGGAAGAACCAGACUGGUGGAAGCAUUCUUGCCCAGCCGGCUCCUCUGGCCCCUGCGAUUCCGACCCCUCCUGUUUUCCAAGCUCUGGACCCAAGGUACAAAGAGAUGACUUGUUUCAACUCUAGCUGGCCUAGGCAUUACAUUGGUAAUUGCGUUGAACCCCAAAAAAUGGUUCAUCUGUGCGGAGGACACAAUGUCAACAACUGUGUCGCUUGGGCUCGCCUACAUCCCACGGCUACCUACUCUCGAAGUGCCGCUGCGGGGUUAGGGUUAUAUCAUAUCGAUGUCCGUGUAGCUGCAGAGUCAAGCUAGAUGAACUAUAAAAACUGUGCUUUGCUUCAUGUUGUGAGAGGUGAGGUUUCUGCCUCUGAACUGUUGAUGCAGCUGAAUGGUAUCUUCUGUAAAAACAAGGAAUGGCCAUGGCAGAUUAGGGAGUUGGAGGAUAAGAAAUUUCUUUUAAUGUUCCCUCAAUGGAAAAAUGUGGAUGAUCUGAUUGAGUUCCCUCCUUUUGAUCCGCCUAUUGAUGGUGUCUCACUGAAGGUGGCUAAAUGGCAGGGCAUGUUGAACCCCUAUGGGGAGUUAAUUGAAGCAUGGGUUUAGAUUGAAGGAAUAUCUCCAAAGUGGUGUGCAUGGAAAGUCUUUGCUCACAUUACUUCAUGUUUUGGUAUCCUUGUGGAUGUGGACUAGAAUAGUAUUUUUAAAAGUUUCUAUGAGAACAUCCGUGUGAAAGUUGCUUGCAGAGACCCCACUAAAAUUCCUUUUGAGAGGCUAGUGGAAAUGAAGAAAAAAUUAUACCUGCUAUUCUUCACUGUUGAGGGUUUUGAUCAGAUUGGUGAUGAAGGAGAUGAUGAUGGUGAUGACCCUGAAGAGGAUGAUUUGGACAAGGACAAAAAUGAGGAGGAGGAUUUUGAGGGGAAUCUUGACUUGACUGAUAAGGACAAUUUGGAAGAUGAUGCUAACCCAAUAGAUGAGUUGGCCAAGGCCAAUUUCACCAAGAACAAUACUUCUGCCUCAACGUCUAGCAGCAAAUAAAAAGGCAUUGUUUCUGCAGCUAAAUUCCACCUGCAAUUUAUGUCGAACGAUGCCCAUGAUGCUUUCGUUGACGAGAUCAAAACCCGUGGACUUAUUACAAGUGGCUCUUGUGGUAAAAAUGACGAAGACUUGAAUUUUCCUAUGAGGAUGUUUCCCUCACCCCCGUUGGAUGGGGAUCCCAUGUCUGCCCAUAUGGUGUACUGCUCUGAACAACUAAAAAACUUUGACUUGGCUGGAUCUGAUGAAGAGAUUGUGGACAAUUUACUAGAGAUGCAAUGCCUGCCUGAUGAGAUGGUGAAAGCUUUUGGCUCCAUUGAGAGAUCUUUGCUUGAUACCUUGGAAAAGCUGAGUCAGAAAAGAAAGGGAAGUUUCAAGAGGGGUCUACAAAAUGGGGUCCGGUGCUGUCCAUCAGGCCAAACACAAGGGGGCACGGGGAUGUCAACAUUAUGGAUAAAGCCAAAGCGUAUCAGAAGAAGAAAAACCUAGAGAUUCCCAAGUCGUUCAAAGGUAAUUCUUUUUUUCUGUCUUGAUAAUCAUAUUCUUGCGGACCAAGCUAGGAAAAUAGAUAUCCACAUUGGUAAUGAUGAACCUGAACAAAAUGCUAUCAUUGAUGACAUGAUUGAUGAUGAGAAAUUAAGAUGCCUUCAAUUUGCUCAUAUUAACCCCGAGAUUAUUCUCCCUGAUAGUUUAGAUAUGAAUAGUCAGAACCAAUGCUCGCCUCGUGACACUAUUCCAAGUUCUAGAACAAUGGGCACUAUUGUUUUAGUAUUGGAUAGUCCAACCCUUCUUACAAAAAGUAAGCCUUGUGGCUUAUCUCAUCCUUACAAAAUUCCAUGAUAGGAGCUUUCUGAAAUAUUAGGGGUUUAGGCAACAAGGGAAGUUACACUGCCUAUGGGACUUUAUUAGUAGUCACAAAAUUGAUUUUGUGGGUUUGUUUGAAACUAAAAGAGAGAAUAUUGAUAACCACAUUUUGAAACCCAUUGCUAAUGGGAUUGACUUUUGCUGGCAUAUUCUUCCUGCCGUUAACACUGCUAGUGGCAUCCUCGUGGGACUUAGAAAUGAUGUUUUUGAAAUCAUUGGCUUUAUUAAUAUAUUUUUUUGCAUGAUAGUUAGUGUUAAGAAUAAAGACGAUGGUUUCUUAUGGCAUUUUAUCGCGAUAUAUGGUACUGCAUACAAUGAGCACAAAGUUGAAUUCAUUGGUGAGUUGCAUGAUGUCAUGCAUGAGGUGUCCUAUCCCGUACUCCUUGGUGGAGACUUUAACCUAGUUAGGUUUGUUACUGACAAAAACAAUGGGUUGAUUAAUAACCAAUUCUCUUAUUUGUUCAAUGUUUGGAUCAAUAAAUGGGGCCUCAUGGAAAUUAAAAUCGCUAAUAGGAGCUAUACUUGGAGUAACAACCAAGAUGAUCCUAUUUUUGCGAUGACUGACCGUGUGUUUGUAUCCACAUCCUAGGAUGCUCACUUCCCUUUAUCUGUCCUUUCUGCUCUCCCACGUGUUUGGAGCGAUCAUACCCCUCUCCUUUCAGAUACUAAAGCUAAGAGGGUUACCUCCCCUAAACCGUUUCGAUUUGAGAAAUGGUGGUUGGACCAAUCUGACUUCAAAGAUUUAGUUCACAGAACAUGGACAAAUACCCCCUGUCCGGAUGUGGCAAUUGAUAGGUGGUUGAACAAAACUAGAAUUUUGCAGAAGAAGAUUAAGGGUUGGAGCAUCAAUUUAGAGGCUGCUUUGAAGAAAAAGAAAAAAAUCUUCUCCAAGAAUUUGACAUCCUUGAUGUCUUCUCGGAGUCUAAUAGUUUAGAUGACGCUGAUAGGAAUCAGAUGGAGAAGAUUAAGAAAGAAUUAGAUGAGAUUUGGAAAAAAAAUAAGAAACUGCCUUAUGGCAGCGAUCGAGAGAUAGGAGUAUCAAAGAUGGUGACAAAAACAAUAAAUACUUUCAUGCCCUAGCUAACCAUCGUCAUAGUAAGAACCAUUUAUAUGAGUUCAACGGCGACGAUGGUCCAGUUCAUUCCAAAAAGAGAUGUUGGAGGUUGCCAUGUCUUUCUAUAAAAAUCCCUUUGUUUAUGAACAGAGGCAUAAUAUAAGUCUGGGCCUUUCCUUUGGAAGGAGGAUGAAUUAAUGACUCCCGAGGAAAACUAAUCCUUACAAAAGAAAUCUGAGGAGGAAAUGAAAGGUGCAAUUUUCAGUUCCUAUGCACAUGGUGCACCACGCCUGCUACUGCAACAAAAGACCUUCCAACGGCGCCAGAAAUACGUGCUGACGGGAGACGUCUUGAUUCUCCUCAGCAACGGCACCAGGAAUCCUUCUGCUACGGCUACGCCUUUAGGGAAUUCCUAUGCAAAUAUGCAAAGGAUUUCCCCGCGGCCUUGGAGCCUUGCGCUGGUGUUCCCUCGAAGCAGAAAGGGUGAUGUAGUGCAGUGAUACGUCUCAAACGUAUCUAUAAUUUUUGAUGGUUUCACGCUGUUAUCUUGUCUUCUUUGGUUGUUUUAUGUACCUUUUAUAUCUUUUUUGGGACUAACUUAUUAAUUCAGUGCCAAGUGCCAGUUCCUGUUUUUUCCAUGUUUUUGACUCUUUUCAGAUCUGAUUUUGGAAUGGAGUCCAAACGCAAGAAAAAUCCCGAAAUUAUUUUUUCCCGAACGGAAGAAGAUCAGGGGGCCUUUGGGCCAAGCCAGGUGGGCUCCAGGGAGCCAACAAGCCCCCACUCCGCCACCAGGGGGAGGCGGCGGUGGGCAGGCUUGUGGCCUCCCUUGUCGCCCCCUAACCUAGAUCUUUGGCCUAUAAAUUCCCAAAUAUUCCGCAAAAAAUCAGGGGAGCCUCGAAAAUACUUUUCCGCCGCCGAAAGCUUUCGUUUCCGCGAGAUCUCAUCUGGAGACCCUUCCCGGCACCCUGCCGGAGGGGACUUUGGAGUUGGAGGGCUUUUUCCUCAUCGUCAUCGCCCCUACAAUGACUCGUGAGUAGUUCACUUCAGAUCUACGGGUCCGUAGUUAGUAUCUAGAUGGCUUCUUCUCUCUCUUGGAUCUUCAAUACAAAGUUCUCCAUGAUCUUCAUGGAUAUCUAUCCGAUGUAAUCUUCUUUGGCGGUGUGUUUGUCGAGAUCCGAUGAAUUGUGGAUUUGUGAUCAAAUUAUCUAUGAUAUAUAUUUGAGUCUUUGCUGAUUUCUUAUAUGCAUGAUUUGAUAUCCUUGUAAGUCUCUCCGAGUCUUGGGUUUUGUUUGGCCAACUAGAUCUAUGAUUCUUGCAAUGGGAGAAGUGCUUGGUUUUGGGUUUUGCCAUGUGGUGACCUUUCCCAGUGACACUAGGGGCAGCAAGGCACACAUCAAGUAGUUACCAUCAAGGGUAAAAAGAUGGGGGGUUUAUCAUUGGUUUGAGAUUAUCCCUCUACAUCAUGUCAUCUUGCUUAAGGCGUUACUCUGUUCUUAUGGACUUAAUACACUAGAUGCAUGCUGGAUAGCGAUCGACGUGUGGAGUAAUAGUAGUAGAUGCAAACAGUAUCGGUCUACUUGUUUUGGACGUGAUGCCUAUAGAAAUAAUCAUUGCAUAGAUAUCGUCACGACUUUGCGCAGUUCUAUCAAUUGCUCGACAGUAAUUUGUUCACCCACCAUCUACUUGCUUUCAUGAGAGAAGACACUAGUAAACACUACGGCCCCCGGGACUAUUCACAUCCAUUGUUUACAUCUCCGCUUUUACUUUGCUUUGUUACUUUGUUGCUUUCACUUCUCACUUGGCAAACAAUCUAUAAGGGAUUGACAACCCCUUCAUAGCGUUGGGAGCAAGCUUUUGUGUUUGUGCAGGAUCUUGAGAUACUCCUCCACUGGAUUGAUACCUUGGUUCUCAAACUAAGGGAAAUACUUACCACCGCUACGCUACAUCACCCUUUCCGCUUCGAGGGAACACCAAUGCAAGGCUCCAAGGCCACGGGGGAAAUCCUUUGCAUACUUGCCUAGGAAGUCCCUUAAGGCGUAGCCGCAGCAGAAAGAUCAAGCCAAGUAUUCUCCCGUCGACGUGCCUAUUUCUGGCACCGUUGGAAGGUCUUUUGUUGCAGUAGCAGAAGUAUUUCUGGCGCCGUUGCCGGGGAGGAGAAAUCAAGAUCUAUCCAAGUAGGUCUCACAAACUCUUCUCUUGCAUUUACUUUUGUUGCCAGUUGCCUCUCGUUUUCCUCUCCCCCACUUCACAUUUGCCGUUUUCAUUUGCCUUUCUUCUUCGCCGUUUUCUUUUGCCUUUGUCGUUUUCCUUUGCCGGUUUUCUCGCUUGCUUGUGUGCUUGUUUGUUUGUUGAAGUCAUCAUGGAUGAAAACACCAAACUUUGCGACUUCUCGAGCACUAAUAAUAAUGAUUUUAUUAGUACUCCGAUUGCUUCCGCCAGUAGUGCGGAAUCGUAUGAAAUCAACGCAGCUUUGCUGAAUCUUGUUAUGAAGAGCAAUUCUUUGGCCUUCCUAGUGAAGAUGCCGCAUCCCAUCUCAAUACCUUCACUGAGCUUUGCGAUAUGCAAAAGAAAAUAUAUGUGGAUAAUCACGUGAUUAAGUUGAAACUUUUUCCUUUCUCGUUGCGAGAUCGCGCAAAAACUUGGUUUUCUUCUUUGCCUAAAAAUAGUAUCGAUUCUUGGGAUAAGUGCAAAGAUGCUUACAUAUCCAAGUAUUUUCCGCCGGCUAAGAUCAUCUCCUUACGUAACGAUAUCAUGAAUUUCAAGCAACUUGAUCAUGAACACGUUGCACAAUCUUGGGAGAGGNNNNNNNNNNNNNNNNNNNNNNNNNNNNNNNNNNNNNNNNNNNNNNNNNNNNNNNNNNNNNNNNNNNNNNNNNNNNNNNNNNNNNNNNNNNNNNNNNNNNNNNNNNNNNNUCUCCCUUUCCUUCAUCUUUGGAGCAGGCCCCGCCACUUUGUUUCUAGCAUCUUUGCAAAAUGGUCCCCAGCGGUAAUACCGCUGGUUCUAGCGGUAGUACCGCUGGACUGCUAGCAGUAGUACCGCUGCAGCCAGCGGUAGUACCGCUAGCUGGCGGUAGUACCGCCCCUGGCCAGCGGUAGUACCGCUCCAGGAACUUUGCUCCACCUGCCUAGCGGUAGUUCGUGGACGGACCUUUUUGCGAAGACUUNNNNNNNNNNGUAGUGGAAAGGUUUGGGUGGAAUCUAUCGUUGCACGCGCACACUUCACAUUCUCCCUUUCCUUCAUCUUUGGAGCAGCCCCCGCCACUUUGUUUCUCGCAUCUUUGCAAAAUGGUCCCCAGUGGUAGUACCGCUGGACUGCUAGCAGUAGUACCGCUCCAGGAACUUUGUUCCACCUGCCUAGCGGUAGUUCGUGGACGGACCUUUUUGCGAAGACUUUCUUGGCGGUAGUAGUGCUUUUGCACUACCAAGGGGCCAGCGGUAGUAGCGCUGGUGUCAGCGGUAGUACCGCUGGAGUCCCAGCGGUAGUACCGCUGCAUCCAGCGGUAGUACCGCCAGGCGGCGGUAGUACCGCCCCUGUUCAGCGGUAGUACCGCUGGAGUGCCAGCGGUAGUACCACUGCAGCCAGCGGUAGUAUCGCUGGAGCUCGGGCAGAGAGUGGGAAAACGGUCUGAUUUCCCCCCCCCACUAUAUAAAGGGUUCUUCUAGCUGAGGAACCCCAUCUCUUACCUCUCUAAGCUCCAUUGUUGCGCCCCAAGCUCAAAAGUGCCCGAUCUCUCUCCCUAGCCAAUCAAACUUGUUGAUUCUUUAGGGAUUGGUUGAGAAGGCCUAGUUCCACACUUCCACCAAGAGAAAAGUUGAUUCCCCCACCAAUCCCUUGCGGAUCUUGUUACUCUUGGGUGUUUGAGCAUCCUAGACGGUUGAGGUAACCUCGAAGCCAUAUUCCAUUGUGGUGAAGCUUCGUGGUUUAGUUGGGAGCCUCCAAGCUUUGUGUGGAGUUGCCCCAACCUUGUUUGUAAAGGUUCGGUCGCCGCCUUCAAGGGCACCUAUAGUGGAAUCACGGUACCUUGCAUCGUGCGAGGGCGUGAGGAGAAUACGGUGGCCUUAGUGGCUUUUUGGGGAGCAUUGUGCCUCCACACCGCUCCAACGGAGACGUACUUCCUGUCAAAGGGAAGGAACUUCGGUAAGACAUCCUCGUCUCCAUCGGUUCCANNNNNNNNNNUGNNNNNNNNNNNNNNNNNNNNNNNNNNNNNNNNNNNNNNNNNNNNNNNNNNNNNNNNNNNNNNNNNNNNNNNNNNNNNNNNNNNNNNNNNNNNNNNNNNNNUGAGUCUUGGGCUUUGUUUGGCCAACUAGAUCCAUGAUUCUUGCAAUGGGAGAAGUGCUUGGUUUUGGGUUCUUACCGUGUGGUGACCUUUCCUAGUGACAGUAGGGGCAGCAAGGCACACAUCGUGUAGUUGCCACCAAGGGUAACAAGGUGGGCUUUGUCGUAGAUAUGAGAUUGUCCAUCUACAUCAUGUCAUCUUACUUAAGGCGUUACUCUGUUCUUUUGGACUUAAUACACUAGAUGCAUGUUGGAUAGCGGUCGACAUGUGGAGUAAUAGUAGUAGAUGCAGAAAGUAUCGGUCAACUUGUUUUGGACGUGAUGCCUAUAGAUAUAAUCAUUGCCAUAGAUGAUGUCACGACUUUGCGCGGUUCUAUCAAUUGCUCGACGGUAAUUUGUUCACCCACCGUCUACUUGCUUUCAUGAGAGAAGCCACUAGNNNNNNNNNNUAACACUACGGCCCUCGGGUCUAUUCACACCUAUCGUUUCCAUUUCGCUUUUCCUUUGCUUUGUUACUUUGUUGCUUUCAGUUCUCACUUGGCGAACAAUCUAUAAGGGAUUUACAACCCCUUCACAGCGUUGGGAGCAAGCUUUUUUUGUUUGUGCAGGCACUUGUGAUACUCCUUCACUGGGUCGAUACCUUGGUUCUCAAAACUGAGGGAAAUACUUACCACCGCUACGCUACAUUGCAACAAAAGACCUUCCAACGGCGCGAGAAAUAGGCACGUCGACGGGAGAAUACUUGGCUUGAUCUUUCUUCUGCGGCUACGCCUUAAGGGGCUUCCUAGGCAAGUAUGCAAAGGAUUUCCCCCGUGGCCUUGGAGCCUUGCGUUGGUGUUCCCUCGAAGCGGAAAGGGUGAUGUAGCGUAGCGGUGGUAAGUAUUUCCCUCAGUUUGAGAACCAAGGUAUCAAUCCAGUGGAGGAGUAUCUCAAGAUCCUGCACAAACACAAAAGCUUGCUCCCAAUGCUAUGAAGGGGUUGUCAAUCCCUUAUAGAUUGUUCGCCAAGUGAGAAUUGAAAGCAAUAAAGUAACAAAACAAAGUAAAAGGGGAGAUGUAAACGAUGGAUCUGAAUAGACCCCGGGGCCGUAGUGUUUACUAGUGGCUUCUCUCAUGAAAGCAAGUAGACGGUGGGUGAACAAAUUNNNNNNNNNNNNNNNNNNNNNNNNNNNNNNNNNNNNNNNNNNNNNNNNNNNNNNNNNNNNNNNNNNNNNNNNNNNNNNNNNNNNNNNNNNNNNNNNNNNNAUGUCGAGCAAUUGAGAGAACCGCGCAAAGUCGUGACGAUAUCUAUGCAAUGAUUAUUUCUAUAGGCAUCACGUCCAAAACAAGUAGACCGAUACUGUCUGCAUCUACUACUAUUAUUCCACACGUCGACCGCCAUCGAGCAUGCAUCUAGUGUAUUAAGUCCAUAAGAACAGAGUAACGCCUUAAGCAAUAUGACAUGAUGUAGAGGGACAAUCUCAAACCAAUGAUAAAAACCCCAUCUUUUUACCCUUGAUGGCAACUACUUGAUGUGUGCCUUGCCGCCCCUACUGUCACUGGGAAAGGUCACCACAUGGCAAAACCCAAAACCAAGCACUUCUCCCAUUGCAAGAAUCAUAGAUCUAGUUGGCCAAACAAAACCCAAGACUCGGAGAGACUUACAAGGAUAUCAAAUCAUGCAUAUAAGAAAUCAGCAAAGACUCAAAUAUAUAUCAUAGAUAAUCUGAUCACAAAUCCACAAUUCAUCGGAUCUCGACAAACACACCGCCAAAGAAGAUUACAUCGGAUAGAUAUCCAUGAAGAUCAUGGAGAACUUUGUAUUGAAGAUCCAAGAGAGAGAANNNNNNNNNNNNNNNNNNNNNNNNNNNNNNNNNNNNNNNNNNNNNNNNNNNNNNNNNNNNNNNNNNNNNNNNNNNNNNNNNNNNNNNNNNNNNNNNNNNNACAUAUUCUCUACUCUGUUCCUAUCUCAAAACAGGUCUAUUGCCUCGGACUUCCGGCUCCCUCCGGACGUCCGAGGGCCGAACGACCGGCAUGCUUCGGAAAUCCGGAGCCCUCCACCAGAAGUAUUUGAGUCAUAUAACUCGGAAUUCCGGCUCCCUCCGGACAUCCGAGGGCCGGACGUCUGACCAGCUUCGGAAAUCCGGAGCCCUGCACCAGAAGAACAUGAGCUCUAUAACUCGGAUUUCCGGCUCCCUCCGGACGUCCGAGGGCCGGACGUCCGUCCCCUUUCGAAAAUCCGGAACCUCCCACCAGAAGAAGUUGAGUUGAAUAACUCGGAUUUCCGGCCUUCUCCAGACGUCCGGUCGCUGUUCAAUUCACAGUAUUUCCAGUCAUAGCUACAGCCCUCGGACGACCGACCCCUGUCGGACGUCCGACCCCUUGCGGAUGCCCGAACUUCCGAGAACUGCCGGACGUCCGGACCCUGUGUGACUUAAAGUGUCCCUAACGGCUGUUUUACACUCCCCACUAUAUAUACCCCUCACCCACUUCGUGAGACAGUGUUUAACACAGCUAGAAUACAUCCAAGAACACCUUUCUUCUCACUCACUCUUGUCUACACCAAAUCUUAGAUCCCAAGAGCAUUUGUGAGUCCCUUUGAGUGUUGUUCCAAUCAAAAGAUAGAUCGUCUCCCUCUCCUCCUUCCCACCAAAGUGAUUUGUGAUUUGAGCAAGUUUUGAGCAAUCCCCGUGAUCUUGUUACUCUUGGAGGUUGGAGACUCCUAGGCGGUAGGAGUCUUCGGAGAGGAAUCAAACCAUUGUGAUUUCCCCCGGAAAGUUUGUGAAGGUUUGGAAGCCACCUCAAGGCUUACCACUAGUGGUUGAGAAACGCCUUCGUGGAGUUAUCUCAAAGGGAGAAUAGGGUGAGCCUUCGUGGCGUUGGUGUGCCUUCGUGGUAACAUCCGCCCCUCUAACGGUGACGUAGCUUCCCUCCAAGGAAGUGAACAUCGGGAUACAUCCUUGUCUCUCUUGGAGUUUUGGUUAUUCCUAACCCUAACUCUCUACUUGUGUUAAUCCUUAUUACGUACUUGUAUUUGAUUAUUGUUUACCGCUUGUCUUACUUCACUCUAAAUAGCUUACUCCUUGUCGUAGCAAUUAUUAGGUCUACACUCAUAUUCCGCACUUUUGCCUAAAAUUGCCAAGUAAUUAUUAAAAUUUGGAAUUGUACCUAUUCACCCCCCCUCUAGGUCCAUCUCGAUCCUUUUCAAUUGGUAUCAGAGCCUCGUGCUCUAUUCUUGUGGCUUAACCGCCCUAGAGCGAGAUGGACGGGGUUCCAGCUACGGUAGCUCUAGUGCAGAGGGACGAGACUUCCACGGAAGUCAAGUCUUUCACCUCUGAGGACAUGGAACGGGCCCUUGCCAAGCAAAAGGAGGAGCAUGAUGCUUCUCUUGAGGCCAUGGUCCAAAUGAGACUGGCAUCACUAACCACAGGGACAACCACGUCCCCGAGGGCCUCAGGGUCACAUGUCCACGGUACUUCAUUUGGCCAACAACCUGUGGAAAGGAACCAAACCAGUGUUCCAUGGCUUUAUGCUAGAUCUCAAAUUGAGAAACCUAAGUACAAUCCUGGAGGAAAACCUCCCUUGCUUGAUGACAAUUCCGAUUUUGCUUUGUGGAGAGUUGGUAUGCAGGAUCAUCUUAGGUAUGCCAAUGAUGAGAUGUUGGACAUCCUCGAGCAUGGGUACAAUCCUGUAGAUCCAAGGUGCCUCACUCCCAGAGAAACUUAUGACAAGCAUCUCAAUGACACUGCGAUCAUGUGCAUAAGAAAAGGAAUGAAUGACAAGCAACACAGACCUUACAUUCACAUCACAAGUGCCAAGGAACUGUGGGAUAGCAUUAUAAGGACCAAGACCGGUACCUCCUCUCUUCGGCGUGCUCAAUAUGAAAUUGCCAAGGGGCAAUUACAGAAUUUCUGUAUGGAAAAGGGUGAAUCUCCCAAGCAACUACUAGAACGGCUCAUGACUCUCGCCGCAGACAUUGAGUCAUGUGAGUGUGACAAGACGCAAGAUGGUUUCAAUCUGACCAAGAGAUUUCUCGUGGACAAGUUACUUCAUGCUCUUGCUCCAUAUCACCAUCAAAUGGUAUAGGACAUGAGGCAGCACCAUGGGUUCAAAGAAAUGACUCCAGAUGACAUCAUAUCCACUUUCCAACUAUUUGAAGAGUCAAAGGCAAAUGCAACAAAGCACCUUGCCAUGCAUGGCACUUCAACAUCAAAGAUCAAUCUUGCUUUGAAAGCCAAGCAUGAAUGUGACGAAGAAGAAAGUGAAGAAGAAGAGGGUGAUGAUGACUGCGAAGAUGGUGAUGAUGUUGACUCUGAUGAAAGCCCAUCUUAUGAGGACAUUGCUCUCUUUGUAAAGAAGUUAAGUGCAGGAAAAUUCAAGGGAAGAUUCCCAAAGAAGAAGGUAAGGAAAUGCUACAACUGUGAGGAAACCAACCACUUCUCCAAUGACUGCCCUUAUGAGAAGAGAGAAGACAAACCAAGGUUUCCAAAGACCUUUGUAAAGAAGAAGUUUCCAAACCCUAUGAACUCCAAGCUCAAGAGGACAGAUGGAAGAGCAAUGGUUGCACAAGAAGAAUCAGAUCCAGAAGAUGUUGGUGGGGUUGCCGGAGUAGCUCAGGAUACACAAAACACCAUGAGGCUAGUCAACAAAAGUGGUGAUGUUGUUCACUACAACUAUAUGAAGGACUACAAGGGCAACGCUCACAAGUGUUUGAUGGCAAAGACUGCCAUGGGAGAUGAGGAAGACCAAAGCUCCCAUGAUAAGGUUAAGGUAACUCCACGAGUAAACUCCUUUAGUCUGGCUUCUACCCCAUCUGAUGAGUAUCUCGAUGCGGAAGAUCACUAUGAGGAUAAUGACUUAGAUCAUCCCAUGUUUGCUAAAAUAAACAAAUGUAUGUGCUCUCUUAAAGGAAAGAAGCUCACUAUGUUUCACAUACUUAUGGAAAUGGUGAGUAAGCACACCAAUACCAUCAAGGAACUCGAAACCCUCGUCACUGAGGAGAAGGAAAGAAAUGAAAUCCUUGAGCAGAAAGUCAUGUAUGAGGAAGCACAAAAUGAUGCAUUAUGCUCAAAAGUAGGUGAAAACCUUGAUAAACAUGCUAAUGAUCUUGCCUCCUUGAAAAAGGCUGAAUCUGUGUGCAAAGAGUUACUAAAUGAUAAAAACCGACUAGUGAACUCUCAUGCUUCCCUUUCUAAGGACUCUGAGCGUCUAUCCUUGUCUCUCAAAGACAAGGAAGAGAAACUCACUGUUCUUACAAAGAGCUUUGAGGCACUCAAGGUUACUUAUCUUGACACUUUAGCUAAGGCCUACUCCUCACCUAUUAUUAAUGUUGAUACCUGCACUACUAACUCUAGUAGUGAAUUGGCAUCUAUCCUUGAGGAAAGCUGUUCGCUAAAGGCACAGCUAGACAGACGUCUCAUGACAUGUGCACAAGGACAAAAGACUCUCAAUGAGAUCUUAAGUCGACACAAUGGAGGACUUGCCAAGGAAGGGCUUGGGUUCAACCCAAGCACCGCCAAGAAAAGUGCAUCUCCUCUCAAGUGUACCACUCCACUUAAAGAAAUAUUUGUACGAGAGGGACACAAGGAGAAAGGUAAGGUUGUGAGUGGGUCGGCCACUAGGGGUUCGCCUACUCACAAAAAGACAACCGAAUUCAUGCCUCCAUCCUAUGUACUAUGCAAAUCAAAGGAAGGAGAGGUUUAUGCUAAAUUCGUUGGUCCCCGUAAUGCAUUCCGAUUCUAUGCUAUUUGGGUCCCUAAGACUCUUGUAACUAAUGUGAAAAGCCCCAUGACGAAAUGGGUACCUCAAACCAAGUCUUAAUUCGUUACAGGCUGUUUUCUCCGGAGGAGCCAAAUGGGUGAUCGACAGUGGAUGCACCAAACAUAUGACCGGAGAUAGUAACUUGCUCUAUGACUUCAUGCAAGCCAUUCGACCAUACAUGAGCAUUGUAUUUGGUGGAUGGUCGAAAGGGCAGGUAAUUGGGUUGGGCAAGGUGGAAAUCACUAAUGACAUGUCUAUUGCAAAUGUCAUGCUUGUCCAAUCUCUUCAAUAUCAUUUACUUUCAGUUCGCCAAUUGGCUUCCGUCGGUUAUGACACAUUAUUUGGACUAACGGAUGUGAAAGUCUUUAAGAGAGACACUCUCGAAGUGGCCUUUGUUGGAGAGUUGAAUGACAACCUUUACACGGUUGAUUUCUCAAAAGAGAGCACCUUCCAUACAACUUGUCUAAUGGCCAAGGCCGACAUGGGAGGGCUGUGGCAUCGCCGGCAUGAAAAAUCUUCAAAAUCUCUUAAACGGCAAUCACAUCCUUGGACUAACAAAUGUAUCUUUUAAGAAAGAUCGUGUGUGCAGUGCAUGCAUAGCUGGGAAACAACAUCAAUCAAAACAUCCACCCAAGAACAUUGUAUCCACUUCGAGGCCGUUAGAGAUCCUUCAUGUGGAUCUGUUUGGGCCUCCUUCAUGGGCAAGUCUUGGAGGGAAAAAGUAUGGCCUAGUCAUUGUUGAUGAUUACUCAAGAUAUACAUGGGUGUUCUUUCUCAAGUCCAAGGACGAGACAAAGAUCACUUUCAUUGAUUUUGCCAAACAAGCCCAGCGGAAGUUUGACAAGGACAUCAAGGCAGUAAGAAGUGAUAAUGGCUCUGAGUUCAAGAACUACACCUUAGAAGAAUUUCUUAGUGAUGAGGGAAUUGAACAUCAGUACUCCGCACCUUACACCCCUCAGCAAAAUGGUGUGGCAGAGAGGAAGAACCGGGCACUUGUGGAAAUGGAAAGGUCCAUGUUAGACGAAUACAAGUCACCACAAAGUUUUUGGGCUGAGGCCGUCAACACGGCAUGUCAUGCAUCAAACCGGCUCUUCCUUCGAUCAAUAUUGGAGAAGACUCCAUAUGAGCUCCUAACUGGGAACAAGCCCAAUGUUAAGUACUUUCGUGUGUUUGGAUGCAAGUGUUUCAUCCUCAACCAACGGGAACGGUUAGGAAAAUUUCAAUCCAAAACAACUGAAGGGAUUUUUGUUGGCUAUGGGUCAAACUCUCACGCCUACAGAGUCUACAACAAAUCCAAUGGAUGUGAUAUAGAAACCUGUGACGUGACGUUUGAUGAAUUUAACCGCUCCCAUGGGGAGCAAGUUGAUCUAAAUGAUGCAGGUGAAGAAGACUCCCCACAAGAUAUCUUAAACAUGGGUGUAGGUGCACUUCUUCCCAUGGAACAAAGACCCCAUGAUGAUGAUGGAGAUGAUGAGAGUACUUCUCAUCCUCAAGACAGUUCACUGCCCAUACCUCCACAAGAUACUAGCACACACAUCAUGCCAGUUGUUGAGGAUCAAGUGGGAGAACAUGUCUCUCACACUCAAGAACAAGUUGAUCUUCAAGAGCUAGAACAAAGUAUGGGUAUAUUUGAUGAUGAACCUCAACAGGUGCAACGCGAAGAGGAAUAUCUUCCUCCGCACAUAAAUGAUCCAUAUGUUGAGGACGUUGAUGAUGGAAACGAAGUCGAACCUCAUGAAACCCUGACCUCCAUCAUGCCACGUGUGGCCGGUCGUGUUGAUAUUGAUCAAAUCCUCACCGGCGUGUCGGAAGGUAGAGUGACUCGUAAACAAUUAACAAACUUUUGUGCUCACUUUUCGUUUGUCUCUAGUACCGUGCCACACAGGGUUCAGGAUGCAUUGUGUGACAAUGACUGGCUCCUUGCUAUGCAAGAGGAGUUAAACAGUUUUACACCCAACGAAGUAUGGUCAUUGGUAGAACGACCAACUAAGGAACAUAAUGUCAUUGGAACUAAAUGGAUUUUCGAGAACAAGGAAGAUGAGAAUGGGACUGUCCUACGCAACAAGGCAAGGUUAGUAGCACAGGGGUACUCCCAAGUUGAAGGUUUGGACUUUGGUGAAACUUUCGCCCCUGUUGCUCGUCUUGAGUCCAUUCGCAUUUUAUUGGCCUAUGCUGCUUUCAAUGGUCUUACUUUGCUUCAAAUGGAUGUGAAAAGUGCUUUUCUUAACGGUCCUCUACAAGAAGAGGUAUAUGUAUCACAACCACCUGGGUUUGUUGACCCUCACCACAAAGACCAUGUAUACAAACUUCACAAGGCUCUGUAUGGCCUCAAACAAGCACCCCGUGCUUGGUACGAUCACUUAAGAAGUUCCUACUCGAUGAUGGCUUUAUGGUGGGGGUGAUCGAUCCCACUCUUUUUACUAAGAGGGAAAAUGGUGAUUUGAUCUUAUGCCAAAUCUAUGUAGAUGACAUCAUUUUUGGUUCUCCUAACAUCCAUUUAUGCAAGAAGUUUGCGGCCUCCAUGACCAAGACCUUUGAGAUGUCACUCAACACGGACUUGAAGUUCUUUCUUGGGUUUCAAAUACAACAAUUUCAAGAAGGGAUUUUCUUGUCUCAAACUAAGUAUCUCAAGGACAUUCUUGAAAAAUUUGAUAUGACCAAAUGCUAAACCUAUGAAGACACCCAUGUCCACAGACGUAGUUCUAAAUGAAGACACCAACGGUAUUCCUUUUGACCCAUCUACUUACCGCUCCAUGAUUGGUUCGCUACUUUAUCUUUGCGCAUCUAGACCGUACAUCAUGUUAAGUGUAGGCAUAUGUGCCACAUUUCAAGCUUCCCCUAGGGAAAGCCAUCAUACGGUGGUUAAGCAUAUUCUUAGAUACCUUGUUCACACCCCAAAGUUAGGCUUAUGGUACCCUAAGGAUGCAAAGUUCGAUCUUAUUGGGUACUCCGAUGCGGAUUGGGCCGGUUACAAAGUGGGACGGAAAUCCACUUUCGGUGCAUGUCAGUUUCUUGGACGCUCCUUGGUAAGUUGGUCCUCGAAAAAGCAGAACUGUGUUUCUCUCUCCACGGCCGAGGCCGAAUAUAUUGCAGCCGCAAGCUGUGCAACCCAACUGCUAUGGAUGAGGCAAACACUAAAGGAUUAUGGUAUCACGUAUCGACACGUUCCUCUUCUCUGUGAUAAUGAAAGUGCCAUAAAGAUCUCCGAGAACCCCAUUGAUCACCCUCACACAAAACAUAUUGAUAUUAGGUAUCAUUUCUUGAGAGACCAUGUGCAAAAGGGUGACAUUGAUAUUACCCAUGUGGGUACCGACAUGCAGCUAGCCGACAUUUUCACCAAGCCACUUAGCGUAGCUAGGUUCUGUUGACUUAGGCGUGAACUUGGUAUCUUGGAGCUUGACAACAUAACUUGAAACCUUGCACACAUACACACACUCACAUUAUGUUUGUGUCUUGAUGUGGGCAUGCAUUUAGGAGGAGUGAGUCUUAAUUUUCUGUUUUUGAGCUUACAAAGUAUGCAUAAAUCAAUUUCUGUCCACAAGUAGUAUAUGUAAUGCUUGUAGGCAACUAUGUUCGUACUUUUUGUGAGAAACCAUGAAAAAUCAUCAUCUCAUCAGCAAAAAUUUCAAAACCAGCCUCUGCCUCCUCUUCUCUCUCGGUCGUCCGACGUGUCUCGGACGUCCGGCGGCAAAUCUCAUUCCGGUCGUCCGACCAGUGUCGGUCGUCCGAUGGCACAAUCCUCUCCGGACGUCCGACGCCUGUCGGACGUCCGACGCUUCGGGGCAUAUAAAUAGCUAGGCGCGGGGCUGGGCUUUGCCCUAGCCCUCACACGCCCCCUUUUUCCCCUACCGCCGCCGCCGCCAGCUCCAGGAGCACUCGCCAGCGCCGCCCUUCCCAAGAUCUGCCCGAUCUCCUCUGCGGAUCCUUCUCUCGUUCCUCUUCUUCCUCCGCGGGAUCCGUCUACAGGUAUCUCCUCCGUUUCCCCUUGCGUUUGGUUCCCUCUCUCCCAAGUCUCCAUGUUUGUUCCUAUGGUUUGACCAUGUUCGUUCCUCAUUUGGGGUUUCCAUCCGUAUAGGUUAUUGUGCACCAUGCCCAAUACCAAGCACGCCGCACGGAAGAACGUUGCUGGGUCAUCCUCUCGCGCCCCUACUAGCACGGGGUCGGACUCUGACGGGCCAUGUCGUCCCUUCAAACGGACUGCCCGGCGUUCUCCGCCUCCAUAGCUCCCCUCAUCGUCUGAUGGUGAUGACUCCGACUUCAGGAUGAGCUUGUCGCCGAGGACCUUGCUAACCAGCCCGCCGAUCGGAGGUCCAAGCCAAAGCCCGGGACUCGCAGGGCGUCCUACAUGCCACCACCUCCUCCUGCUCAGCCCGCAGGUGAAGCUCGUCGCAUCUCACUAGAACUCCCUGCUACCUUAGGUCGUGCAAUCACGAACUUCACCACACUUUCCAAGUCGUCAUACCUCACUUUCCGCCGCGACAUUGAUCAAUACGCUGUCGUACGUGACUCUACGGACUCACGUUUCCGCACACACGUCCAGGCGGACAUUUUUACUAGUCAUAGUUCCUAAGGGUUUAUCUGUUCAUCUCUAUAUAGAUCUUGAGCAUAUUCGCAUGCACCCGGCGAAAUACCCGGGUGCCAUUGAGCUUAUUGAGGCAUCGGGGCUUGCCGCCCCGUUUGCCUUUCAUCACGACUUUAAUGCUGCUGCCAUUCACCAGUUCUAUGCCACAUGCUUCUUUGCUCCAAACCACACUGUUAGCUGGAUCACCUCUGAUGUUCGUUUCACAGCUUCUUAUGAUACUUUUGUUGCCGCACUUGGUUUCCCCAACUCCGGCUUCAAAAUACAUAGGGAUGAUCCUAACCAUGCGCCUAAGUCCAUUGAGGCAUGUGGGUAUCUUCUCAAACCACUAAGUGAGCUUGAUGCGGAUGAACGCAUGAAGGACCUUAACCAGGUAUCCAUUUGGCGCUCACCUUACUUCAUCAUUUUUUAGUGUCUCAUCCGCACCAUCUAUCCCAAGAUGGGUGAUAAGGGCUCUUGCAGUGGCUAUUGUAUUGACAUCAUGUCUCACUUGUACGAGCACCCCAAGAGCAAAAUUAAUGUGCCUCAUUUUCUAUGGCAUGAGAUUUGGCUUGCUAGCUUUCAGUACAAGCAAGCCUUUCCUCAUUCCCCCUUCAUCCAGGCUCUUAUUAAUCAUGUUGUUGAUUUCUGUGUGGCUGUCACUCACACACAUCGCAAGUGGGUCAUUCCCGCUCACAUGGCGGAUAACUAUGCUCCCAAGAAAGCCCCAUCCUCCACAUCCACUCGCCGCACUACUGCCCGGUCAGCCACCCCCUCAUCUAGCUCCGCUCCUCUCGGUCGCAUUGCCAAAUUCCUUGGCAAGGCACAUUCUGCUAUGACGAAGGCCGUCUCUUUCCAGUGUGGUCAAACCCAUGAUGUGAUUUCUCGCUUAGUCUGCUCCAAGAAUGCCCUCAAGGCUCGUUUGAGAGCCUCGGGCGCUCUUGAUGUGAGUGAUGAUGAGGCCCCUCCUGCUGCUCCUCCUACUGACUUUGGCUUCCCAUCUGGUCCUGAGUGGGCUGAUUUCCUUGAUGAGGCUGGUGGCAGUGGCUUGCCUGAUGGUGGUGAUGAUGCUGAUGAUGAUGCUGAUGAGCUCUGAGCGUGGUUGGUGCUGUUGGUGCCUCCCUUUUUGGUACCAAAGGGGGAGUACUGUGUAUCGUACUUUUUAGUCUUUGGAGAUUUAAUGUAAUGGAUAAACUCAUGUAUGGCUACUUAUGAAUGAUUGUGAUUGCUAUGGAUUGCUAUGAUAUCAUCAUAGACUAUUAUGUUUUGCUCCACUACUUCUAUGAUGAUCUAUUGUCUUUCUAUGAUGAUCUAUUAUCUUUACAUGUUGAUCCAUUAUAUGUUCGAUAAACACAUUAAAGGGGAGCUCCAAUAUUUUAUCAUGCACAUACUAAGGGGGAGCUCCAUACUAAAUAUCUCCUAGGCUAUAAUGUAUGUUAAAUCUUUUUGAGACCUAUGUAUAUGUUGUCAUCAACUACCAAAAAGGGGGAGAUUGAAAGUGCAUGCUAUGCCCCUAAUCGACUUUUGGUGUUAAUGACAACACAUACAUAGGAAACUAAUUCUAUUUGANNNNNNNNNNNNNNNNNNNNNNNNNNNNNNNNNNNNNNNNNNNNNNNNNNNNNNNNNNNNNNNNNNNNNNNNNNNNNNNNNNNNNNNNNNNNNNNNNNNNAGAGUCGUCGAAGAUGGCUGUAGUGCUCGGGAUUGAGAGGCGAGAGCACUGGGAGGAUCCCCAGGCUCGGCCUCAUCCAGUACUGGCCUCAGGGAGGGCUCGGGAGGACCGGAGGUCACCGGCGACAAGCGGAGGCGACGGCCGGAGCUCGGGCUCAUUGGUCCAGUGGCUAGGGGGCACGAAACCAAGGGGAAGAAGAGGGGAAAUGAUCGCAAUCUCACGGGGAGUGCAGUGGAGGGCUUAGACGGCUCGGGGAGGCGCUGUGGGCGACGAAUCGAAUGAAGCUCGCCGGCGGCCGAAGCAUGAAGACGACGGUGUCGUGGGCGUUGCAGGGCUCGGGGGGACUUCUACUUCUGCAAGGAGGACCAGCUCGUCGAGGUGGAGCGAAUGGGGCACUCGGGGGAAAGAACUAGUGGCCAGAGGCACGGGCAGCUCGAGCUCGAGCUCCUGUCAAUGGCGGUAGAAGGAGAGGAAGUAACCGAGAGGAGAGGGGGGAAAUGGUGCGCGGGAAUGGAUAGGCCAGUGCUCAGGGAGGUUAUCCCCGCACGUGCCAGCGCGAAGCAGCGGCCAGGCAGGCACGGGGCUGCGUGGAGGCGCCGGGCGUCGCGGCGGCCACCUCCUACUCCUACUAGCGAGGAGGAAGACGACACAGGAGCUGGGCUUGGGCCAGGUGAGCGUGUGGUAGGUCUUCCUCAUUCAUUUUUUUUCUUGUUUUGUUUUCUGAUUUACUAACUAUUUUGAUUUGCCUUUCAUUUAAGCUCCAAAAUAGUUUAUAAAAUUAUUUUGAACACAUCAGAAUAUUUGUUGGAAUAUAUCCAACCAUUCGUGAAGUUUUCAACAUUUUUGAAAACUUAAAGUUUUUGAAUUCAAAUUUAAACUUGAAUCGAGUAGUUUUUUGCAUUUAAAUAAAAUGCCAAAAGUGUUAUGAAAAUAGUUUUCUUCACUGCUUAUUUGGUUCCAUGAAUUAUCAGAAAAGUUGAAAUUUUCUUGAGGCCAUUUUGGGUUCAUUGAUUUGAACAAGUUUAGAAUUUCUUUGAAUUUGAGAAGUGNNNNNNNNNNNNNNNNNNNNNNNNNNNNNNNNNNNNNNNNNNNNNNNNNNNNNNNNNNNNNNNNNNNNNNNNNNNNNNNNNNNNNNNNNNNNNNNNNNNNACACGCGGAACACUCGGGUUAAGCUUGACGAGCCUAGCAUGUGCAGACAUGGCCUCGGAACACAUGAGACCGAAAGGUCGAGCAUGAAUCGUAUAGUUGAUAUGAUUAGCAUAGAGAUGCUUACCACUGAAACUAUUCUCGACUCACGUGAUGAUCGGACUUGAGAUAGUGGAUUUGGAUCAUGUACCACUCAAAUGACUAGAGAGAUGUACUUUUUGAGUGGGAGUUCUUAAGUAAUAUGAUUAAUUGAACUAAUUGUCAUGAAUAUAGUCUAAUGGUCUUUGCGAAUUACGAUGUAGCUUGCGCUAUAGCUCUACUGUUUUUAUAUGUUCCUAGAGAAAAUUUAGUUGAAAGUUGAUAGUAGCAAACUUUGCACACUGAGUCUGUAAAGCCGAGGAUUGUCCUCGUUGCUGCACAGAUGGCUUAUGUCCUUAAUGCACCACUCGGUGUGCUGCACCUCGAGCGUCGUGUGUAGAUGUUGUGAACAUCCGACAUACACGUUUCUGAUGACUACACGAUAGUUCAGUACAAAAUACUUAAUGGCUUAGAAGCAAGGCGCCGAAGACGUUUUGAAACGUCACGGAACAUAAGAGAUGUUCUAAACAGAUGAAAUUGUGAUUUCUUUCUUGUGCCCUUGUUAAGAGGUAUGAGACCCCCGACAAGAUUCUUUGUCCGCGAAGUAAAGGAGAAAAGCUCAAUCGUUGAGCGUGUGCUCAGAUUAUUUGAGUGCGACAAUCGCUUGAAUCAAGUGGGAGUUGAUCUUCCAGAUAAGAUAGUGACGGUUGUCCAAAGUCACUGCCACCAAGCUGUGAGAGCUUCGUGAUGAACUAUAACAUAUAAAGGAUAGAUACAAUGAUCCUUGAGCGAUUCGCGAUGUUUGACACUGCGAAAGUAGAAAUCAAAAAGGAGUAUCAAUAGUUGAUUGUUAGUAAAACCACUAAGUUUCGAGAAAGGCAAGGGCUAGAAGGAAUACUUCGUGAAACGGCAAAUCAGUUGCUGCACUAAUGAAGAGACCCGAGAUUGAACCCAAGCCCGGGACUAAGUGCUUCUGUUAUGAGGGGAACGGUCACUGAGGCGGAGCAACUCUAGAUACUUGGCAGAUAAGAAGGCUGGCAAAAGUCGAAAGAAGUAUAUUUGAUAUACAUGAUGUUGAUGUGUACUUUACUAGUACUCCUAGUAGCACGAGGGUAUUGGAUACCGGUUCGGUUGCUAAGUGAUUAGUAACACGAAAUGAAAGCUACGGCAUAAACGGAGACUAGCUAAAGGCGAGGUGACGAUACGUGUUGGAAGUUUUUCCAAGGUUGAUAUGAUCAAACGUCGCACGCUCCCUCUACCAUCGGGAUUGGUGUUAAACCUAAAUAAUUGUUAUUUGGUGCUUGCGUUAAGCAUGAACAUGAUUGGAUCGUGUUUAUUGCAAUACGAUUAUUCAUUUGAAGAGAAUAAUGGUUACUCUAUUUGCUUGAAUAAUCACCUUCAAUGGUUUAUUGAAUCUCGAUCGUAGUGUUACACAUAUUCAUGAUAUUGGUGCCAAAAGAUACGAGGUAAUGAUGAUAGUACUACUUACUUGUGGCACUGCCGCUUGAGUCAUGUUGGUAUAAAUUACAUGAAGAGGCUCCAUGCUGAUGGAUCUUUAUACUCACUUGAUUUUGAAUCACUAGUGACAUGCAAAUCAUACCACAUGAGCAAGGCCUUGUUUCAUUGAGAUGAAACAAGAUAGUAACUUGUUGGAAGUGAUACAUUUUGAUGUAUGCAGUCCAAUGGGUGCUGAGGCACGCAGUGGAUAUCAUUAUGUUCUUACUUCAAUGACGAUUUGAGUAGAUACAAGAGUAUUUACUCAAUGAAUCACAAGUCUGAAAUAUUGAAAAGUUCAAUUCUGUUUCGGAGUGGAGUUCGUCGUAACAAGAGGAUAAACUGUCUACGAUAUGAUCAUAGAAAUGAAUAUCUGAGUUACGAGUUUUGGUACGCAGUUAAGACAAUGUGGAAAUUGUUUCGCAGUUCAUGCCACCUGGAACAUCAUAGUGUGAUGAUGUGUCUGAACGUCAUAGCCACGCACUAUUUGGUAUGGUGCAUGCUAUGAAGUCUCUUAUUGAAUUACCACUAUCGUUUAUGGGUUAUGCAUUAGAGACAACCACAUUCACUUUAAAUAGGGCACCGCGUAWUUCCGUUGAGAUGACACGGUAUAGACUGAGGUUUAGAGAAAUCUGAGCCGUCAUUUCUUGAAAGUUUGGGGCUGCGACACUUAUGUGAAAAAGUUUCMGUCUGAUAAGCUCGAACCCAAAGCGGAUAAAUGCAUCUUCAUAGGAUAUCCAAAACAGUUGGGUACAUCUCCUAUCUCAAGACUCCCGGAAAGACCAAAGGUUGUUUUGUUUUCAAGGAAAACGGAUUCCCUUUCUUUGGAGGGUAAAAGGUUUUCCUCCUUCGAAUAGAAUUGNGUGGGNGGGUGUAGAACUUGAUGGAGGNNNNNNNNNNNNNNNNNNNNNNNNNNNNNNNNNNNNNNNNNNNNNNNNNNNNNNNNNNNNNNNNNNNNNNNNNNNNNNNNNNNNNNNNNNNNNNNNNNNNCCGAGUGGAGGACGGAGGACNCNNCAUGUGANGNCCUCUCUCCCUCNUUUUUUUUCUUUCUCUUUGAUUUCCCCUUAGCCGAAAUAGCCUAUUUGGCUGGCCACACCAGCCCACCAAGGGCUAGUGCGACACCCAUGGGCUAUUAGGUUCUCUCCCGGGUGGCUGGCCCCCUCCUGGUAAAAACCCGAAACCCAUUCGUUACUUCCGGUACACUGUCGACAAUGUUCGAAAUAUUUUCGGAGGCCAAAUGAAACAAUCCUAUAUAUCAAUCUUUGUUUCCGGACCAUUCCGGAAACCCUUGUUACGUCUGUGAUCUCAUCGGGGACUUCGAACAAAACUUCGGUCACCAGCACCUAUAACUCAACUAUAUCAAAACGUCACCGAACCUUAAGUGUGCAGACCCUGCGGGUUCGAGAAUUAUGCAGACAUGACGUGAGACACUCCCCAGUCAAUAUCCAACAACGAGACCUGGAUGUCCAUAUUGGAUUCUACAUAUUCUACGAAGAUCUCAUCGGUUGAACCUCUGUGCCAAGGAUUCAUAUAAUCCCGUAUAUCAUUUCCUUUGUCCUUCGGUAUGUUACUUGCCCGAGAUUUGAUCGUGGUAUCCCUAUACCUAUUUCAAUCUUGUUACCGGCAAGUCUCUUUACUCGUUCCGUAAUAGAAGAUCCCGUAACAAACACUUUAGUCACAUUGCUUGCAAAGAUUAUAUGUGAUGUUGUAUUACCGAGUGGGCCCCGAGAUACCUCUCCGUCACACGGAGUGACAAAUCCCAGUCUCGAUCCAUGCUAACUCAACGGACACCUUCGGAGAUACCUGUAGAGCACCUUUAUAGUCACCCAUUAACGUUGCGACGUUUGAUACACACAAGGUAUUCCUCCGGUGUCAGUGAGUUACAUGAUCUCAUGGUCAUAGGAAUGAAUACUUGACACGCAGAAAACAAUAGCAACAAAAUAACACGAUCACAUGCUAUGUUCAUAGUUUGGGUCUUGUCCAUCACAUCAUUCUCCCAAUGAUGUGAUCCAGUCAUCAAGUGACAACACUUGCAUAUGUUCAGAACACCUUAACCACCCUUGAUCAACUGGCUAGCCAACUAAAGGCUUACUAGGGACAUUGUUUUGUCUAUAUAUCCACACAUGCAUUUAUGUUUUCAUUCAAUACAGUUAUAGUAUGGAUAAUAAACGAUUAUCUUGAAACAGGAAAUAUAAUAAUAACUAUUUUAUCAACUGGCUAGCCAAACUCUUUCAUGAAUUUUUCUAUAUCAACCACCAAAUGGAAUGCAAAGAUGGACUUAGCAUAGAGCUUGGUGGAAUCUCAAUUUAGAAAAGGAAAAAUACUACUUUUCCUGAAGCCAAACUGGCGAGUCAUCCCAAAUGUUGGGUCGAGACUUGGUUCUAUUGUAAGUGUUGAAAAUAUGCCCUAGAGGCAAUAAUAAAUAGUUAUUAUUUUAUUUCCUGUUUAAAGAUAAUUGUUUAUUAUCCAUGCUAUAAUUGUAUUGAAUGAAAACAUAGAUACAUGUGUGGAUAAAUAGACACAACAAUGUCCCUAGCAAGCCUCUAGUUGGCUAGUGAUGACCAUAGGGGAUCAAUCGUAGUCCUUUCGAUAAGUAAGAGUGUCGAACCCAACGAGGGGCAGAAGGAUUUGACAAGUGGUUUUCAGCAAGGUAAUAUCUGCAAGCACUGAAAUUAUCGGUAACAAGUAGUUGUGUGGUGAGAUGAUUCAUAGCAAGCAACAAGUAACAAAAGUAGCAACGGUGCAGCAAAGUGGUCCAAUCCCUUUUGUAGCAAGGGACAAGCCUGGACAAAGUCUUAUAGGAGGAAAAACGCUCCCGAGGACACACGGGAAUUUCUGUCAUGCUAGUUUUCAUCAUGUUCAUAUGGUUCGCGUUCGUUACUUUGAUAGUUUGAUAUGUGGGUGGACCGGCGCUUGGGUACUGCCCUUACUUGGACAAGCAUCCCACUUAUGAUUAACCCCUCUCGCAAGUAUCCGCAACUACGAAAGAAGAAUUAAGACAAAGUCUAACCAUAGCAUUAAACUAGUGGAUCCAAAUCAGCCCCUUACGAAGCAACACAUAAACUAGGGUUUAAGCUUCUGUCACUCUAGCAACCCAUCAUCUACUUACUACUUCCCAAUGCCUUCCUCUAGGCCCAAAUAAUGGUGAAGUGUUAUGUAGUCGACGUUCACAUAACACCACCAGAGAAAAAACAACAUACACCAUAUCAAAUUACCGAACGAAUACCAAAUUCACAUGACUACUAUUAGCAUGACUUAUCCCAUGUCCUCAGGAACAAAAGUAACUACUCACAAAGCAUAAUCAUAUUCAAGACCAGAGAGGUAAUGAGUAGCAUCAAGGAUCUGAACAUAAAUUCUUCCACCAAAUAAUCCAACUAGCAUCAACUACAAAGAGUAAUCAACACUACUAGCAACCUUACAAGUACCAAUCGGAGUCGCGAGACGGAGAUUGGUUACAAGUGUGAACUAGGGUUUGGAGAUGAGAUGGUGUUGAGGAAGAUGUUGAUGGUGACAAGUACCCUCCGAUGAGAGGAGUGUUGGUGAUGACGAUGGCGACGAUUUCCCCUUCCGGGAGGGAAGUUUCCCCGGCAGGAUCGUCCUGCCGGAGCUCUAGAUUGGUUCUGCUCAAGUUCCGCCUCGUGGCGGCGGCGAAACCACGAAAAAGCUCCUCCCUGAUUUUUUCCAGACGAAACCCUUCAUAUAGCAGAAGAGGGGGGCAAGUGGGCCAGCAGGUUGCCCAUAAGCCCUCAUGGCGCGGCCUAGGGGGUGGCCACGCCGUGCAGGCUUGUGGCCGGGGCCGCGCCGUGCAGGCUUGUGGCCAACCCCUGGUGCCCCUCUGGCGCUUCUUCAUCCCAGUAUUUUUUAUAAAUCCGGAAAAAAAAAUCCUCGUUAAUUUUUACGGCGUUUGGAGUUGCGUAGAAUAGGUAUCUCAAACUUUCUCUGAUGACCCACAAGUAUAGGGGAUCUAUCGUAGUCCUUUCAAUAAGUAAGAGUGUCGAACCCAACGAGGAGUAGAAGGAUCUGACAAGUGGUUUUCAGCAAGGUAUUCUCUGCAAGCACUGAAAUUAUCGGUAACACAUAGUGGUGUGGUGAGAUGAUUCACAGCAAGUAGCAAGUAACAACGGUAACAAAGGUGCAACAAAGUGGCCCAUUCCCUUUUUGUAGCAAGGGACAAGCCUGAACAAACUCAUAUAGGAGGUAAAGUACUCCCGAGGACACAUGGGAAUUUCUGUCAAGCUAGUUUUCAUCAUGUUCAUAUGAUUCGUGUUCGCUACUUUGAUAGUUUGAUAUGUGGGUGGACCGGCGCUUGGCUACUGCCCUUACUUGGGCAAGCAUCCCACUUAUGAUUAACCCCUCUCGCAAGCAUCCGCAACUACGAAACAAGAAUUAAGACAAAGUCUAACCAUAGCAUUAAACUAGUGGAUCCAAAUCAGCCCCUUACGAAGCAACGCAUAAAAUAGGGUUUAAGCUUUUGUCACUCUAGCAACCCAUCAUCUACUUACUACUUCCCAAUGCCUUCCUCUAGGCCCAAAUAAUGGUGAAGUGUUAUUUAGUCGACGUUCACAUAACACCACUAGAGGAAAAACAACAUACAACACAUCAAAAUAUCGAACGAAUACCAAAUUCACAUGACUACUUAUAGCAAAACUUAUCCCAUGUCCUCAGGAGCAAAAGUGACUACUCACAAAGCAUAAUAAUAUUCAUGACCAGAGAGGUAAUGAAUAGCAUCAAGGAUCUGAACAUAUAAUCUUCCACCAAGUAAUCCAACUAGCAUCAACUAUAAAGAGUAAUUAACACUACUAGCAACCUUACAAGUACCAAUCGGAGUCGCGAGACGGAGAUUGGUUACAAGAGAUGAACUAUGGUUUGGAGAUGAGAUGGUGCGGAUGAAGAUGUUGAUGGUGAUGAGUCCCCUCCGAUGAGAGGAGUGUUGGUGAUGACGAUGGCGACGAUUUCCCCCUCCGGGAGGGAAGUUUCCCCGGCAGGACGACCCUGCCAGAGCUUUAUAUUGGUUGUGCUCAAGUUCCGCCUCGUGCCGGCGGCGAUUCCUCCCGAAAGCCUCCUCCUGAUUUUUCUGGAACGAAACCCUUCUUAUAGCAAAAGAGGGGGGCCAGAGGGCCCGCAGGGAGCCCACAAACCCGCUAGGCGCGGCCAGGGGGGCGCGCCUAGCAGGCUUCUGGCCUCCUGUUGGCUCCCCUCUGGUACUUCUUCGGCCUAGUAUUUUAUAUAAAUUCCAAAAUAAAUCCUCGUUGAUUUUCACGGCUUUUGGAGUUGCGCAGAAUAGGUAUCUCAAACUUGCUCCUUUUUCAGGCCAGAAUUCCAGCUGCCGGCAUUCUCCCUCUUCAUGUAAACAUUGCAAAAUAAGAGAGAAAAAGCAUAAGUAUUGUACCAUGAAGUGUAAUAACAGCCCAUAAAUCAAUAAAUAUCAACAUGAAAGCAUGAUGCAAAAUGGACGUAUCAACUCCCCCAAUCUUAUACCUCGCUUGUCCUCAAGCAAAAACCGAGAUCAAUAAAUAUGCCCACAUGUUUAGAGAGAGAGGUGUCGACAAAACAAGAUACGGACAUGCGGGCAUCACGAUCAUAAUCAGAACAACAAUAUCAUCAUAUGAACUCUUAUGCUAAAGUGAUAAUUCCUUCACAAAGUAAAGUAAGGAUCAAGAAGCUUAAUGAUAAUUAACAACCGAUAGCCUUUAGUCAUUGAAGCAAUUGCAAUUUAUCACAACAUCGGAAAGAGUCAAAUAAGAGCUUGUAAAGAAAAUCCACAUACUCAAUCAUCCUUUUGUCUUCUACAAUUGCUACAACUCACAUGGUACUCAUGAGAUCGAAGUUUCAGAUGAACACAGAGAAAGAUAGGGGCUUAUAGUUUCGCCUCCCAACUGCUUACCUCAAGGGUAAUGUCAACAAUAAUAAUUCAUGAAUACUCACUUCCAAGUUGACAUAUGCAUACAGAUCUUUCCCUAGCAUAUGACGUUAGCCAAGAAAAAGGCGAAAUAAGGAAUUGGUGUAGAUCACCAUGACUCUUUUAAGGGCAAAAAGUAAAGGUACAAGAUAGGCCCUUCGCAGAGGGAAGCAGAGGUUGCCAUGCACUUUCGAGGUUUGGAUGUGCGACCUCUUAGUGUAAAGGAACGUCACUUUAUAUUGCCUCCUGUGAUAAAGAACUUUAUUAUGCAGUCUGUCGCUUUUAUGUCUUCCUCAUCACAGGUUCAUACAAAGCUUAUUUUCCACACACUAAUAGAUCAUACAUAUUUAGGGAGCAAUUUUUAUUGCUUGCACCGAUGACAACUUACUUGAGGGAUCUUAUUCAAUCCAUACGUAGGUAUGGUGGACUCUCAUGGCAAAACUGGGGUUGAAGGUUUAUGGAUGCACAAGUAGUAUCUUUACUUAGUGCGGAAGUUUUGGCUGAUAUGAGGUGGAAGCAAGCGUCACAUGCUAAUGGAUCUCUAGUCAUAUAAUCAUUGUUCGGAACCAAGCAAACUUAAUUCAUUAUGUUGUCUUCCUUGUCCAACAUCUACUUCUAAGCAUGCAAUAGUUUAAUGAGUGUUCACAAUCAUAGAUGGUGUCAAAGAUGAUAUAUUUAUAUGUGAACCUCUCCUUCUUUAUCAUUUCCUAUUAAUUGCAACAAUGACCAAGGUCUAUGUUUGUCUACCCUCAACAAGUUUCAAUCAACAUUCUUCUUAUAUGUGAAGCCAUCACUUUCCACAAGAUCAUUACAUGAUCUUUCAUGCUUUUGUUCUUUUAUCAUUCUCUUGAUCAUGGCAUGAGGCAAGGCCCUUAACUAAGACACUCUUUAUUAUAAGGCUCACGAGCUCGAAUACAUCACGGGUGACACAAAGCAAAACUUAAGCGUAAAACACUAAGGACUUUAUUUUACUAGAGAAAGAUAAGACCAAAAAGGAUCGAACUAAGAAAAGGUAAAGGCAAAAGAUGUGAUGGUGAUACGAUAUCGGGGCAACUCCCCCAAGCUUGGCACAAGCCAAGGGGAUUGCCCAUACCCAUGCUUAGUUGUCUUCCUUCGAUGGUGAUGGUGGUGGAGUUGUUGCAACAUGGGUUUGAUCCUCCGUCUUCCAAGGCAUAGGUGCUCCAUCAUGGAAAGAUGACUGAGUCUACGGAAUCCUCAAAUCUGCAGCCAACCGUAUUGAUUUAAAUCUAUACUCAUACUCACAGUUUUGGUUCUGCAGGUCAUAGAUCUGGGCUUGGAGGUGAUCAAUUUUGUCAUAGAGCCUGGAGAGGUGCUUCCCGAUGUCAUUGGCAUCGAUCUUGUGCUUGUUGGUGAAGUCUGUGAUCACCAUGUGGUUGGCAUUGAGUCCGCGUUCCACCAUACCUUGGCACUUGAAGACUUGUUGCUCCAUUGCUUCGAGCCUCGCCUCCAUGCUUCCGGUCUUCUUAGGCCCCUCAACAUCACGGAUGUGCAGCAUCCCCUCACGCAUCUCGAUAGAUUGAGGGUGUUGCAGGACUCCCGUGAGGUAGGGAUUGAUGACCUUCUCGAAGAUCUUGUCCUUCGGAGCUUUUGGGGAUGCCAUAGCGAUCUAGAUCUGCAGCAGAAAUAGGCUCGAAACGAAAACAGAGGAAACUUGCGUGAUAUGAGGGUCAGACCUUAUGGGAGAAUAUAUAAUAUUUUUUCCAACCAGAAGGAGUACUCCGUAAGAAAACGGAGUCCGGGAGGCACACGAGGUGGUCACAAGCCCCCCCAGGCGCGGCCAGGGGGGUGGCCCGCGCCUGGUAGGUUUGUCGCCUCCUCGUGCGCUUUCCGGACUACUUUUUCUAUUUUUUCAAAAAUUCCAAAAAUGAGAAAAAUUCCUACUGGAAAAGUUUUGGAGUCGGUUUACUUACCGAAUCACAUACCUCUUCGUUUUCGGAGUCUGAAACAGGCUGAUAAAUAUCCCUUAUGUACUCCUCCGGAGUUAUGGUAUUGAUAAUAUUGCUUUCAACAUUUAUGGGAAUACCUGAGAUAUAAUGCUUGAUUCUUUGCCCAUUUACCACUUCUUGGAAAAUUACCUUCCGUGUUGGUUGAUUCUUGAUGGCACGGACGAUNUACUUCCUCAACAAUGUAGGGACCUUNNNNNNNNNNNNNNNNNNNNNNNNNNNNNNNNNNNNNNNNNNNNNNNNNNNNNNNNNNNNNNNNNNNNNNNNNNNNNNNNNNNNNNNNNNNNNNNNNNNNUUACCUAACCGUAGUUAGGCUCGGAAAAGAAUAAUAAGUGAAGCACAUAGAAGACAAAGUAAUCUAGACUCAAAAGAAUAUAAGUGAAGACACAUGUGAGACUGAAUUUGUCUACCAAAAGAUAUAAGUGAAGCUCGGACAAAWWCACGGUGAGUGCAUGUCUCUCUCUCUCUAGGUGUCCAUAAAGGAUGAUUGUGACACAACAAAAAUAAAAGACUCCUACGAUACAAGACGCUCCAAGCAAAAACACAUAACAUGUGGUGAAUAAAAAUAUAGCCUCAAGUAACGUUACCGAUGGAUUGAAGACGAGAGAAGGGGAUGCCUUCCCGGGGCAUCCCCAAGCUUAGGAUUUUACGGCAUCCUUGAAUCUCUUGGGGUGCCUUGGGAAUCCCCAAGCUUGAGAUCUUUCCACUCUUUAUAUCUUUGUCCAUAAGAACUUCACCCAAAACUUGAAAACUUCACAACACGAAACUUAAACAGAAACUCGUGAUAACAUUAGUACAAGAAAGCAAACCACCACUUCCUUAGGUACUGUAGAAAACUUAAAUUCUGCUUGUGCUGAUGUUGGGUUACUGUAAUUUCAAUCUUCCAUGGCUAAUACCCCCCGAUACUAUCCAUAGUUUCAUCAAAAUAAGCAACCAACACAACAAAAACAGAAUCUGUUAACAGCAGACCAGUCUGUAUCAAUCUGUAUAUUUCGUAUACCUUUGGUCCUUCAAACAUUCUGAAAAAUUACGACAGUCUGAAUAAUUUGCGUAGCAAUCAGCAGCAAAAAUAAUCAACUCAAAAGGUCUUACAGAAAGAAAAUGAAAAUUCUUUUCGUGAGCAGAAAGUUUCUAUCUUUUCCAGCAUGACCAAACGAUCAUCCCCAAGACUAAUCAUAACGGUUUUGCUUGGCACAAACGCAAAAAGAAACACAAAAACACAAUCAUAACAGAAUUAUGAAAGUGUGGAAAACACAAAACAGAAAGAAAAAUGAUAGAUUUGUUGGGUUGCCUCCCAACAAGCGCUUUUGUUUAACGCCCUUAGCUAGGCGAAAGUGAUGGAAUCACGUAUAGUCAUCUUUGGUGUUCAAACAUAGGUAGCCCUCAUCAUAGAUUCAUAAGGCAAUCUUAUUUUAUUUCUAGGAAAGUGCUCCAUGCCCUUCUUUAAAGGAAAUUGAAAUCUAAUAUUCCUUUCCUUCAUAUCGAUGAUAGCACCAAUAGUCGUUAGGAAAGGUCUACCAAGAAUAAUGAGACAUGAAGGAUUGCAAUCUAUGUCAAGUACAAUGAAAUCCAGAGGUACAUAGUUCUUAUUUGCAACAAUAAGAACAUCAUCGAUCCUCCCCAUGGGUUUCUUGACAGUAGAAUCCGCAAGAUGCAAAUUAAGAGAACACUCUUCAAUCUCAUGAAAACCAAGAAUAUCACAUAAAGACUUUGGAAUCGCGGAAACACUAGCACCCAAAUCACACAAAGCAUUGCACUCAUAGUUUUUUAUCUUGAUUUUGAUAGUAGGUUCCCACUCAUCAUGAAGUUUUCUAGGUAUAGAGACUUCUAGUUCGAGCUUCUCUUCAAGAGAUUUCAUCAUAGCAUCUACGAUAUGUGUGGUAAAGGCUUUGCUUUGGCUAUAAGCAUGUGGAGAGUUUGCAAUGGAUUGCAUCAAAAAAAUGCAUUCAAACAAGGAGCAAUUAUCAUAAUUGAAUUCCUUGAAAUCCAAAGUGGGAGUUUCAUUACUACCCAAAAUUUUGAGUUCUUCUACUCCACUCUCCACACCUUUAUCAUCAAGAUAGGUGGACUCCGAAUCAUUGGGGCGUUUUUCAACCAAAGUGGAUUCAUAUUCAGCCCCUCCAUAAGUACGUUUGACACGCAAAAACAAAGAUUCAAGAGGAGACACACCAAGCACUUUAAGAUCUUCGUGAUUUGCAUCACUAGAACGCACCCUUUUAAACCAUUCAUGUCUAGCGCGAAUUUGGGCGGUUCUUUCUUUGCUCUCAUUCAUGGAGAUACGCAUAGCUUUCAAAGUUUCAUCCAAGUUGACCUUGGGAGGAGCGCAUCUAACUUUCAAAGCAUCAAUAUCACAAGACAUCCUAUCAACGCUCUUAGCCAAAUCGUCUAUUUUGAGUAGUUUUUCCUCUAUGGACGCAUUGAAAAUCUUUUGAGAGUUGAUGAACUCCUUGAUACUACUCUCUAAAUCAGAGGGUAAUUUGUUGUGAUUUCCAUAAGUGUUGUUGUAGGAAUUGCCAUAGUUUUUAGAGGAGUUACUAGGAAAAGGCCUAGGAACAUAGUUUCCUCUAAAAGCAUUAUUGUUGCCAAAAUUGUUCCUACCAACAAAAUUCUCGUCCAAACUAGCGUUGCUACUCUCAAUCAAAGAAGAUAGUGGCAUGUCAUUAGGAUCUAUGGUAGCGUUUCUACUAGCAACCAAAUUCAUCAACUCGUCCAUCUUAGCACUAAGCGAGUUAAUCUCUUCUAUAGCGUGCACAUUUUUGCUAGCAGGCGAGCUUUCAGUGUGCCACUGAGAGUAGUUGGUCAUGAUAUUGUCUAGGAGUUUUGUAGCGUCGCCUAACGUGAUUUCCAUGAACAUUCCACCUGAGGCGGAGUCCAAGAUAUUGCGAGAAGCGAAAUUCAAGCCAGCGUAAAAGAUUUGUAUAAUCAUCCACAAACUCAAGCCAUGAGCGGGACAAUUUCUAAUCAUAAGCUUCAUCCUCUCCCAAGAUUGUGCAACGUGUUCAUGAUCAAGUUGCUUGAAAUUCAUGAUAUCGUUACGKAGAGAGAUGAUCUUAGCCGGCGGAAAAUACUUGGAAUAUAAGCAUCUUUGCACUUAUCCCAAGAAUCGAUACUAUUUUUGGGCAAAGAAGAAAACCAAGUUUUUGCGCGAUCUCGCAACGAGAAAGGAAAAAGUUUAAAUUUAAUCACGUCAUUAUCCACAUCUUUUUUCUUAUGCAUAUCGCAAAGCUCAAUGAAGGUAUUAAGAUGGGAUGCGACAUCUUCACUAGGAAGGCCAAAAAAAUUGCUCUUUCAUAACAAGAUUCAGCAAAGCGUCAUUGAUUUCGUAUGACUCCGCACUAGUGGCGGGAGCAAUCGGAGUACUAAUAAAAUCAUUAUUAUUAGUAUUCGAGGAGUCACAAAGUUUGCUGUUUUCGUUCAUGGUGACUUCAGCAAGCAAGCAAGCACAGAAGCAAACAAAGAGCAGGCAAGAAAAAGGGGAAAGAAAAGGGCAAACGAAAAAAGGCAAACGAAAAAAGGCAAAUUGGUGAAGUGGGGGAGAGGAAAACGAGAGGCAAUUGGCAAACAAAGUAUAUGCAAGAGAUGAGUUUGCGACACUUACUUGGAUGAGUUCUUGACUUGAUCUUCCUCCCCGGCAACGGCGCCAGAAAUUCUUCUGCUAUCCCACAGACAACAGCGCCAGAAAUUGACACGUUGACAGAGGCUGGGCUUGCGUUGGUUUUUUCCUUGAAGAGGAAAGGGUGAUGCAGCACAGGAGCAGUAAGUAUUUCCCUCAGUUUGAGAACCAAGGUAUCGAUCGAGAAGGAGGGUCUCGUCAAGUCCAGAGUACCUGCGCAAACACAAACAAGUUUGCACCCAACGCUUCAAAGGGGUUGUCAAUCCCUUCAAGAUUGUUUGCAAAGUGAGAUCUGAAGGCGGAAAGUGCAACGAAGUAAAAAGUGUAAGGCUGAAAAUAUGGUGUGGAGUAGACCCUCGGGGCCAUAGUGUUCACUAGAGGCUUCUCUCAAAAUAGCAAGUGUUAUGGUGGGUGAACAAAUUACUGCCGAGCAAUUUAUAGAACCGCGCAAAGUCGUGACGAUAUCUAAGGCAAUGAUCAUACAUAUAGGCAUCACAUCCGAGACAAGUAGACCGAUACUUUCUGCUUCUACUACUAUUACUCCACACAUCGACCGCUAUCCAGCAUGCAUCUAGAAUAUUGAGUUCAUGACGAACAGAGUAACGCUUUAAGCAAGAUGACAUGAUGUAGAGGGAUAAUCUCAAACCAAUGAUGAAAACCCCAUCUUUACCCUUGAUGGCAACAACACGAUGCGUGCCUCGCUACCCCUUCUGUCACUGGGUGAGGUCACCGCACGGUAUGAACCCAAAACCAAGCACUUCUCCCAUUGCAAGAAUCAUAGAUCUAGCUGGCCAGACAAAACCCACAACUCGAAGAGAAUUACAAGGAUAUGAAAUCAUGCAUAAGAGAGAUCAGAAGAAACUCAAAUAAGAUUCAUAGAUAAUCUGAUCAUAAAUCCACAAUUCAUCGGAUCUCGACAAACACACCGCAAAAGAAGAUUACAUCGGAUAGAUCUCCAUGAAGAUCAUGGAUAAAUUUGUAUUGAAGAUCCAAGAGAGAGAAGAAGCCAUCUAGUUACUAGCUAUGGACCCGUAGGUCUAUGGUGAACUACUCACGCAUCAUCGGAGAGGUCAUGGUGUUGAUGGAGAAGCCGUCCGUAUCCGAAUCCCCCCUCCGCCAGGGCACCAGGACGUGCCCCAUAUGGGAUCUUGCGGAGACAGAAGCUUGCGGCGGUGGGAAAGUGAUUGCUAUGAUCUCCUGAUUUUUUUCUGGAAUUUAUGGGAAUAUAUAGGCGAAAGACCUAGGGCAAAGGGCGUCCAGGGGGCCCACAAGCCUGGAUGGCGCGGCCUCCCCCCUAGCCGCGGGGUGGGGGCUUGUGGGGCCCCUGAGGCUCGCCUGCCUUGGCUCCCAAGCUUCCCGAUCUUCUUCCGUUCGAGAAAAAAUCUUUUCGGGGAUUUUCUUCCGUUUGGAUUCCGUUUCAAAAUCUCCUCUGAAAGGGGUCAAAAACAUGGAAAAAACAGGAACUAGCACUUGGCACUGAGUUAAUAAGUUAGUCCCAGAAAAUAUAUAAAAGGCAUGCAAAACAUCCAAAGUUUGACAAGAUAAUAGCAUGAAACCAUCAAAAAAUUAUAGAUACAUUGGAGACGUAUCAUGGUACCGAACACAAGGAUAGGGGUGUCAUCAUUUCGUCACGGCAGAUGCCAUGGGGGUGGCUUAUCUCGAGUGGUUGGGGCCAAUGUGCAUUGGUGGACUCCGGCACAGGGAUUGGGGACGAGCGAUGGUGACACACAAUUAACCCAGAUUCACGACCCUCCAUGGGAGCUAACACCCCUAGUCCAGCCGGAGCUGGUAUACGGUAGACGAGAGCUACAAUGGUGCUCCUUGACCUAUUGGCUAGAUGAGGAAUAAGGAGCUCGCUUGCUUCUCCUUGCCUCCUGUUUAGCAAAUCCCUGGCAAUGGCUAGACAAAUGCUAUUCUCGAUUGCUCAACAAUUAGAAAUUGUCUUGCAAUGACCCACCAGCGCGUGGGAUCGAGGCAGUUUUCGAGGGUAGGGUAUUCAACCCGAAUUUGUUGGUUCGUCGGUCAGGAAGUAAGAGGAUACUCUCAAGUAUUAGCAGUUGAAUGUGUCAGAUUCAACCACACCUGAAAGAUUAGUAUCUUCAAGCAAAGUAUCAAUAACAAAGUAGUAUGAUAACAACGGUGUCAGAAACGAUCCGUUGACGGCAGACUAUUCCUAACGAUUGUAUCAAUGGCGCCAGAAGUUGCCCGUGGACGGGAAAUAUUCUUUCCCGUCAACGUCGUGCGAACCAGUAUUGUAGCAGGUAGCAGCAGUGUAAUGAGUAGCAGCAGUGGUAAGGAACAACAGUAGUGACAGUAGUAGCAAGUAGCAACAGUAGCAAGUAACAGCAGAGCAAGCAAGUAACAGCAGCAGCAACAGUAGUAAUAGCAGCAGAGCAGAACAAGUAACAGCAGCAGUGGGACAAACUCAUAGGCAAUGGGUCGGUGAUUUGUUUGGAUGAUAUUCAUCAUGCAACAGUUAUAACACGGAGAGAUAUGUGGCUAGCUCCCGUUCGUGAAUGUGAUGUAGGCAUGCAUUCCGUGUGUCGUCAUACAUGCUUAGGGAAAAGAACUUGCAUGACAUCUAUUGUCCAUCCCUCCCGUGGUAGCGGGGUCCAAAUGGAAACUACGAGAUAUUAAGGUUCUCCAUUUAAUAAAGAAUCGAACCAACGCAUUAGCACUGGGUGAACACAUGAACUCCUCAAACUAUGGUCAUCACCGGGAGUGGUUCCGGUUAUUGUCACUCAGGGGUUGCCGGGUCAUAACACAUAGUAGGUAACUACAACUUGCAAGAUCGGAUCUAAAACACACAUAUAUUGGUGACAACAUAAUAAUUUCAGAUCUGAAAUCAUGGCACUCGGGCCCUAGUGACAAGCAUUAAGCAUGGCAAAGUAGUAGCAACAUCAAUCUCAGAACAUAGUGGAUACUAGGGAUCAAUCCCCGUCAAAACUAACUCGAUUACAUGAUAGAUCUCAUCCUACUCAUCACCACCCAGCGAGGCUACGAAUAGAUUACUCACGAACGACGAAGAGCUUCAUGGAAUUGGAGAGGGAAGAAGGUUGAUGAUGACGAUGGCGAUGAUUUCCCCUCUCCGGAGCCCAGGAUGGACUCCAGAUCUGCCCUCCAGAUGAAGAACAGGAGGUGGCGGCGCCUCCGUAUCGAAAACGCGACGAAAACUUCUCUUUUUAUUUUUUCUGGGACGAAGGGCAACUUAUAGAGCUGGAGUUGGGGGCGGCAUGUGCCUGUGGGCCCCACAAGCCUGCCCACCGCCACCAGGGCGGGUGGUGGCGGAGCAGGGGCUUGUGGCCCACUGGCCCACCCCCUGAGGUGGAACUUGGCGCAAAUAUUUUUGAUAUUUUCCAAAACUGCUCCCCGUAAAUUUCAGGACGUUUGGAGAACUUUGAUUUCUGCACAAAAAUAACACCUAGACAGUUCUGCUGAAAACAGCGUCAGUCCAGGUUAGUUCCAUUCAAAUCAUGCAAAUUAUAGUCCAAAACAAGGGCAAAAGAGUUUGGAAAAGUAGAUACGUUGGAGAAGUAUCAGCUGCCAUUUGAAUAGCCUGCCUCUCCGUAGGCAUGGCUCUCCCGACAAAGCGAAGAUGACGGAUCUCAACUCUCCCACCAAAGACUGAUGCAUAGUCAGGGAGUCACUGAUCUUGUGGCGGUAGAACGUGUACUCGGUGUGAGUCUUCGGUCCAAUCGUGAUCCUCGCAAUGACUGAGAGGAGUCGCAAAAARUCCCGUCGGCUCGUUGGCAAAGACGUGAGACGGACAACCGUUGCCAUCCAUCUACACAGUAGACAAAUUUCCAUAUAGUCAUAACAUAAAUAUAAUGUUGACUAAAUAGAAAAAUAUCUACACUAUGCAUAAUAAUAAAACAACAAAUCUGGUUAGCAAUUGCACCUAGUGGUUCCCUAUAGUUAGCCUGGCUCUGAUAUCAAGGUUGUACGACCGGUUUCCAAAUGAAAUAAUUCAUUGGAAAUCAUUCAUGCAUGUCACCAGUGUAGAAAAAUAUUCCUCACUGAUAGACUCAUCUUGAUACAUAAAACCAGUAGUACUUAAUAUAAAACAUAGUAGAGCGGAGGUCGCUCUAGAAAUUAUUACAACAUGUCCAUAGUGUCACAAGGAUGGAUAUGUUAUAGUGGUCUUUGGUAACUCUACUGCUCCUAACGAAAGGGGCACCUCACAUCAGAGUGAAGUGACAUGACAAGUACUACUAUGCGACAAGCUUCAAAGUGAGGCUUGACAAUCUAUUCGGGGUGGCGGAAGCGGUGAAAUAAGCAACAGACUCCAUAGCAAGACUCACCAGGACUCCUCUAGGCGUUGGACUCGCUAUCGAAUUCUUUAUCCAUGAGGUCUCCUUCAUCCAUAUCCGGCCACAUCAACAAGCCAAUGAGUACUUCGAAAAGUACUCGCAAACGGUUUGCACAAAAGAUGAGGUGCAUGCAGCAAAUUUAAAUAUGCAUGGGUAAGUAUCAAACUUAUUAUGAUGGAAAGGUAAAUAGAAGUUAUGUUUUAGUAGAUAAGUCGGGCCGUAAUCCUCCCGAAAUAUCCAAACAAAAAAAAUGCGUCGAUCGGGUGUAUGAAGCGACGCCUCGAAAGGUUGACAGGUAAGGUAAAUAACCGUCAUCGGGCGUCUAAGCGACACCACAUACACGACAUAACAAAAUAACGAGCCGCAGUCGAGCGUCUUAGCGACACCACAGAAAGGGCAUAAAUAAAUAACAAGCCAUAGUCAGGCGUCUUGGCGACACAACAGAAAGGGCAUAAAUAAAUAACAAGCCACAGUCAGGCGUCUUGACAACACCACAGAAAGGGCAUAACUAAAUAACAAGCCACAGUCGGGCGUCUUGGCAACACCACAGAAAGGGCAUAAGUAGAAGUAAGAAUUAUCCGGGUGGUACAACCAACCUUCAGAAUAUUCCGAGUACCCAAGUUUCCAUCCAGUCAUUUCCUUAUAUUACUGUCAUAUGUUUAUUACCAUUAUUAUUACAACAAACUUGUACUCCUGGGACCGACUCUACGGCUGACACUUGACCUGUCAACCAGCCGUCCUUGACCGUGGACACGGCUACUCGAAUAGUUUUGACUCUGUAGAGGAUGUACUCUUUACCCAUAGGCCACGGGUUCCAAUAGUCACUAGGACUAAUCCCGCAUACGGUAUAUUAGAAGUAAACACUCAGAAUCGGCACACACCCAUUUUUUAAUCCCGCGAAGACCGGCUUCACCCGGACUACGCUGCCACAGAAAACCAUAAGAUGGGGAGGCUCCAACCUUGACUAGCAUGGGAUCAGACUUAUACCCCACGCUACAAGAGAGUGCUCUCCCUCUCGGUCCCAUACCGGAAACACCCAUGCCCCGUGACCGGAUGACUGGAUUUAGUCUAGGGCCAUGGAUACCUUCGUCGUGGCCCUUGUACUUGGUGUGUAACUGAUAAUAGGUCUACGAUCAACUAUACCACAUUCCCUUUCGAAAAAACUGACAAGACUCGACCUAGGUCGAUCUGGUUAUCCAAUUUAUUCCCGUCAAGGUCAUGCAUCCGACAUGACUAGGCCACAACCUAUCACGUUACGCGUGACUAGGUUAUCCAUGGCCUCUCACAACCAUAUAAGUCAUCACAGCCACAUAUUGAAUUUUAUUUGAGUAAUAUGCAAUACGCUUAGUUAAUGUAGCAGAUGACAAUUAAAUUGGUUAGUCAACAAACAACACAUCAAAAGUUCAAACAUGCUUGCCUGGUUCAACGUAGUCGGUAUCGAGCUCGAUGAAGUUGGCGCCGACAUUUCCCUCAUCGGAAUCGAGUCCUUCCGUGUCAGUGGUAGGUGGAGCUGAUCAUCAGUGAUCACUAAGUCGAGGUGGACACUACUCCGACGGAAGACGAUGACGGGCUCACUUUGAUCUCACCCCACGAGGAGCCUACGCGAAUCCAGCCGGGACCCGAAGUGGAUCGAGGCGGCCGGAGUCGGGUAAGCAGGCCUCCCCGAGGCUCUUCUCUGGCUCGGGCGAGGUUUCAGAAGGAGGAGGGGUGGAGCUGACGUGGUUGAGGUGCUCGGGAGCAAGGGGGCUCCCUAUUUAUAGGCGACCGAGAGGGAUGCUGCAGGAGCUUAACUCCGGCGAUAAAUUCCGGUGGCCAGAGAGGUUUAGCAGGCGAUUUUAGGCGGGGCAACACUAACACUCCAAGGGGAACUCAUUUUGGCCUAAGCUUGUGCGAUCAUCGAUGGGAGACCCGUCUCGACGGUGCGGCACUCACUGUGCGCGACGGCAGCAUGAAUCACACUCUGUGCCGUUCGGGACAUGGCGAUGGGCAUCACGGCGUGCACUGGAGGGGACAUGACACGCAAAGCUCGUAGGAUGCUUGGGCGGUGUCGGGCGGCGCGAUUUUGCAGCAGGGGCUGUUGGUGGCCGUGGCAACCUUCGUUGGUGCUGCUGCCGGAGCUCGCUGGCUUAGGCCAGCUCACCACCGACGCGUGCAACUGUCCAAGGGACCGUGCGGCAGGGUGGAUAGGCUCGGAGUAGAAUGGUGAGCUGCCACCACCGUUACUGCUGAGAUUGAUGCUGCAACUCUAAUAUUUUGACGAGACCCCGCGAGCCGAUGGGCCCUACGUGCGACAAGACCGUACCAGUGGUGGGACCCUCCAUGUGACCAGAGAGGCCACUAGUCGGGCCCACCCCAUGCAAGGGCGUUAGGUUCCACUCUCACUGUCCCACACGCACACUCACGCGGGGAGGUGAUACGUCUCCAUCGUGUCUACUUUUCCAAACUCUUUUGCCCUUGUUUUGGACAAUAAUUUGCAUGAUUUGAAUGGAACUAACCUGGAAUGACGCUGUUUUCAGCAGAAUUGCCUUGGUGUUGUUUUUGUGCAGAAAUGAAAGUUCUCGGAACGUCCUGAAAAUUUACGGAGAAUAUUUCUAGAAAAUAUGAAAAAUACAUGCGCAAAGAUCCACCGGAGGGGAUGGGCCAGUGGGCCACAAGCCCUGUAGCCGCCACCCCCUGGUGGCGUCUAGCAAGCUUGUGGGGCCCACGUGGCUCUGCCGCCCCCAAACUCAGCUCUAUUUAUUCCCUUUCGUCCCAGAAAAAAUCAAGAGAGAAGAUUUCGUCGCGUUUGCGAUAUGGAGGCGCCGCCACAUCCUGUUCUUCAUCUGGAAGGCAGAUCUGGAGUCCGUUUUGGGCUCCGGAGAGGGGAAAUCGUCGCCAUCGUCAUCAUCAACCUUCUUCCCUCUCCAAUUCCAUGAAGCUCUUCAUCGUUCAUGAGUAAUCUAUUCGUAGGCUCGCUGGGCGGUGAUGAGUAGGAUGAGAUCUAUCAUGUAAUCGAGUUAGUUUUGACGGGGAUUGAUCCCUAGUAUCCACUAUGUUCUGAGAUUGAUGUUGCUACUACUUUGCCAUGCUUAAUGCUUGUCACUAGGGCCCGAGUGCCAUGAUUUCAGAUCUGAAAUUACUAUGUUGUCACCAUUAUAUGUGUGUUUUAGAUCCGAUCUUGCAAGUUGUAGUUACCUACUAUGUGUUAUGAUUCGGCAACCCCGGAGUGACAAUAACCGGAAGCACUCCCGGUGAUGACCAUAGUUUGAGGAGUUCAUGUGUUCACCAAGUGCUAAUGCGUUGGUCUUGUUCUUUAUUAAAAGGAGAACCUUAAUAUCCCGUAGUUUCCUUUUGGACCCACUGCCACGGGAGGGAUGGACAAUAGAUGUCAUGCAAGUUUUUUUCCCUAAGCACGUAUGACGACACACGUAAUGCAUGCCUACAUCACAUUGACGAACGGGAGCUAGCCACUUAUCUCUCCGUGUUAUAGCUGUUGCAUGAUGAAUAUCAUCCAAACAAAUCACCGACUCAUUGCCUACGAGUUUGUCCUAUUGCUGCUGCUACUACUAUUGCUAUUACUAUUGUUACUUGUCUUGCUCUGUUGUUGCUGCUACUACUGUUGCUAUUGCUGUUACUUGUCUUGCUAUGAUGCUGCUACUACUGUUGCUACUGUUGUUACUUGUCUUGCUCUGCUGCUACUGUUGCUACUACUGUCGUUUGCUACUGUUGCUACUUGCUACUGGUGUCACUACUGCUGUUCCUUGCUGCUGUAUUGCUCGUUACACUGCCGUUACUCGCUACUUUGAUGUUACUACUGUGCUUGCAGAUACUAAUCUUUCAGGUGUGGUUGAAUCUGACAAAUUCAGUUGCUAAUGCUUGAGAGUAUACUCUCACCUCCCGUCGUGCAAACCAACAAAUUGGGUCGAAUACUCUACCCUCGAAAACUGUUGCGAACCCACGCGCUGGUGGGCCAUCAACAACAUUCUUCCAGUCUCAUUACUGGGGAGUGCUUUCAGCAUUCUUCUGGUGCCGUUGCAGGAGAAGGUUUGUUGUCAUAAGCAUUCGUCUAGCUAACGCCGGAGAUUGCGCGAUCAGCAGCCAGGGAGGCGAUUGCCAUAUUCGGGACACCCUCCCAGUGAUAAAGACUCAUCCUUAUCACUACCUGCCAUGCCAUGUUCCGUACACGAGUCACUAUGUGUUUGCUUUCCCAGAGGAGAGGAAGAUGAGGCUAUUGGGAUGCUUGUGCAGUACCUCAUGGCCUUGGAGUCAGCCUUCGACGACUUAGUGGAUGACUUGGUGGCUUCUCAUAUGGAGGCCCUUACUCGUCCCCACAGCAGGACUGAGCUUCUCCGUCCCGCACCACCCCGGUCAUGCCCCUCUUCCUCGGCUUCGUGCACUCCGCCAGCCCGGCCAGUUCGUCGCCAGCUGCCUACACUCGAGGAGUUCAAUCAUGUCAUUGCUCCUGCCCCCAUCAGAGUUGCCCUGCCUACAAGUCUAGUUCAUGCUUCGUCGUCUCGUGCAGUUCGCUUAGAGCCCGUGCAGGAGGAAGUGGAGUCCCCAGCUCCUCAUUCGAGACUUUCCAUGGGCCAGCCGACCCAGGUCCCUUCCGACUCCACCUUGAGAUGGUGCAACAGAACGUUCAUGCGCGUGUAUGAUAUGUAUUAUAUGUAUGAUCGUGUGAUCUUAGACUGAAGGGAAGUAGUCGUGUUGCAUCAUGUAGGAUCAGGAGAAAGUGUACUAGCUUAAAUAACAUGUCAGGCAUACGAGAGUACGACCUGAGUGACAUAUAUAUAAUUAUGCGUGAUGUAAGAUAUGUACUGCAAUCCUUCUCCAAACACGACGUUUUUUAUGGAAACUAUUUGAUGUUUUCCUUGGUUGAGAAUUUUUUUUACUUUUCCUCUUAAACUCGGAUUUCUCAUUUGGUUUUUGCAACAUUAACCCAGCCCUGAAAAAUGGGUCGUCCCUGGACACGCUCCAUGCCAAGACUGCACGGAGAGAACCAUUAUGCUGAGACAGGAAAUGAUUUCACUCAAGGACAGUCAAGCCAACACGAGAGUGAUACAACGUUUUCAGAAGUUUGUCGUCUUUAUGAGCAAAGCCAACAACAACAUCAAGAAAUGAUGAGCCAACUAAUGAAUAUGGGAAAUCAACGCGGACCACAACCGCACCAAUCCAGAUUGGCUGAGUUACACAAGACUUGUCCAUCCACUUUCUCGCACAUUAAUAAACCAAUGGAAGUCGGUGAUUGGCUACANNNNNNNNNNNNNNNNNNNNNNNNNNNNNNNNNNNNNNNNNNNNNNNNNNNNNNNNNNNNNNNNNNNNNNNNNNNNNNNNNNNNNNNNNNNNNNNNNNNNACAAAUAGAAUUAGUUUCCUAUGUAUGUGUUGUCAUUAACACCAAAAGUCGAUUAGGGGCAUAGCAUGCACUUUCAGGAGGGGCGAGAGCCCCUCCUAGAUUGGAUCUCUCUCUCUAUGUGUCCUUCUGUUUCUGCGCUCCCAGAUUCUGUGUUUCACCGUUUCUUAAAUUCUCGGAGACCCGUUACUCCGAUUGGGCUGAAAUUUUAACAAGAUUUUCUUUCGGAUAUUAUCUUUCUUGCGACGAAAGAAGGGCUCCAACCGCCUUAAGGAGUGGCCACAAGCCCCCCUGCCGUGGGCCCACCCCCUGGUCGCGGCGACAGGACUUGUGGGCACUCCGUGCAUCGCCUCGCGUUGAUUUUUCUUCCCGAACAUCAUAAAUAUUCCAAAACAAAUCCCCGUAAGUUUUUAUUACGUUUGGACUUCGUUUGGUAUGGAUAUUCUGCGAAACAAAAAACAUGCAACAAACAGGAACUGGCACUAGGCACUGGAUCAAUAUAUUAGUCCCAAAAAUAGUAUAAAAAGUUGCCAAAAGUAUAUGAAAGUUGUAGAAUAUUGGCAUGAAACAACCAAAAAUUAUAGAUACGACGGAGACGUAUCAGUAUCUCCGAAGGUGUCCGUUGAGUUAGUAUGGAUCAAGACUCGGAUUUGUCACUCCAUGUGACGGAGAGGUAUCUCGGGGCCCACUCGGUAAUACAACAUCAUACACAAGCCUUGCAAGCAAUGUGACUUAGUGUAAGUCACGGGAUCUUGUAUUACGGAACGAGUAAAAGAGACUUGCCAGUAAACGAGAUUGAAAUAGGUAUGCGGAUACUGACGAUCGAAUCUCGGGCAAGUAACAUACCGAAGGACAAAGCGAAUGACAUACGGGAUUAUAUGAAUCCUUGGCACUGAGGUUCAAACAAUAAGAUCUUUGGAGAAUAUGUAGGAUCCAAUAUUGGCAUCCAGGUCCCGCUAUUGGAUAUUGACUGAGGAGUCCCUCGGGUCAUGUCUACAUAGUUCUCGAACCCGCAGGGUCUGCACACUUAAGGUUAGGCGAUGUUUUAUGCGUAUUUGAGUUAUAUGGUUGGUUACCGAAUGUUGUUCGGAGUCUCGGAUGAGAUCACAGACGUCACGAGGGUUUUGGGAAUGGUCCGGAGACGAAGAUUCAUAUAUAGGAUGACCUCAUUUGAUUACCGGAAAGUUUUCGGACAUUACCAGGAAUGUACCGGGAGUGACGAAUGGAUUCCGGAUGUUCACCGGGGGGGGCAGCCCACCCGGGGGAAGCUCAUAGGACUUAGGGGUGCAGCACCAGCCCUUAGUGGGCUGGUGGGACAGCCCAAGAGGCCCUAUGCGCAGGAAUCAAAGGAAAAAAGGGGAAGUGGGAAAGUGGAGAAGGACUCCACCUUCCAAUCCUAGUUGGACUAGGAUUGGAAGGGGAUGACUUCCCCUUGCUUAGGCCGACCCCUUGGGGCUCUCUUGAGCCUCAAGGCAGGUCCCUCCCCCUCCCUCCUAUAUAUACUGAGGUAUUAGGGCUGAUUUGAGACAACUUUGCCACGGCAGCCCGACCACAUACCUCCAUGGUUUUUCCUCUAGAUCGUAUUUCUGCGGAGCUCGGGUGGAGCCCUGCUGAGAUAGAUCACCACCAACCUCCGGAGCGCCGUCUCGCUGCCGAAGAACUCAUCUACCUCUCUGUCUCUCUUGCUGGAUCAAGAAGGCCAAGAUAAUCGUCGAGCUGUAUGUGUGCUGAACGCAGAGGUGCCGUUCGUUCGGCACUAGAUCGGAGCGAAUCGUGGGAUGGAUUGCGGGACUGUUCGUGGGACGGUUCGCGGGGCGGAUCGAGGGACGUGAGGACGUUCCACUACAUCAACCGCAUUUCUUAAUGCUUCCUGUUGUGCGAUCUACAAGGGUACAUAGAUCGGAAAUCCCCUCUCGUAGAUGGACAUCACCAUGAUAGGUCUUCGUGCGCGUAGGAUUUCUUUUGUUUCCCAUGCGACGUUCCCCAUCAGUGGUAUCAGAGCUAGGUUCAUGCAUAGAUGUUAUCUCGAUUAGAACACAAAAGUUUUUCUGGGCGGUGAUGUGCGAUUUGCUGCCCCUCCUUAGUCUUUUCUUGAUUCCACGGUAUUGUUGGAUCGAAGUGGCUCGGACCGACAUUACUCGUACGCUUACGAGAGACUGGUUUCAUCGCUAUGAGCAACCCCAUUUCUUAAAGAUGACUGGCGAGUGCCGGUUUCUCCAACUUUAGUUGAAUCGGAUUUGACCGAGGAGGUCCUUGGAGAGAGGUUAAAUAGCAAUUCAUACACCUCUGUUGUGGUGUUUGCGUAAGUAAGAUGCGAUCCUACUAGAUACCCAUGGCAACCACGUAAAACAUGCAACAACAAUUAGAGGACGUAUAACUUGUUUUUGCAGGGUAUGCUUGUGAUGUGAUAUGGCCAACGACGUGAUGUGAUAUAUUGGAUGUAUGAGAUGAUCAUGUUGUAAUAGUUAAUAUCGACUUGCACGUCGAUGCUACGGCAACUGGCACGAGCCAUAGGGUUGUCUUUAAAUUAACGUUUGUGUUUGCACAUGCGUUUACUAUAUUACUAGGACGUAGCUUUAGUAGUAAUAGCAUAGCAUACACGACAACCUCGAUGGUGGCACGAUGAUGGAGAUCAAGAUGAUGGGGAUCAUGGUGUGGCGCCGGUGGCAAGAAGAUCAUAUCGGUGCUUUGGUGAUGGAGAUCAAGGAGCACUUGAUGAUGGCCAUAUCAUGUCACUUAUGAAUUGCAUGUAAUGUUAAUCCUUUAUGCACCUUAUCUUGCUUAGAACGGAGGUAGCAUUAUUAGGUGAUCUCUCACUAAAAUUUCAAGCUCAAAUUGUGUUCUCACCGACUGUGCACCAUUGCGACAGUUCGUCGUUUCGAGACACCAUGUGAUGAUCGGGCGUGAUAGACUCAACGUUCACAUACAACGGGUGCAAAACAGUUGCACGUGCGGAACACUCGGGUUAACCUUGAUGAGCCUAGCAUGUGCAGACAUGGCCUCGGAACACAUGAGACCGAAAGGUCGAGCAUGAAUCAUAUAGUUGAUAUGAUUAGCAUAGAGAUGCUUACCACUGAAACUAUUCUCGACUCACGUGAUGAUCGGACUUGAGAUAGUGGAUUUGGAUCAUGUACCACUCAAAUGACUAGACAGAUGUACUUUUUGAGUGGGAGUUCUUAAGUAAAAUGAUUAAUUGAACUCAUUAUCAUGAACAUAGUUUAAUGGUCUUUGCAAAUUACGAUGUAGCUUGCGCUAUGGCUCUACUGUUUUUAUAUGUUCCUAGAGAAAAUUUAGUUGAAAGUUGAUAGUAGCAAACUUUGCGGAAUGAGUCUGUAAAACUAAGGAUUGUCCUCGUUGCUGCGCAGAAGGCUUAUGUCCUUAAUGCACCCUUCGGUGUGCUGCACCUCGAGCAUCGUCUGUGGAUGCUGUGAACAUCCGACAUACACGUUUCUGAUGACUACGCGAUAGUUCAUUGCAAUAUACUUAAUGGCUAAGAAGCAAGGCGCUGAAGAUGUUUUGGAAACGUCACGGAACAUAAGAGAUGUUCUAAAGAGAUGAAAUUGUGAUUUCAUUCUCGUGCCCUUGUUAAGAGGUAUGAGACCUCCGACAAGAUUCUUUGUCCACAAAGUAAAGGAGAAUAGCUCAAUCGUUGAGCGUGUGCUCAGAUUGUCUGAGUACGACAAUCGCUUGAAUCAAGUGGGAGUUAAUCUUCCAGAUGAGAUAGUGAUGGUUCUCCAAAUUCACUUCCACCAAGCUAUGAGAGCUUCAUGAUGAACUAUAACAUAUCAAGGAUAGAUACAAUGAUCCUUGAGCGAUUCGCUAUGUUUGACAUUGUGAAAGUAGAAAUCAAGAAGGAGCAUCAAUAGUUGAUGGUUAGUAAAACCACUAAGUUUCAAGAAAGGCAAGGGCUAGAAGGGAUACUUCGUGAAAUGGCAAAACAGUUCCUGCCCUAAUGAAGAGACCAAAGAUUAAACCCAAACCCGAGACUAAGUGCUUCUGUUACGAGGGGAACGGUCACUGAGGCGGAGCUACCCUAGAUGCUUGGUAGAUAAGAAGGUUGGCUAAGUCAACAGAAGGAUAUUUGAUAUACAUGAUAUUGGUGUGUACUUUACUAUCACUCUUAGUAGCACGAGGGCAUUGGAUACCGGUUCGGUUGCUAAGUGAUUAGUAACCCGAAAUGAAAGCUACGGAAUAAACGGAGACUAGCUAAAGGCGAGGUGACGAUACGUGUUGGAAGUGUUUCCAAGGUUGAUGUGAUCAAACGUCGCACACUCCCUCUACCAUCGGGUUUGGUGUUAAACCUAAAUAAUUGUUAUUUGGUGCUUGCGUUGAGCAUGAACAUGAUUGGAUCGUGUUUAUGCAAUACGAUUAUUAAUUUAAAGAGAAUAAUGGUUACUCUGUUUGCUUGAAUAAUAACCUUCAAUGGUUUACUGAAUCUUGAUCAUAGUGUUACACAUGUUCAUGAUAUUGGUGCCAAAAGAUACAAGGUAAUGAUGAUAGUACCACCUACUUGUGGCACUGCCGCUUGAGUCAUGUUGGUGUAAAUUGCAUGAAAGGCUCCAUGCUGAUGGAUCUUUAAAUCUCACUUGAUUUUGAAUCACUUGAGACAUGCAAAUCAUACCACAUGAGCAAGGCCUUGUUUUCAUUAAGAUGAAACAAGAAAGUAACUUGUUGGAAGUAAUACAUUUUGAUGUAUGCCGUCCAAUGAGUGUUGAGGCACGCAGUGGAUGUCAUUAUGUUCUUACUUCAAUGACGAUUUGAGUAGAUACAGGAGUGUUUACUUAAUGAAUUAGAAGUCUGAAAUAUUGAAAAGUUCAAUUCUGUUUUAGAGUGAAGUUCGUCGUAACAAGAGGAUAAACUGUUUACGAUAUGAUCGUAGAGAUCUGAGUUGCGAGUUUUGGUACACAGUUAAGACAAUGUGGAAGUAGUUUCGCAAUUCAUGCCACCAGGAACACCAUAGUGUGAUGGUGUGUCUGAACGUCAUAGCCGCGACCUAUUUGAUGUGGUGCAUACUAUGAUGUCUCUUAUGGAGUUACCACUAUCAUUUAUGGGUUAUGUAUUAGAGACAACCGCAUUCACUUUAAAUAGGGCACCACGUAAUUCCAUUGAGAUGACACGGUAUAGACUGAGGUUUAGAGAAAUCUGAGCCGUCAUUUCUUGAAAGUUUGGGGCUGCGACACUUAUGUGAAAAAGUUUCCGUCUGAUAAGCUCAAACCCAAAGCGGAUAAAUGCAUCUUCAUAGGAUAUCCAAAAACAGUUGGGUGCAUCUCCUAUCUCAGAUCCGAAAGCAAAGUGUUUGUUUUUACAAAMGGRUCCUUUCUUGAGGAAAGGUUUCUCUCGAUAGAAUUGAGUGGGAGGGUGGUAGAACUUGAUGAGGUUAUUGAACCAUCACUUCAAACAGUGUGUAGCAGGGCGCAGGAAGUUGUUCCUGUGGCGCCUACACCAAUUGAAGUGAAAGCUGAUGAUGGUGAUCAUCGAGCAUCGGAUCAAGUUACUACAAGCCUCGUAGGUUGACAAGAUCGCGUACUAUUGCAGAGUGGUACGGUAACCCUGUCUUGGAGGUCAUGUUGUUGAGCAACAGUGAACCUACGAGUUAUGGAGAAAGCAAUGAUGGGCCCGGAUUCCGACAAAUGGCUGGAAGCCAUGAAAUCCGAGAGAGGAUCCAUGUAUGAAAACAAAGUGUAGACUUUGGAAGAACUACUUGAUGAUCAUAGGACUAUUGAGUAAAGAUGGAUCUUUAAAAGGAAGACAGACAAUGAUGGUGAUAAGUCACUAUUAAGAAAAGCUCGACUUGUCGCAAAGAUGUUUCCGACAAGAUCAAAUAGUUGACUAUGAUGAGACUUUCUCACUCGUAGCGAUGCUAAAAGUCUAUUAGAAUUAUGUUAGUAGUUGAUGCAUUAUUUAUGAAAUAUUGCACAUAGGAUGUCAAAACAUUGUUUUCUCGACGGUUUCCUUGAGCAAACAUUGUAUGUGAUACAACUAGGAGGUUUUGUCGAUCCUAAAGAUACUAGCAAGUAUGCAAGCUCCAGCAAUCCUUCGAUGGACUGGUGCAAGCAUCUCGGAGUUGGAAUAUACACUUUGAUAAGAUGAUCAAAGAUUUUGGGUUUGUACAAGGUUUAUGAGAAACUUGUAUUUCCAAAGAAGUGAGUGGGAGCACUAUAGAAUUUCUGAUAAGUAUAUGUGGUUGACAUAUUGUGGAUCAGAAGUAAUGUAGAAUUUCUGUAAAGCAUACAAGGUUGUUUGAAAGGAGUUUUCAAAGGAAUACCUGGAUUGCGCUACUUGAACGUUGAGCAUCAAAGAUCUAUGGAGAUAGAUCGAAAGCGCUUAAUAGAAGUUUCAACAAGAUGCAUGCCUUGACAAGUUUUGAAGGAGUUCAAAAUAGAUCAGCAAAGAAGGAGUUCUUAGUUGCGUUGUGAGGUGUGAAUUUGAGUAAGACUCAAAACCCGACCCCGGCAAAAUAAAGAUAAUAGACAAAGGUCGUCUUCUAUGCCUUGGCCGUAGAAUCUGAAGUAUGCCAUGCUGGGUACCGCACCUGAUGUGUGCCUUAACUCAAAGUCUAUUGAUAGGUAAAGAGAGUGAUCCAUGAUUGAAUCACUAGCAGCGGUCAAAAUUUAUCCUUAGUAACUGAUGGACUAAGGAAUUUUUCUCGAUUAUGGAGGUGGUUAAAAAGUUCGUCGUAAAGAGUUACGUCGAUGCAAGCUUUGACACUAAUCCGAAUAACUAUGAGUAGUGAAACGGAUUCGUAUAGUAGAGUAGAUAUUUGGAGUAUUUCCGAAUAGCACAUAGUAGCAGCAUCUAUAAGAUGACAUAAAGAUUUGUAAAGAACACACGGAUAUGAAAGUUUCAGAACCGUUGACUAAAACCUCUCUCAUGAGCAAAACGUGAUCAGACCCCAUAACUAUAUGGGUGUUGGAUUCGUUGGAAUCACAUGGUGAUGUGAACUAGAUUAUUGACUCUAGUGCAAGUGGGAGACUGUUGGAAAUAUGCCCUAGAGGCAAUAAUAAAUUAGUUAUUAUUAUAUUUCUUUGUGCAUGAUAAUCGUUUAUUAUCCAUGCUAUAAUUGUAUUGAUUGGAAACACAGUGCAUGUGUGGAUACAUAGACAAAACACUGUCUCUAGUAAGCCUCUAGUUGACUAGCUCGUUGAUCAAAGAUGGUCAAGGUUUCCUGACCAUAGGCAAGUGUUGUCACUUGAUAACGGGAUCACAUCAUUAGGAGAAUCAUGUGGUGGACUAGACCCAAACUAAUAGACGUAGCAUGUUGAUCGUGUCAUUUUGUUGCUACUGUUUUCUGCGUGUCAAGUAUUUGUCCCUAUGACCAUGAGAUCAUAUAACUCACUAACACCGGAGGAAUGCUUUGUGUGUAUCAAACGUCGCAACGUAACUGUGUGACUGUAAAGAUGCUCUACAGGUAUCUCCGAAGGUGUUCGUUGAGUUAGUAUGGAUCGAGACUGGGAUUUGUCACUCCGUGUGACGGAGAGGUAUCUCGGGGCCCACUCGGUAAUACAACAUCACACACAAGCCUUGCAAGCAAUGUGAUAGGUCUUCGUGCGCGUAGGAAAAUUUUUGUUUCCCAUGUGACGUUCCCCAACAGUUUCAUCAGUUGGUUCUUCAAUCAGAGGCUGAGGAGUUGGUACUUGAGGGGCAUCUUUCUUGUUGUAGUCGUUAACAGCUUCAGUAGCAAGUUUGAUGAAAUUGCUUUUGAGACUUUGACGAUCAGAAAGCUUGGAGUACUUAUCUGUGAAAGUCUUCAACUCCGCAUGUGUUGACACAAGGUCAUCAGGAGUUAGGUUGAGGAGAUUCUUCUUGAGAAAUUUCUCCUUCUUGAGCUUGGCCACCUUGGCCUAUUUAGCUUGUUGCUCCUUCCACUUGGCCUCGUUGAUGAAUGUAGCCACCAUAUGGCUGAUGCCAGGAGGAAGUUUCAAAUCAUCAAGUGGAGUAUUGGGGUCCUCAUACCAGAUAUUGACGUAGUCUAGGAGGACUUUUGGGUCCAUGGCCAGAGGAAUGGAGCUGCCAGAAGCUUGAGCUACCCUCUCUUGCUUGUUUCUCAUCAUUGCUUGCAGAGUUUCAUCAUCAAAUUCAUCACUACCCUCUGAUGCAGAAGGGACAGUGAUGGUUUUGCUUGGGCUGGGUCUUGUUCCUCUCCCAGCAGUCGCCUUAGUCUUUAGAGGAGUUGGUGAAGACUUUGUCUCCGAGCUGAUUGCAGCUGGGAGUGAGGAGCUGGAGGUAGCUGGCAGUGGCUUCACUAUCGGCUUCUGUUCAGGUUUUGAAGCCUGUGGUGGUGCUGAGGAUUUUGGAGCUGAGAGUUUUGGCGCUGAUGGUUUUGGAGCUGAUGUUGGAGCUGGUUUCUCUUGAGGCUUUGAAGCCUUUGGUUUUGAUGGCACAGACUUUUGUUGAGGAAUUGCCGAACCAGAGGUCUCAGCAGCAGAGGAAGUAGCUGCAGAUGAUUCGUUGAAUUUCCUCACAGCACCCUCUGCCUGCUUCUUGAGCUUUGCCAAGUGCUUUUCCUUUUCAUGAGGAUAGUCAUCAAGGGUCUUGAGGCUUGAGGGAUGUGCUUCUUGAUAAUCCUCAAAUGGAGCCCGUUUGCCAGGAGGCUUCAGAGCGAAUUUCUUCGCAUAUUUGGGAGUGACGAAUAUGUACUCCUUCCACUCCUUAGCCCAUCGGCGUUCUAUCUUCUGAAGCCGAAUCUUUCUCUUGGCCAUAGUUUCAUUUUCAUCAGGAGUGCAGUAGUCCAAGUAUAUAUCCUCAGGGAUAUCUGCGGCUGUAUUCUGCUCAAGUUUCUUGCCUCCCUUUUGCUUCCUGUCAUCCUCCAUUUUCUUCAGCUGAGGAUUUUGCUGAUGAGAUUGAACUCUUGAGGAUUCUCAUGAGACUUGAAGAUUUUCUUCAAGAAACGCUGCAAAUGAGUUAAUUUGAUGAGAACCGAGAGAUUCAUCAGCUGACAUGUGUGUACCUGUGAAUAGAGUAUAGUUGCGAGGAAUGUGGAGAGGUCAUAUGCGUUCUCAGAUUUGAAGAAAUUAAAAAAAUUGACAGUUGAGGAAUUUGACCAGUGGUUGAGGAAUUUGCCUAAGCAUACUGUUCUUGGGUUUCAGAGUUGUACAUAUCCGAAAAUUCGCACAACUGAGGAAUCUCGUGAAAAUCUUAGAUGCUUAGUGAAGUUCAUCAAUAGUGUGGUGACAGGCAGUGUUUGAGGAAAAGAAACAUAUGGAUUCUUGAGGAAAAACAGAUUUCACAUCUCAGUGAUAAAAUAGUAGAUCAAACUUGCUGUAAAAAUAGGGUUUUUAUUUACCCUAGAUGGCGCGCACGAAGAACAGAGAAGAGUAGCAGGGAGAAGCUCUUUCGGUGCGUGUCCAAUGCGCCCUAAUCCGGCAGCAGAGGACGUCUACGGCGGCGGCGGACGAGGAUGGUCCUACUCCGGCGUGGUUUCGACGAUGGAAAAGUCGAGGCAGUGAAGCUCUUCUUCGCCGGCGUCGAGACUUCCAGCGGUGGCGCUAGGGUUCGGGGCUUUGCUGUAGCAGGAGAGCGAUGGAGCGAAGAAGUGUUUACCAAGGGGGUUGGGGACAUAUUUAUAGCCAGGCAGUUAUUGUUGGCGUGAAGAAAUCGGACCAAAUAGCCCCUGCCUCUACGUCUCCGCAGGACACGUGUAGCUUACGAGUAAAGCGGUGGAGAUCGUGGAGAUCGUGGUUGUUGGGGCAUAGAUCGUGGUUGUUGGGGCAUAGUUUAUGCCUAAGUAAUUUUGGUGAUUGAUGACAGUACCGUAAAGGACUAACCGUCUGUGUUAAGGUUUCAGAUAACACACGUCAACGGCACAAGACGACUCGUCUCCUCAUUCAUGGAACGGAAGCACGGCGCUCUCUACGAUUCUCUUUAUUUGAGUCAUAGGAAAGCCGGACUAUUAAGAGGGGAUCCAUAGUGGAAAGGUUUGGGUGGAAUCUAUCUUUGCACGCGCACACUUCACAUAUUCUCCCUUACCUUCAUUUUUUGGAGCGGCCCCCGCCACUGUGUUUCUUUCCUCCUUGCAAAUUGGUCCCUAGCGGUAGUACCGCUGGCUGGCGCUAGUACCGCCCCUGGUCAGCGGUAGUACCGCUCCAGGAGCUCAGUACCGCCUGCCUAGCGGUAGUUCGUGAACGGACCUUUUUGCGAAGACUUUCUUGGCGGUGGUAGUGCUUUUGCACUACCACGGGCCCAGCGGUAGUACCGCUAGGCGGCGGUAGUACCGCCCCUGGUCAGCGGUAGUACCGCUGGAGUGCCAGCGGUAGUACCGCUGCAGACAACGGUAGUACCGCUGGAGCUCGGGCAGAGAGUGGGAAAACGGUCUGAUUCCCCCCCCCCCCACUAUAUAAAGGGUUCUUCUAGCUGUGGAACCUUAUCUCUUACCCUCUCAAGCUCCAUUGUUGCUCCCUAAGCUCAAAAGUGCCCGAUCUCUCUCCCUAGCCAAUCAAACUUGUUGAUUCUUUAGGGAUUGGUUGAGAAGGCCUAGUUCCACACUUCCACCAAGAGAAAAGUUGAUUCCCCCACCAAUCCCUUGCGGAUCUUGUUACUCUUGGGUGUUUGAGCAUCCUAGACGGUUGAGGUCACCUCGAAGCCAUAUUCCAUUGUGGUGAAGCUUCGUGGUCUAGUUGGGAGCCUCCAAGCUUUGUGUGGAGUUGCCCCAACCUUGUUUGUAAAGGUUCGGUCGCCGCCUUCAAGGGCACCUAUAGUGGAAUCACGGUACCUUGCAUCGUGCGAGGGCGUGAGGAGAAUACGGUGGUGUUAGUGGCUUUUUGGGGAGCAUUGUGCCUCCACACCGCUCCAACGGAGGCGUACUUCCUGUCAAAGGGAAGGAACUUCGGUAACACAUCCUCGUCUCCAUCGGUUCCACUUGUGGUUAUCUCUAUCCUUUACUUUCUUUUUCCUUAUGCUUGUGACUAUAUCUUACUUGUCUUAAUAGCUCUCGUUGUUAGCUUCUUUAGGGUUCACCUCAUUGUCGUAUUAUUUGUGAACCCGUAAGUUGUUUACCUUAACUUGCUAAGAUUAAUUAAAAAGUGGUUGUUGUCUAUUCACCCCCCCCCUCUAGCCAACCAUAUCGAUCCUUUCAGUGGUUAUCCGAACGAGGAAAGUGGGGUCCAGUUACUGUUCAUUAAUUUUUUUUUUUUGAAGAUUUGAGGAUUUUGUUACAAAAUCAUCAGCUGACAAGGACGCAGUGAAGAUUUUGAACAAAGUUUCAAGUAGAACGCAUAUGAAGAAUUGAAUAGACUGGAUGAGAAUAGCAUAGAGGGAAAGUAGGGUCCGAUCACAUUCACUUAGAUGAAAUAUCAACUUGAAGAAAUAGCUAUAAGUGAAUGUUGUUGAGGACUUGAAAUUACAGUCUAUCUAGGUAAACGAAAGUCAUCAAGUGUUUUUGAAGAUUUGACUAACUUGAGGAUUUUGUGAUAAAUCGUCACAAUGAUGAAAUUCAGUUUUUUGAAGAAAAAUGAUUUUGAAGAACAACUGUUUUGAAGAAAAUCAAAUUUUGAGGAAAUGGAACUUUGAAGAAAAUCAACUUGAGGAAUUUCACGUUGGACGGUAGCGUGACCCACCAUAUAAGAAUGUUGAUUACAGACGCCGCGUACAAUUGUCGUAGGGCCCUGAGAAUCAAUUUCUUCGUUGAUUUCUUCACAUUCAGAGUGAUAUUCUUCAUCAGUUGAAGAAAAUCGAUUCAUCAUGUGUUGCACAUCUAAGUCAUCAAUUUUGCAUAAGUGUUAGGAUGUGUGUAUGUUUUUACAAAACAUUUGAAGAUUCUAAGAUAUUUAGCUCACACAGCAACUUGCAAAACCUUUCCCAUCCAAGGGCUUAGUGAAGAUAUUUGCCAGUUGAUCAUCAGUCUUCACAUGGUCGAUGAGGAUAUUGCCCUUGAGGACAUGGUCCCGAAGAAAAUGAUGACGAAUCUGGAUGUGCUUGGUCUUCGAGUGCUGUACUGGGUUGUAUGCAAUCUUGAUUGCACUCUCAUUGUCGCAGUAGAGAGGCACAUUCUUCAUGUUGAUGCCGUAGUCCUUGAGGGUUUGCUUCAUCCAUAGCAAUUGAGCACAGCAUGAGCCAGCAGCAAUGUACUCAGCUUCGGCAGUGGAGAGUGAUACGCAGUUCUGCUUCUUUGAGGACCAGCAGUCUAGUGAUCUUCCGAGGAAAUGGCAUGUGCCAUAGUCAGAAUCAGAAUACCCUAUCAGAUGAAGAUUUGAGCCCUUGGGGUACCAUAAUCCUAGUGUUGGUGUGUGAGCUAAGUAUCGAAGAAUAUGCUUCACAGCCUUAUGGUGUGAUUCCUUCGGUUUUGCUUGAAAACGUGCACACAUGCAAACACUAAGCAUUAUAUCUGGCCUAGAUGCACAUAAAUACAAUAAAGAGCCAAUCAUAGAGCGAUAUAUUUGCUGAUCGAAUUCUUUACAAUUUUCGUCAGUGCAGAGGUGGCCGUUGGUAGGCAUUGGAGCCUUGGCACCUUUGCAUUCAUGCAUGUCGAAUUUCCUCAGAACAUCCUUGAGGUAUUUCUCGUGUGAUAUGAAGAUUCCAUUGCGUUGUUGACGAAUUUGAAGACCUAAGAAGAAUUUCAGCUCCCCCAUCAUAGACAUCUGAUAUUCUUCACUCAUCAUGUAAGCAAAUUCAUCACUGUAUCAUUUGUCAGUACAGCCAAAUAUAAUGUCAUCGACAUAUAUCUCGCACACAAAUAGCUCAUUAUCAUAGGAUUUAGUGAAAAGAGUUGGAUCGAGUGAACCCGGUUUGAAGCCUUUCUUCAUGAGGAAUUCCUUCAAUGUAUCAUACCAUGCCCGAGGGGCUUGCUUGAGACCAUAGAGCGCCUUUUUGAGUCUGAAGACUUUGUCUGGAUUUUUUGGAUCCUCAAAACCUGGGGGUUGAGCAACAUAUACUUCUUCCUCAAGCUUACAUUGAGGAAUGCACUUUUCACAUCCAUUUGAUAUAAUAUGAUGUUAUUAUAAUUAGCAUAAGCAAGUAGUAUUCGAAUAGCUUCAAGUCUAGCAACAGGUGCAAAAGUUUCAUCAAAAUCUAUUCCUUCAACCUGGGUGUAGCCUYGGGCUACCAAGUCGUGCCUUGUUCCUCACCACUUGACCAUCCUCAUCUUGCUUAUUUUGGAAAAUCCACUUGGUUCCGAUGAUAUUGUGCUUGCGAGGAUCUGGUCGUUUGACGAGCUCCCAUACGUCAUUCAUCUUGAAUUGAAGAAGUUAAUCUUGCAUAGCUUGGAUCCACUACGGUUCCAGGAAAGCCUCAGCAACUUUUGAGGGUUCUGUGAUAGAUACAAAGGAGAAAUGCCCACAAAAGUUAACUAAGUGUGAAGCUUUUGAGCGAGUGAGGGGACCUGGCGCGUUUAUGUCAUUGAGGAUUUUGUCAAGUUCUACUUCAUUUGCAAUCCUCGGAUGAGCUGGUUGAGGAUUUCGUCUGGGCUGAGAAAGUGGUUCUGGAGCAAUUUCCUCAGGAGCACCUUCUUGAUUUUCAUCAGUGAUGGGGAUGGUUUCUUCAUCAAUUUCCUCAGUGGGAACAAUGGCUUCAGUAGGUUUGAGCUUUAUUGCUUCCUCAGGAGACAACUUAUCUAGAUCAGAAGGCAAUUGCUCUCUUUGCGAGCCAUUAGUUUCAUCGAACCGCACAUCUAUAGUCUCAACAACUUUGUUGUGAUAGUUGUUGAAGACUCUAUAGGUGUGCGAGUCCUUUCGAUAACCGAGCAUAAAACCCUCAUGUGCUUUAGGUGCAAAUUUUGAGCUAUGGUGAGGAUCUCUAAUCCAACAUUUUGCACCGAAGACUUUGAAAUAACUUACAUUGGGUUUCUUAUCAGUGAGGAGUUCAUAUGAGGUUUUCUUGAGGAAUUUGUGAAGAUAUACCCUCUUGAUGAUAUGGCAUGCAGUGUUGAUUGCUUCAGGCCAAAAGCGACGAGGAGUCUGAUAUUCUUCAAGCAUGGUUCUUGCCAUCUCAACCAGAGUCCUGUUCUUCCUUUCGACGACACCAUUUUGUUGAGGAGUAUAAGGAGCAGCUAAUUCGUGAGUAAUACCAAGUUCAUCAAGACCAGUGUUUUUGAACUCUGUUCCAUUAUCACUCCUAAUAUGUUUGAUCUUGAUGCCGAAGUUCGUUGAGGCCCUUGAAGAAAAUCGUUUGAAGAUUUCCCGCACUUCAGUUUUAUAUAAGAUGAUAUGCACCCAUGUAUAUCUGGAAUAAUCAUCAACUAUGACGAAGCCAUAUAAAGAUGUUGCAUUUGUUAGUGUGGCAUAAUGAGUAGGUCCAAAUAGAUCCAUGUGAAGCAAUUCGAAUGGACGAGUAGUAGUCAUGAUAGUCUUCGAGGGAUGCUUGGAUCUGGUCAUUUUCCCACAUUCACAUGCACCACAGAGAUGAUCCUUGAGGAAUUUGACUAAUUUGAUGCCGAUGACAUGCUUCUUCUUCGCGAGCGUGUGCAAAUUCCUCAUGCCUGCAUGAUCGAGUCUUCGAUGCCACAACCACCCUUCCGAGGUUUUUGCUAGUAAGCAAGUGGCUGGUUGAGGACCUGUAGAGAAAUCGACAAUGUACAAAUCCCCUCUUCUAGCACCUUCGAAGACCUUGAAUUUGUCAGAUUCCAUGAUGACAACACAUCUAUAUCUACCAAAGAUAACAAUCAUAUCAAGAUCAAAAAGCAUCGAGACUGACAUGAGGUUAAAUCCAAGGGAUUCAACAAGCAUUACUUUGUCCAUAUGCCUAUCCUUGGAAAUAGCCACUUUGCCAAGUCCCAAUACCUUGCUUUUACUUUUGUCAGCAUAUGUGAUUUGCUUCAGAGGUGAUGGAGUUAGUGGCAUAUUCAUCAGCAAGCUUGUAUCACCAGUCAUGUGAUGUGUGCAGCCACUAUCAAGAACCCACUCAGUAUUCUUGGGUUUGUCAUCCUGCAGAUGAAUUAGUACAGCUUACCAUCUCAUAUGCUUCAGAUUUGAAGAAUAUGAUAUCAAUUUCAUCAGAUAGAAAUUUCAUCAUAACAAAAUUAUGAGGACGUGUGAAAUAUUUAUUUUUCAUCAAUAUUAGCUUGCGUCCUAUCAAGCAUUUCCUCAGGUCUCCAGCAAAUUCUUCAGAUGAUGAUUUUCAUCUGGAGACCUGUCGUGCAGAAGUGAUUAGUUCAAUUUCUUCACCACCCACAUAUGAAGGGGUGGUAAAGCAUUCAUCAUCCUGCGAUCAUCAUAUGAGAAAGGUGGCAUUGAAGCUAAUGCACUUCUCUUAACAGUAGGGGGGUAAAAGUACUCAUAUGAAUAUGCAGAGAACUGGUUUGAGGAUUUAUGAACAUAAUGAUUUGAAGAGUAACGCUCAUAUUCAUAUUGCUUGUAGUUUCCCUGCAUGUUAGAAGCAUUAGCACGAGUACGAGCAUAGUUUUGACCAGUUGAGGAUUUUGAUCCUCUUGAAGACUUUGGUCCUCCUGAGGAAUUUGAUCUGGGGUUCAGAUUCUUCAUUGGUGGUGUCAUGAGGACAUUCACCUAAAGAUUUUCAAGACAACUUUUGGGAACCCAGAAUUUCCUCAGGGGAGGGUCAUUCCUGCCGUUAGUUCCAACAUAUUGAGCAAAUACUUCACCAGCUUGAUUUUUGAACAGUUUAUAGUUGGAGUCAAAUGACUCAUCUGAGGAAUAGGAUAAUUCACAUGAAAAGCCAGUUAGAUUGGAUGGAUCAAAAGGAGCCCUAGUAGCAGCAACCCAUUAGGUUUUGGGAUACUGCUUAGGUUUCCAAUAAGAUCCAUCAGCAUUCAAUUUCCUCUCAGAGGCAAUUCCUUCUUUCCUCGGUUUCCUGUUCAAGAUCUGCUUUUUGAGCACACCACAAAGGGUUUGAUGUCCUUUGAGACUUUUUUAUAUGCCUGUCACAUACAAUUCCUUCAGCCCUGCAUUUUCAUCAGUGACAUUUGUGUUUUUCUCAAGUGAGGAAUUUGACACUACACGAGCAGUUGAAGAAUUCGUAGCAAUAGAAGCAUUUGAUGAUUCUGGUGAAGAAUUAGCAGUUUCACGUUCAAUGCAUUUAAGACAAGGAGGAAUGAAUUCAGCUUGAGGAGUGCUGAUCAGUUGAGCUAGUAAUGAAUCGUUUUCCAUACGAAGAUCACCAUGAGAAAUCCUCAGGUUCUCUAGAUCAAGUUUCCUUUGAACAAAUUCAUAGGAAAGUUUCUCAUGAUCAGCGAGGAGUGUAUCAUAACGAUCUUGAAGAUUAUCAAAUCUAGACUGAAGACUUUUCACAUCUUCAGUGAGGAUUUGGGUAAGAUUCAUUUCAUCAUUCAACAGAUCAUCACUUUUAUCUAGCAGUUUCUGAAGCUUUUCCAGGGCAGUUUGUUGUUUACUCGCAAUGAUAGCAAGUUUACUGUAACUGGGUUUUUUAAAUCAUCAGGUUCACAGUCACUUGAAUCAGAGGAGGAAGCAUCAUUCGGUAUAUUUGAACCUUUUGACAUGAAGCAAUAGGUUGGAGCGAAGUCAUCAGCAUAGUCAUCAGUGUGGAUGGUGUUAUCAUCUUCUUCAAGGUUGAAGAUUGACUUGGUGACGUAAGUGGUUGCAGGUGCAAGACUAUCCUGUCCGGAUUCUGAGUCUUCAUCAGAACCCUCUUCUUCAUCACAUUCCUCUGAUUCUGCCUCGGAAUCCAUUUCCUUGCCAAUAAGUGCCCGAGCCUUUCUGAAACUAGUCUUCUUGUGCGAUGAGGGCUUUGAAGAUGAGGAUUUUGAAGAUUUCUUCUUCUUCUUCGAGUCAUCAGAACUGUCAUCCUUGUAUUUCUUCUUCUUUGAUUCCUUUCCCCAACGGGGAGAAUCAGCAAUGUAGUGACUUGAUUUCUUGCAUUUGUGGCAGGUUCUUUUCUUGUAGUCCUCAGAUGAAGAUUCUGAUUUCCUCAUAUCUCUUCUUGAAGAUUUACCGAACUGGCCACGUCGUGUAAACCUCUGGAAUUUCCUCACAAGCAUUGCAAGCUCCUGUCCAAAUUCUUCAGGGUCACGAAUGCUAUCAUCCGAGUCUUCUUCAUUAGAUGAGGAAAUUGCUCUAGCCUUCACUACACGUGGUCUAGAAUAGCUUGGUCCAUAUAGAUCUUUCUUUUCUUCUUGCUGGAAUUCAUGAGUAUUGAGUCUUUCGAGUAUAUCAGCUGGAUCAAGCAUCUUGUAGUCUGGUCUUUCUUGAAUCAUCAGGACUAAAGUAUCAAAUGAAGAAUCCAAAGAUCUUAGCAGUUUCUUCACAACUUCGUGAUCAGUAAUGUCUCGAGCUCCCAGUGCUUGCAGUUCAUUUGAUAUGUCACUGAGGCGAUCAAAGGUAUCUUGGCAGCUUUCAUUGUCAAGCCUCUUGAAGCGAUUAAAGAGAUUGCGAAGAACAUCAACACGAGAAUCACGCUGGGUUGAUACUCCUUCAUUUACUUUGCACAGUCUCUCCCAGAUAAGUGUCGCUAAGCCCAAAGCACUCACUCUUCCAAACUGGCCUGGGCUCAGAUGGCCACAGAUGAUAUUCUUCGCUUGAGAAUCAAGUUGCUUCAAUUUCUUCACAUCAGCAGCAGAGACACUAGCAGACAUGAUGGGGACGCCAUGUUCCACAAUAUACCAGAGAUCAUUGUCAAUAGCUUGUAGAUGCAUCUGCAUCUUGGUCUUCCAGAAGGGAAAGUUCUUUCCUUCGAAAGUAGGACAUGCUGCAGUAACCUUAAUCAUGCCUGCAGUCGACUUAACUAAAACUCCAGGUGGUUAAACCAAAAUCACACAGAACAAGGGAGUACCUUGCUCUGAUACCAAUUGAAAGUGCGUUAUAUCGACUAGAGGGGGUGAAUAGGAGAUUUUUAGAAUUUCAUCACUGAGGAAAUUCCUUUUGAGGAAAUUCCUCACUGAUGACUAACUUACAACGGAAACAGUAAAGGAUCAGGAGUGCAAAGUUUCACUACAAUAGUUUUUCAGUAUGAAGAAUGCAAAAAACAGAUUGCACAGUAAGCAGGGCACGCAGAAAACUUAGAUGAGGAUUAACUUGCGUGAAGAAUUUGGGGGUUNAGGGAAUUUCAGAGAAAGUCUUCAGCAAAUUCUUCAAACAGUGACAGUNNNNNNNNNNNNNNNNNNNNNNNNNNNNNNNNNNNNNNNNNNNNNNNNNNNNNNNNNNNNNNNNNNNNNNNNNNNNNNNNNNNNNNNNNNNNNNNNNNNNGUAGGCGUAUAUUUUUAUUUCUACCACACUGUUAUGUGUUUUUUGGUCUUGGUAGGCGUCCUUGUAUCGUAGGAGGCUUUUACUUUUUGUUGUGUCACAAUCAUCCUUUAUGGACACCUAGAGAGAGAGAGACAUGCACUCACCGUGAUUUUGUCGAGCUUCACUUAUAUCUUUUGGUAGACAAUUCAGCUCACAUGUGCUUCACUUAUAUCUUUUUGAGCUAGAUACUUUUGCUCUAUGUGCUUCACUUAUAUCUUUUCGAGCACAGUGAUGCAUGGCUUGGUAGUUGAUCUAUGCUUUGAAAGUAGUCUCAAAAGGGGUAGUUAUCCAAAGGGAUACGAAAACUUCCACCUUCAUGUGCAUUGAAUAGUUAGAGAAGUUUGAUUCAUCUCAAUUAGUUUUGAGUUGUGGUUAUGGUAAUAUUAAAGACAUGCUAGUAAGCUGUUGUGGAUCUAGAAAUACUUGUGUUGAAGUUAGCGAUUCCCGUAGCAUGAACGUAUGGUGAACCGCUAUGUGAUGAAAUCUGAGCAUGAUUAGUCUAUUGAUUGUCAUCCUUUGCGUGGCGUUCGGGAUCGCGCGAUGGUUUAUACCUACCAACCCUUCCCCUAUGAGUAUGCAUUGAAUGCUUUGUUUCGAUUACUAAUAAAAUUUUUGCAACAAGUAUAUGAGUUCUUCAUGACUAAUGUUGAGUCCAUGGUUUAGAUGCACUUUCACCUUCCACCAUCACUAUCUUCUUAGUGUCGUGCAACUUUCGCCGGUGCACAAAACCCACCAUUAGCCUCCCUCAAAACAACCACCAUACCUACCUACUAUGGCUUUUUCAAAGUCAUUCCGAGAUAUAUUGCCAUGCAACUACCACCAUGACAUGUGCCACCACGUCUACACUGCCAUUGCAUGAUCGUAAGAUAGCUAGCAUGAUGUUUCCAUUGAUAUCUAUGCCAUGCUAGAUCAUUGCCACGGUACACUACCGAAGGCAUUCCAUAUAGAGUCAUCGUUACUCUAAUUUUUGAGUUGAAAGUGUGAUGAUCAUCAUUAAUGGAGCAUUGUCCCAUGUGAGGAAAUAAAAGAGGCCAAAUAAGCCCAMCMAAAAAAAGAGGCCAAACGAUCCCAMCMAAAUAAAAAAAUGAAGAGAAUAAGAAGAGAAGGGACAAUGCUACCUACUUUUCCACUACUUGUGCAUAUUAAGCACCAUGAUCUUCAUGAUUGNGAGUCUCUCGUUUUGCCACCACCNUAUAGCUUAGGUGGUAAAUUUUCAUUAUAUACUUGGCUUUAGUAUUAUUCCUAUGNNNNNNNNNNNNNNNNNNNNNNNNNNNNNNNNNNNNNNNNNNNNNNNNNNNNNNNNNNNNNNNNNNNNNNNNNNNNNNNNNNNNNNNNNNNNNNNNNNNNGAAAACACCUUCACCAAAAGCUUCAAAGGUGAAGAAGAUGACUCUGUCUGCAUGAGACGUGAAAAAAGACAAGUGCCGCUGAAAAGGAAGCGAAGAAGAGAAAAGCUUCAUCAGUAGAAGAACACAUUGAGGCCAAGCGCCUCAAAGCACUUGAAGAAAAUGCUCCACUGGAUCCUGUGCCUCUCAACAUCGCUCCAUCUUAUGAAAUGGUCACCUUCGAAGACCAGGAGAAAAGGCCAGAUGAGGAAACGAAGGAAGCCGAAUCUGAGGAACACACUGACGAAGAAAUUCGCAUUGACGAAAGUCCUCAGCCUUCUAUUCCUCAUGAAGAAACUUCACAAGGAUCAACUACACCAGUUGAUGAAUCUGGAUCUGUCACCAAGCAAGCUGAGGAAGAACAAACUGAAAAUCCUCAAGCUGAUGAAAGUCAUAGUCCUGAGAAAAAUCCUCAACCUCAAGAUCAGGCUGACCCAACUCCUCCUCCUGAGCACGAUCCUCAAGUUGAGGCUCAGGAUGAACCUAUUCCUCCUCCAGAGCAAAACCUUCAACACGAUGCUCCAGUUGACGACAUUCCUCAGCCUGAAGCUCAACCAGACCCCAUUCCUCAGCCUAAAGCGCAACAAGAGCAUGCUCCUCAGCCUGAAACUCAAGCUGAUGAAAUUCCUCACCCUGAGGACCAUGCUGAGGAAAAUGCACCAGACCAAGACAAUGCUUUCGUCGUGCUCAACCCAGAGUCUGCAAUUCUUGUAUCGCCUCAAGUCCAACAGCAAAAAUCUUCAGCAAAUGCAGCGUCAGCCGUUCUCCAAGCGACUGAAGUUUCAAAAGGAGUCCUUCUUUGAAGAACGCAUGUUCUUCAUCGAAGAAAAUCCCUAUGACAAGCCUCAAAUCAGGCAUCUGAAGUUUUGGACGAGGACACAACUCAAUUACUAUGCCUCUGUGCUGUGUGGACGAAACAAGAUUUUCCAGCACAGGCAUAUUCCUCAUGUUGAGCUUGAAGCAAUACCAUGCCUGGCUUCAGUCCUCAACGUCCUUCAUGAAGCUGGAAUUUUCCCAAUGUGCUCAGAUAUCUGUGAUUUGGGACAAUGAGCUCAUUCHUUCAAUUUUAUGCCACUCUUCACAUAUCUGGGGAUCCAGCAGAUAUCAACACCUGGGUGUUUGACUGGAUGACACAAACAACACACACAAGGCUCCUGCCAUUGAGCUCCUGCGUGAACUGCUAGUGUCAAUUCCCUCAGAGCAAGCUGUGAAGCUUUAUGAUGAGCGUGAGCUGCCCAACGGGAUGAUGGAAGUCCUCAUGAAGCCUUUGGCUAAAGGGCAACCACCGAGAAAAACCUUCCUCAUCCAUGAGCUCAAAUAUGAACCAAGGACUGUUUACAGAAUCCUCUCCAGCGUUCUUGCGCCGAUCAAGGGCCACGAUGAUGAAGAAGAUGUCGUAGGCCUCAUGAAGAAUAUCCUCCUUCAAAAUCAUUCGUGGUAUUCCUAUCAACAUACAUGGUUUCUUCUUGAGGACUUUGGCCGACAAUGCAAUGUGUCCUUUUGACUACAAGAUAUAUGCUCCAUGGAUCAUGAGAUUAAUCAGGACAAGGACAGGCAUCAACUUUCACGCUGAUUGCAACAACCAUGUUGGUUAUAUGCCUCCUAUCAGGGUCAACAAGAAGACCUUCGAGCCUGUUGAAGGAAAAGGAAAGUCUGUCAUUGAUGAAGGCCGUAGGCCCCUUGAUGGCCAGUUCAGAGAGCCCGAAGCAUAUUCUUCAUGGGAUGAUACAGAGACUCAUCCUCCAAGCCCUGUUGCUCCUCGUGUGUUGAAUACCGGAGAGCUUCUUCUCAGUCUUCACCAGAAGGCAGAUCGGAAUCACAAGUGGGUCAAACGCCAGUUCGGUGCCAUUGUCGAAAAACCCCUUCGAAACCGGUAAAACGGCCAAGGUAAGUUUAGGUUAGGUUAGGAAACGGUAAACUUUAAAACCCCUAAANNNNNNNNNNNNNNNNNNNNNNNNNNNNNNNNNNNNNNNNNNNNNNNNNNNNNNNNNNNNNNNNNNNNNNNNNNNNNNNNNNNNNNNNNNNNNNNNNNNNUCCGCCUAUUGAUGGUGGUCUCCACGUGAAGGUGGGCUAAAUGGCAGGGCAUGUUGAACCCUAUGGGGAGUUAAUUGAAAGGACAGUUAGGGGUUUUAAGAGUUGAAGGAAGUAUCUCCAAAGUGGUGUGCAGUGGAAAAGUCUUUGCUCACAUUACUUCAUGUUUGGUAUCCUUGUGGAUGUGGACUAGAAUAGUAUUUUUAAAAGUUUCUAUGAGAACAUCCGUGUGAAAGUUGCUUGCAGAGACCCCACUAAAAUUCCUUUUGAGAGGCUAGUGGAAAUGAAGAAAAAAUUAUACCUGCUAUUCUUCACUGUUGAGGGUUUUGAUCAGAUUGGUGAUGAAGGAGAUGAUGAUGGUGAUGACCCUGAAGAGGAUGAUUUGGACAAGGACAAAAAUGAGGAGGAGGAUUUUGAGGGGAAUCUUGACUUGACUGAUAAGGACAAUUUGGAAGAUGAUGCUAACCCAAUAGAUGAGUUGGCCAAGGCCAAUUUCACCAAGAACAAUACUUCUGCCUCAACGUCUAGCAGCAAAUAAAAAGGCAUUGUUUCUGCAGCUAAAUUCCACCUGCAAUUUAUGUCGAACGAUGCCCAUGAUGCUUUCGUUGACGAGAUCAAAACCCGUGGACUUAUUACAAGUGGCUCUUGUGGUAAAAAUGACGAAGACUUGAAUUUUCCUAUGAGGAUGUUUCCCUCACCCCCGUUGGAUGGGGAUCCCAUGUCUGCCCAUAUGGUGUACUGCUCUGAACAACUAAAAAACUUUGACUUGGCUGGAUCUGAUGAAGAGAUUGUGGACAAUUUACUAGAGAUGCAAUGCCUGCCUGAUGAGAUGGUGAAAGCUUUUGGCUCCAUUGAGAGAUCUUUGCUUGAUACCUUGGAAAAGCUGAGUCAGAAAAGAAAGGGAAGUUUCAAGAGGGGUCUACAAAAUGGGGUCCGGUGCUGUCCAUCAGGCCAAACACAAGGGGGCACGGGGAUGUCAACAUUAUGGAUAAAGCCAAAGCGUAUCAGAAGAAGAAAAACCUAGAGAUUCCCAAGUCGUUCAAAGGUAAUUCUUUUUUUCUGUCUUGAUAAUCAUAUUCUUGCGGACCAAGCUAGGAAAAUAGAUAUCCACAUUGGUAAUGAUGAACCUGAACAAAAUGCUAUCAUUGAUGACAUGAUUGAUGAUGAGAAAUUAAGAUGCCUUCAAUUUGCUCAUAUUAACCCCGAGAUUAUUCUCCCUGAUAGUUUAGAUAUGAAUAGUCAGAACCAAUGCUCGCCUCGUGACACUAUUCCAAGUUCUAGAACAAUGGGCACUAUUGUUUUAGUAUUGGAUAGUCCAACCCUUCUUACAAAAAGUAAGCCUUGUGGCUUAUCUCAUCCUUACAAAAUUCCAUGAUAGGAGCUUUCUGAAAUAUUAGGGGUUUAGGCAACAAGGGAAGUUACACUGCCUAUGGGACUUUAUUAGUAGUCACAAAAUUGAUUUUGUGGGUUUGUUUGAAACUAAAAGAGAGAAUAUUGAUAACCACAUUUUGAAACCCAUUGCUAAUGGGAUUGACUUUUGCUGGCAUAUUCUUCCUGCCGUUAACACUGCUAGUGGCAUCCUCGUGGGACUUAGAAAUGAUGUUUUUGAAAUCAUUGGCUUUAUUAAUAUAUUUUUUUGCAUGAUAGUUAGUGUUAAGAAUAAAGACGAUGGUUUCUUAUGGCAUUUUAUCGCGAUAUAUGGUACUGCAUACAAUGAGCACAAAGUUGAAUUCAUUGGUGAGUUGCAUGAUGUCAUGCAUGAGGUGUCCUAUCCCGUACUCCUUGGUGGAGACUUUAACCUAGUUAGGUUUGUUACUGACAAAAACAAUGGGUUGAUUAAUAACCAAUUCUCUUAUUUGUUCAAUGUUUGGAUCAAUAAAUGGGGCCUCAUGGAAAUUAAAAUCGCUAAUAGGAGCUAUACUUGGAGUAACAACCAAGAUGAUCCUAUUUUUGCGAUGACUGACCGUGUGUUUGUAUCCACAUCCUAGGAUGCUCACUUCCCUUUAUCUGUCCUUUCUGCUCUCCCACGUGUUUGGAGCGAUCAUACCCCUCUCCUUUCAGAUACUAAAGCUAAGAGGGUUACCUCCCCUAAACCGUUUCGAUUUGAGAAAUGGUGGUUGGACCAAUCUGACUUCAAAGAUUUAGUUCACAGAACAUGGACAAAUACCCCCUGUCCGGAUGUGGCAAUUGAUAGGUGGUUGAACAAAACUAGAAUUUUGCAGAAGAAGAUUAAGGGUUGGAGCAUCAAUUUAGAGGCUGCUUUGAAGAAAAAGAAAAAAAUCUUCUCCAAGAAUUUGACAUCCUUGAUGUCUUCUCGGAGUCUAAUAGUUUAGAUGACGCUGAUAGGAAUCAGAUGGAGAAGAUUAAGAAAGAAUUAGAUGAGAUUUGGAAAAAAAAUAAGAAACUGCCUUAUGGCAGCGAUCGAGAGAUAGGAGUAUCAAAGAUGGUGACNNNNNNNNNNNNNNNNNNNNNNNNNNNNNNNNNNNNNNNNNNNNNNNNNNNNNNNNNNNNNNNNNNNNNNNNNNNNNNNNNNNNNNNNNNNNNNNNNNNNGCCAACAAGCCCCCACUCCGCCACCAGGGGGAGGCGGCGGUGGGCAGGCUUGUGGCCUCCCUUGUCGCCCCCUAACCUAGAUCUUUGGCCUAUAAAUUCCCAAAUAUUCCGCAAAAAAUCAGGGGAGCCUCGAAAAUACUUUUCCGCCGCCGAAAGCUUUCGUUUCCGCGAGAUCUCAUCUGGAGACCCUUCCCGGCACCCUGCCGGAGGGGACUUUGGAGUUGGAGGGCUUUUUCCUCAUCGUCAUCGCCCCUACAAUGACUCGUGAGUAGUUCACUUCAGAUCUACGGGUCCGUAGUUAGUAUCUAGAUGGCUUCUUCUCUCUCUUGGAUCUUCAAUACAAAGUUCUCCAUGAUCUUCAUGGAUAUCUAUCCGAUGUAAUCUUCUUUGGCGGUGUGUUUGUCGAGAUCCGAUGAAUUGUGGAUUUGUGAUCAAAUUAUCUAUGAUAUAUAUUUGAGUCUUUGCUGAUUUCUUAUAUGCAUGAUUUGAUAUCCUUGUAAGUCUCUCCGAGUCUUGGGUUUUGUUUGGCCAACUAGAUCUAUGAUUCUUGCAAUGGGAGAAGUGCUUGGUUUUGGGUUUUGCCAUGUGGUGACCUUUCCCAGUGACACUAGGGGCAGCAAGGCACACAGGGGAUAGGUUACARUCAAGGGUAAAARNNNNNNNNNNNNNNNNNNNNNNNNNNNNNNNNNNNNNNNNNNNNNNNNNNNNNNNNNNNNNNNNNNNNNNNNNNNNNNNNNNNNNNNNNNNNNNNNNNNNUCUUACGUCAGCAUNUUCCAAAGCUAAGCUGCAUUGGUCAGGUACGUGGGAAAWUAAGUACAGGACUUGAAACCGACGUUUUUGGUUAACAAACUGGGAGAAAAUAAGAUUAUGUAUUGCGAUUUGAAAGGGCAUGAAUAAUUUACAAAACAAAGCUACACUUGUAUAAGCUGAAGCCCGAAAGGCUUACAGUGAAGUGCAUGAAUUCUACAGGAUGUUGAUAGCUCAAUUUAGAGAAACGGAAGCUCAUGUGCAAAUGUUGGGUCAAACCAUCAAAGGCCCGGCGUAAGCUGGCCGAAUUUGGGACUUACAAUCAGCCCACUCACUACAUGCUUUCAUCGAUUUUUACUCCUCACCCUGCAAAUCAGCCAGCGACUACCCUGCCCGAAUAGCUUCAUGCUCCAAAUUUUAUCUACCAGUGGCCUUUGAUCCAUAAACUGUCCUUUUCAGGGCAUGAAAGGUUCGUAACAUAACUCCUAGUAUUAAAAGCUAUUCCUUACCUCACCCAGUUCAUCAAUAUUGAUGUUCAAGAACUACUCCCUCCGUCCCAGUGUCUGAAGCUUAGUACAACUUAGCUCUAGUACAAAGUUGAGACAGUUAUUUUGGGACGGAGGGAGUAUAAUUUAAUUUAUGGUCCUUUCAGGAAAUGGACUUCCUUAUAAAAAACUUCCUAACAUAACUUCUAGUGUAAGAGUUGUUUCUCUCACCCAGUUCAUCAAUAUUGAUGUUCAUGAACUAUAAUUGCAAGUAAAAAAUCAUGCAUAGUGGCAGGAAGGACACAUAGUAAUAUCUGAUGUCAGGAAGUAGUAUAAUUUUGCAACUAAUAACAGGAACUACCUCAUUAUUGAUCACUUUCCAGAAACACAAUGCCAGGUGCAGCAAGCUCACCAUUUAACAUGCCCAUAAGGCAGCUCCAACCUGGUGUCCAUCUGCUCGUCAGGCUGGUUUGCAAGGAUAACGAAAUCGUCCUCCAAGUCCAUCUGGUCUUCCUCCUCGGGCUGAUUUGCAAUGAUAACAAAAUCGUCCUCCAGCUCUGAAUCCUCAUCCUCAUACUCCAAGCUCCCGGUUGGUACCUUGCUCUGCUCACCCUCAUCAUCCGAGGUCCCAUCAUCUUCAUCCUCCGAGGUCCCAUCAUCUUCAUCCUCCGAGGUCCCAUCAUCUUCAUCCUCCGAGGUCCCAUCAUCUUCAUUCUCCAAGGCCACAAGUGGCACCACCACGCUCUCCCCCUCGUAAUCAUCGAUGGGCACCGGUGGCACCUCCCUCUCCUCAAGCAGGUCGGUGACAUCCGGGUCGAUAGCCUCCUCGACUGGGAUCAGCUCUCCCGUUGCGGCGGCAUUGUCCAGACCAACCUCAACACCACGCGCGUCGUAAGCCUACAGAGAACAGCACCGGGAUCAGACACCUGGAAGGCUAGAAGGGAUGAAAUUACGCGGCAGGGUCUAGUGAACAAACAGAUCGGACCUUGACGCUCAACGGGAGGCCGCAGCGCGCGGCGCGGCGGGUGGGGAGGAACACGGUGGACGAGCCCCCCGCCGCCGGUGGAGGAGUAGGAAGGGCGGAUCUCGCGGAUGUGGUCGAGGUAGUUGUAGCCGUCGUCGGGGAGGCCGAGCUCGAGGAUCGCGCGGCGGACGUGGUCGGGGAGGGCGGCCCCGGAGGGCGAGGACGAGGGCUCGGCGCCGUCGUCGUCCGCGGAGGGGAUGGCGCCCUCGAAGUAGGAGCAGUCAUCGUCGUCGUCGUCGAGGCCGGGGACGUGGUACUGGUUGCCGUCGACGCGGACGAGGACGCGGUCCGAGGGGUCGGCGGCGCCGGGGCGCGGGCAGAGGCGGAACGUGGCGGAGUUGCGCGGCUUGCGGUUGCGGCCUCCUCGACCACGGCCCAUGGCGACGGUGGCGGUGGCGGAUGGGGCGGGGGAGGCUGUGGCGUGCGGUGAGGUUUCCGAUCUGUGUGGAGUUUAUUUUUUUCCGGGAUCCUACUUCCUUCCCUUUUUUAUUAGGGCUGGGAAAUGGAUGAUGCGUGAGGGGUACUACAAAGAGCGCGAGAUAAGGGAAUAUUCUCCCGAGAUCUAUCCAUUUUUCUUUUUUGAAGGGGAUCUAUCCAUUUUUCUUAAGAGAGAGAGAGAAACUCCCGAG